This 329559-nucleotide long non-coding RNA is filed under the name Fragaria vesca (wild strawberry). RNAcentral describes it as "long non-coding RNA (FVES_LNC001490)". Lineage: Eukaryota; Viridiplantae; Streptophyta; Magnoliopsida; Rosales; Rosaceae. The record is from RNAcentral.
GGCCAAGUACGCGACCCAUAACUCGACGAGCCCAUAACUCGGGAGGCGGCCGGACGACAGAGGAGCAAUUCGCAGCCAUUGCCAACACAGACCUCCCCCUCGGUAAGCGCGCCCACGCCCUCAUCCUAACCUCCGGGCAAUGCCCAGAUCACUUCCUAAUCAACAAUCUCAUCACUAUGUAUGCGAAAUGCAGGUCGCUGACGUAUGCACGCCACCUGUUCGAUAAAAGUCCUGACCAAGACCUGGUCACCUGGAACGCCAUUCUAGCAGCCUACGCGCAAUCGGGUCGCUAUCUGGUUGAAAAUGUUUAAGAGGGGCUUGGUUAAUGUGUUGUUAUUUUUGUCAGUGGCAUGACAUGUAAUUUUUUAAAAGUUUAUGGGUAACGGUUUAAAGAAUUUAAAUAGGUGUAUUGUUUUAUCAUCAAGGAACAUUUGUUAACAUUUUUAUCAUUUAUUACUUCUAAAUGUACUAUUUUAUCAUUGGCCCAAUAAUUUUCCUACUUGUAGCAUUAUUAUACAUUUAAAAGUAACCAAACGUUUUUUUUUUCGGGAGAAACCAACCAUUAGUUAUUUGUGGUUUCCCAAUUCAUUAUAAUAAAAUAUCAAUUAUAGUCAUGUUUGAUCUCUCUGUUCUGUUUAGUUUUUGUUUUUCUUAACUAUAAGUGGGACACGUGGUGUUGUGGAAAUGGCUGGGGGGAUUCACAUUAUGAAAUAAACUCAUAUAUUGAAUGACUGAUCCCUGCAAGUAGUCUGCAACACAUCAGAUCAAAGAGAUCUGUCGGAAACCUAAGGGGGGUCGGGACCCCGUCGGGCCCGGACGUAGUUCCGCCCCUGUUCACUUGUCGUCCCUUAUAUAUGUCGCUGCUGCAUGAAAUGAAAAUCACAUUAGGAGAUCAAACUGGGGAAUCGAAAAAUUCCCAAAUGUACAAAAAAAUUAAAAGUCAAACCCCAUUUCAAUGACAAUAAGACUUUUGACCCCAAUUGAAUGAGAAAUUAGCUUAUUUGUGCCCAAAUACACAAAUCAUUAUUAAAUUCAUAAUAAAAUAAUAUUUUUGAGACACUUUUACUUUUGUGUCUUAUACACAUUUAGAGAUCGAGAGAAAAUAGAAGAGAUAGUGGACUUUGCCGGACUCCGGUGAUCGGUCCACGAACUCCAGUCACCGAUCGCCGGAAUCCGGUUGCUAGAAUAUUACUGACCCCCAGUAAACUUCUUAUCCACCCCAUAACAUAUUACUGACCCCAAUAAACUUCCUAUCCACCCCAAUAACAUAUUACUGACCCCUAGUAAACUUCUUCACCACCCCAGUAACAUAUUAUUGACCCCUAGUAAACUUUAUAACCUCUUAAGAACUUGUUUGUGUUAGGUUCCCAUGACAGAACCCGACCGAAAUCUCUCCAGUAGAUGGUCACUGGCAUCGGUGAUGGACUUCGCCGAAGAGAGAGAGAGAGAGAGAGAGAGAGAGAGAGAGAGAGAGAGAGAGAGAGAGAGAGAGAGAGGUAGGUAGGUAGGUAGGUAGGUAGGUAGGUAGGUAGGUAGGUAGGGUAGGGUAGGUAGGUAGGUAGGUAGGUAGGUAGGUAGUAGUAGUAGUAGUAGUAGUAGUAGUAGUAGUAGUAGUAGUAGUAGUAGUAGUAGUAGUAGUACGUAGUACGUAGUAGUACGUAGUACGUACGUAGUAGUAGUAGUAGUAGUAGUAGUACGUAGUAGUAGUAGUAGUAGUAGUAGUACGUAGUAGAGAGUACGUAGAGUAGUAGUAGUAGUAGUAGUAGUAGAGUAGAGUAGUAGUAGUAGUAGUAGAGUAGAGUAGAGAGUAGUAGUAGUAGUAGUAGUAGUUAGUAGAGAGAGAGAGAGUAGAGAGAGAGAGAGAGAGAGAGAGAGAGAGAGAGAGAGCAUAUCGUGAGUGAAUGAGAGGUGGAGGGAGAGGUGUGAGAGGUGGAGGGAGAGGUGUGAGAUAGUUAGGUUAAGGUUAAAGAAGUAAUUUUGGUAAGAUUAAUUGAAAUGGGUAAUGAAUAAAGUUUUUCAUUGGAAUGAGCAACAAGACCAAUAAUUAGUGCCAAAUGGGUAUUAUCCCAUCAAACUAUUAUGUAAUUGAUUCUUUUUUUUUCUGGUCAAUGGAAGCAAUGUAUUAGAUGGUCCAAAAAAUACAACCUAAUACAACACUAACCAGAGGUACAAAAGACCUCAACACAAGAGACACAUAGGUCUCAGGAUCGGGAUCCUCUCCUCAUAAUUCUCUGCUCAUACUUCCUCAUAAAUAAAUCUGAACCAUCCAAUCUUAAUAGAUGGUCAGGAUUUAUCUUACAUUCUUUAAGGUGAUUAGUCUAUCUUCCAAAUUCUCGUAUAGAUUUCUGAUCGCCGAUCUCCUCUCAUCUCUCUCUUCCCUCUCUCACCCCCAACCCCAAAGCUGAUAUCUUUCGCUCCAUAAUUCCUAUUGCAUAUAGUUUUACACUUUUACUAUCUCUCUGUUGUUUGAAUCGAAUCAGCAGCCGAAAGAGAAAGAAGGAUGCGUUGACGGGUCUCGAGGAUCGUCUGUUGUCGCAACCGUCACGAUGACCAUAACCGGUUAAUCAUGAGAAACCUCAAGGAACCGGUCAGGUAGAGCAACAUCCUCAUCCUGCUCGAGUAUGAGAGAGAAGCAAGAAGGUCUCGUUGAUGGGUCUUCGCUUUUGUUUUCAGCGAUCGAUGGAAAAAGCAAUGUUCUUUGCAUGUUACUGGGUUUAUGUUUUGUGAGAAAGACUGGUUCUUGUAGUGUUAUGGAAAUCAUGAUAUGAGAGAUCCCAGCUUGUUAUAAUUAGUUGCUAAUAUGCUGCAACUGAAGCCAUAUAUGAUUUGUGAUAAGAAAUAUUUUUAUUUGGGGAUGAGAGUUAAAACUAAAAAGAAAAAAUUUAAGGCCAAGUAGUUCAAUCAAGAUGAAGGAUAUUGAUCAAAGAUCGAAUAGAUACGUUCUAGAAAUAUGAGCAAUGCAAGAGGGAAGAAUGGAAAUAGAUGGGCAGUUGAAACUUGGCCUCACUUUGUGCAAAAAUUUAGCCGUGUGUUAAAUUUAGUUAUAUUCAAAGUGUUCCUUCGAAAUGAGAACUUUCAUCAUUUUGGUAUCGUCGCCGGUACCAAUAUCAACCCAAAAUUGAUCACCCUACUUCUGGGUUCAUAUCAACCUACUCUUGGGUUUAUACUCUGGGUCUGAAAUUUGAGGGAAUAAAGCCAGAGAAAUCCUGGCCAUCCAUUAAAAUUGGAUGGCUCAGAUUCAUUUAUGAGGAAGUAUGAGCAGAGAAAUAUGAGGAGAGAAUCCUAGUCCAUAGGUCUCAGCACAAAGAGACACGUUGGUCCCGGCGUAAAAAGGCACAUAGGCCUAGCAACAGAGGCACUUAGGCCCAGCAUAAACAAAAUAAAGCCCAUAAAAAGCUUAGCCACGACACAACACAGAAGCCCAAAACUAGAAGUAAGAAACUCUACAUCUAACAGCCUCCAUCGCUUCAACAUCAGCUGCACAGAGCUGCUGUCGCUACAUUCCAGUCCCCAUUUGACGUCAGUCCGCCGCUAAAGCACCAAAACAAACCACUUCCUCCACCGGUUGAGAACGCUGGGCACAAAAGCCCCCAAGAGAAACCAAGUAACCAUAGAAGGAGUGAAUACCAAGGUAAUUGAAACACAUUCUUUCAGUUGAACAAAAGUUCGCCGACGGACGAAAAUUUGCUUAGUAGAACCAGAAAAUCUAGCGAUGUGAUGGAAGAAGACAUCAUAUGAGAAGCAACAAUAGUAGAACCAGAAGAUCUAGCGAUAUGAUGGAAGAUAUGUGAAAUCAAGAUUGGAAUUGGGUUAUGGUGAAGAAGUGAGGAGAUUGAGAGGUGAUGAGAGCGACAUGGAUCUGAGUUCAAACCGUCAUGGGAAGACUCAGUAAGGCAGGGAAGUAAGGUGGGUAGAUGGGGAAAAUGGAUAAGGUAGAGGGAAGGGGAAGAUGAAGAAAAGGAUUGAAGGAAAGGGCAGAUCUGGUCUGGGAAAAGGCUAGGUGGACAUGGGGGAGGUGGAGGAAAUAGUGGCGGAUGUGGGGAUGGUGGUGGUGGAGGAGACGGCUGGGCUCGUGAGACUCUCAAAAUAGGAUGAGAAAACUUGUAGAGAGAAGGUAGACCCUCUCUCUCUAGAAAUUUUCUGUUUUCUUAUGUGACAGACUUGGUGAAGCUGGUUGAGAAAAAAAUUCGGCCAGAGCAUCACCGCACACCUAAUAGACCAAUAUAUCUUGUUGGAGAAUCUCUUGGAGCAUGCCUUGCUCUAUCUGUGGCAUCCCUUAACCCUGAUAUCGACCUUGUUCUGCUCUUAGCAAAUCCUGGUAACAUAUGUUUGUUUCUUAAUUCAUAUAAUCAUAUUCAGUUUUUUUUAGUGCAACCUUAUAAAAAGAGGGAUAUCAAAUUGAUGUAAUUUUUCACUCAAUUUAACACCUACAAUGAAUAUGUGCAGCAACGUCCUUCAGCAAGUCACCACUUCAACCCAUAUUACCAUUACUGCAGAUCAUGCCUGACUUACUAUCCAAACUUAGUCUUCCUCUUGUACUAAGUUCAAUGGCAGGUGAUUUCUUUGUUUCAUUUACUAGUUACUCGUCUCCCGAAAGAUGCUAGAAAUAUGGCUAAGCAAGGAAUUUGUUCAUACCAAAAGUGAUAAAACAGUGGUCACAUUUGUUGUGCAUGCAUAUAGGUGUAAUGAUGGCUGAUUUAGAGAAGGGAGUUGGAAGUCUGUCGUGAGAUUUCGUUGCACAAUCAAUAUCUUACCUCUCUGUAAGACACAGCUUCGAAACAUUACUCUCACCCUAGUUUUUCACAGCAUCUGUUAUUCGAUUUCUGUCAUUCGAUUUUUUUUUCUUUUUUACAUUCUAAUGUGUUUUUAUUUUUCAAAUUGUGAGGUCCAAUCUUGUAAAAUGGGAUUAAUGGUUGAAGUUCCAGGUUUUUGCUGAUAUCUUGCCCCUAGAAACACUUCUGUGGAAACUACAAAUGAUUAGUUCAGCUUCAUCGUAUGCCAAUUCACGCCUCCAUGCUGUAAAAGUUCAAACCUUGAUACUAUCCAGGUGUCCUUUAAACAUCCAUAACCACUUCUAGCAAUAUUUUCAAGCGACCUAUACUAUAAUCAUGCAUCAUUCCUAAUUUAUUACAUGUACACCUGACAAAACAACUUUGCUGCAUUACCCUAUCAUCAUUUUAGAAUACAGUGCUGAUUUCACUGUUAUCUGUUCAAUAGUGGAAGGGAUCUAUUGCUGCGUAGUAAACAGGAAGGUCUGAGACUCCGACGGUUGCUUGCGAAUUCUGAGAUCUGUACAUUUGAACACUGUGGCCAUUUCCUCUUCUUGGUAGGAUUAUCUGAUUAUGUGCUAGUAGAAAUUUGAUCAUGUGCUCCAGUGAAUUAGUUUCUCCUCUGCUAUACUAAGUUUUGACGUGUUAUACAAGUAUACAACCAAAUGUUUCUGAGCUUAAAUUACAUGUUCUUAAUUAGACUCCAACUUUUGGCAGGAAGAUGCUUUUGAUUUGGUAACUGUUAUCAAGCAGGUUGGUGUCUAUCGUAGUUCAAAAGAACGAGAUUUUGUUUUAGACUACAUACCACCAUCACCUUCCGAAUUAAAAAGUCUUCUGGACAAAUACAAGUGGGUGAUACUUUCUUAGAUAGAUACAUUCAUAGUUUUAUUAUAUCGAACGGUCAAGAAUAUUCGAAAAAAUUGAUGUGCUAGGCAUUAACUCACACUAUAAUUUUCCGGAUAGACUUAUGCAUUCUACUUAGGCUCUAUAAUUUUGUUUUUUCUUAACCAAUAUUGAUAUUUCAUGAUUAUUAUUAAUGAAUGUGUAGAUGGAUGAACAUAAUUAUGAGCCCAGUGAUGCUCUCAACUUUAGCAGACGGGGAAGUAGUGAGGGGCUUUGCUGGGAUUCCUUCAGAUGGUCCUGUAGUGUAUGUAGGUAAUCACAUGUUAUUCAGAUUUGAUGUGUUUCCAUUGGUAGCGCAGUUGUCAGAACAAAAAGGCAUUCAUCUGCGAGGGCUAGCACAUCCAGUUAUGUUCAUGAAAUGGAAACAAAGAAAGUCAAUGGAAGUACCAUUUUCCGAUGAUUUCAGACUUGUGGGCGCUGUUCCAGUCUCCGGAAAAAACCUUUUCAGGCUGCUCUCCACAAAGUCUCAUAUCCUACUCUAUCCUGGUGGAGUGCGUGAGGCUUUCCACAGGAAGGUGCUGAAUUCACUCUCACUUAUUGUUUUACUGAAUUUGUUUUUGUUUUUUCACAAUGGCAGCACAUAUAUAACUUUCCAGGGGGAAGCAUACAAGUUAUUCUGGCCGGAACGGUCAGAGUUUGUGAGAAUGGCUGCUAGAUUUGGAGCGAAAAUCGUACCGUUUGGUACGAUUGGGGAAGAUGAUUUUUGUGAUGUAAGUUAUUCACAGACCUUGUUUUUAGCUUUUCUAUAAUGUUGGGUCGUAAAUUCGUAAUGCCUUCCCCUAGCAUGUUAGGAAGGUUUGUUACUGUUUAUCCAAGACCACUCUUACGUACCGGAGUUGUCUAAGCCCCAGUUUGUGCAGCUAAUGUUGUGCAAAAACUGGAUCCAUCCGGAAAAUUCUGCUGUGCAUAUAGACAUAGCAUGCAUGCUUGAUUUUAAGCAAAUUUUCUUGAAAAUUCUCACCCUACCGUCCCAUGUUAUGCACAUACAACCUUAUCUUAGUUAUAUGUACGUCAUACUUGUCUGACCACAGACAAACCCUACUUCUCAAAGUUGAAACUCAUUUCUCGAAUUGCGUUAUUGAGUUGUUGCUUAUAGAAGAUGGUAAACAACAAUUUUCAUAAGCUAAAAGUUAAAGUUGUUUUUUUUACCUAAUAUAAGUUUACACUAAUCAUAUAGAUACAUGUAACACUCUUAUUUGCCCUGCUUAUGUGUCAUUCAAAGUUAUCUUUACGAAAAAAACUCACCUUCUCUCGAAAACCCUUGCUCUGCUAGGGUUUCUUUAUCGUCGACUCUAGCAGUCUUCGACAAUACCUUCUCAGCCAUGUCUGACCAAAUUUUCUCCCUAGCAUCACUCUCAGCCCCGUCUGAGGCUGCUCAUGUCAACUUUGGGCCUGCCGGAGAGGCGGCUCUCGAGGUUUCCCACUAUUUCAUGGUUGGGCGCCUUCUCAAGCGACGUCCUAACGCCGCUGGCUUUUUGGGAACGAUCCCAUCCAUCUAGAGGCAGCGCUCUGGUCUGCAAAUCCAUUCCGAGGGAGACUGUUUCGUGUUCCAGUUUGAUCGAGAAGCAAAUCGCAACAAGGUUCUCCACGGCUGACCUUGGUUCUAUCAAAAUGCGAUGCUGGUGACGGCGUCGUACGACAAGAUCUGUACGGUGGUGAACCCUCCUCUUCAUUCCAUUGAGACAUGGGUCUCGAUCUUAGGGUUACCGCAUUUGCUACGCAACAAGAAAUCUCUAUAGUUGAUCGGACAAUCCAUUGGUAAGGUUCAUCGUUUUGAUAAUUUGGCUCUGAAUCGCAAAGAUGAAAAACAAAAGAUUCGUCUGACUAUGGAUACGAGACAGCGGUACAAAUUUUAUCGAAAUUAUUCUUUUGCUUCUGUUCAUGUUGAUGUUGAGAUCAUCUAUGAGAAAAUUCAAGGUCUUUGCAAGUUUUGUGGUCUUUUUGAGCAUGCGGUUGAGGGUUGUGACAAGCUUUUUGUGCGAGAAGAUGAAGCUUUGCAUGGACUCCCGGUUACAGCGAUGUAAGAACUGACUAUAGCAAAGCCUAAGCUGCUUAAUGGCGGAUGGCGGCUUUUUGAGCAGUGAUGUUGCACUGAGGGCUGAAAAACAUAAAGAGGAAGUUAUGCAAUUGGCUGCAAAAGUGAAGGCCUUAAUGCCGGUACAAUUGCCUGAGAAACACUUGAUGGUGAAUGAUGUGUUGACUGCUAGGGUUCUCAAAGCUUGUAAAGCUAGAGGUUUUGUUGUUCCCCCACUUGUUGAGCAACAACAAUCUGCCAAACGGGGAAGAAAGAGGACAACAGAGCGUCCUCUUAUUCAACCGGGGAAGAAGAUGCUUGAGGUGUCCACAGUUCUGAGUCCGGAAAUUGAAGACUUGAACUUGAGUCUUCCUAAUGAGUUGGGUCGGUUUCUGGUGACACCCCCAAAGAAAAAGGGUGGGCGAUCAAGAGGGUCUACAAACAAGACUAAGGAGGGUCCACCUCGCCCUACUUUAAAGGGUAGGAAGCGGUUGUUGAAGAUUCUUGAGGAGGAUGAUAUGAUAGACGAAGCAAAUCUUUCUACUGAUUCUACAGAAGCAAUGUAAGUGGUUGGCAAAGAGGUAGCUCUACCUCCAAAGACAAAGUCUCCGACUGAAGUUGCUGCAGUGGAGAUGGAGAAGGCGGUAGUUGAAGUGGUGAAUUCCACUUUUAUUAUCACAUCUGCUUGAUUGGGAGAUCGACAAGAAGAUAAGAAUUCUGUUGUCACAGUUUAUAACGCUUCAGAGUUUUUAAUCUUCUUGUUUUUGGUUUUAUCUUCAUAGAAGGUGAAUGUAUUUAGAUUAGGUGUUUUGGUAUGUUUGUGUGAGAAGCGUACUAGGAUGGCUUUUUCUGCAUAAUGGAUUUUUCUGACGGCCCUCUGGGCAGGUCAUUAUUGUACUGUUCACUGAGCUUCAUUAAUGAAUGACCUCUCUUUCAAAAAAAAAAAGUUUUCUUUACGAAUUAUCAUUCAUUAUGGUCAAAAUAUAUUACACUUAUUGUGUUUUCUUCUCUUCAGAUAUUAUACGAUUAUGAAGACCAAAUUAAAACACCUUUCCUCAAGAAAUUUAUAGAUGAAUUAACUGGUGUAGCUGGAAAAGUGAGGUACUAGUUCUGGCAAGAUAGUACUUUAUUGUUGAAUUUCAUAGAUCUUCUAUCAUGGUUUGGAUGCAUUCCACUAGAAUGAUUCUCCAGUACUUGAAUGUUGAUAUGAUUUUGUGACCAUAGGACUACCGUUGAUGGGGAGGUUGGAAACCAAGAUGUAUACUUCCCAGGAUUUGUACCAAAAUCUCUCGGUCGGUUUUACUAUCAAUUUGGGAAACCAAUUGAAACAGAAGGUAAGCAUUUCGACUAAUCAACUGAUACUUUAAUCAUCAUAGAUAGUCAAGUUGGUAAGAGUUUUGGUGUGAGAUUUACUUAAGUUCUUCCAAUCAUGCCGAUGUUAAUCGGAGUUUAAGCAAUUAAAUCUCAAUAUACUUUUUGUGGUCAUAGAGGAAGUGUUUUAUUAUGACCCAUCAAUGCGGGUUAGAUUCAAGAUACCGUGUUGCAUCUUAAAAAAAUAAAUUUAAAAAAAAUAAAAAAAAAAAAAAAAACCCAAACUUUAGUAAUAUGACUUGUUUGACAAAAAAAAAAACCAUACUUUUGUCCUGUAAACAUGCAGGGAGGAAGGAGGAAUUACGAGACAGGGAGCUCACGAAUUGUAUUUACAAGUGAAAUUAGAGGUUGAGAAAUGCAUUGCUAAUUUGCAGGAAAGAAGAGAGUGAUCCUUAAUUACAGAAGCCUUGUGUCUCGGCUACUGUACCAAGCCAGACAUGGCUUUACAUCUGAAGUUCCUGCAUUUGACCUCGAUUAAUGCAGUGCUCAUGUUGUUAGAGAGCAUGAAUCCAGCCCAGAAUCUUCUCCAUCACAGAUCUGAUAUUGUUGUGUUUAUGCAUCCGUUUUGGUAUUGCUAAGAUUAUGCAUCAGUUUUGAUAUUGCUAUUAAUAUAGAUUUAUUGCAUUAUGUAAAAGCUGUGUAUAGCUACUCAUAUACAAUGUACGGCCUGUAAUUGUAAAAGAUCAAUGAGAAUCAAUUUCUACACAUGUAGACAUCAUCGACGAAACUGUUCAAUUUCCUUGAUCAUUAUUUUUUUGGCAAGAUUUUAUUUCUUUUAAUCAAUCAGUUAAACCAUGCAUGUAAUGUGCAUGAUAUAUAGCCCUCAUGCAGUAAGUUUACAUCAUAUAUACACCAUCGCUUUUCUUGAAAAAAAUAAAAAUAAUUGUUGAAUGUGGGUGGACUCAAAAUCACUCUUAUAUGUAAAAUCAUUGUCAUGAGCUUGGAGAGGUCGGAGCUGAGAGCGUCGACAAUGUCAGCCUCAUGAUCGGUGGCCAUAGGCGGACACAGGGGUCGAGUGGGGGCAGUUGCCCCCAGUGAACUUUCUUUCUUGCUAAUCAUCUUCUUAUAUAUGUCAAUGUUCAUUUGAUAUUCUCCCAUCAUGAUUUAACAUAUACAUCUAUUGUUUAAAAAUAUGUUAAUUAACCCACAAAGGAAUAUAUCCCAGAUAGUCUGAUAAAUGAUUCUCUAGAUUUCUGGUUUUGGGUAUCAAUUUAGGUGAUCUUUUGAGGGGUCUGGUUGAACUUGAAUUCAUAUAUUGAAGUUUUAAAGUUGGAAAGCUUGCAAUUUUAUAGUGCUUCAUUAAGAUUUCAUAUAAAUGGUGAAAAAGACUUCGAUAUUUUUCAAAAUAAUGCAAAUUAACUACAUGAAGAGUUACGAAAUUAAGGGAGUGGAAGUGGAAAUGGACAUUGAGUCGUCUCUGGAGGCUCUUUAGCCUCAAUUUUUUUUUUUGUCCCCCACUUACAAAAUUUUCUGCAUCCACCACUGUCGGUGGCGAGGUUGGGGAGACCUUGUGACAUGCUCAGACUUUUAGAAGAUGCGAAGCUCGCCCGGAUAGAAUUUGGGCUCUUUAUGAUUUUUGGGCACAGUCGAUCCCAUGGUUUUUGGGCAUUGUGGUAGAAGGUCACAAGGAAUUUGGACUCUGGAGUCUCAUUCAAAUGACUCAUGCUUGUUGUCAAACGUGCGAUCUCGGGAAUUAGACUAGGUAAGACAGUUCAGUCACGUCCAAUCCCAAGUAAGAAAUCGAACUUUUCAAUCACAUUAAUGGUUCAAGUACCCCACCAUGAGACUUAGAGACUCAUACUUUGAGGUUGUACUUGAGCCAUGUUUGAAAUUAGGUGUAUUAUACACCGUGUAUAGUGAAUUGCACCAAUAUAGACAAACAUCCCAUCUGAGCCGCAACAUGCUUUCAAUUACCUUCAUCAAACUUGCUCCGCAUUUCCGGAACAACCUUUUGUUCCUCAUUACUCACUCUCACGUUGUCCAAGUGACUGAUAACUUGUUCAAACUACUUGCUUUCUCCAUCACCACAAUGCCACUGAUGCCACCAAACUAAUAUAUAGCUGCUUUACCGCUCACGAAUCACACACCAAAAGCGAAGCCAGACAAGGAAAGUGUUCGAACUCUACUUCCAUGGCCUCCAGCACCUUUCAUCUCUUCCCCUGCGGCGUUUCAUCCCCUCUCCGAUGUAAUUUGACGCCGUGUUUCUCCAUUAAUCCAUCUAGAAAGACUAGAAGGUUAGCUUUCUCCACAAGCCACACCAUGUCUGGUAUAACCAGAGAGAACCAGAGCCAACCUUUGGCAGAAGAGCGUGUGAGCUUAAAGCAUUUUUUUGAGCAAGCCAAGGAUCUUGUCACAUCCGACAGCGGACCACCUCACUGGUUCACACCUUUAGACUGCGGUCACCCCUUACACGACUCCCCUCUGCUUCUCUUUUUGCCCGGUACCUAACUAAUCAUAAUUCAAACUCAAGUACACAACGUACUCAGUUUUUGUUUUCUUCAUCACUGCAAUUUGCUAAAGCUUUCAACUUUAUGUAACUGUAGCGUUCAACUCUGAACUGCAGGAAUUGAUGGCACUGGACUUGGGCUUAUAAUGCAUCAUCAGAAACUAGGAAAGUACGUUAUCCAACUCUACUUGUUCUGUUUCUUUUUUUUUUUUUUGGUUCCCAUCUAACUUCUCAAGUAAAUGGUAUACUGCCUCUUUCUAAUUAGUUCCCCAGCCUAAUUUAUACUUCCUGUUUGAAGGAUUUUUGAGGUCUUGUGCUUGCAUAUUCCUCCCAAGGAUCGAACACCAUUUACAGGUUCUUCCUUCUUUAUACUAACAUACAUGUUGCAUUGGCACUCUUUCUGUGUGGCAAUUUGCUUGACUCAUCCUCCCAUAUACAUGUCACUGCUGCAUGAAAUGAAAAUCACAUCAGGAGAGCAAUCUAUUUAUUUUUCAAAAUUUAUAAUGCAACAGACUUGGUGAACCUGGUUGAGAGAAGAGUUCGGUCAGAGCAUCAUCGCUCACCUAAUAGACCAAUAUAUCUUGUUGGAGAAUCUCUUGGAGCAUGCCUUGCACUAUCUGUGGCAUCCCUUAACCCUGAUAUCGACCUUGUUCUACUCUUAGCAAAUCCUGGUAACAUAUAUUUGUUCCUUCAUAUUAGGCUUUUUAAUGCAAGCAUAUAAAAAGAGGAAUGAAAUUGAUGCAAUUUCUCACUCGAUUUAACACCUACAAUGAAUAUGUGCAGCAACGUCCUUCACCAAGUCACCACUUCAGUCCAUAUUGCCUUUGUUGCAGAUCAUGUCUGACUUAUUACCCAGUCUUAGACUUCCUCUUGAACUGAGUUCAAUGGCAGGUGUGUUUUCCUUGUUCCAUUACUUGUUACUCAUGUCCAGAAAAAUGAUAGCAAGAGCUGGGAAUCUGUUCCUGCCAAACGUGACAAAAGAGUUGUUUCGUUUAUGUUUGGAGACAAAUGAUAUAGGAUAUACUGUAUAUUUUCAAGUUUCUUUCUUCUUAAAAACUGAUGUUAUUUGAGUAAGCUACAUUUGUUGCUCUUAGUUCAAGUUAACAAAAAGUAUACAUGUUUCUUCCUUCUCCCCCAAAAAAAAAAAAAAAAAAAAAAAAAACAAGUACAUACAUGUUUCUCAAUCUGCAGUUUGUCGUGCAUGCAUAUAGGUGUAAUGAUGGCUGAUUUAGAGAAGGGAGUUGGAAGUCUAUCGUGGGAUUUCGUUGCACAAUCAAUAUCUUACCUCUCUGUAAGACACAGCUUCGAAACAUUACUCUCACCCAGAAGCAGUUAAAUAUCCAGUACACUACUUGUUUUUCACAGCAUCUGUUACAAAUGGAUUUCUGUCAUUCGAUUUUUUUUUUUCUUUUGUACAUUUCUAAUGUCUUUUAUUUUUCAAAAAUGUGAGGUCCAAUCUUGUAAAAUGGGAUUAAUGGUUGUAAGUUUCAGGUUUUUGCUGAUAUAUUUCCCCUAGAAACACUUCCGUGGAAACUAAUGUGUUUUAUUUUUCAAAAUGUGAGGUCCAAUCUUGUAAAAUGGGAUUAAUGGUUGUAAGUUUCAGGUUUUUGCUGAUAUAUUUCCCCUAGAAACACUUCCGUGGAAACUAAUGUGUUUUAUUUUUCAAAAUGUGAGGUCCAAUCUUGUAAAAUGGGAUUAAUGGUUAUAAGUUUCAGGUUUUUGCUGAUAUCUUGCCCCUAGAAACACUUCCGUGGAAACUACAAUUGAUUAAUUCAGCUUCAUCGUAUGCCAAUUCACGCCUCCAUGCUGUUAAAGCUCAAACCCUGAUACUUUCCAGGUUUCCUAAAACUUCCAUAACCAUUUCUAGCAAUAAGUUCAUGUGGAAUAUUAUCCCAUGUUUAUUACAUGUGACAAUUGACAUGACAACUUUGCUGCAUUACCCUAUCAUCUUUUUAGAAUGACGGUGCUGAUUUAACUGGUAUCUGUUUUAAAGUGGAAAGGAUCCAUUGCUACCUAGUCAAGAGGAAGGUCCAAGACUCCGACAGCUGCUUGCAAAUUGUGAGACCCGUGUAUUUGAAGACUGCAGCCAUUUCCUUUUCUUGGUAGGAUGAUCUUAUCAUGUGCUAGUACUAAUCUGAUCAUGUUCUCACAUGUUCAUUAGUUUCUCUCAUGUACUGUUCAGUCUUGAAUAUUAUACAACCAGAUGUUUCUGAGCUUACAUUACAUGUGCUUAAACUUGAUUUUUUGGCAGGAAGAUACUUUCGAUUUGGUAACUGUCAUCAAGCAGAUUGGUAUCUAUCGUCGUUCAAUAGAACGAGAUUUUGUUUUAGACUACAUACCACCAUCACCUUCCGAAUUAAAAAGUUUCCAGGACAAAUACAGGUCAGUUACACUUUUCCUAGCCUAUAUGGUAGAUUUAUGCAUCUUAGUUUGGCUUUAUUUCUUUUUCUUUUUCAAUAUUGAUGUUUCAUGAUUAUUGUUAAUGAAUGUGUAGUUGGAUUAACAUCAUGAGCUCGGUGAUACUCUCAACUUUAGCAGAUGGGAAGUCAGUGAGGGGCUUUGCUGGGAUUCCUUCAGAGGGUCCUGUAUUGUAUGUCGGAAAUCACAUGUUACUGGGAUUUGAUAUUGUUCCAUUGAUGACACAGUUUUCGGAAAAUGACAUCAUUCUGAAAGGAAUAGCACAUCCAAUGAUGUUAAUGAAACAAGGAAAGUUUGAGCAACCAUUUUCCGAUGAUAUGAGACUUAUGGGUGCUGUUCCUGUCUCAGGAAAGUACUUUUUCAGGCUACUCUCUACAAAGUCUCAUAUCCUACUCUAUCCUGGUGGAGUGCGCGAGGCUCUUCACAGGAAGGUACUAAAUUCACUCUCACUUGAUGUUUGGUUUGGUUUUUUUCCAAUGCCAAGGAUAGAACUGGAUUAAAUUUCCAUGCACUUAAAAGUCUAAAUAACCUGUCACUGUUGUUACUUGUACUAUCCAGGGGGAAGCAUAUAAGCUAUUUUGGCCGGAACGGUCAGAGUUUGUGAGGAUGGCAGCUAGAUUUGGAGCCAAAAUAGUACCCUUUGGUGCUGUUGGAGAAGAUGACUGGGGUGACGUAAGGCCACAAGGCUUAUUUUAUCUUAUCUAUAAUCUUGGCGAUUACUAUUUUAUCAAAAUUAUUCUUAUUAAAUUGGAGUUAUCUAAACUUUAUAUAGCAAGUCUUAAAUACAUGUAUACUCAGCUUGCCCUGCUUAUGUUUUACUUACCAGUUCAAGGUUAUAUCUCUUCUUGAAUGCGUGUCACCCAUUAUGGUCAGAUAACAAUUGUGUUUGUUUUCUUCUCGAAAGGUAUUAUUUGAUUAUGAAGAUCAGAUGAAAGUUCCUUUCCUGAAGAAGUUUAUAGAUGAAAUAUCAGAUGAAGCUGGAAAUCUGAGGUAGUAUAUCUGUCAAGAUAUGGUUUUGGUUAUUGAUUGCUAUAGACCGUCUAUCAAGGUAUGCAUGCAAUUUCCUUCAAAGUUAAUGUGAUAUUUGUGACCAUAGGGCUACCAUUGAUGGAGAAGUAGGAAACCAAGCUCUGUACUUCCCAGGAUUUUUACCAAAAUUUCCUGGUCGGUUUUAUUAUCGUUUUGGGAAACCAAUUGAAACAGAAGGUGUGUUUUGGCUUUAAUCAACUGACUUUGGAAAGAGAACUUGUUUGACACGAUUUAAUUGUAUUUAUGUUCUACAGUGAUGAUGUAAAUUGUGGUUUGAAUACAUGCAGGGAGGAAGGAGGAAUUACGAGACAGGGAUAAAGCUCAUGAAUUGUAUUUAGAAGUGAAAUCAGAGGUUAAGAAAUGCAUUGCUUAUUUGCAGGAAAAAAGAGAGAGUGAUCCUUACAGAAGCCUUGCGUCUCGGCUACUCUUCCAUGCAAGACAUGGCUUUACAUCUCAAGUUCCCGCAUUUGACAUCGAUUAAUGCAGUGCUCAGAUACAACUAUCAUGAACAAAAAUUGAUUUAUCGACCUCUUCUGUGGGGGGUUAAUGAGAUUAGGACCUCCACCUAAACUAUGUGACCCUCAACAUUGUGGAUUAGUAGUAUUUGACAUUGUAUUUAUACCAACACAGGAGCAAGUGACAUUUUUUUCUCUUUAAAGAGGCUUAUAUCAAGAUACAUCACAAGAAAAUCAAUCAGGUAACUUGAGACUCAUAGUAGCAACGUAUAUAAGUAUAUUACUACCAAGAUGCAUGAGACUGAUGAGAGCAUGGAACGCCUAAGGAUGUUGCUACAAUUUUAAAGAAAUACAGAGAAAGAGUGAUUGAGAAUUAUAUACAUGUACAUACCUGGCAGCAAAACUGGCUCAAACAUUAUCCUGAGCAUUUCAACUGAUAGCUUGUGUAGUUGUUAUGUUGUGAUCCAAUAAGAUUCGUACUUGUCCAACUCUCCAAGUGAUGCUUUCUCGUUCUAAUUCAUCAUCUGGCUCUGGAUUUCCAUUAGAAUCUUAAGAUGCAGAGAUAUUUGAUGAUAGGCUCUCGACUACGUCCUCAUGUCCCUCAGCUAUGCUCUUUGUUCAAACAAGAGGUGACACUGGACAUCUUGUUGUUCGUUCUGUCGGUUCUGAUUAGUAAAUUGCAAAAGAGAGGUCAGAUAAUUAAAGCAAAAGCUCAACUAAAAUGUAGCAUCCAAAUGAUCCAACAAACAAAGCAAGGGCUAAAAUAAUAAUAGUUAUAUAGAAAAAUCUGAAGUAGGACGUUUUGGAAAUAACCCUCCAGCUUGAAUCUGCUUGAGCAUCAUCCCAACAAGCAUUCAAUCAAAUUGUUACAAUAACUCAUAUCUUUAUGGUAUUCUGUUUUAAGUCACAAUCGACUAAUUUUCUUCUAACAAUCUAUCAGCCGAUUAAGCACCGAGUUAAACUUACUACAAGAAGUCUUAUCUUUAUGGUACAAUGUUCAUCAACCGGCAUACACAUCCACUCAAAACAUGAAAAAAAAAAUUAUGAAAGGCACUGCUCUCAUGGGAUUAUGAAUCAAGCACGCACUAAUUUGAAGAUGACUCGGAAUAAGGGAAAUCUCUUCUUUGCUCCCCUUUCCAAUUUGUGGCAUCAACUCAUGCUGCCUAUUACUAACUGGACUACUGGAGGGUUCUUCUAUAUGAUCUGGUUUGCAGAUUUACACUAAAACCCAAAAACUAGUUUAUCGUAUUAGUAAUACGAUACUCAGAUCAGCACAGGAAUGAUAUGUAAACAACAUAGAAAUUACCAUCAAUCAAUCCUAACCCCCCUAACUUUGAAUCUAUCCCCAAUUUAAAAUCACUGAAUCAAACCACUCAUAAGCAUUGUCGAACAAUCAAGUAGUGAAGGUAGUAAAUUUGAACUAUACAACUUACAAUCAUCUACAACAAGAUAGUCAAGAAACCCAAAAUAAAAUUUGCAUAAUUUUUUACCAUAUGAGCAGAAGCAUCAAGUCUCGAUCAAGCGGCAGUGGUACUGUAAUGAGCAGAGAAAUCCAAGGGAGACUUUAUCAAAAUCAUCAAAUAAAGUACAGGUUUUUUUUUUAAAGGUGUGCUGCCCAGCCCGCCUAGGCCCACAUCACCUACGACCGCCUAGCCGUCUCUCUAUUCCGCCUAGCCCGAAGAGUACUUUUAAGUUUUAAGUCUCGACUAAGUGGCAGUAGUACCGUAAUGAGCAGAGAAAUCCAAGUCAGGAGACUCGAUCAAAGGCGAGGCACGAGAGGGAAGCGAGUAAAAUUCACUCGCGGAACAGAAGAGCCUCGGCCCCAUCUUUCUCAUUUCUCAUCAGUGAGUGUGUUUUGUGUGUGACCAUUGAAAAGAGAGACCUCCUUCAAAUUGCGAUUCCUGUAGAACAGAAGGGUUUAUGGCUAUUGAAUGGUUCAAAACUAUUGGCACAAUGUUGUCCAUGUUGAUUUGUUAGCCACACCAUUUUGAAGAACAAUCUGUGGUUGCAUUAGCUAUCGGAGAAUGAUGAUCAAAAUUGCAAUUUAGUCCAUUGUAGAGAUUUUGAUUCAAGUAAUUUAACAAAUUAUUCAAGGUUCAGCUCCCACCAGAACUAUCCUCAUCUAUAAGCUUAAAAUUACCCAAAACUGUAAUCAAACGUUGAAGUAGCUAUACUGCUAUUGUAAUCAAAUUCAAAUACAUAGGCCUUUGUUUUUUCACCAAGGACUCAGAUCCAUCGGCAUUGUCAAUUCAGAUAUCUCAUUCAACCCAAUAUGUGCAUUUACCAAAUAGUUGCAUAAAAAUUCAGGGCCAAUUGCGGCAGUAUAAUGUUACUGCAAUUGAAACACCAACAGAAAUUACCAAUUCCAAAACAUCAGAUCUACAUAAUUAAGACCAACCAGAGUCACAAAAUGUAAGAGUGUACUCUUAACAAACUCAUAGAACACACAAUGAUUCACCACAGAAAAUUGAAAAUUACCAUUAAAAACUGAAAUCAAGGUCUCCCUUUACAUAACCGAUUCCAAAUCCAACACAAAAGCAUAGAUCUACCACCUAAUCUUACUACCAUUAAUUGCAUCAAACCACAUCCGGGUCAUAAUUCUAAGCCCUCUCGCCCCUAAUCCUCCUUGCAAGCUGAAUAUCCUUAGGCAUAAUCGUAACCCUCUUAGCAUGAAUCGCACAGAGAUUAGUAUCCUCAAACAAGCCAACCAAAUACGCCUCGGCAGCCUCCUGAAGCGCAGCCACAGCGCUGCUCUGGAACCUCAGAUCGGUCUUGAAGUCCUGGGCAAUCUCCCUCACAAGCCUCUGGAAUGGCAGCUUGCGGAUCAGAAGCUCAGUGCUCUUCUGGUACUUCCUGAUUUCUCUGAGAGCCACGGUACCGGGCCUGAAGCGGUGAGGCUUCUUCACUCCUCCGGUGGCCGGGGCAGACUUCCGGGCGGCCUUGGUGGCGAGUUGCUUGCGUGGGGCUUUGCCUCCGGUGGAUUUGCGGGCGGUCUGCUUGGUACGGGCCAUUUCUGGGAUCUGGGGAAAUUAGGGUUUUGGUGGGUAUGGGGGAACUGAGAGGGGAUUUGAUUGUGAGUUGUGGGAUUUGGUGGGAUUGGGAGGGUUUGAUUUAUAGGGAGGGAGAGAGGAGAAGCGGGAACUGAAAUUUUUGGGGGUGAAUUGCGGAGGGUUUGUGGUUGUUUGAAUCAACGGUGGAGAUUUGCUGGUGGAUGGUUGUGGGGAAGGUGAGGAUCGCGAUCCGCGUGAUUUCUAAGAGGACCAAGAGAGGCGGGCUUUUUUCGGAAGAGGUGGGGCUGCUUAAACAUUUGGGCAAGUUUUUAAAAUUUUGAAUUUCCUUUCGGUUUUGGCUGAAUAUUUUGAAAUUCUAGUUUUGUCUUUUGUUUUUAGGGGAAUGAAAUCAAUGAAUAUUUGAACUGAAAUCUAAACGUAAUAAAAUUUCUAUUACGGAUCCGGAUUUAGGUCGAUCCAUUGCAGAUCGGGUCCAUUUACAGGUCUAGGUGCAUUGCUGGUCGUGCGACCGCAUUGGGGGCCAUGGCAAAAGAGGGUAGGAUUUUUUUUUUCAGCAAAAAGGGGCAGGAUUUGGUUUUACUGGGGAAGCAUAUUUGAAUAUGUUAAUUCGGCACCCAAUCAUCAUAGACCAUGGUGCCUCGAUUUCCUUGCUCUUUUUUUUACCGUGUUUUGUAUAGAUAAGGGUGCUCUUUGUUUUUUUCACAUAUUAAAAUACCUAUAUAAAUUCAACCUCAAAGUCCUACAAUGGCUAACCAGGCCAGCUUAAUUAGUCACUACGCCAAUAAGUGCAACCAACGACACUUUUCACACAAUGGUGAAGAAUAGCAGUGUUGUACAAAUUUCAAAAAUGAUUCAUAUAACGUUCUUAAAUUGUCAGCUGUUGUGUGGAUAGUCUGAGAUCAUUCCAGAUUUUUUUUUUCUUAAACCAGUACAACACUUUGGACAACACUUUGGACAACAUUUUGUUGUGUGCAUGAAGAUAAAAAUAAGACUUAUUUGGCUUCUAACUCCAUUCUAGUUUCACAUAUAACUGGGUUUUAUUACACAACAGUGAAACAAAUAAAUGUUGUGUGAAUGUAUAAAAUUUAAACUAUCACACAAUACUUUUUAUCAUCUGUUGUAAGAUAUAUCUCUAAUGACAUAUAACUAGGUUUCAUUACACAACAGUGAAACAAAUAAAUGUUGUGUGAAUGUAUAAAAUUUAAACUAUCACACAAUACUUUUUAUACAUAUGUUAUAAGAUAUAUCUCUCAUGCCAGGUUGCGGACUUCUAGUUUUAAAAUUGCUCUAACAUCCUCUGAAAACCUAAAUUUUGUGUGAAGGAUAUCCUUGGUGGUUUUGAUGUAACAACAGAACACUCAAACCUGUUGUGUGAGAGUAUAGGAUUUUCAGCAGUCACACAACGACUUUUUAGUUUUGGUUGUAUAAUAUAUUUUCGUGUCAUGAUUCCACUCUCUUACAUUUGACAAUACUCAUCCCACAACAAUCAACUAAGAAAUGUUGUGUGAGGGUAUAAUUUUUAAAUAUAUCACACAACUAUUUUUUAUAUCAUGUUGUCUGUAUCGUAAUCCCUAACCCCUAAAAUACCCUAAUUUCUAACACCAAGUUUUCUAUUGUAAUCCCACAACGAUUGUCUUCUAUGUUGACAUGUGAUGAAAAAGCAAAAACGUUGAAUUUAUGGUUGACCGAGUCGAUCGAUACCCAAACGUUACCGAAAAUUUGUGAAUUUUGUUACACUGCAAUACUUCACUGUCAUGAUUAUAUCUAACGGUCGGAUUUCCAUGAUCUUAAUUUUAGACAUCCGAACCACAAUCAACCUACUAGUGAAGUAUAACAUGUUUACUAUGUUGUACAUAAUGUGCUUAACAUGUGUAGUACAUCUUAUAUAAACAUAUGUUUCUCUAGAGAGACAUGAUUGAUGAAAUGAAAUUUUAAAAAUCGCACUGUAUGAACAUGUUCACAAUAUUGAAGCAUGUUUGUGAUAGAAACCUCAUCAAUUUUCAGUAUUAUAUGGGCGUCGAUCGACGCGGUCAACCUUAAUUAUACUUACAUUUCACUAUAGGGAGCCAAAUCAUCGGAAUGCAAUUAUCAUCAACUUUUUACAUGAGUUCAUACACAAUAACUAUAUGAGGCUAUGAGUGUUGACAAAAUAAAAAAAAUAUGAGUAACGAUAUUGCAGUUCAGCGUGUUUUCAUGUAAUUAGAAUGGUCGAUUUAUGGUUGACCACAAACCUCCCAUAGUUAGACAACUCUUAAUGCUUUUCUGUGUUGUGUGAGUGAAAACUAGGGUUAUUUUGUAAAGUGACUUGUAAGAGUAAAAAGUAUAGGGGGAUGAGUGACCUAACCCCUAAAAUACCCUAAUCUUUAAGCCAAAUUUCAUAUCAUAGUCUCACAACAGUAGUCUUUAGUACUGAUGUGUGAUGAAAAAACAAAAACGUUGAAUUUAUGGUUGACCGAGUCGAUAGAUACCUAAACAUUACCGAAAAUUUAUGAAUUUUGUUUCACUGCUAUACUUCACUAUCACAAUCGUAUCCAACGGUCGGAUUUUCAUGAUCUUAACCCUAGAUAUCUGAAUCACUAUCAACCUGCUAAUGAGGUAUAACAUGUUUACUAUGUUACACAUAAUGUGGCAUGACAUGUAUAGUACAUCUUAUAUAAACAUAUGUUUCUCUAUAGAGACACAAUUGAGGAAAUAAAAUUUUGAAAAUCGAACUGUAUAGACAUGUUUACGGCAAUGGAGCAUGAUUGUGGUAGAACAACAACAAUUUUCGAUAUUAAAUAGGUGUCGAUCGACAUGGUCAACCCUAAUUACCCUUACAUUUCACUAUGGGGAGCCAAACCAUCGGGAUUCAAUUUUCAUCAACUUUUUACAUGAGUUCAUACACAAUAAUACUAUGAGGCUACGACAAAUGUCAGCAGACUCAAAAAUACGAGUAACGAUAUUGCAGUUCAGCGUGUUUUCAUGUAAUUAGGGUAGUCGAUUUAUGGUUGACCAUAGUCUCUCAUAUUCAUACAACUCUUAGUGUUUCUCGGCGUUGUGUGAGUGAAAAAUAGGGUUUUUUUGAAGAGUGACUUGUAAAAGUGAAAAAUAGAGGGAAAUCUCCCGCUCUUACAAUUUAGGUCUCAGACAAUAAAAUCUCUAAUUUAUGUUGUGUGAUUUGUAAAAUAGACAGGGAACAAUUAGGAGUGAAAUGUGUUUGCGGGAAAUCUCCCGCUUUUACAAUUUAGCGUGCCAUCUUUGUUCUUUCUUAUCAGACAAUAAAAUUUACUAUUGAUGUUGUCUGAUUUGUAAAAUGAAUUUAACACCUAGUUAUAGACACUCGAGUCAAAACCUAAAAGACUUCACAUUUGGACCAAAAACUCAACAUUGCACUCAAAAACUGCCUCUCACUCAAAAACUCUCCUCUCUUACUCUGUGACCCGAUUUCUCAAAACUUCUCUCUCACUCGAGUCUAAGCCUCUGUCACCUACUCGAUUAGGGCUCAAGUCGAUUAGGGUUCUUCGAUUUAGGGGUGGUGUUCCAAUUUUCUUUGAGGUUCUUCUCCUCUCUCACUCGAUUUAUUUCCAAGUUGUACUAUUCUCAUCUCUCUCGAUUGGGCUCGAUUCAAUUAGGGUUCUUCAAUUUGGGGGUUUGGGUGGUCAAGGAAGGGACUCAGGGAGGGAGGGGAUGGCAUUUGGGGUCAAGGUUUCAAAUUUAGGGAUGAGGUUCGCUACCGCCUCACCGCCGCCGAUUCCCUACGCGUUAAGGCCAGAGUGAUCAACGGAGAUUCCAGAGUGAGGAGAUUCUUCAGUUCCUGCAACAACCGCGUCGUCUCUGCGGUCUUGGCGGAGCUGGAUUUGAGCCCCGGUGAGUUGUACUUGUUCAAGUGCCUCGUCGCCGCCGACCACGUGUUCAAAUGCCUUUGCUGGUCAUUACUUCCGCCACUAAUCCGACUACGGAAACUGUCAAAAGAAAAGAAAAUUGUCUAAGGUACAUAACCCAUAGUUCUUUCACAUUUUUGACUAUUACCUAGUAUUGGUAGGUUCUUUAGCAUGCUUAGAACAGAAAUAGACCAAGGAUCACAUAGUGCACACCAUAUGUUUGAUAAUAUGCCUCAAAGAUACAACCAAGCUGAACCAGUGGGCUUUUCCAAGAUUUUUGAAAAACCUAUACUUCUUUUUUCAAUCUCAGUUUUUAACAGUUAAAAAUAGACUCUUCAAUGAUCGUUUUAAACUUGGUCUCACGAAAAACAGAGUUGAUUUGAGAAACUUAUGUUAUCUUGAAUUUUACAGUGUUUCAGAAUUUUCUGCAGAAACUUUCAGUCACUUUGGAUCUCUGUAUGACUGUCAAUUUGAAUUCCAAACGACUUGAAAUUUUUACACAUUGUAGAGUUGCUUGUCUAUUUUGAUUAUGAAAAUUUUCACAUGAAAAUAAUGAAAGGUCAGUUGUUGGUGAAUUUUUCUUCCUUACCUACUUCCUGAAAAUUUCUCAGAUUUGAAGCUCAUUGUUACAAAACAAUAGAUUUGGGAAUUGCUCAGGGCUUUUGGGAAUUACAGUUUUCAUUUGACAAAACAUGCAAUUACUGAAGCGAUACCUUUGCUGGUCAUUACUUCUGCCACUGAUCCGACUAUGGAAACUGUCAAAGGAAAAGAAAACUGCUUAAGGUACAUAACCCAUAGUUCUUUCACAUUUUUGUUUGUUUAGGAUUAUAAUUAUGCUUUUCUUUUUCUUUUUGAAGAGGUAUAUGAUCAUUAUAUGGACUUGAGAGGAAUGGAGCUUGCUCGAUUCGCCCUGGAAGAGUUCAACAAGCAAAAGGUAUUGAACUGUGCAAUGUGAAAUUGAAAUAGUGAAAUUGGUUUUAUUUUCUUUUUAUGAAAUAGUUAAUUGAUAUGAAUUAUGACACAUUAUGUCACAUCCCGACCCUUAUAUUUUUACCUUAUUUACUAGCGUGAUUAUAAUAAGAAUUUUACCGUCUCGAUCAUUGAGUAAAUAGUUUAAUUGGUCCCUAGAGGGGUUUCGGGGACGAUUAUGUGCGGAGGAUAAUUCGUAUGGGGAUUAUACGGCGACGGUAAAAAUAGUAAAUUUUAGCUAGUAAACGGUAAUUUUUAUUCGGGUAUUAUUUUUUCGGGGUGUUGAAUUUUGGAAUUAUGGGUUAAAAGGGGUGUUGGGUCGGCUGGGCCGAGCCCAACCCAUUUCUUCUUCUUUCUCUUCUCCCUCCCUCCCGAUUUUUCUCUCUUCUCACCCGGUUUUCCCCUCUCUACACCCAGCAGAAUUCCGGCCGUCCUCCCGCCGCCGUCCGACCUCCGUUCGCCGCCGGACCGGUCCCGUUCGGUCGGUCUCCCUCCCAGCAUCAUUUCUAGACCGGUGAGAGGAGCCCUAGCGCCGCCGUGAGAGAGCGGUGCCGCCCGAAAGCAAGGGCUGCCCCGAGCUUCCCUUCGCCGGAACUUCCUCCUCCGGCCACCAAUCCGGGCAAGCUUGGUAUGGUUUUGUAGCCCUCCAACCCAGCAACCUUGCCCUAAAAGGACUCACUCCCUCUUGAGCUAGGUAAGGAGAAAUUUGAGGUGGAAGUUUUAUGGUGUUUUUGAUGUUUUUAGUCGAUUUCCCUAGUUAGGCUUGGAAUUGGUGUUUGUGCAAGUUAUGAAAGUUGUAGAGCUUGAUAAGAGGAAGAUGCUGUUAAAAUUUCAUAGGUUUUGGAGGUCGCCGGAAUUGACCUCCGGCCGCCGCCGGUUGGGAGAUUUUAAUGUUGUUAAAUUUGGAAUAUUAAGGGGAGUUUAUUGAAGUGAGUUAUGGAAUUUUUGGAUGAGUUUUGGAUAGGUUUAUGAAUUUCCGAAGUGUGGUAUUUUUGGCGGGUAAUUAAUGUAGAAUCCGGCCGUUGGAUUUAAGUCGUAUUUUGGAGAGGUUGUAUUUACGACUGUGGAGUAUGAUAUUUAAGUUCGGAUCGUCCGAUGUAAGAAUAUCGAAGUUAGGCAAUAAUGAGCGUAAUUAUGGCUCUCGGGUAAUUUUNNNNNNNNNNNNNNNNNNNNAAUAUUGGAUAUUGGUUGGGAAAUUAAUAAUUAUAUUUGGAACAGGACGUGAAGAGGCUCGAGCAGACGAGACCCAGAUUGACAUCAGGCUUAGGCCUAAUUCGUGAGUGGUACGUUUAUUUUAAAUAAAUGCAUGCUAUAGUUCAUGGUUGAACAAUUAAUAUUGCGGAAUAUUUUAACGUCAUUUUAAUUUGACGAUUUUUAUUUUCUCUUGGAGAGCUACCGAAAAUGGGAUUUUCGGUGAAUAUAAAUAUGUAUUUAUGAGAGAGUAUGUAUAUAAAUGCUAGCUAGCCAUAUGUGUCUGUCCACCUUAAUGGCGUAGCAUAUAGCCGCAUUAUGGUGUGACGUGAGCGUUGGACGUAAGCGUAGUAGCCCUAUAUGAGUUGUUUAAUUCAUAUAGGGGGGUAUGGACACAUAUUUAUACACCCGUCUGUCCACCUUGAUAGCGUAGUGUAGCACCGCAUUAAGGCGUGACGUGAGCGUUGGACGCGAGCGUAGUAGCCCUAUAUAGACCCAUGAAUUUAUAUAGGGAGUAUGGACGAGUAGUAAAUACAUACAUAUAUUAUAGAAUCUGAGAGGCUCGAUAUUUAUGGGAUAAAGGUUUUAUCGCUUGCGGCAUGCACUCGAUUUUCCUUAGAAUUAAUUGGGGAAACAUAAAUAUUUUAUUUAUUAAUUUAUUUUUUGUCCACUCACUCUAACGUUAUUAAAUGUUUUCCCCUGGGCCCUUCGUUUUAAAUUGCCCAGUCUGCAGAGUUCGGGUUGGAUCUAGUAGGAGACGAGGCAUAGUCACCCGCUUUUCGGCCAGUUUUCGCCAGUAGGUUGCCUGUUCAACCUACUCGUAUUUUCUUGCUUCCGCUUGUGUUUAGUAGCUCUGAAUACUUUAGAAUUUUUGUAUAUUAUGCGAUGUUCAGAAGUGUAAUAUGAAAUUUUCGAGUUAGGGUUGUCCAUCUACAAGGGAGAUUUUCUUAAUCUUUUCAGUAAAUUUUCCUUGGAGGUGGUCCCCGCACGACUUACUCUGGGUUUCAGGGUGAAACUCGGGGUGGGUCGUGUCAAGGAGGGCUACAAAACGAGCCAAGGAUCGCCGGUUUUAGUGGCCGGAGGAGGGAGCUCCGGCGAGUGAAUCACCACGGCUUCUUGCCGUGAUAACUUGAAAUUUCCGACGGGAGAGGGGCUGUCACCAACUCAGGGCUGGAGAGGGAAGGACAGGGGUCCAAACGAGACCGGUCCGGCGUCCUGGCUCGGCCGGUCGACGGCGGCAAGAGCUGGAGAAAAACCGGACACUGGAGAGGUCGGGAGAGGCUGGGAGGAGAGAAGAAAAAGAGAAGAGGAAGAGAAGAAAAAAGAGAAGGGAAGAAUGGCUUUGGGCCUCACACCCCCAAACCGGGCCAACAACCUUAUACACCAAAACCCAACUCUAAAAUUUACACCCCAAAAUAAAAUACCCUAUUAAAAAUUACCUUUUAUUAGCUAAAAUUUACCAUUUUCACCGUCGUUAUAUUUUCUCCUACGAAUCACUCUCUGAAAUAAUCGUCCCCCAAAAUCCCACUAGGGACCAAUUAAACUAUAACUUCAUUGACGGAGACGGUAAAAUUCUUAUUAUAAUCAAGCUAGUAAAUAAGGUAAAAAUUUAAGGGUCCGGAUGUGACACGUACUCCUCGAAAACAGACUAGGGUGAAUUGCCAAGCUAGAUUUCGGAUCAAUUACACUGAUGGGUGUAGAGUUUAUAUGGUGAAGAUAUUCGUUCCAGAGCAUAAUCAUGAACUAGCUACUGGGAACCAGAUUGCAUUCGUUUAUGCUCAUCGUCAUGUCAGCGACGCAGCUUUGGCUCUGACAAACACAAUGACAAGGGUUUCAAUUAGACCAUGUCACACAUAUGAGUAUAUGGUGGAGCAGGCUGGGGGAUAUUCGGUAGUGGGAUUCACCAUGAAGGACCUCUACAACAAGCUUGACCAACAACGACGGACCUCCCUAUUUGAGAGUGAUUCCAAAGGAGCGCUUUCCUACAUGAGAGCACUGGCAGCAAAAGACCCACACUUCAUAUGCAGAUUCACUACAGAUUUGGAAGACAGGUUAGUGGACAUUUUUUGGCGAGAUGGCAUUCAUUUGUUGAUUAUCAGUGUUAUGGGGAUGUGCUGAUAUUCGAUAGCACAUACAAAACCAACAAGCCAUUGGUUAUGUUUGUUGGGUCGAACAACCAUCGAGGUAGUAUUAUUUUCGGUGCUGCCCUUAUUUCGGAUGAGACUGAGGAGACAUACACUUGGUUGCUUCGUACAUUUUUGGAGUCGAUGAACGGGAAGAUGGCAAAGGCGGUACUCACAGACAGUGACGAGGCCAUGCGUAAGGCAAUUGAAACUGUGAUGCCGGAAGCAAGGCACCGUCUAUGUAUUUGGCACAUAGGUAAAAAUGCCUUUACCCACUUAAAGUCUGAGGAAAAGUUGAAGGCUUUUAACAGAUGCGUGAGGAAGAAUCAAACAGUUGAGCAAUUUGAAAGGUUGUGGCAGGAAAUGAUUGACGAACUUGAUCUCCAUGACGAUAUUUGGAUCAGGAAUAUGUAUGAAAAGAGAGACAAGUUUUGUCAAGCAUUCAUCGGUGACAUAUUUAUGGCCGGAAUGAGAAGCACACAAAUGUGUGAGGGCAUGAAUAAAGAAUUCAAGAGGGUGCUUAGUAAAGGGAAAUCCCUUGUGGAGCUUGUUGCGUUGGUGUACAGAUUACUUAUGAAACUGAGACACAAUCAAGAAAGGGAUGAAUUCAUCUAUAUGAAUUCCUUUCCUGGUGCCGUAACUCACUUGGUAGAUUUGGAGAUACAAGCCUCUUCUAUAUUCACACACGAUGUGUUUAAAUGGAUUGUAAGAGAGAUCAAGAAAAAGAGCUUUAAUACACUAAAGCAAGGAGCAGAAUGUCAUGAAGAUGGUAGUCGUGUUUACAAGCUAUCAGUAUACAAACGGCCUGAAUUUGACCACACUGUUGUUCUUGGUGCCGUAACUCACUUGGUAGAUUUGGAGAUACAAGCCUCUUCUAUAUUCACACACGAUGUGUUUAAGUGGAUUGUAAGAGAAAUCAAGAAAGAGAGCUUUAUUACACUAAAGCAAGGAGCAGAAUGUCAUGAAGAUGGUAGUCGUGUUUACAAGGUAUCAGUACACAAACGGCCUGAAUUUGACCACACUAUUGUUUACCACCCUGAGAAAGAGACUGACAGUGCAAAAGACUCGAUUAUGCUGUGUUCUUGCAGAAUUAAUGUUUCAGUACGGGGGAGUACCAUGUCGUCACAUGUUCACGGUGAUGAAAAAGAACACAUUUUUGAGCUUCACAAGUCACUGAUCGUCAAGAGAUGGUCAAAAGACGCAAGAACUGUGUGUGAGAUCCCUUAUCCAGAUCAAUCUAUGCCUAGAGAAGCAUUGGAAGUGAGCAAGUAUGGUGCUCUAACUGCCGAAUGCAAUCGAUUGUGCUUUUAUGCUUCAAAGACAGAUGCAGGGUACAACUUGUUGCAGAAGGAGAUCAGUUGUCACAUCCCGACCCUUAUAUUUUUACCUUAUUUACUAGCGUGAUUAUAAUAAGAAUUUUUACCGUCUCGAUCUUUGAGUUAAUAGUUUAAUUGGUCCCUAGAGGGGUUUCGGGGACGAUUAUGUGCGGAGGAUUAUUCGUAUGAGGAAAAUAUGACGACGGUAAAAAUAGUAAAUUUAGCUAGUAAAAGGUAAUUUUUAUUCGGGUAUUAUUUUUUGGGGUGUUUUAUUUGUAGGAGUUGGGUAUUUUAGUAUUGUUGGACCGGGUGUAGAGGCCCAUUUCUCUUUUCUCUUUUUCUCCUCUUUUCUCCUCCCGGUUCUCUCUCCCCCGAGCUUUCCCGCCGUCCGGAAUUCCGACCGCCAGACCGCCGCCGUCCGGCCGCCCCAGACCCAAUCGAUCGGUCUCUGACCCAGCUAUCUUCUAGGACCGGUAGCAGCCCCCCUAGCGCCGCCGUGAGAGAGCGGUGCCGCCCGAAAGGAUAGGCUGCCCCGAACUUCCGGUCGCCAGAACUCCCUCCUCCGGCCACCAAUCUGGGCAAGCUUGGUACGGUUUUGUAGCCCUCCUCCCGUGCAGCAACCCCUCCAAGCAGCUCCCUCCCUCUUGAGCUAGGUAAGGAGAAAUGUGGAGUUGAAAUUUCUAGGGCUUUUAAGUCGUUUUCGUUCGAUUAGCCUAGUUAGGCUUGGAAUUGGGUGAUGUGUUGGUCAUGAAAGUUGUACAGGAGAUUGAGAGGAAGAUUCUGUUAAAAUUUGGUAGCAUUUGCAGGUCGUCGGAGUUGGUCGCCGGCCGCCGCUGCCGGCGGAGCCGCCGGCGGCGCCGCCGCUGUUUUGGGAAAUUUUGUGGUUUUUGAUGUAGAAUAUUAAGAGGAUAUUAUUGAGGUGAAUUUUGGAAUUUUUGGAUGAGAUUUGGAUAGGUUUGUGAAUUUCCGAAGUUUGGUAUUUUUGGCGGUUAAUUAAUGUAGAAUCCGGCCGUAGGAUUUAAGUCGUAUUUUGAGGAGGUGGUAUUUACGACUGUUGAGUAUGAUAUUUAAGUUCGGAUCGUUCCGAUUUAAGAUUAUCGAAGUUAGGCAAUGAUGAGCGUAUUUAUGGCUCUCGGGUAAUUUUUCCUAUUUUAAUUAAAUAUUGGAUUAUUGGUUGGGAAAUUAAUAUUAUAUUUAGAACAGGACGUGAGGAGGCUCGAGCAGACGAGGCCCCAGAUCGACAUCAGGCUUAGGCCUAAUUUGUGAGUGGACUUUUAUUUGAAAUAAUUUGCAUGCUAUGGUUCAUGAUUGAACAUUUCUUUUUGUUGGAGUAUUGACGUCAAUUAAUUUUGACGCUUUUAUUUCUCUUAGAGAGUUACCGAAAAUGGGAUUUUCGGUGAAUAUAAAUAUGUAUUUAUGAGAGAGUAUGUAUACAAAAUGCUAGCUAGCCAUAUGUGUCUGUCCACCUUAAUGGUGUAGCAUAUAGCCGCAUUAUGGUGUGACGUGAGCGUUGGACGUAAGCGUAGUAGCCCUAUUUGAGUGUUUAAUUCAGAUAGGGGGUAUGGACACAUAUUUAUACACCCGUCUGUCCACCUUGAUGGCGUAGUGUAGCACCGCAUUAAGGCGUGACGUGAGCGUUGGACGCGAGCGUAGUAGCCCUAUAUAGACCCAUGAAUUUAUAUAGGGAGUAUGGACGAGUGUAAAUACAUACAUAUAUUAUAGAGUCUGAGAGGCUCGAUAUUUUAUGGGAUAAAAGUUUUAUCGCUUGCGGCAUGCAUUCGAUUUUUCCUUAGAAAUUAAUUUGGGGAAACAUAAAUAUUUUAUUUAUUAUUUUAUUUUUUGUGCACUCACUCUAACGUUAUUAAAUGUUUUCCUCUGGGCCCUUCGUUUUAAAUUGCCCAGUCUGCAGAGUUCGGGUUGGAUCUAGUAGGAGACGAGGCAUAGUCACCCGCAUUUCUGCCAGUUUUCGCCAGUAGGUUACCUGUUCAACCUACUCGUGUUUUCUUGCUUCCGCUUGUGUUUAGUAGCUCUGAAUACUUUAGGAUUAUUGUAUAUUAUGGGUAGAAUUUCUGAAGGAUAAUUAUGUGAUGUUCGGAAGUGUUGAAUUAAGAGUGUAAUAUGAAAUUUUCGAGUUAGGGUUGUCCAUCUGCAAGGGAGAUUUUCUUAAUCUUUUCAGUAAAUUUUCCUUGGAGGUGGUCCCCGCACGACUUACUCUGGGUUUCAGGGUGAAAUUCGGGGUGGGUCGUGUCAUCAGUAGACUCUCAUCAAUUGUUGAAGGUUUUGCCAAAGAAAAAGAAAAAGUUCAAGCUCCGGCCACACCCAGCAAUAUGAAAGGUAAUGUUGUGAGAGACCCUAUCCCGGUUAGGACCAAAGGCAGAGAAAAAAUGACAAGAAGACUGAGGCUCCCAGACAACCGAUUACUUGUGGUUAUUGCCAAGGUAUUGGACACAACAGUCAAACAUGUAAUGUUAGGAAGGAGAAAGAAAAAGCUGAGAAGAGCAAUGAAAAUGAUGAACGAAACACUGACCCUCGUCCUUCAGUUGCAACACCUGGAAAGAGAUCCUAUGGUUAUUGCAAACGAUCUGGACACAAUACUCAAACAUGUGAUGUUAGGAAAGAGAAAGAAAAAGCUGAGAAGACAAACGAAAAUGUUGCGGGAACAAGCAAUGAUCCUCUUCCUUCGGUUGCGACACCUGCAAAGAAAACUAUUCACUGUAGUACGUGCAAAGGAGCCGAGCACACACACUGUAGAUGCCUAAAAAAAACAAUAAAAGGAGACGCCUCCCCCACAUCUGAGGAGUGAUUCCUUAUUCUGGUGAUAUAGGUGCCGAUUUUAGUUAUAGUUGUAGUUCAAAUUUCUUGUACUCUGUGUUUGGCAUUUCAUUUUACUUUUCAGUAAUGUCAACGUGAAUUUAGAUUUUACUUUAGAUUUCCUUGUUUUGUUUUUGCUUUGUGAAUGGUCUAUCUCGCCGUAGGACACUUUUUCAAAAAGUCUACAUGAAGUAAAAAAACUUUCCUAAGAGAAGUAGAUGAUUAUGUAAUAACUAUAGAGCUAAUAAGGUAAUACUACGGAGAACACAUCUCCAGAAAGUCUACAUUGUAUCAUGCUUUUAUCAUAAACGAAGAGUAGAACGUCUUUGCAGAAAAAGUAGCCCAUUCAAUACUGUCGAACAAUUAUCAUCCACUAUUGGUAAGGUUUACGAUGAUGGAGCACUAGUAACCUUGCAUAAAUAUAGGCUGUAAACUGAAAUAUAUUGAUGUAAGUAGAUGGUAAUGAUGCACAUAAUUAUUACAAUGGACAUAAUUAAUGAUUAUUAUAAAUACAUGGAUUAUUUUAUGUUAAUAAAAACACACGGAAUUUAAUGCAAAAUUCAUUCCAGUAGACCAAUAAGGAAAUUAUUCCUAUUUGGGAUUAGGGUUUGUGAUGAUGGAUAAAGCACUAGUAACCUUGCAUUUAUAUAGGGUUAUUUUAUGAUGAUCGAGCUCUCUAGUCACCUGUAGUGUACAAUGGGUGUAGGGUUUAUGAUGAUGAAGCCUCACUAUUCUUAUAUACCUGAUGGACCAUAUAGAUGUCAUUUUAGCUUUUUAGUGUCGAGAAGCACAUUGUAAGUAAUCUCCUACUUGUUAUGGGAUUUCCACCCCAUGAUUUAUUUUAUGUUCACUAAGAUGGACCCCCAUAUCAAAUUCAUUUUAUAUGUUCACUACGCUUAUAUAUGCCGCAAUAUCAUAUAUGUUCAGAGAGAGAGAGAGAGAGAGAGAGAGAGAGAGAGAGAGAGAGAGAGAGAGAGAGAGAGAGAGAGAGAGACGACGACGACGACGACGUACGUACGUACGUACGUACNNNNNNNNNNNNNNNNNNNNGAGAGAGAGAGAGAGAUGGCAGAGCACGACCUAACCCCGCAUUGUAUCAAUAUGCCAAAUUUCAGUUUGAGUGCGGUAACUAAUCUGGUGCUGUUGAUUAUCUGUUUCAGUACAGGGCUUUAUGCACCAACAGCGAGAGGAGUCUCAGUGCUUUGUGGGGAAAGCUGGCAGCUGAGAUAUUGAUGCAAAACUGGGAUAUUGCUCUUGAGGAGCUUAACCGCCUCAAGGAAAUUAUUGAUUCCAAGAAUUUCAGUUCGCCCCUGAUUCAGGAGUUUUUGACAUGUGUUUAUGUUAAUUAUGGCAUGUGUUUAUGUGAUAUUGAAUGAUCCCUUCCUUGGAAAGCGAGUUGAAGAAGGCAAUUUCACUAUUGUACCAUUGAGGGAUGAAUUCCUUGAAAAUGCUCGUCUAUUUAUCCCUUAUCUUUGAGUCUUACUGCCGCAUACAUCAGCGCAUUUCCUUCAUCUAGACUGAGAUUUGAAUUACUAGAGGUUUUGUUGACUUGUAAGUAGAGGUUUUCAUUAGUAACAUGAGGUUUGUCAGAUCAGACUGUAAUUUACUUCCCCAUGAUUUAUUUGUCUGUACUUUUGGAGGUAAUGUGUAUGGAAAUUAUUUUCUUAAAAAAAAAUGCUUCAUUUUAGGGCUUGAGUUUAAUGUAUAUAGUGUUUAUGAUCGAUGAUGGAGCUAAUGUCAUCUAUCCCGUAUAUAGGGUUUUAGGUUUAUAAUCUUGGUAUAAUCUUCUAGGUAGUGUGACCUUUAAAGUAUGAUCGAACAUGCUUAUAUAUAGUAAACUCCUACUUGUAUCGGGAUUUCCACUUCGAUCACAAUUAUAUCUUCAUUAUGCUUAUAUAUGUUGUGAUCGAUGGACAAUAUAACAUUCAUUUACUAGUACAAUGCUUGACUUUAGUUCUUGAGUUUCAUUGUAUAUAGUGCUUAUGAUGAUCGAACUAACGUCACCUAUCGUGUAUAUAGCAUUUGAUGUUUAUAAUGUUAGAGCUAACAUCACCUUAAAGUAUGUACGGUUUCAGAUGUCGUUUAUAAUGUUUAAGGUUUACUCUCUAUAUAGUAUCUGGAACACUUUGGACAUAUCCGCUCAAGGUUCUAAAAAACGUUGGGCACUAGUCGGGCGGACAGCGCCCAAAAGAUUAAUCGGGGAUUAAUCGGUUUUCUAUUUUUGUAUUUAUUUUAAUUUUUUAAUACCAAAUAAUUAUCUAAUACAAUUAAAAUUACAAUUGACAUGUAAUUAUAUAAUUAUUAAUACAAUUAUUUUGGUUGAAAAGUCAAUUUACAUGUCUCAUUAAAUUUGAGUGUAGUUAUUUAGAUUAAAUCUGAUAAGUAAUUAAAUAUACAUUUGGGUAGUAUUGAUUAAAUUAAGAAAAAGACAAAAAUUAUUGGAUGUAUAGGCCCAAAGGGAGAGCCCAACAAUUUAACCCAUUGCUAAGUCAAUUUUCCCUACACAUCUUUAUCCCUUCCGCCUCCUCUUUCGCUUCUGCUGCAUUGUCCUUCUCUUCUGCAAAGCUGCAAACAUCGUCCCUCCUCCUCUCAUGACCACCGCCCACCGCAUCUAGGACUCCAGGUCAGCCCCUUCCUCGUCGUCCUCUGCUCCUCUCUUCUUCCCCAUUCAAUUGCACCAAAAUCCCAGAUUUCAGUUACUGAAAUCCGAUAAAAAAAAAAAAAAAAACUAGUCGGCGCUCCGCCCAGCCCCGCCUAGGCGGCCACAAAACGGCCGGCCGACUACACCAGGCGAUUUGCCUGAAAUCGGGGCGGCUUACGGGCUCCGGGCGCCCAGGCGGCGCCUAGGCCGUUUUUUAGAACAUUGUAUCCGCUACCAAUGUCGGUUUAGGGUUUAGGGGUUAGGGUUUGUGUGCAAGAUAAAGUAAGCAUAAGCACAGUCAAAACCAGAAAUUAUAACCCUUGACUUCGAUAGAAGAGUACACUUGUCUCUCUAUUUGUGUAGUAGGCGUGAUUUUUGAAAUUUCUUUUUUCCAAAAUCUUCCUUCACGCGUUUGAAAUUUGAAAUUUGGACUUGGAUAGGCGGGCAUUUAGUGGCUAAAAAUUUGAGUUUUCAUUUUCCCUUUCAUUUUCAUUUAGCGGGACUUUCCAUAUUCAUCUCGAAUUUUGUAUUGAAACUGAAAGGGUUUUAGACGCCACACAUAACCCUAACCCUAAACAAGCAGUAUAAACCGCCCCGAUGUAAAAUUCUCUGCAACUCAUGUUCUCUUCUCUCUAAACUCCAAAUUGUGAACGAACGUUUCAGAAGCCAUGGCCCGGCAAAAGCUGACCACUCACAUGACCGGUAUUCCUCGUUACCCUCAUGGUGCUUCACCUCCGGUGAUUGAAAUUAGCCAUAGCUCCCCCUCUCAUGGUGCUUCACCUUCAAGGUCUUCAUCUUUAGAUGCAGUUCGAUGCAUUACACCCGUUCUUGCGGUAUAUACUGGUUGCUCUAUUUUGUUCAUUUGUUUAUUGCUUUCUUAAUUUGUUGCUAAAUUGGAUUGUCAAUUGAUUAUGAAAUUAUGUAUGCAAGGACUCGUCAUCUUCCUCGCCUUCUCGUUCGUGUUCUGAGAGAGGCACAUCAUCUAAGAGGGCUAGGCUCUCCCCCACACCAUCCCAUAAAGGCAAUGGCAAAGCUAUUCAGAUAUGUAUAAGUCUGGAAAUCUGUUUAUCUGUCCUGAAAUGGUUUCUGAAUAUAUGUCAAGACCCACCUCAAAUUUUACCCUAAAACCUGGAGUAAACCUGAAAAAUUCGGCAUAACCUCCAUUGUAAUUGGACAGCCAUAUAACAACACAUCCAACCUCAACACCUGGAGCGACCCGCUCCCCCACAACACAUCCACCACACACAAAAAAUAAUAUCAUCUUCAAACCCAACACAUAAAUAUCCAAUUUAUAUCAUACACCAUCAUUUGGAUUGACACGACCCACCCCGAAUUUCACCCUGAAACCUGGAGUAAGUCGAGCGGGGACCACCUCCAAGGAAAAUUUACUGAAAGGAUUGAUAAAAUCUCCCUUGAAAAUGGACAACCCUAACUCGAAAAUUCCAAAAUACACUUUUAAUACAACACGUCCAAACAUCACAUAAUUAACCUUCAGAAAUUCUAAACAUAAAUUACAAUAAUCCCAAAGUAUUCAGAGCUACUAGACACUAGCGGAAGCAAGAAAACACGAGUAGGUUAAACAUGUAACCUACUGAUGAAAACUGGCGGAAAUGCGGGUGACUAUGCCUCGCCUCCUACUAGAUCCAACCCGAACUCUGCAGACUGGGCAAUUUAAAACGAAGAGCCCAGGGGAAAACAUGUGGAACAGUUAGAGUGAGUGGACAAAACUAAAUUAAAAUAAAAGUAUUUCUUUAUGCUUCCCCAAUUUAAUUUCCAAAUAAAAUAAUGCUGCAUGCAAUCGCUCAAAAGCGCUCAACUCAAAAACUGGUAACUUCACGACCAGCACCGGCUAGUCUCCAAAACUUAAUAAAAUACAACCUCUCAGGCUAAAUUAUAUAUAAACAUAUAUAAGUGUAUGUAUUUACACUCGUCAGACUCCUUGUAUGAAUUCUAAGAACAAAUUCGAAAAAUAGAAAUUCAUACAAGGCUACUACGCUUGCGUCUAACGCUCACGUCACACCAUAAUGGAAUUGUACCUCAGUAUGGCGGAAAAAGCAUGAGUGUAUAUACGUGUGGACUCCCUAUAUGAAAACCUAAAUAAACCAAAUAAGAAAAUAGUUUUCAUAUAGGGCUACUACGCUUGUGUCUAACACUCACGUCACAACAUAAUAGUAUUUUACCUCAUUAUGGCGGAUCAAACACGUAUGGCUAGCUAGCAUUUAUAUAUACAGACUAUCAUCAUAAACAUCCAAUAAACAUAUCCACCGAAAAUCUCAUUUUCGAGAUCUCUCCAAAGGAGGAAAAUUGCCAAAUAUCCGAGAAACAAAUAAAUCUCAGGAAAAGAAAUAAAUGAUCAACAGAUAAUUCAUCGCAUGCUUUUCAAUUAAAAUAAAGGUCCACUCACAAAUUAGGCCUAAGCCUGAUGACGCUCCGAGGCUUCCUCUGCUCGGGCCUCCUCUCGUCCUGUUCCAAAUAUAUAAUUAAUUUCCCACCAAAAAUCUAAUAAUUAAACAAAAUGGGCAAAAUUAAACGUGAGCCUCCCAUACACUCAUCAUUACCCAAAUUCGCCAUUCUUAACUCAAUACGGCUCAAACUUUGCCGAACAUACCGGCAGCCGUAAAAACAGCUUCCCACAGAAUACGACUUAAAUCCUACGGCCGGAUUCUACAUUAAUUAACCGUCAAAAAAUACCAAACUUCGGAAAUUCACAAACCUAUCCAAAACUCAUCCAAAAAUUCCAUAACUCACUUCAAUAAACUCCCCUUAAUAUUCCAAAUCUAAAAACAUUAAAAUCUCCCAAACAGCUCCGGCGCCAGCGCCGGCUCCGCCGGCAGCGGCGGCCGGAGGCCGAUUCCGGUGACCUCCAAUUUCUACCAAAUUUUAACAGAAUAAUCCUCUUAUCAAGCACAAGAACUUUCCUAACUAGCACUUAGUCCAAUUCUAAGGCUAACUAGGGUAAUCGACUAAAAACAUCCAAAAAUCCCUAGAACUUCAAUUAUACAUUUCUCCAUAACCACAACGAGAUAGACUUAUUCCUUUUGGGGGGAUACUCACCUUGGUGAGAGCUACAAAAUGAGCUAAAUAUUGCGAGUUUUGGUGGCCAAAAAUGGGAUUUCUGGCGAAAUGCUUCCCGGCGUCUCCAGCGGGUUUUCUCCUCUUCUGACGGGUUAGAGGCUCGGGGGCUAGGCCGGGGAGGGAGAGGAGGAGAUGGGGGUCCGAACAGGGCUGGAGCAGCGGCCGGACGGCGGCAGCUGGUGGCUGGGAGCUUCCGGCGGAGAGGGGCUCUAGGAGCUCAGGGAAAGAGGGAAGGGAGAAAGAGAGAGAGUGAAGGAGGAUAUGGGCUGCUCACACCCGGUCCAUAACCCUUAAACCCAACAAAUUUUACCCACUAAAAAAAAAUACCUUUUUUUACCACCUCAAAAUUUACUCUUUUAGAUAAUAACUUUUUCAUGCUAACUCUGAUUUUAACACAUAGCAUGUCUACGAACUCGUAUUAACGUCUUCUACAACUUUCAUGAAGAAAGUUUCUCCAAAUUCUAAACGAAAAAUAAAGUCAACUUUAGGGUCCUUAGGUAGUAAACGGUUAUUCAACACGGUAAAAGACUAAAAUAAUACCAAAGUAAAUAACCGUAAAAUAACUUAAGAACCGGGGUGUGACAUGGAUAACUCUCAAAUUAAUAAACAAAGACUUAGCACACAACCGAACUAUUAUACAAAUAAUCCCAAGGUAAUCAGAGCUACUAAACACUAGCGAAAACAAGAAAAUAUGGUAGUAGGUUAACAGGUAACCUACUGAUGAAAGGUGGAAGAGAUGCAUGUCGGUGACUAUGCCUCGCCUCUGACUAGUGCCAACCCGAACUCUGCAGAUUGGGCAUUUUAAAACGAAGUGCCCAGGGGAAACAUUUGAAACCGUUAGAGUGAGUGGACAAAAAUAAAUUAACUACUUUUUGAAGUACCACUACUUUUUGAAAACAAUCUACCAUAGCUCUAUAUGCUUCCAAAAAGUUCAUUCCCAAGAUCACAUCAAACUCCACUAUACCUAAAGGAAUUAAAUCGGCCUUGAAAUUAACUCCUUCUACUAAAACUUCACAACCACUAAACACCCAAUUUAUCCUCAUCACCUCACCGGAGGGUAGAGACACAUGCCACUCACCUGGAAGAGACGAUGAUGGCACAUUGGCAUAGAGGGCAAAUCUACUAGACAUAAAUGAAUGCGUGGCUCCGGGAUCAAUUAAAGUAAAAGCAGGCUGGCCAAAAAUUAAUAACGUACCAAUGAUGACAUCUAGAGAAGUACGACCUUCCUGCUGGGUCAUAGCAUGCAAUCUAGCGCGAGUCAUGGGACGUCCACGCUGACCACCACCCUGCAGAGAGCUACCACUGGCCGAUGCACUGCCCUGGGCACCACUAAUGGAGCCUCUAGAUGAAGACUGACCAACUGGCUGAGUAGGGAUAGGGGUGGUCCUCUGAGCCAACAAUGGACAAUCUCUCCUGAAGUGGUCUUGACCACCACACUCAAAACAUCCAGAAAAUUGCUAUUGCCCAAAAGAAAACGUCUGACUACUGGAGGACCCACCAUGGAAGCUGCCACUAGAACCAUACUGACCAGACUGCUGCCUACCCAAAUGACUCCGAGAAGAUCUCCUGAAACGUCCUUUAUUCCUGUUUCGAGCACCAGAACUCGAUCCCCCACUACCGUCACUACCAGCAGAAGACCCAAAAGCGGAUGAUGAAGCAACCUUCUUGGAUGGACCUUGACUGGGGCCACUGUAAUCACAGGGCCGAGUACCAUGUGUCCUCAUGUUCUCAAUGGCCAUGGCUGCACUAACCGCAUCCAUAAAGGUCAAGUAAAUUACACCCGUCAUCUUAUCUACAGACACACCACCAACUGCCCCAACGAACAUCUCAAUCCUAGUCCUCUCAUCCGGAACCAGGUAUUGCACAUGAUAGGUCAGGGAAGUGAAUCUCUGCUCAAACUCUAUGACCCCCUCAUUAUCCCUCUUCUGAAUGUUCAGGAAAUCUGACUGUAUCCUACUGCGGUGGCCAUGUUUGAAAUACUGCCCUAAGAAGAGCGUCUUAAACUGCUCCUAUGUCAUAUUCUGAGCAUCCUCAACAUUCCUGCUGGCAAGCGACCACCAGUGAUGGGCUGAAUCAUCCAGAAAAGUCAUUGCCAUAUUCACUUUCUUAUCUUCUGGCAACCCAGUGCUGUCAAAAGCCUUCUCCAUCUUGUCUACCCAAUUAUAAGCAUCAAGGGUCCCUUGGCACCCUUGAACUCCCUUGCUCCACCUUCAUAAACAUCCUUUUUCUUCACAGUCCAAGGGUUCUGAGUCCGCUCUAGCACUCCCCUCAACAUAUCUCCAAUAGAAUUUACUAGCUCCCUGACCUCAUUGCCCUCAUUGGCGUUGGUCGAACUACCCUCACGGGGUUGGCGUUGGCAUCUAGGAGGCAUAGUACCUGAGGAAGAAGAUAUUUAGUAGUCUAUAAACAAGACUAACACAACUAUCACACAUACCCAAUAACAAAUAGCAUCCAAAGCAUAAACUGCCAAUGAAUCUGCCGCGGUCGGAUCAUCACUCUAUAGACACUACGUGCUACUUAGGUAAAUAUGAUAGUGACAAGGAGGUAGGAAAUGAAACCUAAAGCUCUGAUACCAACUAUCAAGACCCACCCCAAAUUUUAUCCUAAAACCUGGAGUAAGUCCUGCGGGACCACCUCCAAGGAAAAUUUACCGAAAAAUUUGGUAUAACCUCUCUUGAAAAUGGACAACCUUAUCCUGAAAAAAAUUCAGAUAACACUCCUAUACCAACACAUCUAACCUCAACACCUGGAGCCACCUGCUCCCCACAACACAUCCACCACACACAAAAAAAAUAUCAUCUUCUAAUCCAACACAUAAAUAUCCAAUUUACAUCAUACACCAUCCUUUGGAUAACUCCCAAAUUAAUAAACAAAGACUUAGCACACAAUCGAACUAUUAUACAAAUAAUCUCAAGGUAAUCAGAGCUACUAAACACUAGCGGAAACAAGAAAAUAUGGUAAUAGGUUAACAAGUAACCUAGUGAUGAAAGGUGGAAGAGAUGUGGGUGAUUAUGCCUCGCCUCUGACUAAUGCCAACCUGAACUCUGCAGACUGGGCAUUUUAAAACGAAGGGCCCAGGGGAAAACAUUUGAAACCGUUAGAGUGAGUGGACAAAAAUAAAUUAAUAAAUAAAAUAUUUAUGCAUUCCCAUUUGAAUUUCCAAAGAAAUUAUGUUGCAUGCGAAAAUUCUAAAGUGCUCAACCCAUACCCUGGCAAUUUCAUGACUAGCUCUGGCUAGUCUCCAAACUCAAUAAACUGGAGCCUCUUAGGCUAAAGUAUAUAUAAACAUAUAUGUGUAUGUAUUUACACUCAUCAGACUCCUUGUAUGAAUUUUAUGAACAAAUUUGAAAAGUAGAAAUUCAUACCAGGCUACGACGCUUGCGUCUAACACCCACGUCGCUCCCUAAUGGAAUUUUUCCUCAUUAUGACCGAAGAGGACGUUUGUAUAUAUACGUGUGGACUCCCUAUAUGAAAACCUAUAUAAACCAGAAAAGAAAGUAGUUUUCAUAUAGGGCUAUGACGCUUAUGUCUAACACUGACGUCACGCCAUAAUGGUAUUUUACCUCAUUAUGAUGGACCAAGCACGUAUGACUAGCUACCAUUUAUAUACAUACUAUACUCAUAAACAUCCAAAAUACAUAUCCAUCGAAAAUCUCAUUUUAGGGAACUUUCCAAAGGAGGAAAAUUGUCAAAUAUUCGAGAAAGAAAUAAAUCUCAUCAGAAGAAAUAAAUGAUCAACAGAAUAAUUCAUCGCAUGCUUUUCAAUUAAAACCAAGGUCCACUCACAAAUUAGGCCUAAGCCUAAUGUCGCUCCGAGGCUUUUUCUGCUCAGGCCUUCUCUCGUCCUGUUCCAAAUGUAAUAUUAAUUUCCCAACCAAAAAAUCAAAAAACUUACACAAAAUAGGCAAAAUUAACCGAGAGCCAUAAACACGCUCAUCAAUGCCUAACUUCGAUACGGUCCACACCUCAACACUUAAACCAGCAGCCUUAACUACACCCUUCCACAGAUUUUACGACUUAAAUCCAACGGCCGGAUUCUACCGUAUUAAUCCACCACAAUUACUAAACUUUAAAAAUUCCCACAUCUAUCGAAAACUCCUCCAAAAAUUCUAAAAUUCACAUCAAUAACUCCUAUUAAUAUAACCAAUCAAAAACCAUGAAAAUCCCCUAAAUAGCGGUGGCCGGAGGCCAACUCUGGCGACCUCCAAAGCCUACCAAAUUUUAAUAGCAACUUCCUUUCAACUCCCUCUACAACUUUCUUAACCAGCACAACACCCAAUUCUAAGCCUAACCAUGCCAAUCGAACGAAAACAUCCUAGAAAACGCUAGAGCUUCAACACCAUUACCUCCUUACCUAGCUCAAGAGAGAGUGAGACCUUUGGAGGGGUUGCUGCACGGGAGGAGGGCUUUCUUUUGAGCCAAGCAGCUCCGGCUUUGGUGGCCGGAGAAGAGAGUUCCAGCGACGGAACCACCACGGCAGUCGGACCUUUCGGGGGAGAGAACUCCUUCACGGCGGAGCUAGGGCGGCUCUCACCGGCCUAGAAUGGAAGUUGGGUCGGAGGCCGACUGUUUGGAACCGGAGCGGCGGCCUACGGUGGCCGGAUUGCGGCGAACUGAGGGGGGGAAAAUCCGGCAGAGAAGAGGACUCGGGGGAGGGAAAUCGGGAGAGAAGAGAGAGAAGUGAGGGGAGUGAUGUGGGCUUUUCCAACCGGUCCAACACCUUAUGCAAAACCAACUCCAUAAAUUUACACCCCAAAAUAAUACCCUAAUAAAAAUUACUUUUUACUAGCCAAAAUUUACCAUUUUUACCGUCGACACAUUUUUCUCCUACGAAUAAUUCUCCGAAAUAAUCGUCCCCCAAAACCCCGCUAGGGACCAUUUAAACUAUAAACUCAUUUAAACUAUAAGCUAGUAAAUAAGGUAAAGAUUUAAGGGUCGAGAUGUGACAAUAUAUUUCUCAAUUGAUUUAUGAAUUUAUGUAUGCAAGGACUCGUCAUCUUCCUCGCCUUCUCGUAAAAAACUAUCAGAAUCGCUUGAUUCAUUCGUACGGCGGACUCAUGAAGGGAUACCUAGAUAUGUACACCGCCCUCUUAGCCCCCCACCCUCACGCCCCAUGACAAUGAUGGACGCCGUUGCUGCCCUUGAAGAUGUCCUAGCUCAGAUUUACAUGUUAACUUCAUCUGUCAAUGCAAUUAAGUGUAAUAUUGAAGACCGAAUCAACAAGGCAGCCCGAAAGUAAUCUAGGGAGAGGAGAGGAGUCAGCGUGAUCCUUGAUUUAGUGUUGAUCAGUUUGUAACAAUUUAUGUUUUGGUUAUGUUUCUUCAACAUCGGUUAUGUUUCGGCCACAAUUUCUGGAAAUCAUCAUGUGGUGGUGAUUAAUUAAUAUUCUAUCAGUCAGUCCUUUAUCGAUUGUGAUUUUGAAGGAAUUAGGGUUGAAUUUCAAUUCAGUUUCUGUUUAUGACUAGUCGUUUCGUGCAACGAUAUGUCAAGUUUGAAGAACCUACCUGUCACACCCCAAUUUUUGAAAGAUAAUUUUUCAAAAAUUUGGGCAUGAUAUACCUUAAAAUAUUAAAUCCCAAAACCUGUUUUCAAACUAACUUCAAAGAACUAAAACUCAAUGCGGAAAUGUAAAUGUCACACAACUCAACACCGAGUUAAAUAUUAUAUUUCCUUGUUUACAUAAACUUAAAAAUCAAGAAAAUGAAACCACUCACAUGAGUUUUAAUAAAGUCUACCCCAAAUAUAAAAACAAAUACAAUGUACAGCAAAACCCAACAAAAACCCUGCCACUAAGUCUCCGCUUCAACCCUGCUGAUCCUCACCUGCAAGUCUAACCCCUACACCAAGAAAUGGUGUAUCGGGUUGUAAACAACAAACUCGGUAAGCUAAAAAGCCCGUAUGAGUAAUUCUCAAAAUAACACCAAAACUUCCAAUUACCAAUUAUAACACAAGAGCAAUUUAUAUCAAUAAUUAAAAACCACAAAUCCAACAUUUUUCAAUUAACAUGUACCCAUGAGUCUCAGGUAUUAAUAAAUACCCCUCAUGACCUACAACAACGAAAUGUGUACCCAUGGGUCCCAGAUACCCUACCGUAUCUCCCAUGACCUACACUGACAGACGGACUAGAGCUCUAUUCCUAACCGCAACCAAUCACGCGGUCAAAGGCUUGGAACCCGGUUUGACAGUCUAAUAUCAAACACAAAAAUGAUAAAUAGCAUCUUAACAGCAACCAAUCACCCAAUUAUAGGCUUGGAACCCGGUUUGGCUAUUUAUCCAACAAUCACAAUAUCACAACAUUAUCCUCAACAACACAAUAUCCCAUCAUAAAUUAUAUCCUUCCACAUAGAUAUAUUUACAUGAACAAAAUAUAGAUAUUCCACAAGAAUAAUCUAUCAAUAAUCAAUAAAAUUAUGAUCACAUGAAUCUCAAAAAUUGCAUAUAAGGAAAACUUGUUUUAUCUUACCUAUGAGCCGUUGGCGAUCAAGCUCAUAUAUUUUAAAAAAGCAAUUAGAAAAACAUAUUAUUAAAUCCAACAUCAUCAUCAUUAUCAUCAUUACAUGACCAUAAUAACAUUUGGUUCAAAAGUGAACCUUAGUGAGAUUUACUCACCUAAAUAUCCCGCUGCAAAUUCCACAAGCCGACAUUAGCAAGCCCGAACACAACAUCACAAUUCAUCUAAAAUAACACAAUUAAAACCUUAGUAACUAAAAUACUAUAGGUUAACACAAUACCCUUAAACUAACCCUUAGUUCAAGGGAGGACAACUUUCCAAAGUCGUCAAACUUAGCAACCCAAAAUGGCUGCCUCUAAUCCUCAAACCCUAUCUCAACCUCAACCAAGCCUAAUAACAAACUUAAAGUCCUAACAUACAAACCUUGCUCACAACCUUGAAAUUCUACAUCUUCACAAGCUCACCACAAUCAGAGCUAGCUAAAACACAGCAAUCAAAGUCAAAACCACUGCCGGACGUGCUGCCAUGCGCCACCACAAGUGGCGGCGAGUGGUCUCCACGCGCCACCACAAACUUCCGAAUUUGAGAAAACUCUCAACAGCAAAGUUGAAGCUUGAAGAAAGGAGAACAACUUUCAUACCUGAGGCUUCAACCAAUUUUGGCCGGAACCGGCCAGAAACUGCCUCGAAACAGCUACCCGAAUUCAACUACAAAACCUGCAAAUCCGGCCUCAAAACCUCAAAAACUUGUUUCAAUCUAUGCCUAGCCACUACCAGGAGGAGGAGAGGAUCAAAACUCACCUAAGGAUGCCCCUCGUCGCCGCCAGAAACGGUAAAUCCGAUCAAAGACACAGCAGUCCUCUUUCCGGCAACAGAGCUCCGAUUCCAGCGUGCCACACCGAGCAGCAGGUGCCCAGCCUUGAAGAGAUCAAUUGUGGGAGUCGAACGGGACCGGGUGGCGUCCGGUUUGGUGGCCGGAGGAGCGAGAACUCGGCCGGAGAAGAGAGGGAGUUCAGGGGAGCUCGGGAGAGGAAGAGAGAGAAGAGAGUGAGGAGAGUGAGGUGAUUUUAGGGUUCCAAAAUAACUCCCACACACAUUUUUCUACUUAUACACUUUCCAAACCCGAAAACUAACUUCCUCUGACCAUAACUUUCUCAUACGACAUCCGUUUAAGGCGUGCCUCAUGUCUACGAACUCAUAUCGACAAACUCUACAACUUUCAUGAAGGAAGUUUUUGAAGAUAACUUACGGAAAAUAAGUCAACUUUUGGCCUUUUAAAAGUCAAGACACCUUAAAAUAAACUCCCGAAACUUCAACUUCGUAAAAACCAAAGAAUUUCCAUAAACAAUCCUUCAUUAAUUAAGGGAAUAAUACAAGGAAAAAUGAUAUGAAAAACUAGGGUAUUACCCUACCAACAUCUCAUUUCAUAGGUAAAACUGUUUUUAUAUGUCAAGGCUGCUAAUAUCAUAUGAAACGUUCAGCAAAAAAAGUAGACCAUCUUGACUUCACUAACUCGGUAAAUAUACUUGUUUACUUAUCAGAGGGUACCUUUUUAUGAACGGGAGUGUACUAAUUUGCAAUUCAAUAUUCAUGAAAAAAGUAGACCUAUUAGAUAGUGUUGUUUGGAAUUUUCGAUUCAAGAGUAAAAUUUUUUCAAGAAAGAGUAUUCAAUCCUCAUGCCACCACUCUGACCCAUAGUUAUGCAUGUGUUUGAUUGUAAAAUCCCACAAUCAGUUCCACCCUCCUGUUCUGGGGACUGAGCUGGCUAAAAUCAUGUCAAGUAUGCUAAAAUCAUGUGAAACGUUGAGCAACAAAAUUAGGCCAUCUUGCUUCACUGACUCGCUAAAUAGACUUGUUUACUGAUGAGAGGGUAAAUUCUUCCCAAAUUCUUAUGAACAAUAGUGUAGUAAUUUGCAAUUCAACGUUCAUGAAAAAAUUAGACCUAUUGUUAGACAGUGUUGUUGGGAAUUUCCGAUUGAAGAGUAAAUUUUUGUCAAGAAAGAGUAUAGAAUCCCUUGUAUUUUGUCAGAUAGUACCUUCAAACGAGGUGGUUUCUCAUUAAAUCAGUACACUAAGGCCGAGGAAAACCUCUUUCACAUUCCAUUGUAUCUACAGUCUUUUCGUUUCUUAAAAAAUAUUCCCAAAAAAAAACAAUACACUCCUUUCAACAUCUUGAAGAGGCCACUCCUCUAAUCAAGACGUGACUCUUUGGUACCUUAACCUUUAGUUUCAUUCCUCUAUAAAUACAAUGCUUCAAACAAUGAUUCCCACAUAUCUAACUUCUCUUCAUAAGUGUGCAGGGUAUCAUGGUUCGAAGAAACGAAAGAACUCAUGGUAGAAACUACAGUCCAUGGGAAACUCAUCAGCUCAAGUACCGUUUUGCUCUCCAAGAAAAGAAGAUUGCAGAACUUACACAACAUGUUUUUCAGAUCAACAUGCAACUUAUCGAAAUCCACAUAGCCUUGGGAUAUCUCACUAAAUCCAUUAUGGAGUUGGAGGCCAUAAGGGAUGCACCUCCCCCCGUAUUUAACAGACGUGGCUGUGUGCGCAUCAACGUGGCUUGGAGAGAUCCAGAAUCAAGCAUUCACCAGCGAAUGUAGACAUUUGUGGGAGUAUUGCUUAUGUGUUAUCUAGUACUUUUUUUUGUUGGUAUGUAAGUGCAUAAGCACAAGGAAAAAUUAAUGCUGGAUGCGUUCUCUUAUCUUAUCAAAUUGUAGUAUCUUUUCGUUAUUAAUGUCGGUCUGGGGUUUGAAUGCAUACUCUACUUUGUUAUAAUACUUCAGGAAAUCUACUUCUACAUAAAACUAAUAGACCUUGGCAUAAAACUAGUAGACUUGGCAUUUCAACAAAGUAAAUGUUUUCCGAAACAGGAUUUGGCAAUCGAUCAUGGGAUCGAUCAUAUACAAGUUAUAGUACUACCAGUAAUACCAAGAUCCUCAAAGGAACACACAAGCUCUACAAAUGGGAACGUACAGACUUAAGAGUACUAAUCUACAUUUAACAUCCUAAAUCUGACUUACAUUCAUAAACCAUCAUCACAUCAGUCCUUCUUAGGUGGGCCUCAAUUUCUUCGCCGGGGAUGCCUGGGGAGGCACUUCCGCAUACUGUGUUUAAGAAAUUAGAGAGGUCAUUAGAUUCAGGAUUUUGUCCAUCUUACUUGUGACUUCAUGCGCCGUUUGAUAUUUCACAAACGGAGAAGGAUCAACCUCGGCAACAUUGGGUGAGGCGUCAAUAGGGGCAGGCGUUUCAAUUAACUCAUAUUUAGCUUGAAGAUUUCACUUGAUCGUUUCUAGUAAAAAUGCUUCUCUCCGUCACAUAGCCAUUUCUCGCUCCUCUUGGAUGUUUUUUCGAUUUAUGGCCCUUUUCUAUGGCAUGUUUGAUCCAAAUGAUUGAUCGAGAGAUGGAUUAUCGUGAUUGCAGCAACAUGCAAGUAUUGAUCUUUCUGAGCAAGUAGGAUUGAGAGGUGGAAUUCGUGGAUUAAGGGAAGGGAUGGAUUUUUUUGGUCAGAGGCGGCGAAGAAUGGAACCCGACUUCCAUUAAUGGUUUUGGAGAUUCCAACAAGGCAACAGGAAACUAGGGGGUGGGCGGACUAGGCUCUAUGUGAAAUGAUGGGCAGGCCCAUCAAUGUCAAGAACAUGCAAAAGGAAAACUCUAUCAGCCCAUAACAUCUUCAACCCACUUUGUGUUGCAGAUGAUGUUGGAAUCCCAAAUUUAACCUCUAAUUCCCGUACUUAUGAUAAUCCACCUCUCCUUCCCAGAUUGACGAUAGUUUGACGAUCUGUUUUGUCCUCGCAAUCCUUAUUUGGCUUGUACCCCCAAAUUGAAACCCCUAACGCUCGUAUACCCAUACCCUAAAUCACAGUAAUCUACCUCUCAAUCAAUAAUUCCGAUCGAAGAUGCCACUGAAAACGGCGAAGAAGGGAAGAAGUAUCGAAAAGGAGCGAUAUAUGGUUUUGAGACGGUGGAAAGCACUCCUUCUAAAGGUGGUCAAGCGUCGUAAAGUUGAUGUUGGCUCGGUUGCUCCUCGUUCCUCUUUGAAAGAUCCAAAGGACCUUGAGGUCACAGGCAAGCUAGACAAAAUUCGAAGUUUACUGAGCUGUCUAAGUUCUCAAAUAUAGAAUGCGGAACACCCUCCCCAUGCAUCUCCAGCGAAAAAAUUGAGGCCCCGAGAUGGCUCACAAAGUCAGGUAUGAAAUUGUGGAUUUGCAGCAGUUUGUGAGUUGAUCCAUUGUGACUCUUAUAUCAAUGUUUACGGUCUCGUCCUUUUUUGCAUGGAUUACAUUGGAAUUUAGUUGUGGGAAAGUUCGAUUAAAGUAGUUUGUGAGCUGCCAACAUUGUGUUUCUGGUAAGAACCUAUACAUGGAAGAGACACUCCGCCAAAAAAAGGCCCAAAUAUUCCGACAAGGCGCAGAUUGGCCCCUUCAGAGUCAAUGCCGAUAGAGGAGAGACUAACAAGAGACUUGUACUCUUUGUGUACGACACAGAGACGGACUUGCAGCUAAGCGAAACCAUCGUUGAUAGUGCUAGUGGCGGCAUCUUUACCACUAUAGAUUCUGUGAGGACACUCCGACCUGAUGGAUUCAUCAAUGACGACAUUAUAACAUUGUUUGCUGACUAUCUAUGGCAAGAACGUAGAGGAGGCGAUAGCGUUUACUUUACAACCUACUUCUGUCGGAAGACGAUGUAGUAUAGUAUACAGUUAUCUUCAGGACAUGUUGUCAACGGUGUAAGUUCGAAGGAGUUGGGUGUGAGAAGAUUUGACAAUGAUAUUCCUACAUGCAAAAAGGUAUGUCACUGGUUGGCUUCGCUUGUCAGUGAGAUGAUCAAACAUAAACUACAUGUUCACGUUUAAUUAAUCUUACAGAUUUUCAUACCCAUGCACGACCUAAAACAUUGGUACCUGUUGGUGGUGCGUCCUGAUGUCCAAAUAGCUGAAGUGUGGGAUAGCUUGGGAUGUAGCAGGAGACAGAAGAAUCAGUGCAAAACCAUUGUGAGUGAUCACGUUUAUUUCUAAACAAAACAAAAUAACUAUUAUAUUGGUGUACAUGUUUCACUUCCUCAUGAAUAAGUGGAGUUCAUAUGAAACUGCACAAAAGUAAGAAAAAAUAUCCAAGCAAUAAACUAGCCGGCACAACCCACUGCUGAACUUAGAUUACACUUUCUUAUGCCAACAACAAUAAUAACUCAGUCUCAUCUAAAUAGAGUAGUUACAUCCAUAGAGCACUGGCUUGGUGAAAAUCAUCAAUAUCUAGAGAGAAUUCAGGGUCUGAAGGCCACCACCAAUAGCCUGUUGGAGGGGAAUUGGAAUUCCCGUCUUCAAAGUGAUGCAUUUCAUUUUCCCAGUAGCACAAUCCACAACUGCAUCUCUUUACGUUGUCUAGUCCAACGUUGUACAAGUGUGCGCAAGUGUCGCAUGGUCUUUUAGUAACAUCGGCUAUGUGAGUGCAAAAUCCUUCUACCGCAGCAGAACACUGAUGAGUUUGCACGGUGUUGACUUCCUUCUCCAGAACAACUUCAUGCUCCACAUCUGGUUUGGGGCUUAGUCGGUGUUGGCUUGCUUCUUCAACAUCCACCAUAGCAUUCUUUAGAACAGCUUCAUGCUCCACAACUGAUUCUUUAGAGUUAGACAUCUUUCAACGAAAAGGUUGUGGUUACUGAAGCACUCUUAUAUAGAAACGUACUAGGUGGGAAUUGUGAUUUCAAAUUGGUUCAAAUUGAUAUCAAAUUUUUUCAAGUAACCGCCAUCCACCUCAAAUUUUACGGAUCACCAGCGUGUCUUCUAUCCCAGCCGUCAAUCCUAAACCCUACUUUUCAUCUGUAUCGUACAAGGUUGAGAAACCAUAAACACUGCCCAUUGGCCCAUUAGUCCAUUGGCCCAAACCCGGAACCCUAACUUAAUAGAUCAACGUAGAUGGGAUAUUUCAAGGACGGGACCUUCCUUGAAUUACCUCAAAUGUAAUUCUUGGAGAUCUUCCAACGUAAGCACCUUCUAAGUAAAGAUAUUGUUUCCAAGUGUGACUCUUCAAUCUUAGACGUGCAUAUCACCAUAUCUCAUGUAAUCAUCAUCAGAUGCCACCAGUAAGGAAUGUAAUCCCAGUUAUAUACUUCAAAGCAAUUAGGACCUCUUUUCAUGAUAUCCUUCCUUGAUCAUGUCUUCUUAACUAGCAUGAAACACGUCCAUAUUGCCUUUUCCAUCAAAGAUCUUCCAUGCUGCUCAAUAUCGGUAACCAAACAAUCAUCCAUAAUAGUUUAAGGAAUUUUGAAUCUUUUACAAUUUAAGGGUGAGGUUGAGUCUACGUAGUCAUGAUUUUCCUAUAAAUUGCUCAGGAUUUAGGUAGACCUAUGUCAUCCAACAAGUGGACUUAUUUUACAAUUUUUACAAUUUAUGAGAUUAUAUAUGUAUUUUCCUUAUUUUUUGGAAUUUCCUAAGGUCAUGAUUUUCCUAUAAAUUUCUCAGGAUUUAGGUAGACCUAUGUCAUCCAACAAGUGGACUUAUUUUACAAUUUUUACAAUUUAUGAGAUUAUGUAUGUAUUUUCCUUAUUUUUUGGAAUUUCCUAAGGUCAUGAUUUUCAUAUACAUUGCUCAUGAUUUAGGUAGACCUAUGUCAUCCAACAAGUGGACUGACCAAUUACCCAAGACGUCUGAUCAAACCCCCAGACGUCUUAUCGAGUUGGUCACUGCUUUAUUAUUAACGCUUCAUAAACAGGGUCGACUUUUCGAAUGGGUAUUACCUUGCCUUUUCGGUUGCCUUAUAACUUCCUUUUGAGUGAAAGUUUUCCAUCAAACCGCUAUCACUCAUUGGAAUUCCAGUUUCCAGCAUACCAGAUAGUACCUUUCAAGCCAAACUUGUCAAUGGCAAACACAGCUUCCUCUCUUCCUCUGUUCUUAGCCAAGGUUAACAAAGCAGGGUUCAAUGUAACUGAAUUGGUACGAGUGCUCUUUAUCUUAUACUCCGGCUGCAUUUUUUUUUUUUUACUAAACCAUCUACCAAUCAUAAUCAUUUGUUUGACGUUGCAGGAGAUACCUUGGUCAUUUUUUGACAAAUACAUGGUCGGUGAUGUCGAAAAAAAAGGUGUUAUCCAAAAGACUGGACAGUUUCUGUGAAACGGGAUCAUGAGUGGGUUGAGUUGCGCAGAGGAUGGGGUGUAUUUGUGAACGACGUUAUACAGAACGAUUCUGAGGCCUACCUUGUGGUGGAUUACAUGGGGGACAUGCAAUUCAAGGUUAGGGCAUUUUACUCGGAUGGAAACAUUGUCGUCGACGUUCCCCUUUGCUUGAACCAUGCCUGUGGAUUUUACAGAGGACCCCGGCCUGAAUUCUUUAGGCGCGUCACCCAUGCUUCUGAGCGCCCAAUGGUAACUUUCUUCAACUUUCAUUAUUGCAUUGAAGUUCCAUUGUGGUUUGUCUUGAGAGUGUUCUUAUUAUUUUAUGCAGGUUAUUAUACACAGAUCAAUGCUCACGGACCAUUCCACAAACAACUUCUUGAUGUCGGAAUGGGUCUAUUUGAGUUUCACCUGAAGGCGGCGCCGGCGAUUAAAACGGUCGUGCAGCUUACUCGCACAAACAGAAACUAUAUUGAGUUUAGCACCGGGUGGAACACCUUUUUGGCGUUGUGCGGGAUCCAAAGUGAAGAUUUGGUCGUUUUAGAACUAGUUCCAGAUCGCAAAAUCAGUGUCUUGGCAUUCCUCCCGGAAGACAAGGGGCCCGAGGGGGCCCUUCUAACUCCUCUGCCAACAGUUGAUGCACAUGAAUCUUCGUCGGAAAAUUAUUAAAUUUUCAAAAAAUUUUAAUUGUCUUUAAUUUCGGAAAGUUAUUAUAUAUUUCGUUUAUGAACUAUAAGGACAUGUUAUGUGUUUUGUAAAACUAGCUACAUAUGAUAUUAUGUUUUUCGUUUAAGAACUGGGAACUGUUAGAACCUCUACCUUGUGUUGAUUUUGAUUUCCAGAAUGUAUGAUGAAUGAUAAUGUACACCACGUAAACAAACUAAACAGGUAGGUUAAUCUUCGUAAACAUUGUACACUAUGUUCAAAAAACAGGUAGACCCAUAUAAGCAGACCAGUUUAGAGUUGGUCUACUCGUAGUGUGAGUCAAUGCUUCGAAGAGCUAGUACACCACGUUCACAAAACAAGUAGGUUAGUGUUCGUAAAUAGGUAAAUCAUUUUGUCUCACAAAAAAAGUAGACCCGUGCUCGUAAAUAAGCAGACCAACCUUCAUAAACAGGUAGUCCUGUCAAGAAUUCUUCAAGUGUCUGUGAAUUUUGGACACUUUAGAGUUGGUCUACUCGUAGUGUGAGACUAUCCUUCGUAAACCUAGUACAUCGCGUUCACAAAACAGGUAGGUUAGUGUUCGUAAACAGGUAGACCAUUUUGUCUCACAAAAAAAGUAGACCCGCGCUCUUAAAUAAGCAGACCAGCCUUCGUAAACAGGUAGACAUGUCAAGAAUUCUUUAAGUGUCUGUGAAUUCUGGACACUUUAGAGUUGUUCUACUCGUAGUGUGAGUCAGUACUUCGUAAACCUAGUACAUCACGUUCACAAAACAGGUAGGUUAGUGUUUGUAAACAGGUAGACCAUUUUGUCUCACAAAAAAAGUAGACCCGUGCUCGUAAAUAAGCAGACUAGUCUUCGUAAACAAGUAGACCAUUUUGUCUCACAAAAAAGUAGACCCGUGCUCAUAAAUAAGCAGACCAGUCUUCGUAAACAGGUAGACCUGCUAAGAAUUCUUCAAGUGUCUGUGAAUUCUGGACAUUUUAGAGUUAGUCUACUCGUAGUGUGAGUCAGUACUUUGUAAACCUAGUACACCACGUUCACAAAACAGGUAGGUUAGUGUUCGUAAACAGGUAGACAAUUUUGUCUCACAAAAAAAGUAGACCCACGCUUGUAAAUAAGCAGACCAGCCUUCGUAAACCAGGUAGACCUGCCAAGAAUUCUUCAAGUGUGUGAAUUCUGGACACUUCAGAGUUGGUCUACUCGUAGUUUGAGUCAGUGCUUCGUAAACCUAGUACACCACAUUCACAAAACAAGUAGGGUAGUGUUCGUAAACAGGUAGACCAUUUGUCUCACAAAAAAAGUAGACCCGUGCUCGAAAAUAAGCAGACCAGUCUUCGUAAACAGGUGGACCUAUCAAGAAUUUUUCAAGUGUGUGAAUUUUGGACACUUUAGAGUUGGCCUACUCGUAGUGUGAGAUUGUCCUUCGUAAACCUAGUACAUCGCAUUCACAAAACAAGUAGGUUAGUGUUCGUAAACAAGUAGACCAUUUUGUCUCACAAAAAAAGUAGACCCAGGCUCGUAAAUAAACAGACAGCCUUCGUAAACAGGUAGACCUGUAAAGAAUUCUUCAAGUAUCCGUGAAUUCUGGACACUCUAGAGUUGGUCUACUCGUAGUGUGAGUUAGUGAUUCGCAGCACAAGUACACCACGUUCACAAAACAGGUAGGUUUGGCUACGUAAACAGGUAGACCAUUUUGCUUCACAAAAAAAGUAGACCAUUUCUCGUAAAUAAGCAGACCAGGCUUCGUAAAUAGGUAGACCUCUCAAGAAAGUACACAUAAUAAAGUAGUUAAUAUGUUGUAAUAAAGUACACAUGUCAUGUGAAUAAUGUACACAUAAUAAAGUAGUUAAUACAUAGUAAUAUAGUACACAUCGUAUGUGAGAGGAUGAGGUUUUACAAUAAGGAGACAUAGGUUCUACCAACGGCUACGGCGGACACUUUCUGUUGCGAGGUUUUACAGUUCCGUGCACUUGUGGUUUUCCGUUUGUGUUGCUCUCGGUCGGUUCAAUCUUCACUUGCUUCAGGACUUGUACAUUCUUUUCGCACUCCUCAGUCUCUUAAUUGUUCUGAGGCUCUUCAAUCUUGUUUUCCAGUUUCUUAUUCUGUAAUCUUUUUUUGAUGUUUCUACACAUCAUUUGCCAUCUGCUGUUGUAUCUGUUCCUUAUCAAUUUCAAGGUUAGCUAUUUGCGAACCUCUUUUGAGUUAUACUGCAAUGCAUAAAUUUCAAUGAAGUUAAUGCCCAUGCCACUCAUUACCAUUCAAAUUCUCUAGUACAAAUGAAAAACAUACCUCAGUCCAUCACUCUUCAUCAUACUGCUCCAUGUGUUUGAUUGUAAAGAUCCCGCAGUCAUCAGUACCCUCUUGUUUGGGACAUUGUGGCGGCUUAAAAAUGGGAAAAUCUUCAAAUUUCUUAGUCUUCUUCACAAGAUGGCCGAAAAUAAUGUCAAAGACAUUCAACUGUUACAUCAUGACAGAAUAACCAUGCAACUGAGUAGACAAUGUUGCUGGGAUUAUGAACACAAAAGGCUUCGUGUGACUUACAAUAUCUUUGCAGUGAUCCUUGCGUGAUUUUUUGUCUCAAAGGCUAACCCAGUAUUCUCCUGUCUCGUUAUCUAUACACACAACAAAGACAUACCAAUGAUCUGAGUCAUGGAUUGGUAUGAACAUCUGUUAAAAAAAAAAUUCUUAAUGUCAGACAUCAUACAAAAUCCAAAUAUCACUCAACCCUAUUGAUUAUAAAAACAACUGCAAACUAACCUUUUUGCAAUGAGGAAGGUAUUUACUGUAACUUUUUACCCACAUUUUCUUUGGUGUAGGAACUUUUCCUACCGGUUUUUCAUACGUACAAUAUGAUUUUAGCUUGUUGCUGAAAAAAGUGUGGAAAUAAACAUUGUCGCCAGUGCUACUUGCAAGUAGAUAAGAGGCAAAUAUGGUCACAACCUCAUCGUUAAGCCAUGUGUUCGGUAGGAGAGUCCUUGCCCUCUUACAACUCUGACCAUUGCACUCAACAAGAAUCAAUUCACUGCCAACUCCAUUAUAAACAUAAUCCAGGACUGCUUCGUCAUCCACAUCCAUGAUAACAUCAAUCUUAAACUCCCUAACCUUCUGCUUCUCAACAUAAACAUUCUUGCAGGGGGCCUCCUUCUCAACAUUCUUGCAGGAGUCAGUAAGAUCAAUUAUUUUUUCUUCUUCCCUCUGUUUCUCAACAUUCUGGCAUGAGGCUUCCUUCUCAACAUUCUUGCAGGAGUCAGUAAGAUCAAUUAUUUUUUCUUCAUCCUUCUGUUUCUGAACAUUCACCCAUGAGGCCUCCUUCUCAACAUUCUUGCAGGAGUCAGUAAGAUCAAUUAUUUUUUCUUCAUCCCUCUGUUUCUCAAUAUUCUGGCAUGAGGCUUCUUUCUCAACAUUCUUCCCCAUCUCAUAAGUUUGUGAAACCUUACUCGGUUUAAAGAUAUACCUACAUGGACUGAUCACCGAUGAUUCAGAUGAAAUAUCCACGGGUGUUGAAUUCUUUGCCGGCAGCUCCGGUGACACCUAAAAGGAGGAUCAAUGUAAAUUUUAUGUAAAUUUAGGUGAAUUACUAAGCACACAAUUAUGAGAAGGCAAAUAAUCCACAUAGGAAAGAAACAACAACUCAUACCUACCCAAAUAAUACACAGAAACAUGACACUCCCCUGUAAAAGUAGACUUCAACAACUAUGUUUGUAGACCAAAUAAGUUGUCAACUUGUCAUGUUAGCACACAUUUUCGCUGUUACAAUAGCCAGUUUCUGGACAUAGAAUUCAACCUAUAAUUAUUACAGACAUGCUUAUAAGUUAUAACAUUCAAAAGGAGAUGUUGUGAGUGUCACAUCCCGACCCUUAUAUUUUCACCUUAUUUACUAGCCUGAUUAUAAUAAGAAUUUUACCGUCUCGAUCAUUGAGUAAAUAGUUUAAUUGGUCCCUAGAAGGGUUUCGGAGACGAUUAUGUGCGGAGGAUUAUUAGUAUGAGGAAAAUACGACGACGGUAAAAAUGGUAAAUUUUAGCUAGUAAAAGGUAAUUUUUAUUCGGGUUAUUAUUUUUCGGGUUGUUUUAUUUUUNNNNNNNNNNNNNNNNNNNNNNNNNNNNNNNNNNNNNNNNNNNNNNNNNNNNNNNNNNNNNNNNNNNNNNNNNNNNNNNNNNNNNNNNNNNNNNNNNNNNNNNNNNNNNNNNNNNNNNNNNNNNNNNNNNNNNNNNNNNNNNNNNNNNNNNNNNNNNNNNNNNNNNNNNNNNNNNNNNNNNNNNNNNNNNNNNNNNNNNNNNNNNNNNNNNNNNNNNNNNNNNNNNNNNNNNNNNNNNNNNNNNNNNNNNNNNNNNNNNNNNNNNNNNNNNNNNNNNNNNNNNNNNNNNNNNNNNNNNNNNNNNNNNNNNNNNNNNNNNNNNNNNNNNNNNNNNNNNNNNNNNNNNNNNNNNNNNNNNNNNNNNNNNNNNNNNNNNNNNNNNNNNNNNNNNNNNNNNNNNNNNNNNNNNNNNNNNNNNNNNNNNNNNNNNNNNNNNNNNNNNNNNNNNNNNNNNNNNNNNNNNNNNNNNNNNNNNNNNNNNNNNNNNNNNNNNNNNNNNNNNNNNNNNNNNNNNNNNNNNNNNNNNNNNNNNNNNNNNNNNNNNNNNNNNNNNNNNNNNNNNNNNNNNNNNNNNNNNNNNNNNNNNNNNNNNNNNNNNNNNNNNNNNNNNNNNNNNNNNNNNNNNNNNNNNNNNNNNNNNNNNNNNNNNNNNNNNNNNNNNNNNNNNNNNNNNNNNNNNNNNNNNNNNNNNNNNNNUUGCGGCAUGCAUUUCGAUUUUUUCCUUAGAAAUUAAUGGGGAAACAUAAAUAUUUUAUUUAUUAUUUUAUUUUUGUCCACUCACUCUGACGUUAUUAAAUGUUUUCCCCUGGGCCCUUCGUUUUAAAUUGCCCAGUCUGCAGAGUUCGGGUUGGAUCUAGUAGGAGACGAGGCAUAGUCACCCGCUUUUCGGCCAGUUUUCGCCAGUAGGUUACCUGUUCAACCUACUCGUAUUUUCUUGAUUCCGCUUGUGUUUAGUAGCUCUGAAUACUUUAGAAUUUUUGUAUAUUAUGUGAUGUUCAGAAGUGUAAUAUGAAAUUUUCGAGUUAGGGUUGUCCAUCUACAAGGGAGAUUUUCUUAAUCUUUUCAGUAAAUUUUCCUUGGAGGUGGUCCCCGCACGACUUAUUCUGGGUUUCAGGGUGAAAUUCAGGGUGGGUCGUGUCAAACAAUGUGUCUCUAAUUCUCCACUCUCUCUUCCUCCCUUCCCUUUAUUCACUUGAAGCAACAUCUAUUUAUAGGGCAACAAUGAUCUUCAUUCAAUUUCAACUCCAUGUGAAAAUGAUUCUCCAUUUCUCAAACUUCUCAAGUUUGAUAGCUAAAGUCUCCAUCCAUAAAUGCUUCCAUACAUAGCUUCAUUCUCUCAUUUUUCAUGUGAAUGAAGAGAAGAUACGUACAUAAUCUUUGAACAAUUGAAGAUUUAGUUCCUAGAAUCAUGCUUGCUUGCUUGCUUCUUGCCUCCUUGUUUCAUGGCAUAUGUCCUUGGAAAUUCUUCAUACUCUCUUCUGUUUGUAUCAAUGCAUCUAUAUACCUAUGAAUCAAACAAGCAAAAGUGAAUUCAACAAUGGAUGCCAUGGUAAUAUUUCCACACAUCACACUUAAUGCAUGAGAAAAUAAUCCACCAAUUUAACACAUGCAUAUAUGCAUACAAGCUACUAGAAUAAGAAGAACAUGUGUUGCAAUUAUUCAUCUAAUUAAAGGGAAAAAGACUCAUGUUAAAACAAAGACUCAAUUUACUAUAUGAAAAUAGGUAAAUUGCUACUAUAACUUUAACAUUCUAUUUAUUUAGACAAAACAUCUAUAAGAACACAAAAGCAAACUAAACAACUCAUACUAAUUAAAACAAGUAACUAACACAUAUAAAUCAGGGAUAAUAAUAUGAUAUAAAAUGUGCUCAUCAAUACUCAUACUACUUGCAUUUCAAUAGGUGAAUUUGUGAUAUAGAGAACAUAGUGACUUCCGAAAUUGAAAGGUGUUAUGUACCUUCUGGAAUUUUACCAUAUACCAUGAACUGAUGUGAAAGCAAUGUCUUCCCUGGCUUUGAUAAGCAUGAUCGAUCACUCAUAAUAGAUAUCUGGCAACUCUGAAAUUAAUCUGUCUAGGUAUAUAUACUUUGAUCUGCAUGCACAUGUUGGAUCGAUUUACAUUGUAUGACAAUUCAAUAUUUCAGGCUUUAAUCAUGUUAUGUUCGUCAUUGUGGCAUUUUGAUUAAAUCUGUUUCAUCUGCAUUGUACCAGAGUACUUCCGAUGAUGCAUUUAACAGAUUUUCCAGAAAUGAAGGUGUUUGGUCAUUUGAUAAUACAAUCACUUUUUCCUGAGUUAAGUCGCAGUUCAAGUGGAAAUGAAACAGGUAGAACACUAAUGAUGUGCAAAUCCUAUUCGCAACGAUCAUUGCCUCACUUUUGUUUGUUUGUUAUUGCUUCUGUUGUUUUCCCAUGUAAUGUAAUAAAUGUAUUUGCAAUAUAUUAUCUUUCCUUUUCAUAUAUGUUUGAGAUGUGAUUACGAUUCCUGGUUCAUAGUAAAAUAAGUACAUUAUUGCAUAUUUCUACAUCAUCCAUAUUCUGAAAAUUUAUUAUAAGAUUUACACCACUAGGAAUGAUAUGACACCUCUUUCACUUUGUCCGUUUUGAUUACCCUGAAAAGACUGAGUCCAAUCACAGUGAUUGUCAAAAAAUUUCUAGCCCGUAGCAACGCGCAGGUGAUUGACUAGUGUUUGUUCUAUUAGAGGUUAUUACUCAGCUUAAGAUAAUUUACAAGUUUAUGAACAACUUGUUGUCGUUGUAACAACUUAGUAAUUUGGUUCAAUUAUAUGUAAAUGUGUAAAACAAAUGUAGUAAUUUUGUUGUCAAUGUUGUAAAUUUUACGCAUUUAACUUGUCAUUUUUGUUCUAUUAGUGGUAAAAUGAGUAUUUGGUGUACAUGCUAGUAACGUAGACCCUAGAAAUGAAUAGGCUUUCUGCAAUGUGCUCUCAGUUAUCUUUCAAUGGCAAGAUUGUAUAUCACGUACACUAGAAAAUGCAGGACCCCUUAUUUAUACAUAGUAAACCGGAUAAGUCACUCACCAACACCUCAAAGGCGAUCGAAUUCUAAUCCAACAUGUUUACAUUAUCUUCUAUCAUCAAACUCUAAUAAUCGCCAUUUUCUCUGAACUCACUACUAACCAAUUUCGAGACUAAAGAUAUUCCUCAUGGAUCAAUGAAGUACCAAGUCCAGAUCUCAGACUCGACCCAGAUCCACCCUCAUACAAAUAGACGACUAUAAGUUAGUAAAAGCCCAAAAGGUGAUCACCCAAAUCAAACUCCAAAACUUAUGUCAAUCAUGAAACAAUUUCUAUUUAGGGAUAUAUAGCAUUGCAUUGAAAGGGAUAGUCGUUGGUAUAAUUACGUCAAGUAUGGGUUUGUUUACUCCCCUAGGUGCCCUAGGUGGUGACACCCAUUUUAUUUAUUUUUAGUUCAUAAUGCACCAUAAUUGAUUGGCAGCCAGAGUAGACAAAGAUGUGAACAUGAUUCUUCACUCCUAACUCUCACAUGAUCACCAACAAAAUUGUCCCAACCAGGUCACCAGAACAAUCAUAUAAUAGUCCCAAUCAUAUGAUAGUGCAUAAGAAAAAGCUGGAAGAACCAAGCAGACCUAGCUAGUGCAUUUUUUAUAUACAUCUUAGAGCAUUACAUGAGUUCCACUAAUCACUACUACGAAUUCCAAAUUGCCUGUUUGCUAGCAUGUAAUGCAUAGAAGAGAAUAAAUAGUUCAUAGUUCAGGUUAUAAAAUCUACACUGACAAUAAGAAGUAAAGGAUCACAAGAACAGUUCCAAACAACACUGGCCCUCUGUUUGAGUAACUAAAGCUACUAUCACUCGUUUCUGGUGCACCUUCCGGGACUGUAGCAGCCUCAGGUGGGCAGGUUCCGUAGCUCACAUUCGCCUGCGACAACAUGAGAAUACAUUAUCAGCAGACAUAGGUAAUACUUGCUGUUCAGAUUGAUCUUGCUGAUCUGACAGCAUGAAAUAAAAAUUGUGGGAAGCUGCUAGCUCACCUUGCAAUCGGCGAUGCUUGCACACCCGCAAACUAAAUGACCAUUUACCACAUCUACAGCUUUAGGAGCACCGCCACCAUCGCUUCUCUAAAUUGAUUGAUUACGGAAAAUGAAAUAAUCAUAUAAGAAUGAGCUGAGCAUCUGCCUAACUUCUAAGUUAACUACUAUCUUUCUAGUCCGACUUAUAUUUAUUGAUUUUAAAAACAAUCAUUCAUACCUUGUAAAAAUCAACGGCAAUGAAGUUAGGCCAUCUUUUACCAGCCACAUUGUAACAGGUAUUAACCAUGUUAAGCAACGAAUCUGAAUUAUCUUUGCAAGAUUGAGGGAGGGUUGGGGUAUCUCGGAAAUAGUUCACUAGGACUAAUGAUCUCGUUGUUGUGUUCAUGGCUGAUGAUUCCGCACGGUUUGGACAUGAUCCGGCUUUCAUGCCACCAUUUCCAUCUAUAUAUUUCAGUUCCAUCAAAAUUGUAUCUAAUUUUGCUUAAAAAUAAUAAUAAUUACAGAAACAAAGAGAACCACUUGUAAGAAAAUUGGAAGAGAUCAAUUAAAAAGGGGGACUCACAUUGGUUUUCUACCAUAUAACUCCACUGGUAAGCAAUGCCUUCAUCAGCCUCUUUUCUUUGCUUGGAAGUGAAGACUAGCAAACGCUGAUUUUUCUGGAUCAUAUCAGCAACUGUUGGCCAAUCUCCACCCCUUUUGGGCAUUCUUGAAACUGGAAACCAGAAUUUUCUCAAACCAGCAGCAUCAAACACUUUUGUCAACCCCUUUGGUGAUGUAACAUAGUCUUCAAUUAUAAUCGUCACAAUCUCAGACGGGUUUGCUUCAAGAAAUGCCGUAAUUUCUUUUAGUUCUCCAAUGGCAGGUUGCUGAUACAUAAAUAAGAUCAUGCAAGAUUAGAACGUGUUAUGGAGUGAUUUUAGCUCUCCAGUUUCACUGUUUCAUACUUCACUUCUAUCGACUUAACAGUUCAGAUGUAUAGAAACGCAUGUGGUGCCAAAUCACUAUAUAUGUUUUCAAAAACCAACCUUUAAAUAUAUCUAUAAUAAGCAAAGAAGUGAAUAUAUAGUUAACCAGGAUUCUGAUAAAUGUAUCAAAAUAAUUUCAUUCAUUCCAAACUCUGCAUAUAUACACUCACAAAAGCUGUGUAGUUGUAGCAUUGGCCACCGUACGAGUGACAUAACCAAAUGUCACCUAAAUAGUCAUACAUGUCCAACAUUAAGCCUCUAACACCAUUCUGCAAGAUGAUCAUACAACUUUGUAAACAUAUCUCAUAAUUUUGAAGUGAAACAAGAGAUCAACUGAUGCAGGUAAACUGGUAAAGUACAUGGAAUGCAGAAUAUUAAUUAUUUAUCCUCAUGGCAAUAAUUAUUUAUUUAUUCCAAUUAUAGAAAUGAUUAUUAAUAUUGGAUCACCUAUCUGAUUCCCUCGUUCCUUUUAAGGUCAAUAUAUAUAUGACUCCCCUCAUGGGUCAUAUGUUUAUUGUUAGACAGAUGCUUAUAAGGUUUGCUUGUAUUAUAAAGCAAGCAUGCUAGGUGCAUUUUGCAAGUAGUUAUCAUCAUCAUAUCAUAAUAUUAGUUUUUUUUUUUUUUCCGUAUCAUCAUCAUCGUCGAUUUCAUACUAUGAAUAUUCAUUAUAAGUAUAUGCUUGUUCCCUUCGUGCUCAAUUAGAAAAUAGAGGAACAAGAGGAAGAGGAAAUUAUCAAAGUCAAAACACACCUAAUCCAUAACAAUUUGAUCUUAAUUAAAGAAGUAGGUAAAAAAGUCGAGUCCUCAAGACUUGCCUAUCCAUCCUUCUACGGUUGUACAAGCAUAAAAAACAUGAUAUACUUGCUGGUAAGCCAAGACCGCAACACUUUUUUUGCUUCUUUCUUUAGAAGUGCAUUUGAAGCUGAUCAUAGUUUCAUGAGUUCAUCUUCAUUCUCCAGUUGUUACGUAAUCCUAAGUACCUAAAUUAUAGAGUUAUGCUAGUUUAAGUAACCUACAUGUACGUGUGUGGAUGAUUUUGAAAUGUAGAUGAUAGUGAGAUUUGCAGAUGAGUCAAAUUCAGCAGUUGCUGGAAAUCAUGAGUAUCACAUUGAUACAAAGACCAACACAAAUAUUGGGGAGGUUAUUCCAACUUGUAUGAAUACCCUUCAAUGCUUAUAAUUAGGACCAAGAUAUAACCUAGCUCGAACCAUUAUUUCAAUGUGUAUAAGGAAUCCUACUGCAUCUGCAGCUACCCAAGCCUCCAUUUUUAUUAAGUGGCGUCCAAUUUUUGCCAAGCUAUCAAUUUCAAUAUUUAUUGAUGUACAAAUCUGACUAGGAGGCCAACAACCACGUUCAACAAAAGAAAAAAACUACCAAUUAUCAUUGCGAUCAUGGUCCAAGGCUGUUAGGAUUUAUUCUUAAAAGAAAAACGAUGUUUGGAUUCAAAACAUACUAAUGGUUUAUAUUCGAAAUAUGAUAUAAAUGUUAAUCUUGAAUCCAGAAUUCCGGAGUCCAGACUCGUCCAAUCUUCUAAACUUGUUAGAAAUGUUAACAAUGUGUUUAUUUGUCGUGCGAGUCUCGGCUUUCUCCCACUUCCACAUAAAUCAUUUUCAUCUCCUAAUCUGUUUUUCACUCAAUUAUUCAUGCAUUGCUUGGUGUUUUCUGAUAGGUUGGGUUUGGUCUUUUUCCAACUAUAGUACAAGCCUGUGUGCUUUUGAUGAAUAUCAUCAGUAACAUCAUACAAGCAAAAAAAGAUAAAAGAUAAAAGAUAAAAGAAAAAAAAUUGUGUGUGUUUGUUCUUCCCGAGAAAAAACACAAGGAAAAAAAAAUAUAUAAUUUGCAGAAAAGUAAAGAAGAUAAAGAACGUACAUUGAGCUGAUCGGUAAUGGAGUCCUGCUGGUUCGUCGGAGCCAAAAUCACAGAUUUCGUGGCCGACUUCUGCCCGAGUAUCGCAAACGAAUUGUGGGUUGUUAACCAAGAAUACUUGUUAAACGGCAGCGUUUUCACCUGUUCCAAGUUGCCACACCAUUACUGAACAGGCUACAAAGGACAUGCUAAGAGCCAAAGCCAAAGCCAAAGCUGAAGAUUAGAAUCGGGUAAAUUACCUCAGAUAUUGGACUUGUGGGUUUUACCCUCGUGCACUUUGGCACAAAAUUGUUGUCUGCAACGCAAGUCUCGCAGUGCAAUCCUGCGUCGCAGUCACUGUUCUUGAUGCAUUUCUGUCCCUCCUGGAAAUAGCAGAGAAAACAGAGCAAAAAUGAUGGUUGGUGUUGGUUUUAGUUGAUGAAAAAUGUGAAAUUUGAGCAAAAACUGAAAUGGGUUUUCAGUUUUGAUGCUUUUGGAUGAAAAACUAAUGAUUACACAGAGCGAGGUACCUUGCGGGCUGAAGAAACAGGAAGGAAACAAAGCAAAGAAAACAGAGUUGCAAUGAGCACGAGUCUCUGCAAGGGAAAACCAAAGAUGGAUUAGUAAGCCAUACACGAAGAAGAAGAAUGAAGGAAAGAAGAUGAUGAUUAAGAACAAGUUGAUUACCUGCUCCAUUGCAGAGAGAAUAACAAGUUCAAUGAAAAUUUCCCUCACAGAAACCUAACCAAACAAAAACAGACUGAAGAAAACAAAUAUAUAGAGGUAGAGCCCAAAACCCAGAACUACCGCCGUGUAGCAAUGUGAAUUGGCUUGGGGGGGGGGGGGGGGGGGGGGGGGUUGUCUCAGAAACCAGUAUCCAAAAGUUCUUAUAUGACUGGUUAGGUUUGGUCCCACGCAUCAUCUUCCCUCUGAGAAAUUCAUACAUGAACACAUGCAAUAUAAUAAAAGCUGCCGAGUUGAAUAUAAUAAAAGCUGCCGAGUUGACGACACGAGAGUUGGUACUUUUGGUAGCAUACACAAAUCGUGUUUAUUACCAGUCAAAUUCCCUUUGGGGUUUUUUCGUGGGAACAAACUAGCAAAGGCUAAUGUUAAUUUUUAUCGAAAAAAAAGGUUAAUGUUAAGCUUUAUAGAUAUCAACUUUUAUUUCAAAAAAUGUAGAUCUUAAUUUUCGAUUGACCAGGAGGAUGAUAAUUGUUAUCGUUGCACAAGUUGCGAGUUCAAAUUUUUAGAAUGUCAAUCAUAUCAUGAGAUAGGGGUGUGGAUGAGGAUUUCCAAAAGGAAGCUAUGCCAAAUUUUGAAAUGAACAGAUCGACCCAUCUGAUUUGUCAUGCAAAAAUUUUCUUCUUUGUUGGUUGAUUACAAGGGCUUGGACAGACCAAUGUCUCCACAAGUCCUUCAAGCUCAAGCAAAACCACAUGAAUGAAAUGAUGAGAAACCUAUUUAAUCGACUACUAAUUUAACCUCUAAAGUUUCUUCAUGAGAAGAGAGUCUCAGGAGGAUAAAUGUAUAUAUAAACUCAGAUAACACAAGUAAGACAUGCUUCUAGUUCUAUGGAAUCCAAAGCAGCCGGUGCUCGUAGGCGCAUCCAUAGAUGUAGGUGGAAUGAACAAUGGAUCACUUGGGGUCCUAGCCGGAAAAAACAUGUCCAGACCUAAAAUGACCCUUCUCACUGUACCAAAUGCAAACGAGAUUACGGGGUAUAAGGUUGGCCGGGAUUGGAGCAGUUAGGGUUUAGGGUUGCAGUGCUAUAGCUCCGCUACCGGAAAAUAAGUUCACGAACGACAGGGCUGCAGGGCAACUCAUGCAUGGCCGACUGGUUGAGCGGGAGUUGAGCUCAUAUCUAAUCUUCUUCAAGUGAGUGUGGGGUGAGGUAAGAGCAUUCUUAAGUGCAUGUAUACUACUCCUACCUUAGCUAUAGAAACUAUGUUGGAUAAUUUUACUUUUGAGAUUUUGAUAUAAGUUUGUAAAAAUUAAUUUGCAUGAGCUGAAUGGAGAUAUGAGAAUCUAAAAUACAAGCAAGUUAACAAAACAAUAAAGAUGAAUAAAUUAGGAGAAGAAGGUAGUAUAGAACUAUAGAAGAAAGAUUACAUUUUAUUCAAGAUUUGAAGUUACAUACAUUGGUCGGGCACCCACACAUUCAUAUUUUUUUAAAAUAACAUGUCAUUUAAAGUACCGCGCACACAUUAUUUUUUACUAAAAAGCAAAUGAAUAGUUAUUUAUGUGCUCAACACAUGGCUUCGUAUAACUCUCAUGUGUACUAGUACAUGGUAGUGCUAGCUUGCAUCCCCUCAUGGAGUCAUGGUUGGUGGUCAUAUGCACACUAUUACUUAUUAUACAAAAUACAUAAUAAUGGAAUUUAGCUGCAUGCGAUAUUACUCUUUUACACCCGAUAUUCACUCUCUUAUUAGUGUCCCGCCUCUCUAAUUAUUUGUUUAUUGAAUUUGAAUCACAUUGUGGAAUCAUCAAAUAUGUCCUUAAGCUAAAGACUAUAGUUCUUCCCUACUUCCCUUCUCUCUUAGAGUGUUUGCUCGAAGAUCACUCGAAGAAAUAAAUAGGUGUUUGCUUGAAGCAGCUUUCUUUCUUUAGAAAUUUGUAACGUAUAAGUAUCAAUAAGUUUGCCAAAUAUUGUUCCUAAAAGAGAACCUUAGUCUCACAAGCGAUGUUGCUUCAUCAUCGCUAGUGUAGUAACAACAACAUAGACGCAUGUUUAAAUUUCUCUUUCGUACUCCACAAUUGGUCGUCAAAAGCAUGCAACUAGCUAGUCUACAAUUCAAUUCCCAUUCUAGAAAAUUGUGUUGUUGUACUAAUUAACAAAUUCGGAAAGUCACUUUUUUUUUUUGGUUUUUUUUUGUAAAUUUAGAAAGUCACAUUUCAAUGUCUAAAAAACUAAAUUUUAGUUAAACGAUUACUGUAAUCUAAAUUCUGGAACACUAGUUUGUACUUAUUGAUUCUAAAGAAGAGUGCAAGCAAUUUCCUGAUUUUUUUAUUUUUAUUUUUAUUCAAGAUCGCAGUAUCUCAAAUGCUUUCUAAGCCCAAAGACUAAUUCGUUGAAGGCCCGAACAGGUAGCAGAGCAUUGCAGCCCCUCCCUUAGCCACUUUUAACAGUGUCGUGGUUCGAACCUAGGUUGGGGAGCACACCCAAUUAGGCAAGAAUCAUUAGACUACCUUGCAAUUUUCCCGAAACUUAACAUGGUGGUAAACACAAAAAGUGUCGUCAUUUAGUCACACAUUCAUAAAUUUGUAUAUAAAAUACCACGGUGCAUAGGGAACAUGUGUUUAUAUAUGUUUCACACGAGAUAACAUGGCUAUAUUAGUUUUGAACGGGGACUCAUUAAUUUGUAUAUCAAGCUAUAAACACCUUUUUUUUAGGGAAAUUGAGAUAAUUCCAGUUGGCAUAGCCAAUAUGUACAACUAGUGAAACGCUUGGUCAGAUAGAACUCCUUUACAAGCUCAGAGAUCCCUUAUUUGACUAAAACUAAAAAACUAAAGUCCAAAAAGACUGACAAUCCAACACAACAACUAAAAGAAGGAAAAAAAACAGAAAAUCCUCUACUCUUGAAGAGCAUGACGCCUAAGACUUUCAUUGAUGUACGUUUCCACUCAUCAGAUCAGUGAACAACUUCAAACUAGCAGCCAUAUAGGUUAGAGAUGUCACUCCCACAAAAGUCCAAUCAUAGGUUAAGCCCACAUGGAGAAAGAAUGAGGAAAUUAAUUAAGGAACAAAGCCCCAUCACACUAGCCCACACAAAUGCAGCUCAGCAAGACAAGGCCCAAAGCCCAACCUACCCCUCAUCUAGCCCAGUUAGCUCGGCCUGAGACGACUAUCGUUGGAGCUUCUGACCGACAGAUCAGUCCGGUGGUCGUCCAGAUUUGAGGCUCAUGAUGUCGCCGCCGCAAAGAACUGCCAAGCAGAAUCAAACUACCACCACCGCUGAGAUGUAGACCUUCCUCCGCUCUCUUUCACAACUUCUAGGCUACCAGAGAUUAGAGACCUUUGCCUCAAAGCAGCCUUCCUCACCUUCGCAACCCUCUACUUGCUCCGCCUCGCGCGUCCCUGCGAAACAGAUCCGGGAAAGAAUCACUCGUCGACGUCGUACAAGUAACUCAUCGUCGCCUCCCAUGUCACCGACCCAAAUCAAUGAACCGAUCAAACUCCACCACCUCCUUCGCUUGCCGACAAGGCUCAGUGCCAGAGACGCCUUGUAGCAAGCAGAUGACCCGUCGGGUCGCCGCCGCUGUGCUUCACGAAACCUAGGUUUGGGUAUUAGGCUCCGGGAGAAGUGGAGCUAAUAGUUCCAUCAAACUCCACUCUUUAUGUGACACAAAUUCGUAAAAGCAUUUCACAUUAUUAUUUUAGUACGAAGCAUACUAUUUCAUAUUCGACCAAAAAUAAAACUUAUUAUUUUAUUACCUUCCCAAUAAUAAAAAACAUAACAACGAGAGUGUUCCUCAAUUUAUUUGUCAAAAGAUAGAGGGUUAAGAAACACCAUCAUGAUUUUCUUCAUGCCAACUAAACAAAAAUCAUCAACCUUCUCUAUGACAAAUCAAAAUAUCAUCAACUUUGCAUUGUUGUCUACGAAACACUAUUAAAGUUGAAAAUUUAGCAAAGUAAUUUUAUCUUCAGAAAAAGGUCAAAACCCCAAACACCAAAAAAGAAUAUUGACAUAUUGAAGGCCGAAAACGAACCGUCCUUUGGAAUUUGAAGAAGUUCGUGUACUCCUCAAAUAAUGUCAGGCCACCAGCAUGAGAUGAUUGUACUCCUCAAACAUUAUAUUGGACCACUGCUACUAACAAUUUACUAUAUACCAACAUUAAUAUUUUGUUUUUUCAGAUGGAAACAUUUGUUUUUUUUUUUUUUUUCGGUCAAAGCAAAGAACAUCACAAACUGAAACAUCUAAAGAAGAUUACAAGAACAUAUGCUAUUGUUUUCUUUUAGAUGGAAACAUUUGCUAUGGUUUUCUUUCGAGCUAUAAUAGGAGAACAGCUUUAUUGCUCUUCUUCUAGUGUUGAAGAAUUUUAUCAGUCCUUGACCAAGCUAUCAAACAUUAAUCUGUACACAACAGUUUGCUCUUAUGAUGAAUAUAUUUUAUCUAAGUCGAUCGUAAAUUUUAUAGUUAAACAACGGUAUGUUUUGAAUUACAAAUUAGAUUUAUCAAAAUGAUCGAAUGAUGCAUUUGAUACUGUAAUUAAUAAUUUUGAUUAUGUAGACCGUAGUGUGCGUAUUACAACAUCAACUCCUUGUAAAACUAUUUAGUCACAAAUUUAAAAUGUAACAUGUUAUUUGUUUAAAAUGAGAACGAUCAAAACUAAUUACACUAUCCUGAAUUCCUCUAAAAGGAAACAAUAUCUUGGAUUAGAUUGGGGUACAAUAUGUAAUUGUUCUUUGUAAAACUCUUUCUAUUUAUCAAAUUUGAUGCAGAAAACAUGCUACAUGUCACAUUCAUAGUUUAUUGAGGGUAUAAUGUAUCCUAUCUUAGUUAUCUGGGUCCCCUACUCCCCAGAAGACCAUGCACAGUGACACCCACUAUUACUAUAAAUUUCUGUUAAAAACUAAAAAUGAGAAAAUGAAAGAAUUUGAUUCCAGAACUUGGGGCGGGCCCCAAAUCUAGUACACUCCAGAGUCAAACAAGACUUCUCUCUCGCCCUCUCUCUCUCUCUCUCUCUCUCUCACAUGCUUCACUCGCACAGUGCUCACAGCCUUCGUUUUUAUGGUUCCAAUGUGCUAACACACUCGGUCGUCGUUUCUUCCCGAAACCCACUUCAACCCCACCUCUCUUUCUCUCUCGCUCAGCCCAGCUUUCCCUCUUCUUCUCCACCAUGGUGGUUUACAGACUCGGAUGUCUUCUGGGUUUCCUUGCUUUUAUUGGACUGCAGCUAAUCCCUCUAGCAAUGGCUGGUUAGUAUAUUUUCUGGGCCACACUUACAUUCUUGUUUCUUAUAUCUCUGCUUUGGUUUGGUUCUUGUUAUUUGGUUUUUGCUUUGUAUGUUAUGUCUUUCAGUGUGAUUGAAGAGAGCCUGCAGAUGUUUAGUUGUUUAUUAUUGGUGUUGUGCUUUGUUUCUUUUUCCCUUCUCAUUGAAAUUUCAUGUUUUGGGUGCUUUUGGAUAUUUACUGUUGUAUGUACUACUUCUGGAGAUGGGUCUAUUCCAAGUCCUCGACUUUUCUGAUUUUAAGGCAACCCGUGAGUUCUAUAAUCUUUUUCAUAUCCUAUUAUAUUUUGCUGUGAUUAUCAAUGGUGUCUUACUGUCUUUUAUGGAAUGUAUGACUUCCUGGGGUGUUUGGAAUUAGACAAGCUCAUUGCUUUGAUGGUGGUCCUAGAUGUAAUUUGCUUCCUGUGUGUUUAAGUGUUCAGCUCCUUGUUGUGAGUUUCUUCGUUUCAGCUCAAUGGACGUUUCAGAAUAUUAUUUUUUCUUCUUCUCAAAGUUGCAGUUUUUCCAUAGUAGUUCAUAACCAAAGUGGUGGACUGCAACUGGGUCUUUGUAGUUUGAGUAACCUCUCUGGUUUCAGUAUUAUUGUUGUCUCGCUGUAGUAUCUUAUAUUUGUCUAUCACUAAAAAUUAAAGGCUGUAUCUUAUAAGUAAUGUGCUUAUGUGUGCUUGCUUGGUGUUGCAUCCUAUACGUGAGCAUGAUCGAGGAUUGCAUCAAUGACAAGUGAAUGAACAUUUAUGUUUUCGUUUUCUUUUCAAAGCUUUAUUACACUUGAGGUUAACUGAACUUGUUAGGAUAUUCUAAGAAAGUAAAAGUAUUUUUGUCUGUGGAUAGAGUCACUGCUGAUGAAGUAUCUUUUUGAUAGUGAGAAAUCUGCAGAAUCUAUCUUCUGUGCUCAAAGCCUUCUUCUUUUUAGCUCUGUGACCGGGGUACUUCUUUUUCUUCUAUUUCUUCUCAGUAGAGCUAAUAUCCUGAAGUUAAUGUUGUCUCUUUUUAGUAAUGAGCAAUAGAUGUUUAAGCGGUAGGCGCUACAGGAGGUAAUGAGGGGUCAGUGGGUAACAGGGUUUGGAUUAAGAUAGUUAUAAGUUCAAUCCCAUCAAGUCUCCUGUCUCUAAAAAAGAGACGGUACAUGUUUGGAGACCAAACACUCGUCAAGCAGACCGAAUUGAAGAUUAGAAACUUGCAUUUUAGUACAUCGGACAUUGCUAAUGCAAUAUAUAGGGUUUUAAUUAGGGCUGCCACUCGGUCGGUUCGAAUCGGUAAUAGGCGUUACCAACUUCAAAACCAAAGCUUUCGGUAAUGAAAUAUGACUUUCAAUUACCAAACCAAAAACUUCGGUAUGAGAUAAAUCUUACCAACUUCGGAUGUCGGUUUUUCGGUAUUACCAAACUUCACAACAAAUAUAUUUUCAAAAUAUAACAAAACAAUACAAAACUAUAAAAUUUAAAUAUCACUUGAGUUUCUAGAGUCUGAUAAUACAUAUACAAAAGAUAAUCAUUUCAGUACACAUUAUCGAGUAUGGUUUAAUUUUCUACCGAAAUAGUCAGGAUGUAAAUGUUUCCAAUUUUAUUAUGACAAGUUAUGUGUCAUCUAUGUGAAGUAUGUGUGUGGANNNNNNNNNNNNNNNNNNNNAAGUCACAUAAAGGCAGUAAAAGCUUUUUCGUGUAAUAAGUGACGUUAAAUUAUGGUUGACCGCUUUGAUCAAGACCCAAGCAUUAUUGAGUACAAUUGAAUUUUCUAUCAUAAUUGUAUUAUACUAUAAUGAUCACAUCAGACGGUCGAAUUUUAAUUUGUGAAUUGUAAUCAUUGGAGCCACAACAUGCCUGGUAAUGUGGUAUAACUUAUUUAGUAAGUUAUAUGCAUAUGUACAUCUUUGUGAACCAACUACAAAGAGGAAGCAAAAUUUUCAAAAACCUUGUGAACUAUGAUGUGAUCAAUAUAGUGAAAUAUGACUAUGGUAGAAAAAUUAGGUAUUUUUGAUAAUGUUUUGGCCUUGAUCAAGGCGGCUAACCCUAUUUACGCUUGUGCUUCCUAUGGGGAGCCCUAUCAUCAAGAGAGGUAAAAACAUUCCUAAAUUUUUACAUAGGCGGUUACAUGUCAUCUAAGUGGGUUUGUCUAUAUGUGUGUGUGUGAUGAAUCGACUAAGACGGGUAGGUAAGAGCGUUUUUAUAUAACAAGUAACAUUGAAUUAAAGUUGAUCGCUUUAAUUAAGACCCGAAUGCUACCAAGUAUAGUUGAAUUUUUCUAUUCAUUGUCUUGUUUUUUACUAAAUGGUAUAUACAAUUGAAAACGUGAGAUAAGAUUAUUAGUCUGUGUGUUUUUAGAAAUAUAAGUCUUUAAAUAAUUAGAAUUUCGGUAAAUUCGGUAUUUACCAAAAACCAAACCAACUUUUUCGAUAUUUCUCGGUUUCGGUUUUUUUGAUUUCGAUUACCAAAAUUCGGUUUACCAAAUCAUAAAUUUUUGGUUGGUUUUCGAUCGGUUUGGUAUUUACCAAACCAAGUGGCAGCCCUAGUUUUAAUGUAUUUAUCUAUAUUAUUGGCAGUCCUAACACUCCUUCACAAAAGCUGCAAAUUUAUUAUGUUACAAAAAUUGUUCACACGAUGAUCUUUGAAUGAUUUAUGGUUUCUUGUGAUCGAUACCAUAAUGUUAUCAUCAUGAAUUAUUAACAGUACAUUUUACUCCUGCAGACUGUCCAUUAAAUUUAAGUAGAUCAAAUGCUACUCUAGUUGCCUCUUUGUGCUCGAAUAGAGACGACAGAGGAAAAUGUUGCCGCUACGUAAAUGCUUUCAUUGCAAUAUCUAUUGCUCAGUAUGCAAAUGCAACAAGCAACUUAGGGGUACCUUCAAACUUAUCCAACACAUGCCUUGAUUUCAUAUCACAAACUUUAGAAUUGCAUGGAGUUCCCCAGAAUGCAACAGCUUUCUGUGGUUUGGGGACAAAAAUCCCAGUAAAUUAUGAGUGUAAGGGUCGAACAACUGUUACACAGAUGGUGCAGUCUCCAGAAUUCCCUGAUGUCAUGGAAAAUUGCAAAGUACCACUUUCAGGGGAAAGUAAUUGCAAGAAGUGUAUAAAUGCUGGUAUUGUAUAUCUUCAUCAUCUAUUAGGAACUGAAACUAAUAUAACAUUCAAUACCUGCCGUGAUGCAACUUUUGCUGCACUAGCAAGCCAAGUUGAUAUUGCUUCAGCUGUUGGCAUUGCAAGCUGUUUCUUUCAAGUCCAGGGGCUUAACAUCCUACCAGGUACUCACAAUUUUGGAAGAAAAUGAGAUUUAUGUUGUAUGUAACAGAGGACAUGAUCUGGUUUUAGUUUCAUACUAUUUUCCAAACUUCGUGGUGAUCUUUUUAUUUGAUAUAAUUAUUUACUUUCUAGUUUGAAUUCUGUUCUGAUCUAUUUAUUUCAGUAUUUAAAUCAUGUGUAUCAUGUUGUAGUAGUUCAUAACUCAGCAGGUAUUCAUGGUAGUUAUGUGAUACAACAUUUAAAACAAGUGGCUCACUUUUUCAUAUAUAUUAGUUUCCAAAGUUGAUACUAUUGUAAUUACGUAUUCUUUCUUGCAAUAGUUUCAGAGCCAUCGCCAUCAUCCACCCCAAUGGCAUCUCCAAGUCCAUUGGUAGCUGCUAGUCCAAACCAACAUUUGUUGGGCUUACCCUUUAGUGAAAAACAUCAUGCCUACCAUCUGACCCUGGUUCCAGUUAUCGGCAUUGCAGUAACAGUUGUUGCUGUAAUGAUGCUUUUGGUCUUGAUAGUUCUUAUUCGUAAGAAAAACAGAGAGCUAAUGGAUUUUGAAGAUAUAGAUAAGACAUCUAAAUCAUUUCCCCCACCUCGUCCUUUAAGGAAAUUUCAGGAAGGUACAGUUAUGUCUUUUUCCUGGUAGCUUGCCUUGUUGAUGUCUGGUAAAUGUAACUAAAUCAUUUCAUUGGGGGUGUCUUGGAUGCAACUCAUGUGCAGGUCCUCCAUCUAUGUUUCAAAAAUUCAGCUACAAGGAGAUAAAGAAGGCGACAGACAAUUUCAGUACUAACAUUGGACAAGGGGGAUUUGGAACUGUGUACAAAGCUCACUUUAGUGAUGGUUUAGUGGCAGCAGUGAAGCGGAUGAACAAAGUUUCUGAGCAGGGGGAGCAUGAGUUCUGCAGAGAGAUAGUGCUUCUUGCCAGAUUGCAUCAUCGUCAUCUUGUUUCUCUUAGGGGUUUCUGCAUUGAGAAACAUGAGAGGUACACAUUAUGUUUCUGAUCAGAAAAUGAAUUUGUGUAAGUUGUGGAUAUCAUGUACGUGGCCUAAUGCUUUUUCUGGAUGCUGUUCUUACUUCCAUGGCAGGUUUCUGAUGUAUGAGUACAUGGCAAAUGGUAGCUUGAAGGAUCAUCUUCAUUGUAUGUUUCUUUAUCUCUUCAAUCACUUGUGCUGAGAAUGGUGCAACUGUGAAACAGUUUUAUAGAAGACGAUGGUUUCAUGAUAUUUUUUACUGUAUUUGAAAUCAACCCUUAUAGUUGCAUUUGGUCUCCAACAUUGCUAAAAAUUUAUGACUGUUUAACAGCGUUUAGUUCCUAAAAUCUUGGUGACAUCACACUAGAUAUGGAGAUUCAUUUCUUUUCUUGAAUGAUAAAUACAUGCAUUCAAAUGCUAGGAAAGAUAGUAAUAUUAUCACUCUGUGAUUCAAUUUUGAAAGUAACAUUUCUUAAAGUCCCAUGUUUUCUGAUUAAGUUUACUCAUACAGCUCCCAAUAAAACUCCUCUAAGUUGGCGGACUAGAGUUCAAGUUGCCAUUGAUGUGGCUAAUGCUCUGGUAAUUUGCAGAAAUAUCUCAAUUUUCGACUGACUGCUCCAAUUAGAUUUGUCAUUUACUUCUUGCUAAAGCCUUAUAGAUAGCGCAUGAUAGUAAUUUUAGUUUCUAAUUGCCGUUUUGACAUACAGGAGUAUCUCCACUUCUAUUGUGAUCCUCCUCUCUGCCAUAGAGAUAUCAAGUCCAGCAAUAUCUUACUGGAUGAAAAUUUUGUGGCCAAGGUAAAUAGUGGCUGUAUGCACAAUUACCACUGCAAUUCAAGAUGGACGGACACAUUGAUAAGCGUGUUCUUUCUGGAAUGAUUGAAUGGCAAGAACCCCUUUAAAUGAUUUGAACUAAAUUUAUUAAUUCUUUCAGGUUGCAGAUUUUGGCCUUGUCCAUGCAUCAAAAGAUGGUUCAAUUUGCUUUGAACCGGUGAAUACUGAUAUCCGGGGAACUCCAGGUUAGAGAAAAUUCUAUUUAUUAGACUGAAACAUUAACUUAAUAUUUGGUGCUUAAGAUCUUCAGGUUAUAUGUUGGAUAUCUUCAGGUUAUAUGGAUCCGGAGUAUGUCGUUACUCAGGAGUUAACAGAGAAAAGUGAUGUAUACAGCUAUGGUGUCCUAGUGUUGGAGAUAGUGACUGGGAGACGAGCAAUACAAGACAACAGGAAUUUGGUUGAAUGGUCUCAAAAAUACAUGGAAUCGGAAUCAAGACUACCAGAUUUACUCGAUCCCCGUAUAAAGGACUCAUAUAACUUGGAUCAGCUUCAAACACUCAUGUCUGUUGUCAGUUGGUGCACCCAGAGGGAAGGCCAGGACAGGCCUUCAAUCAAACAGGUGCUUAGGCUUUUGUACGAGAGUUCGGACCCAAUGCAUAGUGGAUUUAUUGCAUCUGUAAACGAUGAAGACUAUGAAGAGACAGAAGGAAGAGGAAGGAACAGUAAAGGGAAGAUGCAUAGGAAUGACAUGAUCUGUCACAGUGGGGAUGGGAGAUAUCUGGCUUCUUCUUCAAGUACAUCCAGGUCAUAUUGUAGCAGAAGCUUUUUGCUUGAAACUGGGUCUCCACAGUCCCCUCCUAAUAUUUUGUCUGUUUGAUGCAUGCCUUCAUUUGCUGUAGUCACCGAAAAGGGGGUAGCACAAGUGCAUGCAUAUUUGAAAUCACUAUAUUAGAUUGCCUUUUUCUACAUUUGCUUCACCCUAACCUUUUCAGAAGCACAUCAAACAACUUCCAGAGGAUAGUAUAAGAACCCGUUCUCUUUUUGGUGUUUUUGGGGAAGUUAAUUCAUGUUUGCUUUUAUUGGUUCUGGAGUUGCACAAUUUUGUAACCAGCAUCAUUUAGAAGGAAACCAAUUUACAGAAGUUGUCUUAGAUGUAUAUGCUUCCAUAAUCCAUAUAAUUCGAGGGUUUUUUUUUUAAUUUUUUAUUUUUAUUUUUUAUUUUUUAUGCUACAGGCAUUGAUCUCACAAUCCAAACGUUAAUACUACGUACAUGUCAACGUCCUAGCUAAGCUGGACUGCACAAACUAAGCAAUGCAGACCCCUUAAUUAGAGUGCAUGCAGAGUUUUAAAUAUAUAUUUUUAAUCUCUUAAUAGUUAAUACACACAUUUUACUUAAUACAUUACUUAUUUAGUUUUUUAUAUUAAUAUUAUAUUAAAUACACAUCUUAACCUGCCUAAAUUACCAUUAAUAUCUAAAACUAAUAAUAAUCUGUUAUUUAAUAUAAUUAUUAUAUGUUUACUAUUUCACACCACUCUUUACGUAUUCUUUUUAUUUUCUGUUAAAUUUUUUUGAUCGGGUUAGAAAUUUUUUCUUGAUAUUUUUCAAUUUAUAAUCAAAAGAGUAAUAUUAUAUUCGAACUCUAAAUCUCCAAUAUGACAUCAAUCGGUUAGAAUUUGAAGAAAAAAAAUAUUGAACAUACAUAAUUUUUUUUAAGUUAAGAAACUAGUAAAAGUAAUAAAUAGCAUAAAAACUAGUUUUUAGUCUGCAAGAUAAAAACUAAAGUUAAUAAAAAAAAAAACCAAAUGAAUCGGUAAAUAGUACAUGUGAUUAUAACAGUAGUUGAAAUUCACAUAAUGAAUUUUAGAGAAAAGUUUUUAUUUCUUUUCUUUUAAUGUGUAGUAAUAGUGGAGAAGAGUUAGAUUUUAGAGAAGAAGAAGUUUUUGUUUUUUUCUUUUUUUUCCCUAAUAAUUUAUGGAUGUUUUUGUAAUUAAACAUAACUAUAAAAUCUGAUGUGAAAUAUAAAAUAAUAAGGGUAUGUAUUAAGAGAUUAGAGGUGUGUAUUUAAAAUUUCUCAUUUUGAGAACAAACGUUUGCAAAAACAACAAUCCAUUAUUUCAUUUCAUUAUAGGGAAAUAGAAGUAAAAGGAUAUGUUAGACCCAACUGAGAUCGAAACACCCAUGUGAUUAGCAUGGUUUUAUUACCUUUCAAGUUCCAACUACCACAAGACCAAAUACAUGAUUAAACCCUCUCACACCAGCUAGCUGCAUUGCCUGCAUAUAUAUGAACACACCGAUCUCUCUUUUCCUCUCACAGCUUUUAGCUCUCUGCAGAAAACUAUUCUCACUGCACCUACCAGCUGAUACUCUCAGGCCUCUUUUCUUCACAUUUUGAAUCAGUGUGUGUACCCAAUUUUGGUAAAUCGGCCCUUAAAAUAUUGGCCGAUUGAUAAGGAAAAUUUGAUGCUUUAUUAGCAAUAUCUCAAUAUAAUUUUAUUAUGAAAUUCUAUUAGAUAUUAACAUUCGGGGAAGAAAUUAAAAGAGAAGGCAAUAACGACGAUUUCUCAAAAUUGACGAUAUAUAUAAAAGGGAAGAAAAUAACGGCGAUUUAUCAUAAUUACCGAAUAUAUAAUCGAGGAAGGAAAUAAUCGAGAUGUAAUUGUGUUUGAAGGCAUUGAUGACAAUAUUUCAUGAUCAAGAGACAAUCCAUUCUAACAGUGCCUCAAAAAGAAAGUAUAUAUGGUGCAAUUAAGGAAUGAGCAAUAUGGAGCAUAAUCUUGAUUCCGGUCAUUAAGACCGAAAUUCAAAUAUAUAAGUGUAUUCUCUUUCCUUUACUGUGUCAUUUGUGUGUUUGUAAUUGUAUAUAUUCGACCCUCAACCUUAUUGUAAAAGGUUCUUGACCAACACAACUCAACACAAUACAAAUUCAUACAAACACCAAAUUCUCUACAAUAUCAAUCUUUUCAUUCUUGCUCUAGCGUAGUUAUAUUUUUAUUGCUUUCAUUACCUUCUGCACUUUAUCGCUUUCUUUACUUUCUGCAAUUUAUUUUUAUGCAACUUAUUCUUUUGCGUCUUUAAAUUUCAUGCAAUUUAAUUUCUCUCGUUUACUUUAGUUUCUGUUCUUUAAGUUUUAUGCAAUUUAGAUUUGGUUCUUUUAAUUACAUUUCGCACUUUAUUUCUCGUAAACUUAUAACAAAAAUCACAAAAAAAAAAAGCAACAUCAGUGAAAACACCGAAAGUCUUUGCAACAAAGGCAAGGGAACUCAACGGCCGAGACGUUCAUUCCUUGGCCUACAAUCACUUAAAAAAAGUCAGAUCAGGCAAAAAAUAUUUAUCAAAAACCUCGCUUGGCCACGAGGCCGCAAAUUGGCACGCCCGCGCAAUUCAGAAGGAAGAUUGUUCUCAAGACAAUUUUUGAGCAAACAAUCAGUAAGUACUUUAACACAGCCGUUAUAUAUCUUUGGUAUUUUCAUGCUAACUAAACUAAAAUUAUAUGAUGCAAUUAUGUAUCUACACUUUUAUUUAAUUUCCAUGCCAAUCUGUGAGCACAAUAAUCGUAGCGCGCUGUUUACAACUUCGAUCUUUUGCCGGAAAAUUCUCUUUUUAAGUUGCUGAGUGUAAUUUUAAGCUAGCUAGUCAUAUCAGAAGGUUAAAUUAUUAGAGUGAUUACAUAACCGAAAUCUUCAUGCCAAGUACGUUUCUGCAAAUCAAUAUAUGAAGAUCAGCAUCUCAAACAAGUACCUUAUUUCUAGUUCUAAGUAGCUAGCUAACUGAACACCAACUGAGACUAAGACUACAAUUAUGUUAGCAUAUAUAAUAUCUCUUGUAACGAGAAGAUUUUGUUCCUUAAAAACUAUGAUUCAUAGGUUCACAUGCAAGGUGUAAGACAGUAGGAGUAAUAAUAAUUAGUUGGAGGGACAAAAGUACUCUUCCAUUUCGAGUUGUAAGCCUAGGUACAUAUUAGGUUGGACAAUCCCUAACUGAAUCCUUGUUUUCACAAUAGUUUUUACUUCUCAGGCAAUAUUUGGCUUUACAUUUCCAAAUUUGUUUUGCUGUUCAAUCAACAUUCGUAAUUGAUUUGUGCUAAUUGCCCUCUUUUAUAUAUUUCAGUCCUGAAACUUUGUUAAGGAUGCUUGCGAAAGUUGUGUUCGUGUUGUUCUUGAUCAUUACCUCAGCAGCUGCCAAAGGUGGUGGUGGUGGUGGUAGAGGAAGUGGAGGUGGCUCUCGAGGAAACAGAGGUGAAGGCGGCUCUCGAGAAGGCAGAGGUGGAGGUGUCUUUAUAUUUGGAGGACACCCACACAGAGAUGGAAACAAGAGCAGCUCAUCCAAUCUCAUGAUGUCUACAUCUACUCUAACUUUAACUGUGCUUGGUUACAUGACCUUGCAUUACAUAUGCUGAUCACAGCCCCUUGAUUUCCAUGGGAGCCUAGCUUGCUAGCUAAUAGGACUCAACCAAUCAAUUAAUGCCUACUUAAACUCUUAACCAAGUUGACGUCUGCAAGAUAUUUGAGAAUAGCUUAUGGUAUUAUGCAUUUUAAUUAAGCAUUUGAGACUAUAUUUGUGAUCGAUUCUAUUUAUAUAUGCGUUGGGUGUUUUCUUAGCUGGUAUUAUUAUUUCUUGAUGAUCUUCCUUUUUGUAUUCAAGUGUUUCUUGAAUAUAUUUGAUGUUUCCUCAGUUGAGAAUUGAGAUUAGUGUGUCCUAGUACGUACAAGUCGAUUAAUUAAGAUCUACUCCAGCCAAAGCAUAUAACAUGUUAUUACAAAUAUACUCAAUGUCAUGUUGAGGAAAUGGGCGCCUGGGCGGGGUCAGUAACUAUUCUGUUCAUAGUAAAAUUAAUCAGGUCAACCUACUUUCAAAGUUAUGCAUACAGCAUACUAAAUGUAGAAAGGGAAAAGUAAUGCAGUUACUGAUUCUUUUGAAUAAGAAACAAAGUUAGCUAGAUCGAUCGAUAUCGAUAUUUCCUUAAAAUGGAAAAGGUACCGAUCGCGAGCAAUAGGUAGUAGCAAAGUACAGAACUGUGAUUAUGAUAUGCGCGCAUACAUAAAUGUUUGUAUCUUGUAGGUGUAACACAGCUCAAAGCCCGAAAAUUCUUUUAUGAACCAAGAUGCAAGUGAACUGAGUAACUAAUAUGCAGUAUUUUGAUCCGGUCAUCUACGUCUCACUACAUGCAUAUAUAGUUAUGUACUAAUACCGUUACCAAUAUUAAAAGCUAAAAAAAUAGUCUCAAGUUUUUCCAACUAAGGAGGUGAGAACAUUAGGUCGAAGAAGAUAUACUAUAAUUAUGGGCGUUUAAUUUGAUCAAAUCAAAAAUGAAAUUUGAAAUGAAGGAAUUUAGGGUCUCUAAUCUUCGUUUGAUCUUCCCAUACGGCGAUUUGAGCACUUACACAUUAAUGAUGCCUGUUCACCUUGGUGCGUAGAAUCCGCUCCCAAAACAGUUCACUGUAAUAUUCGGAUUAACCCAUUUAAAUGCGAAUCUGAUUUGCAAAAUAGCCGAACCGAAAACUAAAUGCACCAAAUUGCAAGAAAUCAAACAGAAAUAUUUAUCAUACUAAAUGUAAGAGACUGCUCUGACGAGUAACUAAAGUUAAAUCAAAAUAAUUGAACAAUAAUCAAAGCUAUUAACUGAUCGAAAUAAAUUACCGCGGUUUUACAUUUCUUUGAUCUCUGCAGAAGGUGCUAUCCAAGUCAAUGAGUCCAUCAACUCAGAAUUUCCUGCCCAUAUUGGAGACAUGAUGAUAAUCUUUAAAUGCUUCAGGUUUGGCAAUGGUGGAGAGACAGUAUUCCUAAAAUCUUCUGGAAAGAUGAGAGCCUGAGCUUGAACAUGAUCAAUAUUUAGAACUAUUUCUCCGGAGAAGGAAGCAAAGCUUUCAAGAAAAUAUCUCAGCAAAGAAGAAUGUUCCCAUGGCUCGUUGACGUUCAGCUCUUCGUGACGAAUAGUAAUUUUUACCCUAGCCAAACUUUGAGCUUCUAUGGAAUGCUUGUACUUCGAAAAACCAGUAAACUGAAUAUAAUGUAGACUGGGGCUACUGACUGUGGCCUUCACAGAAUGUCCACAUGUAGUAAUAUAAAGGUACUGCGGGUGUUGUGCAAGGAUGCUUAAAGAUUUCAAGUUUCUACACUCGGAUAAACUGAUGAGCCUAACGUAAGAUUCCGAAACAAAGGUAAAAGAUUCUAGCAGAUUAGUUUUCACUACUGCAACAUGUUGGAAAUCACAGUACGUAACUUUCAAGGAUUUGAGAUUGGAAUUGGAAACUAAGAAUGGUGCCGAACCAUCACGCAUCGAACAAGAAGAGAGUGACAAAUACUCGAUGGAAGGGCAGCUAGAUAUCAAGGAGCAACCGAGGCGCAUAGUUUUGAGCGACAUUGUUAUCAAAGACGGGAAGAUUAUAGACUUGCAUUCUUCUGCAUCUAUCGUCACAUUCUCCAAACUUAAGGUAGUUAUAGAUUUCGCCAAACUUAGGGGGUUCUUCAGGGUUAAACAGUACAAUGCUGCCUGUUUAUCACCUCCAAUGCUCAUGUCCAACUCUUUGACGCUUCUUCGAACUGCAAGACUCAAUACCUCAUCUACCAUAGUAGUCACUAUCUGAGAAGUUAGUCAUUCGAACCCUGAAUUUAUCUAAGAGUUGCUGCUUGACCUUCUCAUCUUCAUGGAAGUAGUCCAAAUACUUAUCCAAGAUGUUGACGAACUUUGUGUGCUGAAUGAUGUUGUCUGUUGUGUCAUCGUGGGGGUUGCCUUCGUCGAAGUCUAAUACAGGUUGGGAGAGCCAUGCACCUUCAAAUUUCUUAGAAAGAGAGCUCAUACGGACAGCAGAUUUGGUAGGAAGGACUUGAAUGAUUCGGUAGAUAAUCUCAUCUGGAAACUGAGGCCGGCUUAAUAUUGUUUCCACAACCGUGGCCUUUUGGUCAUCAUGAUCUUCCUUUGUCUGGUUUUGCCAUGUUAGGUUUCUGUCCGAACUGGGGUCCUUUGUGGUAGCCAUAACUGACGCAGAGACCUUUGAAGAAUGAAGACUGGUCAUUAAGGGAUGGGAAAUCAAACUUAUAGAUGCUGAAUUGCAAUUGCAUAUGCUAGCUCCAAUCUUUAUAGGACAUGAAAACCGCUUUGAGUUCAUGUUAUAAACCGUUUCCUUGUCCUAUUAAGGAUUUGAGCUAGCAUAAGCUUUUUAGCUGCCUUGAGUUUGAUGAUCAGCUAUUAUCUUCUUUGAUCAACAGAUUUAGAAUGAGAAGUAUCAUACAAGUGUUUAGGCGUGUUAUGUGGAAUCAUAGAUACAGCAUUUGUUGGAGCGCAGCAGACUAUAUGCAAGUUAAUUUCGAUCUGUUUACUACUAUCAUCAGUAAAUCACACAGAAAAGUAACAUAUAAGUAAAUUUACACUUAGAUCUCCCAUUAGCAGUUGAUCAAUUACAAAUAACUGGGUAUGAGUUGUGCAUAGACCAAUAAUAAGCAUCAAAUCUAUGCAGAACGCAUUGAACAUAAAAAAACGUAUCCCAGCUCUACUGUCAUCUUUUUUUUUUUCUCUCUCUUUCUUCAUGACUUCUAAUAAAAAGUGAAAAAGACCAGGGAGAAAAACCAGGCUGCAUAAGCAUACAGCAAUCCUCCAGCGCACACAUAAGUUGAAAACAUCACACCAUUGCUAAAACAACAGCACCUCAAUAAUUUCAGCCACCACUUGCAGCCAGGAACUUUUGCUUGCUAACAGGUUCUUCAAGCAACACCACCACAUCAGUCAGCCUCUCAAACAGCUCCUCUAGUUGAUCAACACCAAACUUUUGACAGUCCAAUGGUUUUUUGUACCUUUGCUGGUAGAUCGCCUCAAAACAACCCAAAAAAAUCCCACAAGAGUAGCUAACAAGAAUCUCCUGCAACUCAUAUUUGAAGUGCUCAAGGUCAUGGUCAUCAAUUUCACAUUUACCUGUUGUUCUCAAAUUGGUCUGUCCUUGACUCCUGUCAUCAUGUUCUUCUAAAACUACUCUUUCCUCCUCUGAGAACUCUUCUGAUGAGCCAUUACCUGUAAUAAUAGCCAUACUCUCUUCCUGAGUCCCCUUCCCUUUCCUACUAUUAUCCUUCCCAGUUGAAAUCAAAGGGCUUGGUUUCCAGUUUCGGAGGUAGACAAAUUUCUUUUGCCCUUUACCAUCUACAACUAUUGUGUCACCCAACUUCUUAAACAGAUUAACAAGCUUAAAUGCACCAUACUCCGAUACAUAAAGAGGUCUUCCAAAAACUUUCAGAUACUCGGAAGGAACUCGAGUAAGAGGCAUGCAACCUCCAGAAAGUUCAAGCAACUUCUCAAGCUGUCCCCUAAGACCAUUAAGGUCCCCUGGUUGAACCCACCAAGCAGAUCCAUUUUGAUCGGCAGAACUACUAGGUCCAGCAGGAACUUCAUUAAGACCUGAUGGGAGACUGUGUGAUCUCGACGCGCCGCCAGGCAUCAAUAAGGAACUACUGUUAUAUUCAGACAUAGAUUGUGACACUAUUGAAAAAUCUCUUGAAUUGUAAUAGCUUUGUGAGAUCCCCCUGUAUAAAAUAGCUUCAUCCUCAGUUUGGCUAUCCAUAUGAUCAUUAAUAUGGCAACCCAUGAAAUAGCCAGUAAUAUCAGCUUGUCCCCCACGAGGAUGCAUUAGAAACUUAGUUGUAGGCACAAAGCCUUCCCCACGAGCUACGCUAGACCAGUCCCACACAAACUUACCAGCAUUGCUGAGAGCAGAUGAAACGCCCACUCCAGAAGGUAUUACUAGAAUCACUGUGUACCCACGUUGCCCAAGUAUAUGGAGUGCUGGAGCAAAAUCAACAUCCCCAGAGAUCAGCAUGAUGGAAGAUGGUGGAGGAUUGUCAAGAGCAAACAGGAACAUAUCAACCAAGAUGGCCUUGUCAGCAGCAUCCUUUCUUCCAUUUGGUACAUCAACGAGUUUAACACCAGUUCUCUGACAUCCCUCGCGGAGCCGCCUGGGGAAGGCAUUGAAGUCCCCAUAUGCAGCAAACGUAACAACAGCUCCUUUAAUUACAGGAUGUACUUGCAAAGCCAUUCUGAUGUUACCAGCUACAUCUUCAGGACGAACAUCACUUGGCACAGGGCAGUUUUCAAUAUCCCAGAGGAUAGCAACAGGACCUUCAGCGGAGCUUCGGAUUGGCUGGUUCAUUGGAGCUUGAAGUGCGUUCAUGUUUGCAUCUAGCAUGUAAGAACCUCUUUGAUCGGAGGGGUCUGAAGGCACAAUUGAUGUUGAUGUAUUUUGGCAAGCCAUCAAAGCUCAAAACUCAAGUCUACCUGCUUAUGCAAAUAAAAGAAAAAAAUAAGGUAAACAAAUUAUAAACAACAAGCUAAAAAGCAAAAGUUGAAUCCAGCCAUAUAUAUAAACAUAAAUUUUAAGUAGAGGUAUACAAAGGUAAACCAGGCACACAACAAAAUUGUAUCUUAUCUUAUAAUCUUACGAAAAAGAAAAAGGAAGCAGUUCUUCACUCUAGAAUCCCGUUCCUCUUACUCACCAAUCAUGCUCAUUCUCAAUCAAACAUCUCUCCCAAAAUAUCUCUCCUCUUUCACUUAUGGUCACUUUUUUUCAGCUCCCUGUAUCUCAAUCCUGAAUCUCUCUCUCUAUUAUUGGCCUCAGGGCCCAAGCAUGUCCCUUGCUGUGAAUUUUUUUUGGUCCUCUUACCCUUCCUAUUCCUUUCUUGAGUUUAUUAAAUUUCUCCUUAGUAAUGUUGAAAUUCAUUGUGAAUCAGAGGAAACAUUACAACUAAGUGAACAAGGCAUCCACUUAGAAGAACAACUAACUAAAGCAAUAGAAACACAAAGCUGAGGACCAAAUAAAUAAAUGCUGAAAUCCAAUCUAAGUGAAUUUCAAAUGAACCAUUCCCGGAAACCAAUGCGAACUCCAUCCUACAAUCUGCCAAAGUCUUCCCACUCACAUUCUUAAUCAUUAUUUCAUUCCUCUUUCAUCUAGAUGACCCUCAGACAGUCAUUAGAGCGCAGAACCUUUCACGCUGGAAUCAUGCAAUUUGGAAUGACCCAGCUCCCAUUGCAUUACCUAAACACCCUUUUUUGUAUAGCUAAAGAGAUCAGACAGAUAUUCCCCUAAGGUAGCUGCUUUUCGCUCAAAUUCAAUGUUGUUUCGAUGCAUCAAGCUUGCAAUAAGUGAUGUGAAAUAUUGAUCAUAGCUCAGCGCAGCAACCCAACACAAUAACAGUCAAUAUAUACUCUCAAAAACCAUGCAAUAGGACAUUCUAUUCUGAAAAAUUAUUGCUUUGGGAUCAAAUUGAUUGUAAUCAAUAACUUCGAACAAUCAUCCAAUCCAGCACAGAAAAGCAGCACUGUGACAACUACCAAAACCUAACACGACCCUAAAAUCAACCCCAAUUUGAUAAUCCGAUCAAAUCACAAAUUCAACGAAAGAAUAAAACUUUAGAGCAAUAAGAAGAGACGGAGAAAAGGGUGUACCUCAUAAUUGUCUCCAAAGUUGGAUACUUUCCGUAAAAGCCAAGCAACUCCGACGAAGGAAUUAGGAUAAUUAACGAAGAGGAAUCGAAAUCUGGAAUUGAAUGAAAACCCAGAAGAGAAGCGAAGGCUUUUGUUGAAUGGGAUUUGGGGAUUUAUGAGAGAUUUUAAGUUUUGGGAGAGGAAAAGCGGCGAGAGAGGAUUAUUACAGAUUGAGUUUGAUUUGGAGUAGGAGACUUGACUGAAACUUGGGCCACCUAAUUUUUGAUUUUGAGAGCAGAAAUGUGGAUUUGGGCUUUUUAAAUAUGAAGCCCAUAACGGGUGUGCGUUGGCGUAGGCGGCCCGAUUGAUCCCAAUCUGGGUCGGGUCUUCUUGCCUCGUUUUGUUGCCAAUCGUGGAGGGUGGUGCGUGGGCCGUGGAGGGUGGUGCCUCCUUUGUGUUAGACGAGGACGACUAUGCGCUUCGGAUUGUGGUUGGAGCUGGCAUGGCGGCGAGUCUGCGACUAGGAUAGUAGCUCUUUAGGUGGGCUGCCUCUUGAAGUCCAAUAGAUGUGGGUUGGGCCUAGGUCUAGCUUUCCUUUUAUUUUUGUUUUUCUUGUUAUUUUGUUUGGUUCUGUUGGUUUUAGUUGUCCUUCUUUUUUGAGCGAGGGUUUAGGGUUUUGAUAGGAUGGUGUUGUUGGUCGAGUCGUUGGGUGUGUCAUGGUUAUGGUGACGUUUUUAGAGACUAUUGAUUUUAUGUCGGGUAUUUCUUGUUGUGAAUGUAAUAGAGAGGUUGCCUUUAUAUAUAUGCUGGCACUUUUGGUGUAUAUUGUUGGAAUAGCCUGUUUGUUUUUAAGAUUGAUUGUUAGGAUGUAUCAAGGCUUCUAGAAUAGGUUAGGUUAUUACAGCUGAAUCCUAGCGAUUCUUGUCUACUGUAGUCACUGGUGUUUUAGGUAGGAAAGAGAGUGGGGAAUUUAUGUCCCCUACCGACAACUCCUUGUCUAUACUUUUGGAAUAUAUUAUAUAAGGUGCUACCUUUAUCAAGAAAAAGAAAAGGAUAUGAAGCUGAUAUUUUUGAUGAAUAUAAGGCAUCCUUCUGUAUCUUAUGCAUUUCAAAAGGCAUUUUACACGGAAAAGAAAUGUGUUGGAACGGAAAAGAUCAUGUUACAAAAAUAAAAAUAAAAGAGAGAGCUCUGCAGAAAAACCCUAGAAGAACUCCCCACAAUGUAUCAUGUCAUGUCUGGCUGCAACGCAUCUUUAUUAAGAUAUGUAAUUUUGUUCUAUUGUAGGAUGGUGUUGUUGGUCGAGUCGUUGGGUGUGUCAUGGUUAUGGUGACGUUUCUAGAGACUAUUGAUUUUAUGUCGGGUAUUUCUUGUUGUGAAUGUAAUAAGAAGGUUACAUUUACGUAUAUGCUGACACUUUUGGUGUAUAUUGUUGGAAUGUACAUGCCAUGUCCGGCUGCAACGCAUCUUUACAAAGAUAUGUAAUCUUGUUACAUGUCUAUUGAUCUUUCCAUUUUAUCUAUGAUGUGACAAAACAAAUAGAGUGUCUUUAGAAUAAUACUCUUUGCUAGUUUGUGCUUGUAUGAAUACAUAUACUCCCUCUUCUUCUCUUUUCCUUCACAAUGCAACAUAAUGUCAGGGCAUGAGCGAUACCCAAAAUGGGACUUCUAGAUGUUCGGGCUCCAUGGAAAUCUGCGCAACAUAAUGCAGCCACACCUUCGCAAAAAGAAAUUGUUCUGUUUCUUAUAAAUAGACUGGGGGAGUUGGGGAAUAUGCGUCACGAGACUUGUCGCAAGUACAUCGAUCAACAUUAACACAUUUAGAGCAUUUGCUAAAGCAUAUUUCAAGUAACAUGUAACUUUGUAACUCUAAUUGAACAAACAAUGCUCUUGAGUUGUCAUGAGCAACUUCUUUCUGAUGCUAGCAUGGUGUAAACAGGAGAUACAACUGACAAGAUGGAAUAAAAUCUGUGAUGGGAUAUUUGGAAUUGCUCCAGCAUCCAGGAGCCCAAUGCAGUGAAAAAGAAAUACAAAAUUCUGCAAAAUUGGAUGAGAAAAAGAAACAAAUAACCAUGUUUCAUUCCAAUGAAUCAUUAACUUUGCAUCACAAUCACAAAUUAAACUGGGGAUGAACAAUCAGCAGUAGUGCAAGACAUUUCCGCCUAUGCCUCAACCGAGAAUAUGACAAUGCCAAAGAAGAGGAGCAGAAACUGGUAAUGCCGUAACUAAGACCUAUGCAGGUAAUGAAGUAGGCAUAUGUCUACGAUUUAUAUGUACAACCUGUAUAAACCCUUUUAAGAUUCAGGGGAUAGGAAAUCUUACAAGUAUCAUAUCGGGGUAAAAUCAACUAAUACUGUUGUUAACUCCUUUUGGCACAAAUCAGAAAAUGGUUAUGACUUCAGAACCCUCUCAAUGGCAGCAACAUAGAACUCCUUUGGCAUGGUGCCAACCACAGUGUCACAUUUCUUCCCAUUCUUAAACAACAAAACGACCGGUACAGCCUUAAUAUCAUAGUCCUCGGCAAUCUGCAAAUCAACAUCCGCGUUGAGCACAAAGCAGUUGAGCUUGCCGGCAUACUCAACCGCAAUUUCAUCAAUCACGCGGUGGACCAUCCUACACGGCCCGCACCAGCUUGCAUAAAACUCGACUAGCACAGGAGUCUCACUGUUAAUAACUGAUUUCUCCCACGAGUCCCCGGUAACCGCCGGAGCUGCAUAGGCACAACAGAAUACGGUUAACAGGGCCACUUGCCGGUCAACAUUUCGAAGAGUCAUUAUAUCGUAGACCUUGAAAUUCAUGAGAUCAUUAAGAUUUCUGAUAUAAGCAAGCAACUAAUCUCUUCAACAUAAACAAAAACCUCGCGGAUCAAUCUGAUAAUAAUAAUAUUAGAUUUAGAGUAGUGUAUCUUUAAAUCUAUAUCUAUGCUUAUAAUCUUAAUAUAAUCAAUCUGAUAAUCAUAGCUUGUGAUGAAUCAAUUGAGCAAACCAAUGCGAAAUCAAAAGAGAAGCGAGAAGCGAUUUGAAGGAGAUUAGAUCUAUGAGAGUGUACCUUUGGAUUCGCGGACGGAGAAGAUCUUGAGGGAGCGAGGCGGGGGAUUUGGGAGCUUGACGGAGGAGAGUUUGGGGUGGAAUCGGAGCGGGAAAGAGAGGGAGGGAGUGGGCGUGGGGUUCAGGCGAGAGUGGGAGGAGGAGAGGAAGACGGCGCGUGAGGAGCGUAGAGGAAAUGUGGAGGAGGAGGCAGCCAUGGAUGGAAGGGAAGCUGAGCUCAGAGAGAGCAUGUGAAAAAUGAUGAGAGUUUUGGGGAUGAUUGAAUGAUGAAAGUGAUGGGUGGAGAAGAGGACGAGUGUGAUUGGUUUUGGAUUUUGUUGGAAAAAGAAGAGAAACGGUGGCAAAAAGAGGAAUGCACGCCCGGUGGGAUUCGAACCCACAAUCCUUUGAUUAGAAGUCAAAUGCCUUAUCCAUUAGGCCACGGGCGCUCGUGUUAUUAUACUUCUUCAUAUAUAUAUAAAUAAGAUUUCAACACAGUUGCAUAUCUCCAUAAAUAUACUUGUUACAAUUGUUUUUCUCAAAUACAAGAGGAAAUGAUGGAAUUUGCAAUUAAUCUGAUAGAAGAAGGGUAUCUUUAUUUACUAUUGUACAUUUGUAUGAACAACCCUUAUCAGCUAUCUGGUGUAUGUACUAUGUAUGUAGUACAAAAUAGGACAAGCUACUAGUAAACGAAACCUUCAUCCAUGAACAAUAUGAAUGGAACACAUAGAAACAUAAGCCAAACAAAUGGGCGAAGCAGAAGUUUAAACAAAGAGUAUAUAGACUUUUUUCUAGACCUCACUCCAGAAGAACUGGAUUUCUCGUAACGUGCAAGUCUUGCCCGUUCUAUAAUUUCCAGAUUAGAGGUGUCUGUCUUACGUCUUUUGGUCUUCUCUAUCAUUGCUAUUUCGCUGUGAUUGGAAUCCAAUUGUCUUUUUUUUUUUUUGUACAUUUUUAACAUCAAUGUUCUCUACUUAAACCCUCCGGAAAAUGAAGAGUUCAUAGCAGUCAAAGCAAAAUGAUGAUCGGACUGUGACGCUCAUAGCUCCCAUGGUAAAGGACUUGCCGAUGCAACUGAACCCAAACCUGUAAUUGAACCUCAUCAGCUCAUCCUGUGUUAGAUUCACCAAACCAAAACGCAAAGAGGGUUGGUUUCUUACUUUCUUUGACAUAUUGACAUGAUUGUGACAUACAACAUUUCUAGAGAACGUGUUUGAUUAUUUGAAUGAACAAGUCACGGUCUCUUUUAUAGAUCAUGUAUCUGUUAUUACAUUACAUUCGGAAUACACCGUACUUGGUUUCUUCUGGGGCACGGUUUAGACAGGCAGAGACGGAGAGACCUAUGACUUUUCUGGUGUCAGCUGGAUCAAUAAUCCCAUCAUCCCAAAGCCUUGCUGUGGAGUAAUAGGAGUUUCCCUCUCUCUCAAAUGCCUCUACUACAUUUGCCUUAAACUUUUCCUCUUCUUCCUUGUCCCACUGCACAACACAUUCACACGAUACCAAUAAAUAAGAAUGCACUGAUCCAAUUUGAAACCAAGUAAUCUUUCGUCAAAGGAAGAUAGAAUCGAAAUUCUACCUCAAUUCCUUGCUUUUUCUUCUUGGUCCUUUCUAUUUGGGAAAGGACACCGGCAGCCUGAAAAUGUAAUAAAGAUAUCUCAAUACAUCUAAUGCAGCUGUUAGUGUUGUAGUGGAUUCAUACAGGAAAAUUAAUUAGAGAUAUGUUGUAUGAAGGGUUCACCUGAGCACCACCCAUAAUAGAUAUUUUGGCAUUCGGCCAAAGGAAUGUGAAAUCAGGAUUAUAAGCACGACCACACAUUGCAUAAUUGCCAGCGCCAAAGCUUCCACCAACAAUAAUAGUAAUUUUGGGAACCUAUAAACAUGGAUCUUUGAUGUUAAAAAAGUAGAUCAUGGUUCUACUUCUCUCUUUCCUUUUUAUUUGACUAAUUCAUUCAUUCAAGAAUCAAUGACCUUUCGAACACUUCUACUGAAAAUAUUGAUUAACUUUAAAGAGAUUAUACCAAAUGGGAGAAAAAGUUAGCAGAAACUGAGAUAUAUACUGUUAAAACAAGAAGGCAUUUCAAACAAAAAGUUGCUGACCAUAGUAGCACAGCAUUUAUAUUUAAAUGCAUACUGGAAACAACAUUUAAGAUGCUGUAAAAGUGAAUAGAAUCAUAAUAGCAAAUGGGAAGUUGGAAACUGAGACAAGCCUCUGUGUCUAGUAAGAUGUUAAACACUAUGCGUGGAUCAGUGGAGUCAGUUUAUAAAAAGUUCGAGAGUCUUAAGCCAUGUAGCAGUAACAUCCUGCUUGAGACACACUCAGGGGUUCAUAUCUUCACAAGCAUGCAAGAGUUGUAACCAUGAAACAAGGAAAAACAAACCUUGGCACAAGAAACUGCCAUCACCAUUUUUGCUCCAGAUUUUGCAAUUCCAUUUGCCUCAGAUCUUGAGCCAACCUACAAAAUGAAGGACAUUCAGUUCCAUACUUCAACCAUCCUUGUCUCAAGGUUCUCUCUUCACUAUAUCUUCACUUAAUCAGCCUUAGCCAAUCAGAUACAUUUGUAGAAAAGGAAAACCAACGGAAAAACUACCAAUCUACAGAUUGCACACUCAAACAUGCUCACAUACUUCUUUUACAUGACAUGCUCAGAUACUUUGUUUCCAUAAAUAUAAUGUGCAACACAAAUAAGAUAUAUAUGAUUGACAUAGCAUAACUCUGGUUGCACACAGGUUGGAAGGGUGCCCUCUUCAGAAUAGUUAACAGACAGAGUGAUGUUGCUAUCUUCUUCACAAAAGAAUUACAUGAGGACAACAAGUUUACAUACCAUAAAUCCGGUGAUGUUCUGAAGGAAGACCAAAGGAAUAUUUCGUUGAGUACAUAAUUCAAUGAAGUGGGCCCCUUUUAGAGCAGAUUCGUUAAACAAUAUCCCAUUGUUUCCAAUAAUUCCAACAGGCUGUCCGUAGAUUCUAGCAAAACCUGUCACAAGAGUCUGCACAAAAGCUAUUAAAUUAAAUACUUGAAUGUUCCUGUAAUGAAUGAAAGAAUAUAAAUUUGAAUGGGUGCAAAUGCCCUCACAGUGCCAUACAAUUUCUUGAAUUCAUCAAAUUCGCUUCCGUCGACUAUGCGAGCAAUAAUUGAACGAAUGUCAAACUGUUGCUUAUGGUCUGUUGGUGCAAUAGAACGAAGCUCUUUUACAUCAAAUAAUGGUUCCUUGUAUUUGGAAUUUAUGCUCUGCAAUGCACCAUGCAAACCCUGAUUCCCAGCCGUGUGCAAGUUCUUAAUUAUAUUUCUUCCAAGAGCAAGUCCAUGGAGUUCAUCUGCAAGGACAGUUCAGAGUAAAUAUAAGAGCACUAAUGGAUAAUCUCUCUUUCUCCACAUUCAUGCCCAGAAUAGCAAUUUUAAUCGAUCUAAAAAAAUAUUGCAAAAGCAAACAUGUCAUGUAAAAGAAACUCUCAAGUGAUACAUUAUUCAAAGAAAUCUCUUCCUAGUUUGUCACUCGAUAGUCCUCGACCGAGUCAUUUCUAAUUAACACCAACUCUAGAUUAUGUCUAGUAUCCUUGAUGAAUGCAACUUCGAAAGUCAUAAUUGUAUCAGACAAACUACCUUCAUCAUGAGAUAAAACCUACUGUAUGACAAUAGUAGCCAAACUGAUGGAUUGAAUAUCCCAGAUAUCAAUGCCAGAGUUAUAUACUUGCAUAUAUGUCACAUGUUAAAGUUUAUAAUUAUUUUUUUUUUUUUGCCACCUGCGGUAUCCCAACGGCUUCCUAGGCCCAAAGACUAGUCUACUGGAGACCCAAACAGCCAACAGGAAAUUUCAUACUAUAAACUGAUGGCAAACCAAUCCAUAAACUGAUGGAAAACCAAUCCAUAAACUGAUGUAACUUACUUCAAGAAAUGCAACAAGGUUCAAAGUGUGGAAGAGAACAAAGUAAAAUACCUUGAGCAAAAUAAUCUGACACUCCUGAUGUCUUGCAAUGCACGCUAGCACCCCCCAAAUCCUCGGCCGAUACUUCUUCUCCAGUGGCAGCCUAUUCAAGCAUUUGACUAAUCUAGGUUAUAUAUAUACAAGUAUACAAAAGCCCACAAUUCACUCCCACAUAUUAUACAACAUUCAGUUGAAAAAUGCAAGAAACCAAUAAAGAUCAAGCCAAAUGUAUGAAACAUUGAAGCAAUUAAAACACCAGAAAGCUGGAAAAUAACCUUCACAAGUGGGGGUCCUGCUAGAAAUAUGGUACCAUUUCCUUUGACCAUAACACUUUCAUCAGCCAUUGCAGGAAUAUAGGCACCGCCGGCAGUACAGGAGCCCAAUACCAGCGCAAUUUGAGGAAUGCCUUCGGCUGACAUUAAAGCUUGAUGGUAGAAUAUCCUCCCGAAAUUCUCCUUGUCGGGGAACACCUCCGCCUGUUUGGGAAGAAAAGCCCCUCCGCUAUCAACAAGAUACACACACGGUAACUUGCACUUGGCGGCAAUUUCUUGUGCCCUGAGGUGUUUCUUAACAGUGAUGGGAUAAUAAGUCCCACCCUUAACAGUAGGAUCAUUAGCCACAAACAUACACAGCCUCCCAUGGACAGGUCCAAUCCCAGUAAUAAUCCCAGCAGAGGGUAAUGUCUCUUCAUACAGCUCAUGCCCCGCAAGCUAACCAAUUAAAACACCCAAACAAUCAGAUGUUCGAAAAACAAUCCGGUCCAAUUAAUCAUAACCGAAAAAACAAUGUAGAAUGGAAUCAAAAGUUCAAAACCUGAGAAAGCUCAAGGAACGAAGCACCAGGAUCUAGAAGGCGAUCAAUGCGUUCUCGAGGAAGGAGCUUGUUCCUGCUCUUGUUCCUCUUCACAGCCACAUGUCCUCCUCCGGCCAGAACCUUCAUCGCAAAUAAACACAAAGUCACUCACACUACACUUGUGACUUGCCCAAUCUAUAAACAACAAAUUCAUAGCAAGCGAGGUAAACCUUUUGGAUGUGGGAUUGGAGGUCGGAGGUUAAGAGGUCCAUGGCCUUUGAAUUCCGGGAAAAGGCCUCGGAAUUCCGAUCAACUCCGUCGGGGAGGACUCCGAGGCUGUAAUCCCUACUUAUGUGGACUGCGCUCACUGACCUCCAUGAAGCUAAAGCUCCUCUCUUCGCCAAAAUCCGAAGCAUCUCUCUCUCUCCCUCCUCUCUCUCUCUCUAAAACAGAGAGAGACGUAACUGUAUUUACAGAGUGAUCAGCUUACUCUGUGCUUAUGUGGAGUGUCUAUCCUUGUUACCCAAAAUAAUGAUAAAAAUGGCUGAGUUGAAACGACGUCGUUGGGUUUGUUAGUUAAAAAGUUAAAACCCUGUAAAACCCAGAUAAGGUUGAUUUGUUUGAGACUUUGUUUGCAGAAAUGGAGUCUGUGUGUUCAGUUCUCUCCUUCUCUUACCCAAAGCUUACUUCAAUGGCUACUCUUCAUUCUUCUUUCCGUAUCAAGAACGUGGCCUCCUCUGGCCAGAGAGUUGCAGCUACUGUAAAAACAUCUGAAAUUCCAAAUAAAACCCUCAACCCGUUUGAAGUAAUUUUGGGUACAAGCACUGCUGCUUCUUUACCUCCCAAGAAGGUAUUUUUGCAGUACCCAUUUGUGAAUUUAAGCUUUUAAGUGAACUGGGCUUCAAUUUUUUGGGUUUUUUGUUUCAGGUUCUGGUGCCGAUUGGGUUUGGGACUGAAGAAAUGGAGGCUGUGAUUAUGGUGGAUGUUCUGCGGCGAGCGGGUGCUGAUGUCACCGUGGCCUCGGUGGAGCCACAGCUCCAAGUUGAAGCUUCUUGUGGGACUAAGUUGGUUGCUGAUACCUCCAUUUCCUCCUGUUCUGAUCAAAUUUUUGAUCUUGUGGCUUUACCAGUAAGUUGUUUUGAAGCACUUUUUGUUUAAGGUUCAUGAAAUGGUAGCAUACUAGAUAUGAAGUAAUGAACGCAAAGAAAAAAAAAAGUGUAUAAAAAUAGAUGUGACAUUGUGAUUGUAUUAAGGUCAUGAAAUAAUAGAAAUAUUGGUAUUUAGCUGUGCUAAUGCUGCUAGAUGAGAGUAAAAUUCAAAAUAUAAAGUUCUUAGAAAGAUAUAUAUGAGGAAAUGUGGUGUUUGUUUGUAGUUUUGGAAAGUUCUAGGGUUAUUGAUAUGUUUAUGACCUUAAGGGAGGAAUGCCUGGCUCGGUGAGAUUAAGGGACUGCGAAGUACUUGAGAAAAUUACAAGACAACAGGCUGAGAAAAGGAGGUUAUAUGGAGCUAUAUGUGCUGCUCCAGCAGUAACACUUCUCCCGUGGGGUCUUCUAAGGAGAAAGCAGGUGUGUUAAAUUGGAUUAACUUUUGUUAAGUUUCGAUGUGACUUUUGCGACUAAUGGUGUUCUAGUUUGUUUAUGCAAGACAACUUGCCACCCUGCAUUCUUUGACAAGCUACCAACCUUCUGGGCAGUCAAAUCAAACAUUCAAGUCUCUGGAGUGCUCACAACAAGCCGUGGCCCCGGAACUUGUUUUGUGUUUGCGCUGUGCCUAGUGGAACAGCUAUUUGGGGAAUCUGUCGCCAAGGAAAUUGGAGAGUUGCUGGUGAGUGGUGAGCCCUGCUACUGUGAUGCUUUUCUAUUUGAUGUUCAUCAUGCUACCACAUGUAGAGUAAAUUGGUUUCACAUUUGUUCAUGAAGAAGCAUAAAAAUGAGGUUUGAAAUACUUUUCAGUUUGGAGAUUGGAGUAUUCAGAUAAUGACACUGAAAAUUAGUAACAUUUAUAUCCAUAGGUUAAAAAGAAAUUCUAGAUGUCUGGACUAAUCAAGUUCCAAAGCAUUACCAUAUUCUUCAAAUUCUAUUACUUUGAUCAUUUGCUUACAAUUCUCUUCUGCCAAUUUGUUUCAUAAUGGGAACGAGUAGAGGUGGAAUCUGCAGUUUACUAACACCAUACUGAUCUUGAAAAGAUCAGGGAUGACAGGAAAAUGCUUUGUCAAGAAACCAUAUGUUUUGAGAAGCAGAAAGUUCCUUUCCCUUAUUUUUUUUCAAGUAUUAUUUACGGAUUUAAAUUACAGAGUAAAAUUUGAGUGUACAAGUAUACUUACUCACAGUUGAGAAAGAUGUUGGAAACAAGAAAUAUAUUAUUCACACUGGUAUGCUAUCUCUCCAAUUUGAAUUGAUGGUUUACUUCUGAUGCACAAAAUACGUACUUACAAGAGAGGAAAUGGUAGAUGCCAUGUACCAUACAUUUCAUGUUCAAGAAGUCAUUGGUUUACACAUUUUAUUUUCUUAGUCAUAAAACUCCAUCUGUUGUCAGAUUGUCUACAUGAAUAUCAUUCUGCAUCCAAAAUAUCAUCCCACUUUCAGAUUAUUCAUAUCCGUAUGAUCUUUACUUUUCAUUUUGGUCUAUGUAAUAGCCUUUUAACAAAUACAAUGUCUCUUUGAUUAGUUGGUGGGACCUGCUGAUGAUGAAUCUAGAAAGGAGGAGUUCAACAAAAUUGAAUGGUCUUUUGAUCACAUUCCUCGAGUAAGUUCCUUCUGUUUCCACUCAUUACUGAAUAUGAUCCCUAUAAUCUGUAGUUGUGCAGUUUGAUCUUCUAGUAACCAAUGAUUUAAUUCAUGAAAGGAAACCAAUCUUUGGUCACCUGAUAGUGUUUCUCUAUAAGUUGGAAAAACACAAGAAUCUACUAUCUCAUAAAGACAGGUUUAAAAUUUCAAGUUUCUUUCUCCUCUUAAAACAGAAAAACAAAAUAAAACAUAAAAAAUGCUCAUAUAGAUGAACAAGAAACAAUAUUAGGAUACAUAAUACGCCUCUGUACUCCUUUUCUGUUACUCUUAACCCUGUUGACCUUCUGCUUGCUCUUUCUCGAUAUCAUUUAGGUUCUCAUUCCAGUUGCAAAUGGUUCUGAAGUGAUUGAAGUAGUGACUAUUGUAGAUAUUCUGCGGCGAGCAAAGGUGGACAUAACUGUUGCUUCAGUUGAAAAAUCUGUGCAGAUUUUAGCAUCUCAAGGCACCAAAAUCAUAGCUGACAAGUUAAUUGGUGUAGCUGCCAAGUCAACUUAUGAUUUGAUCGUUCUGCCGGUGAGACAAAGCAAAUAUACACUGAUACAAUUAUUUUUCGUCUGUGCUUUAAACAACCUGUCAGAAUCUAGAGAUCAUAUCGUUGUUCAUAAAUGAAAGUCUGACUUAUGAGAUGAUAUACAGGGAGGAAAUGCUGGGGCUGAGCGGCUAAGCAGAUCUAGAAUUCUAAAGAGUCUCCUCAAAGAACAAGAACUAGCUGGAAGAAUGUAUGGAGCAGUAUGUUCCUCAUCAGCAAUUCUACUUAAACAGGGCUUACUGGAGGUAACUUGAAUUAAUUUUUCCCCAUCUUUCCUUUUCUUUUUCAGGAAAGGAGUCCGGAUGAAGUAUUUUAUUUUAUUUUUUCCUUGGCUUAUUAAUUCAUUAUGCUUCCUUUCAUAUAUAGGGUAAGAAAGCCAUAGCUCAUCCUUCCAUUGUGCGCAAACCUACAGAUGAGUUGGUGAACAACACCAAAGUAGUAAUUGAUGGUAACCUGAUCACAAGCAGUGGACUUGCCACUGUCGCAGAAUUUGCAUUGGCUAUUGUGAGCAAACUGUAUGGUCAUGCAAGGGCAAGAAGUGUUGCAGAAGGCCUUGUUUAUGAGUACCCGAGGACUUAAGCAGGUCUAGCGUGAAAAUCUGGUGGAUCAAAAUGCACUUUUUAUCAGUGCUUGGACAUGAAGAGUAUAAAUAGUCUGCCAAACUCACAUUCGCCAAUGAAAAGAGUUCAUACCAAAUGAUUGGAAAAUGGCUUUCUGAGACGGUUGAAGAGUUGGCCAUGCAUUUCUGGAGUGUGGACCCUCAACAGAGAAGUACGUACCAGUGCUGAUUAACUGAUGAUACAGCUUCUGCUAUGAGUGAAGAACUUAACAUGUCUAGUAUCGGCAGAGGAGCAGAAUUUUGAAAAAAAUAUAGAAAAGAAUUAUUCCGUUGCCGGGACUUGAACCCGGGUCUUUCGGGUGAAUCCUGACCAACUAGACUACAACGGAUUGUUGCUUAUCGAUUAAUUAACAAAACAAUUUAUUUAAAUAUUUGUUGCCAUUCAAGGCAGGCAUAGUUGCUACAUUCUCUGUGAUACUCGGGGCGCCCUAUGAUGGUGGCUACUGCAACACUACCCGAAGAGCUGAUACUACAAAUCGUGGCCACGCUACCGGUCAAAUCGGUGGGGCGUUGCAGAUGUGUCUCUACACGGUGGCGCUCUCUAUUCUCCGACCCCCAGUUCGCCAAGCCGCACCUCCGGUUAGCCCCUAAGCAUCAAGUCCUAAUACUGCAACACCCCACACAACUCGAAACCCUGGAUUUUGAUUUGAGUGAUAUAGCGUCCUUUGAGAAGCAAUCUCUGCUUCUCUGAAAUGUGAAUGUCCCUUGUUUAUGCCCCUUGUUUGUUUUGGCCACGCGUAUGAUGCCCGAUCGAUGCAUGCUUUCGAUCUCUUCCUUGACUACAAUCUGAGUCUCAGUUCGCAUGAAUCGGCCGUCCUGCCGUACUGGACGUCGGUCCGGAUAAGUUGGUAACCGGUGGCAGACCAAGUCCGGAGACAAACCGGGCAUGUCUUCGUAUUUGUCGGCGAAGCAAUCCCUGUACUCGCAUAACAGGGCAAGAAGGGUUUCCUUUUCGUCCUCCGCCAACUUAGCACUGAUAGAAAUAAGUAAGGGCUUUUCUGCAGUCCCUACGUCAACUUGUGAAAUGGGGUCGCGGACUUGAGGUGGUGUGUCGUCCAAGGCGGCGGGAGCUAAGUGAAUAACUUCCUCCUUGGUAUCGGAAUAAUCCACCACUUCAUCUACAUAUUCCAUAGUCGCAACCUUGUCGUAGGCUUCGCGUUUUGCCCAGUACGAAAGGAGUCUUUCGCACAGGGACUCGCCAGCCUCGCGUGCCUCCUCUGAGAAGGCACUAUUCAUCAGAACGGGGUGUGUGAUUCGCGANNNNNNNNNNNNNNNNNNNNCGGCCUGUGCCGGAACUGGGCCCAUUUCGCUGCUGCAUGCGGGGUAUGCUACUGACAUCCUCGCUGCUGACGGGAAUAUCCGCCGCACUACAGAUUGUGUUUGGUGGGAGAGCGUAUCUUUCCGAAAUGAAGAACACCAUCCCGACUUGAAAGGAGAAUUGUUCAGGAACUGGGACCAGGAGAGUGUCAAUGAUCCCGUGUUCCCCUUCGAGCACCGCGAAAGCGUCUGCUUCGCUGCUAAACCCUUCAUCAGCACCCCAUCCUGAGACCUCUAUCAUAUUACAGGUGAAUGAUUCUGCCUGCUCUUCGUCCCGGUCUUCCUCUAGGUUAAGUCGAGGUUCUGAAUGUGCCUCGUCGUCUUCUGAAUUCUCGCGGAAACGCUGGGCCAUUUGUUGGGCGAGGUUAGGACUGGAGGGCGCCUGUGCGGCUAUUGGUGGCUCUUGAGCCUCGGGUUGCCGCGGACGCCAUACUGACUUGGUUGAAGGCUGGUGGUCCUUGGCUGGUUGUUUGUCUGUUGCCAGAGGAGCCUUAUCGAAACCUGCAUUGUAGAGUGGCCACGCGUAAAAUAAACAAGGGGCGAGGAAAGGAAUGUGGCUCAAAGUAGGGCUGGCUCCACGCGAGCUGGAGUUUUGCAAGGAUUCCGAUACCCCGCGGGAUUCGGUGUCCUCGCGGGAUCCUUUGUUCCAGUUCGUGUAGGAUUCUACAAUACAUGGCGAGGUAGAGUUGGAAAUGGACUGUAGUACUCCGCGGGAUAGGAUCGCUUAGUGUUCGAGUUCGCGUACGACGCUACAGUGAGAUGAUGCGGGGCGGUGAGCGAGACCUAGGCGAGGUCUGUUCUGGACACGUGUUGCACGGAUCGCGCGGCUCGCGAGCUGGUCGUAUCCUUGUGAAAUUCUAAUUGCUGAGUCCGAAUGGGUUGUGACUAGGUCUCUGCGAAUUGCUUGCGGGUCGUUAUAUAAGGGAGUUUGACACAACAACAAGGACACACAAUCAAUCAUACAAAAACAAGUACAAAUCCUCGAGCAUCCUCGAAACCCUAAGUUCUAAGUGCACUUCGCCUUAGUUCUCAAACCCCUCCAUGAUUCGCCUUUCUCCCUAUUUGUUGUUCUGCUCGCUCUAACAGUGAGUAUCGAUUCACAAGUGACAAGAAGUUUUACUCGUAAUCCCUCGUCCGCGAGGUGGCACCGGUAACCCCCUCUUCGCUUGUUUAGAAGUCUAGCCGCAGCUCAUUCCUUUCCUCGCCCGCGAGGUGGCACGCCCCGCAAUCUCCUUCUCUUUACUUUUGAGUCACCGGAGUUCCAACUCUGCCCCUGCUGAGACGCGUGGCCAAAACAUUGGCACGCCCAGUGGGACCGGGAGUAUAACAUUCUCGUCAUCAUUGGGAAAUCAGGCGGAUCCCCAUACGGGAGACCCUCGGUUUCUUGUUUGAAACAUAAAUCUUCACAAUACAAGCCCCAUAACAGCGCGGCUUGUCGAUCUCUCACCCAAGAAGAAGUUCUCGCUCGGUUUGGCACACCCGACUAUAGCGGAACCAUAAUGACAGGUUCACGACCAACCCAAGACGCAGGACCUACUCUGCCAGCGGACGAAGUCCGCCAGAUGUUUGGGGAACUGAAGAAUAAUCUCGACUCACUCAGCUCGAAAGUCGACACCACCCAGCAAAGCGUCAAAGACCACUCUGAACAGGUCACUAAGGACAAAACUAUCUGGCUCGCUAACCAAGAAAACCUUUCUAGGCUCAGCGAGGAGUUUAAUUACGUUGCUGGUCAAGUCAGGGAGGACAAAGACUUGGUGGAAGGUUCCCUUCAAAGGAUCCAGAAAGAAUUGGAUCAGAGCAAGGUGACUUUCACCAAAACCCUGCAGCUUACCCGCGCAACCGUGGAUGAGCAGACCCGUCGCUUGGACGAACACGACACCAAGCUACAGCAACAGCAGGACGCUUCUUUCUUUGGAAGCAAGAACAGCAUGGAAAAGCUUGAGGACUACAAAGAGCGACAUGAUAAUCUGAGCAUAAGGGUCUUGCAAGUGGAAGACUGGAUACGGGCUCAGACACUAAAAAAUCAUGCCUUGAACUUAGCUAGUUCAAGUGCAACUGAGGGCUCAAGGUACAUUCCACCUAAUGAACGCCCUAGAGGAAAUCCGAAGGUCGGGGCCCAGAAGACUCCCCAAUUCACAUUGGGGGCCAGUUCGUCAAAGACGCCAACCCUUCUACCCACGCCAGGCAGCCCUAGAGUCACACUCAGGGGCGCCGGUGUCUUCCCAUCUUAAGGGAUCGGGACACCAGAUGACCCAGUUAUAGCUUAUUCCAGUUCGACCCCUAAGAACGUCGUGCAGGCCCCUAGCCUCUCUGCAUGGCACGGCCACGAUCAGGGGGCAAAAUCCACACCAGUAACGGUAGCCGACUGGCGCCAGCUCAUCUCGAGCAUAGUCAAGGAGCAAACCGGAAAAGGUGAUGCUAGCUUGCAUUAUCGUGACCCCUAUCCAGAUAGCGUGGCGCAAUAUCCUUUCCCUCAUGGAUUUAAGAAUAUUGUCUUCACCACUUUCUCCGGAGAGACAAGAGAAGAUGCAGCAACACAUAUGGUUCGUUUCAAAGUCCAAUGCGGCCAAUACGGGAAUGAUGAUAUGCUCAAACUCAAGCUUUUUGGGACGUCUCUAUCCGGAGCUGCUUUUACCUGGUACUCCAGAUUGAAGUCUGGGUCAAUAGCUGACUGGCCCACUAUGGAGAAACUUUUCCGGGAGACAUACGGCACAAUUGAACCUGAAGUCGGCCUCGAUUCCCUCACACAGAUGAGCCAGCAAAGCAUGGAGUCUGGAGUUUCUUUCCUCCAGCGUUUCAAGAUCCAGCAAGCCAAAUGUGAUUACCUGCUACCUGAGCAAAAAGCCGUUAAGUUGGCUAUCAGAGGCCUGGAGCACCGCCAGCGGUUAAAGCAUCACGGAGAGCGCUUUACUUCCAUGGGCGACCUGAUUAACAAGGUCGGUAGCUACGAGCUAAUCUUGAACGAGUUGGAUGACAAAGCAAAUGCCUCCAAAGGAACUUACAUACCAGGGAAGAAUCGGACAGUGGGGACAUUAAGUCUGCAGGCCCCUACGUAUGAUUCCUAUUAUCAAAGGUCUGAGGAAACUCGCUCGGAUCAGGAACAUGAAGAUAUUGGCGCGGUAGAACUGACUGGCAAACCAUUGGCUCACAAAUUGAAAAACCUGAAGAUAACGCGCGAGCCAAUCACCAUCCAGUCCUUUGCAUGGACCAAGCCAGAGUACGAGUCAUACACCUAUGAUGCUAAGAACGCCCAUCUGGUCCUUAAUGACCUCAUCGAGGCAAGAUACGUGCGCUUGGAUCACAAGAUACCGCCCAAGGAAGAGCUAAAUGACAAGAAGUACCGCGCCUUCCACAAUGUUUACAAUCAUGACACCAAAGAUUGUGUCAAGCUUCGAGACCAGCUGCAGACAUGGCUGAACUCAGGCGAGCUAAAGAUGAAAACACCGGGUAGUACGGCCUCAUUGGUUGAUAUAGACCAUUUCCCGCCUGUAGUUGGCAUGGUCGAGGUAAACUGGGCCGAUCAGACCGAGGACGAAGAUUGACGCCGGGCACCAAAACGGGGCCGCGAGGAAGGUGACGAUGGUGCCCGCCGGCCACCUCGCCAAUACACCUACAACGAAGAUCUUGCACAUGAGGUUUUAGACGAUCUCAUUGAUGACGGGCUCGUCACAGUGGCCAAUUCCUUGCCAUACAUAGAAUAUAAGGAGGGGCGCAUUCACUGCAAGUUUCAUAAUAGCUGGGGGCACAGAACCUGCGAAUGCCAGCAACUCAGAGACCAGGUUCAAGACUGGCUCGACCUCAGGUAUAUUCGCUUUAAGAAUAAGGGCGACUUCAUGAUCGCAACGGCUGACUUCGCUUGGCCUCGAGUCGGCCAACGAAGAAUCACAUUAGACUUGUCGCCAAAUGCAGGUUUGCAUGAACCGCCGGGCCGAAAUCGCAAACGGCCGGCGAAUAACUAUACUGUCCCGAAUAACCAGCAAGGGAAAGCAGACGACCCAGCUCGACAGUUGGUCGCUGAGCUCGAAACGGACCGCCCCUCCCGCAAAGAUAAGGGCAAAGCAGUCAUGAGGGACGAUGGACCGUUCCCCGUUGAAGAUCCCCAGCCUAUGAGUCCCAGGACUCGAGAAGAGCUGGAAAGGAGGAUAGAACGUCUCGAGACGUUCGUCUAUACACAUUGGGCAGAGACGGUACCUGCAUCCCCUGCCACAAGUGAGAUGGACAUGUCAGACUCCAGCGGUGAACGUCACAACCACGAGGCCUCGAGCCCUCGUAAAGGCGUCCUAACCGACCCCUAUAUUCCCCCGACAUCCAAAUCAGCGAUCAAGGAUGGGGUCUGGUACACACAGCAAGGGGGCAAGGCAGUUACCAUCAGCAGGUCUAAAAAGCGAAAGCUCCAAAAGCGAUACGGUAGUAUCCUACGUGCCUUACGGGCUGUCGAAGAGGGCGCUGCACGCCCCUCACAGCUCGCACAGACGCCUGAGCGGAUGUGGAGGGAAGCAGAGGGUUUGCGUGCAUUCUUUCAAAUGCCGCCUGUCCCACCCCCAAGGAUUUGCGAGCAGUUCAGCAACGAGCCGGCACCCAAAGCAAACGUCUUUUGCCGACUCACGGUUCCACCAAAGCAGGAUCCACAACCUUCCAGGUGCAGGCCAUCACCAGAACCUGAAAGAAGAAGGGAUCCAUAACCUUCCAGGCGCAGGCCAUCACCAGAACCUGAAAGAAGAAGGGAUCCACAACUUGCUAGGCCUAAACCGUCACCAGAGCCUGAAAAGAGAAGGGAUCAACAAGCUCCCAGGCACAGGCCGUCACCGGAACCCGAGCGGAGAAGGGCUCCGCCUACCGGUCCUAGGCGUAAGUUGUUCACGACUCUGGAUCCAGAGUCCAAACGCGAGCCGUCUCAGCCCUCACUGCAACGGGAACGUCAAAAUCCGGAGGCCAAUAUCAGAAGGGAGCCACCACCACCACCACCACACCAGCCUCGGGCACGGUCUACCCCGGAGCCCGAGACUCAGAUGGUUCCCCGAAUAUCCGCCCUACAACGGUUGAAAAAAGAAGACAACGAUAAGGCUCCUCUGGCAACAGACAAACAACCAGCCAAGGACCACCAGCCUUCAACCAAGUCAGUAUGGCGUCCGCGGCAACCCGAGGCUCAAGAGCCACCAAUAGCCGCACAGGCGCCCUCCAGUCCUAACCUCGCCCAACAAAUGGCCCAGCGUUUCCGCGAGAAUUCAGAAGACGACGAGGCACAUUCAGAACCUCGACUUAACCUAGAGGAAGACCGGGACGAAGAGCAGGCAGAAUCAUUCACCUGUAAUAUGAUAGAGGUCUCAGGAUGGGUGCUGAUGAAGGGUUUAGCAGCGAAGCAGACGCUUUCGCGGUGCUCGAGGGGAACACGGGGAUCAUUGGACACUCCCCUGGUCCCAGUUCCUGAACAAUUCUCCUUUCAGUCGGGAUGGUGUUCUUCAUUUCGGAAAGAUACGCUCUCCCACCAAACACAAUCUGCAGUGCGGCGGAUAUUCCCGUCAGCAGCGAGGAUGUCAGUAGCAUACCCCCGCCAUGCAGCAGCGAAAUGGGCCCAGUUCCGGCACAGGCCGACGACGCCCCACAGGUGGAAAUUACGAGCAGCAUGAAACAUAAGCAAACUCUAACCUUCUCCACACCAACUUUGGACAUGGCCACUCACAUGCGGCCACUGUAUAUCACGGCCGAAGUCGAGGGAAAAAUGAUCAACAAGGUCAUGGUUGACACCGGUGCCGCGGUCAAUGUUGUCACAACCCGUACCAUGAGACUCCUAGACAUCCCGCGCUCGAUGAUCUAAACCACGUCCUUAACAGUCAAGAACUUCACCGGGCAAGUGUCCAGAACCCUAGGCUUGCUAUUCCUACGGGUCAAGGUCGGGCCGGCAUCACGGGUUUACACCUUUUUCGUCGCCGAAUGCGCUUCCUCUUACAGCAUGAUUCUUGGCCGAGAUUAGAUCCACAGAAGUUUUUGCGUGCCUUCCUCCAUGCACCAAGAACUCAUGAUUUGGGACGCCGAGAACCGUGAAGCAGUCAUCAUCAAAGCCGACCCGCGGCCAUUCUCUAUCUCUGCCAACUUCAACGAUGCCCGAUAUUAUACUACAGACUUGGGUCCGUUGGAUGUUCAAGGCGUCGAUAACAAGGGUCGCCCAUAUGGAAUAACGGCCUCCAAUCUCACGCGAUGGGGACUUACCCAGGCGAAGGACGAUUUGCAACGUCCUCACACCAUCGCUAAUCACACACCCCGUUCUGAUGAAUAGUGCCUUCUCAGAGGAGGCACGCGAGGCUGGCGAGUCCCUGUGCGAAAGACUCCUUUCGUACUGGGCAAAACGCGAAGCCUACGACAAGGUUGCGACUAUGGAAUAUGUAGAUGAAGUGGUGGAUUAUUCCGAUACCAAGGAGGAAGUUAUUCACUUAGCUCCCGCCGCCUUGGACGACACACCACCUCAAGUCCGCGACCCCAUUUCACAAGUUGACGUAGGGACUGCAGAAAAGCCCUUACUUAUUUCUAUCAGUGCUAAGUUGGCGGAGGACGAAAAGGAAACCCUUCUUGCCCUGUUAUGCGAGUACAGGGAUUGCUUCGUCGACAAAUACGAAGACAUGCCCGGCUUGUCCCCGGACUUGGUCUGCCACCGGUUACCAACUUAUCCGGACCGACGUCCAGUACGGCAGGACGGCCGAUUCAUGCGAACUGAGACUCAGAUUGUAGUCAAGGAAGAAAUCGAAAGCAUGCACCGAUCGGGCAUCAUUCGCGUGACAAAGUAUAACGAGUGGCUGUCCAAUAUUGUCCCCGUCCACAAGAAAAAUGGCAAGAUGCGCGUCUGUGUUGAUUACCGCGACCUAAACAACGCAACACUGAAGGAUAUAUACCCCAUGCAUGUGGCUGACCUACUCAUUGAUGCCGCCGCGGGGCAUGAGGUGUUAUCCUUUAUGGAUGGAACGGCCGGAUACCAUCAGAUUCCCGUCGCUGAGGAAGAUCGACACAAGACCGCUUUCCGCUGCUCUGGUUUUGCCGGCGCGUUCGAGUACGUUGUCAUACCUUUCGGACUUAAAAACGCGGGGGCAACGUACCAGCGCGCCAUGAACCUCAUCUUUCAUGACAUCUUGGGGAAGUUGAUCGAAGUAUACAUCGACGAUGUGGUAGUCAAAACCAAAACACGGGCAACCCACGUUGAAGACCUACGGCAGGUGUUUACACGGAUGCGCCGACAUAACCUGAAGAUGAACCCCGCCAAGUGUGUUUUCUUCGCGGAGGCUGGCGAUUUCCUUGGUUUCCUAGUGCAUCAAAGAGGCAUCGAAAUACCAAAGGACAAGGCACAGGCGGUAAUCACCGCUUCACCCCCCAACACAAAGAAGGAGCUUCAACAGCUGCUUGGGCGAAUCAACUUUCUCCGCCGUUUCAUAUCCAACGCGGCAGGGAAGGUCCAGCCUUUUUCACCCCUCCUCAAGCUCCAGGGGGCAACCGAGUUCGUCUGGGAACCACAACAUCAACAGGCCUUCGAUCGAAUCAAGGACUACCUUACGAACCCACCAGUCCUGAUCUCACCUCGCGACGGUACCCCGCUUAAACUUUAUAUCGCCGCUGCCGACUUGUCCAUCGGCGGACUCCUGGCCCAAGAUGAUGUGAACGGGGUAGAACAUGCUGUCUAUUACCUUAGCAAGGUGUUAACGGAGUGUGAGACACGAUACUCACCUAUGGAGAAGUUGUGUCUUGCCCUAUAUUUUGUAGGGUGCAAGCUGCGCCAUUACAUGCUUGCCUUUACCACGGUUGUGAUCGCUCAAUCCGACCUGAUCAAAUACAUGCUCUCUCGCCCUAUCUUGCAGGGACGCAUCGGCAAGUGGAUCUUAGCCAUGUCCGAAUUCUCGUUGUAAUAUGUUCCGCAAAAGGCCGUAAAAGGACAGGCAAUAGCAGACUUUCUCGCUCAUCACCCACCCUCAGAGCUCACGGCGUUUCGCGAGUUGGAAUUCGCUACCGUGACACUCGCUCCAUGGACCCUGUACUUUGAUGGUUCGCGGACUGACACCGCAGCCGAAGCUGGGAUAGCCAUAGCCAAUCCCGCCGGAGAUCGCUUCUCCUACUCGUUCCAGCUCGAUUUCAAAUGCACCAACAACCAGGCUGAGUACGAGGCGUUGAUCAUCGGCCUAGAAAUUUUGUUGGAUUUAGGAGUCCGCGAGGUUCAGAUCUUUGGCGAUUCUUUGUUGGUCGUUAACUAGCUGGUGGAAAAGUUUAAGUGCUUAAGCUCGUCAAUUGAGCCAUACCUGCGCAAGGCAUUUGAGGUGUUGGAUCGAUUAGACAACGUCUACAUCGAGCACAUACCACGCGAGUUCAAUUUCGCCGCCAACAAGCUCGCCCAAGUAGCAUCCGGUCUCAGCCUGCGCGACGGCGUACGCGAACGUUUGCUCAAAGUCGAACGCCGUACGCUUCCCUCUUUCAUCGCUAGGGGGCAAUUUCAGGCCAACACCCCCGAAGUUGCGGCCUUGGACCCUAUCGAUGAGGAUUGGCGGCUACCAUUUAUCGCCUACCUCCAGAACCCCAACGACGCCGCUCACUCCAGGCAAAUACGUUUCCUCGCCUUAAACUUUGUUUUACGCAAUGGCGAACUCCGGCGGCGUGGGGAAGACGGAAAUGAUUUCCGCUGCGUGUAUGGGAACGAAGCUAAACGUAUCAUGCGCGACGUCCAUUGUGAGGUUUGCGGCUCGCACCAGGCCGGGCCAAAAAUGCGAUGGUUGAUCCGUCGCCAUGGGUACUACUGGCCAACCAUUCUGAAAGACUGUAUUGCCUUCGCCAGAGGGUGCCAAGACUGCCAGGCUCACGGACCAGUGCAACACAUUCCCAACAUCCCGUUACAGCCUAUCAUUAAACCUUGGCCGGGUCGCGGUUGGGCGAUAGAUUUCGUUGGCAUCAUUUAUCCCCAUUCUUCUGAGCAGCAUAAGUUCAUUAUCGUCGCCACCGAUUUCUUUACCAAAUGGGUCGAGGCCGAACCACUCAAGGUUGCCUCCGCCAACUCGGUUCGCAACUUUAUUUUCCGCAAUAUCAUCUCCCGCUUUGGUAUCCCGGAGUGCAUCGUUACGGACAGGGGGGCAGCUUUCAUGGCUGAUUCAAUUGUUAAGUAUUUAAACGACUACGGAAUCAAGCUUCUCCACUCUACGCCAUAUUAUGCACAGUCCAACGGCCAGGCGGAGGCUAGUAAUAAGGUCAUCCUUGGCAUCCUCCGCAAGAUGUUGGAGUUGAACCCGCGUGUCUGGCAUGAGGAACUCUACCACACCUUGUGGGCUUACCGCACUUCAAAGCGCGGCCCGACGGAUACCACCCCGUACGCUCUCAUGUACGGUCAUGAUGCCGUCCUUCCCCUUGAGAUCAAUAUCGCUUCACUCCGCGUUCAGGAACAGUAUCAACUACUUGGCGAGGAUUACGUCCAAGCCAUGUGGCAGGAGCUUGAAGACCUUGACGAGCACCGCGUCACCGCUUUCAACAAUCUCGUCCUCGAGAAACAACGCAUCGCACGUUCGUAUGAUAAGGUCACGCGCGGACGGAGCUAUGCUGAGGGCUAGAAAGUGUGGCGCGCGGUACUCCCACUUGGGGAAAAAACUGACGGUCGGGGCAAGUGGUCCGCUUGAUGGGAAGGCCCCUUUAUUAUUCAUCGUAUACUUCCCAAGGGGGCAUACCACCUGCGCGAUUUGGACGGUACCAUUCAUCGCAAUCCUAUUAAUGGCCGCUUCCUCAAGCGCCACAUUGCAGGAGUUUGGGAACGCGAGGAUCCUCCACCUCCCCCAGGCCCCGUCGCCACUGUCAAUAGUGCUACGCGCCAUCGCAUUCUCGCUCCCCUGCCUAACACUAGGGGGCAACCCGGGAUAGAAGACUGACACAGUACGUUUAACAUACUAGCCUAAAAAGGCCAGUAUAAGAUUGGGGCCUAUUCCAGAGGCCCUAAAUAAGGAUAACUCUAUUUUUCUUCAUUUUCCGUAAACGUGCAAAGUCUAAACGCAAAGGCCAGUACAAGAUUGAGGCCUAUUCCAGAGGCCCUAAAAAAAACAAUAAAUUCAUUUAUUUUGCCUUUCUGGCGUUGUUUCAAUACAAGUUUUGAACAUCGGCUUUGCGGCCGAAACAACUACAUUUGACAGAAAGGGUGAAAUCAGACUAUGUUUACAAACAAAGGCAUAGAUCUGCAGAUAUUGGAAGCCUCAACCCGCAUAUCUUGCAGGGUUGAAGAAGAGACUGCCGCCGCAUCCUUCGUUUAAAGUUGGCAAACGUCCCGCUUCUUUAGACCAGCACGAGCCUUGACACUGGCCCGGACCUAAGACAAAUUGUUGGGAAGCUAGAGGUCCACUGGACUAGGGUCCCUCAUGCUACCGGUCAUGCCUGGAAGGUGCUUGAAAGGCACUGACCAGAACCUGAAGCGCAAGCAGAUGCGGAGCCUCGAGAGCCUCACGUUUGGACAGAACAGCCGGUGCAAGACAGAAGGUACCCAACCAUUAUUUCGUCCAAACAAAGGCUUGACCUGAGAGUAGUUUUUUAGAAUCACUCCCGGCCUGAGAGUAGAUUUUCAGAAUCAGAAAGAACGAAGAGUGAAAAUGUGAGGUGGGGGCUUUGUUUUAAGCAGGGACAAGAGGAUGAACAGAAGGGUAUAAGAGCUCAUGGCAAGGGGGCAAAGACUUAACUGGUACUUCGCCCCGGCCAAGCGUUUCUUUUUAUAGGCGAAAAGGGUGAUUUUCCUUUCAACAGAUGUCCUUCAUGUAGCGAUUUGCUCCGAGAUAUGAGCUUUGGAGAUAAGGUCGGACGCGUUGUUCCAUAAUGACUACCCGCAUUCCAAGCGAGUAGUUGCAUUGGAAACCCCUACCAAAUCUUGGAAGAAGAUUUUUUCCUGGGAAUGCAGUUCUUACACAAGAGUUGACAAGAGCGGGAAAGAUUUGAUUUAAUAAUAAUAUUAUAAAGGUUCAUACAAAGGGGGCAAAGCGCUGAUCGGGCCUAAACCCGCCUAGAAGCCCUAUACAAAUCUAUGAGAAGGCCUUCUAAGGCCAACUCUUCAACAUCUGCUUGGGCUUGGGCUUCGUCGGCAGCAGCAGCAGCCGAGUCCAAAGCUUCCUGGGUCUCUUCCGCGGCCUGCACACGGGUUUCUGCCUCUUUAGCUCGGGCCAAGUUCUGGCGAGCUUGAGCAAGCUGAGCUUGCAGCUCCGGUAUCUGAACCUCUAGGGCCUCCACUUGCCGAGCAUAGACAGUGCAUGGGUUCUCUGACGAUGCCUCAGGGAUUUCAGCGUCAUCAAGCUCGGCUAAAAGGGGCUGCCAUCUGAUCGUCUAAGGCUUGACAGACUUUCUCGUGAGCAGCCGACUGGGCACCGACAUCUUGAACUCGGCAAGCCUGCAGCUCGACAGCGUCGGUGAGUUCCAACACAUGGUCUAGAGCAGGGUUGCUCCCAGCGAGGUGCCGAAUCAGAGCUUCAUGGGCCUCGCGGGCGCGCCUCACCAAGUCGAAUACGUUCAUGUGGGGACCUUGGCGCAGUAGCCCGUGAAAGAAAGCCCGGGCUAGGCGAAUGGGCUCUGGAUCGGCAGGCGGGGUAAUCCGGGCCCGAAGACGAGCGGUCCGGGUAGCCAAAGAAGAAGCCGCCUCGCCAGAUGUUCUCGUUGGGGCCGGAGUGGUUGGUUCAACCUCUGCAACUGCCUCAAUCUCUGGAACGGGCAGUGGGACCUCAAACCGAGUAGGGACUGUCGGUUCUUCGGUGGUCUGGGCCGCUGAGUCUGGUUGCAAAGGAGAGGGCUCAAGCACCGGUUUAAGGUCCUUUGGCGGAACCGCCGAGGGGGCUGCAAAAUCAGAAAGCCGGGUGGUCUGGCCGAGAUCUUCAUCUUGAGCAAGAGCCGAGAUAGGCUCUGGAGGCGGGCCAGUUUCGCCUAGAGCGUCGGUUGGAGAAGGGGGUCGCAAGGCGACUUCCUCAGUAACCAUGGUUUGAUCUCCGACGAUUGGUUCCGGGGUUGGGACUUCAACUAUUGUUGUUGCUCCUUCAAUGACAGCGAGGCGAGGUCGGAUGCGGCGGCGAACCUGUCAAAUACAAAGUUAGCAAAUCGUUUGUUGGCUUUAAUGAGUUUGGUUCGAAGAAAGGUCGCUUACCAAAGCGUGCUCUUGCCGAUAUCGUUCAUCCUCUAGCAUCUCUUCUUCGUCCUCGACAGGGCGUUUCGGCCAGCCUUCGCCGCUCGUUGGCCGGGGAAUAACGGGAGCAGUCUCACCGUCAUGGUCCGCCGCGGGCUCCUCUUGAGUAGGUGUUUUCCCUUUGUCUCCGGCACCCUCAGGUCUUCUGACCGAUCUCCGACGGGGUGCAGACUGUAAAGGUAGACAGGAGAGUUAGGAGGAAGCAUUUUGUUGAAGUGGUAAAGGCGGUAUGGAAUUUACAUAGUUGGUGGUUUACCUCGGGUGCGGGAUCGCGUUCUCGAAUGACGAUCCCGGUCGAGCGAUGAGUAGCGGGAACUGGUGGGAGCGCAGGCCUAGACCCUGUCGCAGCCUUUGAACCGCUUUCUUCACGGUCGCGCUGGGCAUGAAGGAUGACGCGGUCUGACUCGCCCAAAGUGUCGUAUAGGGGAUAAAAGAUGGCAGCAAAAACAGCAUCAUCUGGGAACCCCCAAUGGUUGUCGGACAAAGAUCGCCACCAAGAGAGAUAGGCGGGGUCAACACCCAGUGAAGGCUCAAUCUCGAGCAAGUCAAGAGUGAGAGGGAAAAUGUUCUGCAGCGGGGUGACCCGGUCGGACUCGCCAAUCUUCCUCUAGGAGGUGUACUUGUUCACCGAAUGGAAGAGUGGAUAGGGGAUCCCUUGAAAGAAGCCGAGUUGUCUGGCGAAGUGGUUGGGGGCAUAUAGCUCGAAGCCUUGUUCAUCCUCGGCGAGCUGAAGGUCGCAGCAUGAGGAUGCUCUCAUGAAGACGGUCUUGGCAUCUGAGUUCGAAUCAGAGCGCGGGAAGAAGCCCGUCGAUAAGACUUCAGGGUGGCGCCGGCGAACCAUCAUGUCUAUGGUGGGAGGCGGUUCUAGUUGGUUGUACAGGAUGGAGAGGCUGGCGAAGAAGGACAGGGGAGUCCAGUUCGCAGCGUUCCUGCACACCGCGAAGCCAAGCAGUUGGUCCUCGGGCAGGAAUUCCAGCGGGGCUCGCAGGAAGAGCGGGAAGUACAGCUGCGUCCAUAAAUCCAGGAUCCACAUAGGGCCAGCAGAGAGAUGGAAGGGUCUUAGGGACAGCAUGUGCAAGGUCCGGUAAAGCGCGCCCAGCACGGGUUGCCCUAGCCCUACUUCGAUUCCAUUGUAGAGUGCCUCGGCCAGCUUUGUCCAUUUCUCUGUAGGUUUGUGAGCACUGCCACAGAAUAUGAAUUUAUCAAGCCAGUACUCAAGGAAAGCGAUACCUUCUUCGUGUUGUUCUGCGUGGCCGAUGUAGAACUUCCUCCAUACUCCAUACGAGCCUUUCAGGGCGCGGCGGGCCCCCAGGUUGCAGGAGUGCGUAAACUCGGUCGAUGCAAAGUCGUCUGGCGCAUAUGGCUUUGCAUGAAUCGGCAGCCCGGUGAUGGUGAGGAUGUCCAGCAGAGAAAUGCCCAUUUGCCUGAAAGGAAAAUCGAAAGUGUUGGUGGCACUGUUCCAUAAGUAGGCCGCGGCAGCAAUGGGUGCUCGAUCAGCAUGAGGAGGCAGUGAGAAGCUCAAGGCAAUGGCUUCGUUGAUGCCGGUUGCUUCCCAGAUCGCUUGGUCGGUCUGGAGGCGAGCCGUGUACCAUGCCCGGUCCUCCGCGGUGACGCUGGGCCAUUCCCCGACCCGGAUAUUUGUAUGAGAGUGGGCUUGGUGAAACCAGGAGGCGAAGUUUCCCGGUUCGCGACGCUGGGCAAGGAUUGGUCGACGCACGGAGGCGGUAUAGUGGUUCAGAUCAGCGGCGGACGGAGGUUGCGAAGGGGUCGGACCGAGCAGGGCUGCCCCUGUUUCAAGGAAAUAGAUGGGUGUUCCUUGAGGAGGGUUGUUGGCAAAACGGCGAGCGAAGCCGGUCGACCAAGAGCUCGCCGCCGUGAGGUUAAGGUUUGGAUCGUUAGCAGUUGGUUUGGGAGCCAUUGUUUCUGGGCGGAGUGAGUCCGGUGGUGAAGUUCUAUUGGUUGCAGAAGAAAGGGAAAAGUUUGGUUGGAAAGCGAUGGUGAGAUGUGGGGACCCGCAUCGAGGUUUAUAAAGGAGACGGACCGUAACGUCUUUUCAAUCAGUAGCCGUAAUGAGGAGACGCGAUGACGACUGAAACGUCAGCACGUUUCAAAUUUCAAACAGUCGCAAUGAUGAAGGGAGGCGAUGAUGCCGAAACGUCAGCACCUUUUUGAAUUGCGAAUUCCCGUAAAUGGCUCAUUUAGGCCUUUUCGCUUAUCCGUUGCAAAAUGGAUUAAGCUCAAGACCUAGGGGGCAAUGUUUGAGCCCAGUGGGUAUUUUUGGUCCAAGACUUAGGGUACGUUUUGGAUAACAUUUGGGCCAAUACCUGUGGCCCUUUUUUAAUGCGAAGCCCACGAAGGAUGGCGAAGUCUGGCUCCACGCGAGCUGGAGUUUUGCAAGGAUUCUGAUACCCCGCGGGAUUCGGUGUCCUCGCGGGAUCCUUUGUUCCAGUUCGUGUAGGAUUCUACAGUACAUGGCGAGGUAGAGUUGGAAAUGGACUGUAGUACUCCGCGGGAUAGGAUCGCUUAGUGUUCGAGUUCGCGUACGACGCUACAGUGAGAUGAUGCGGAGCGGUGAGCGAGACCUAGGCGAGGUCUGUUCUGGACACGUGUUGCACGGAUCGCGUGGCUCGCGAGCUGGUCGUAUCCUUGUGGAAUUCUAAUUGCUGAGUCCGAAUGGGUUAUGACUAGGUCUCUGCAAAUUGCUUGCGGGUCGUUAUAUAAGGGAGUUUGACACAACAACAAGGACACACAAUCAAUCAUACAAAAACAAGUACAAAUCCUCGAGCAUCCUCGAAACCCUAAGUUCUAAGUGCACUUCGCCUUAGUUCUCAGACCCCUCCCUGAUUCGCCUUUCUCCCUAUUUGUUGCUCUGCUCGCUCUAACAGUGAGUAUCGAUUCACAAGUGACAAGAAGUUUUACUCGUAAUCCCUCGUCCGCGAGGUGGCACCGGUAACCCCCUCUUCGCUUGUUUAGAAGUCUAGCCGCAGCGCAUUUCUUUCUUCGCCCGCGAGGUGGCACGCCCCGCAAUCUCCUUCUCUUUACUUUUGAGUCACCGGAAUUCCGACUCUGCCCCUGCUGAGACGCGUGGCCAAAACACCCCUUUCUCCCAUGAUCACAGUUUUCUCGAGUUUUUAGGGGCAUGCAAUGGGCUGGUGGCUUCAUGUGUCUUUCGUUCCUACGUACAAGAACGCUUGUUUAUAUGGAAUCCAUCCACCGGGUUCUUUAACGAAUUACCCUUCCGAGGUCAUAUAGAUGAGCAACUCAUGUUUGGGUUCAUGUUUGGGUUUGGGUAUCUUUCCACCACCGAUGAGUACAAAGUUGUGAUGGGUGCGGAGAUGUUUUCAUCCAAUAAGGGAUCAUGGAAGCGGAUUCAAGUACCUCCCUGCAGCGUCGGGCAAUCAUGUGGUGUGUUUUCUAGUGGUGCAUUGCAUUGGCUACUCUAUUCCUGUGAUCAAAAGCAGCAAGUGCCAAAUCUGUAUGCUUUCGAUUUGGAGAAAGAGGAAUUUUGGAUGAUGAAGCUGCCAGAUGCUCUUCAAACCCUGGGCCUUGUUAGGAGCAGUAUUUCAUACCAACUUGGUGUUACUCGUGAAGGGUGCUUGUAUGUAAUGGUCCAGAGUGAGGUGUGGGAUUCUGGUAAAUUGGCCUCUUUUUAUGUGGUUGAUUUUUGGGUCAUGAGAGACUAUGACAACAGUGAUUCAUGGACUAAAUCAUUGGGUGUAAAGAUUUCCAAUCAGCCUGCGCGGCGGGAUUGGUUUUUAUCGAUUGAAGCAAUUUCGGUUUCGGAAACUAGUGCAUUUGUGAGGAAUACAUAUGCAGCAGUAGAACAAGGGGAACUCAUGUCGACCAUUUAUCAUCGCAAUGAAGAAAGCUCCCGUAUGUAUAUUCUUGAGAAUGGUGCACAAAGCAUGGUUGUAUACGAAGAGUCUUAUCACGUUGUCUUAAUCCAACACGAGGCCUGACAUUUGGGAUGAAUGGUUCUUCGAUUCUUCCUUGCAUUGUGAGUCCUGUUUAGUCAACUACUCCACAAUUCUGUUUUUGAUUGUAGUCCAUGUUUCUUAUUUCCAAUUGCAAUCCAGUUUAGGGUAGGAGUAUUAUCACGGUAUCAGUUGGUGUUUUAAGUUAGUUUUUUAGAGUCGAAUGUGUUUUGGAUGUAAAGUCUGAGACCACCAAAAGGAAAACACCUCAUUUGUGGGUCAUUUUGGUUCAUCUUUUCUAUUAUGUCGAAUGCUGGGAGAACUGCUUAUUAAAAGCUCAACUGAAGACCAAAACAACUAAAACUUAAAUCGGCCAGCUCCCACAUUGACAGUAAGUAGAAUCCAUCAUCUACCAACGCAAGUGUAUAAAAGUAGCUUAGAUUUCAUGAACAUGACUUUGAUGCAUAUGAGAAAAUGAGAAAUAGAGCAAGAGUUUAAAUACGGAUGAUACUGACCAGAGUUUACAUGUGACUUCUCUUAAUUAUCCCCUAUAUUCCAUCUGAAUGCGAAGCAAGAGAUCACACAUACAAAAGUUUGAUCCACAAGAUGAGACUAACCAUAGUCUUAAUGUACAACUCACAACUCCGCUCCUAUACAUACAACUACUACCUAGUGUUUGAAGUAUAAGAUUGGAUGCAGAUAACAGAUACAAACUCCAAUCUCUGUACCUUACUAACUAUGCUUGUAAACUUGAGCACUCAUCUCAUAUCUGCAGUAAAACUCAUCAAAAUUACCAAGGGCCAGUCAAUGUUCGUCUCAAGCACUGCCUUUUACCUCCCCAUUCCCGAUUCAUUGUCUCCAAAAUCUGUUAAAUAUUGAAGAAAAGGGAUCGAUCAGCGUACUGUGCAGUCAAAAGUUCAUCUAUAUCAUUAAUUCAUUAUGCAGGUUACACUCCUCAUUUACAAGAAACGUCUAGAAGAAUAUAGUUGUUUUUAUUCACUGGCUAUGCCAAAGCAAGAAGAAAUAAGUCAAACAAAACAGAGGCAAGGCAGUAAAAAGUUCAAGAUACAUGAAGAAUGAUGUACCUGAUCUUUCUGCAUUUCCAUAAUUUCAGCCUACAACAACAAAGGUAAAGUCAGGGAGGGUUGGCUAAAACUAAAACAACCAGAGGAAAACCGAAAACCCAAUACUAUACCUGUUUUUUCUGCAACUCUUCAUUCAUUUCUUUAAGUUUUUGCACUUCUGCCUCUAGUUCCAAGGUGUAGGCCUGCAAGAAACCAAAAGAACAGGUUACAGUUAAGCAUCUUGUGUUUUAUUAUACAAAAGUAUGAAUGAAGCAGAAUGCCCACUAAUUUUCAAAGCUGAUUCAGGAAUCAUGUUCAAGUUCAAACAGAUCCCAAAGACUGCCCCAAUUUCACUCUCAAGAAAGUGUGUUCAAACUAAGAAGGGAUAUGAUAAAUUUUUUAAUAUUUUUACAUACUGGAUACAUCGGCACUUCAGGAGCUGCACUACACAUUAACGUCAUUCUUCACUUUCAUCAUAAGAUCAACAGUGGUUCAUACACACACCAAAACAUAGAUAAAUCACUGAUAAUAUAUGCAACUAUGUGUUCCUGGCAUUUGUUUUCCUCCCCACAUGACAUGGCUGUGUAAAGUAGACGUACAACCAGAUAUUUUCUAUCAGUAAACAAUAAAACCAAGGAUCAGAGCAGCAUGAUUUGACAUGAUGCGAUAUUGCAUCUAAACAUGUUAAUUCUGCUGCAAAGUGCUGCAGUAGCUGAGCUCCUAUGUUCCUUUAUGUGCACUGACUGUGCUCUUGUUAUUCAUCAGACAGAUCUGUUUCAACACAUUUAGGCAUUCAGCUGACUUCUAAGACUACAAAGUGUUUUCACAGAAAUUUUCAAUUUCCAACUAAGGAAAUAAGGGUUACAAUUAACUGAGAACACUUAGGCUGGAGACCAAGACCACCAUGGUCUCACACAAAGGUAACAAUUCCAAAUAUAUGUACAGAAAACGGUAUGAAACUUUGCCGUACAAAAUACAGUAUCAACGUAUGCAUUUGUAAGGUGCAGCCCAUAUCUAUGCUAAAAGCCUAAAAGCCUAAAACAUAACACCAGUACACCACCAUCCUAGACAUCCAAAUAUGGGUGGCCCCUUGAUUAUCACAUACAGAAAAGUGAAUUCGAUUUCAAAAGGCUAAGACCAACACAUUGAUACAGUAAUCAACAGAUAAAAAAAUGCAAGGAUGGGCAAAGUAGUGUGUACCUGUUUACGAGCUCGAGACCUCGCAGCAGAUUCUCUGUUCUUUAUCAUUCUCCUUUGCCUUCUCUCAACUACUUUCUCCAAAGCUCCAUUGGCUUUCCUUCCACGAGUGAACAUGUAAGGAAUCGGCGACAAUGAAGAUGUAUCUGCACUGCUCUUAACAAUCACAUCUGGUGAAAUCUUAUUUACAGGAGAUCUAGAUGCAACUGUAACACCUCCAGCACCUAAACCACCCAUUCCAAUCCCUGCACCCGGAAACCCACCACCUUGAGAGAAAGCAGUAUUCCUAGAAGGUUCCACAACGGCAGACAUCGGUCCCCUACUUCUUGGGCUAGUUAGCUGAGCAUUGCUUACCAAAUGCAUAGAAGGGGCAAAAGACAAAGUUGCAGGCUUGGGAAAGAUUGGUUGCUGCUGCGGGGGAAGCUGGUGCGUUUGCUGCUGCGAAGUUCUCACUCCACCAACAUUCAGUGCCAAAUUAGGGGACUGAUGAGGAACUGAAUUAUUGUUACUUUCUACUCGACUACCCAAAAGACCAUUGUUUCGACUUGCCUGUUGGAAACCAGGAGCUAAGCCGGUAUUGUUAUUACUAUGGCGAAACAAUUCACCAAAGAAUCCACUAUUACUGGGCCUUGCCAUUUCUUGAGCAUCUUCUCGCACCACCCCUGCUCUCGCCAAAAACUCCUCCAAAGUCAUCUCCCCCAAAGUCUGCUGUCUUUGUUCCUGUGGCAAAUCCGAACCCACACCAACAUUACCAAAUUUAACAUCACCACUCUCCCUAUUCAAUUCUUUCCAGACAUCAUCAACUGUCUUCUGACUAAGCGUCCGCGGCAAAGUCAAUGAGCCUUGUCUCUGCAAAUUCCCCACAGGGGCAUUUCCCUCACCUGCCCCAGAAGUAGAUGUAAUUCCUUGAGUCUCUUCAGCACUCCAUAUAUUCUUCAAAAGCUCAUCCAUGUUCAUCGACCCGAAAUCCUUCCCAAGUCCUCCCAUAGUGUUCUGGAACUCAUCAAACGUCAGGGAGUACACAGAAGUCUGCCGAGCCAGUGAGAAAUUCCCACCUAGCUUCCCACCAUUUACAUCCCCAUUUUGCACAUCACCAUAGUUCUUGAAGUUUAUAUUAGAUCCCAUCUUCUGGCAACUAUAAUAUCAACAGCUGACUAGGCAAGCCCCCUAUAUAUCCAUCCAAUUGAACAAUAACAAAUAUAAUUCUCAGUUUUCAAUAUCCAAACAAAAUAUCCACAAAUAGCUAAAGUUGAGACAAAAACAGAAAAUCUGAAACUCAUAAAUUCAGUGAACUCUCCUACACACACGUAUCAUAGGACACCAUAAAUGAACUUGGAGAAUCAUACAAAGACAUCACUUUUCUCUAAAGCAGCCAAGUAAUUGACAACAAACUACUACAACACUGGCUUUAUUCAACCACCCAACAGAAACUUGCCACAACCUGAAACCCAUAAAUAUCUCACUGAAGAUUCUACUGCCAAAAAGCAAGUUUUAACUUAUGAACAAGCAGGAAUGUGCAAAAUGUAUCAGAACCAAACAACCUAUGCAUCUGUCCCAUCAUUUCAGAUCAAAAAUUCCAGAUCAAAACUCCAGAUACCCAAAAAAAAAAAAGUCAGCAACUUUUGAUUCAUCUUACAUCUACACUCACAACCCGUUUCUCCAAUUUCAAUUCUUUUUCCACAUAACCCAUCAAAAACCCUAACCCUGUUUUGUCUCAGAACUCCACCACACCGAGAAAUUUUUCCCCCUUUUUUUCUAAAGAUCAAAACUUCACAACAGUGAAGCUCAAACAGACAUGUAUUAUGAUCUCAGAUUUUUUUUUUUUCCUUGACCAAAAAGAAUAAAAACCCAGGAUAAUUAGUGAAAAGGAAAAUUAUCAGGAAAAGACAAAACCCUAAAAUUAGCUGAAUUAUAGAGAAAGAAAGAGAAGAGGCUUUAUUUACCUUAAUUUCCUUUUUUAGUUUUAAUUUUUUUCCAGAAAAAGGAAAAAAAUUAAGGUAAGUGAAGAGAUUGGAGUGGUGAGUUUCUGUUUCUUCUGGGUGAACUCAGAACUGAGCUUUGGGUUUUGUCUGCUGCGAUUUCUGGGGUUGACAAGUGUCUUGUGCCGCCUCGGCACGAGUCGCUAUUUAAGGCUAAGAUAUCGGAAUUUCCUGUUAUUUUUUAAUUGCUAAAGUUGGUGCUUCACCAUCCAGCUCGCGCAACGUGGACCAAUCGGGAGAGGUGUUCGUGAUUUGAUGUCUGGCCACUACGGGUGUGAAACGUGGGGGGAUCUGGACCGUACUGGUGGGGCCCAGGUUCCGACAGGGUGAAUUGGGAGAUCUUUUGGGAGUAGGGAGUGUUUGGAUCAUGUGAGAUUGUGAGAGAAACUGUGAUAUAUAUGGGUGAUUGGCUUUUUUGAAAAGUCAAAUGCCACAAGCACUUUUGAGACGGAAAGGAAGUUGGUCGUGCUUAUCAAAUUAUCUUCGGUAAGUAAAUUUAAAGGUUAUCCCUAAUGAUUUUGACGGUGAGAUUAUCUCUUUGUUGAUGCAAUGUUGAUUUGGAUUAGGACCUUCAUAUUGUCCUAAAGUCAUAAACACGGUGAUAAUUUGAUGGAUAACGGUUGGAGUUCACUAAUCAUAGAACGAAGGCGAUACGAAACUUCUUUUAUAGUUCAUAACACCAAUUUGGAUUUUUCUAGUUGUACGCAACUUGAAUGUGAAACCUAAAGGUUCUGUUGACUAAGCAAAUGGAUAAUGUUAUUUUUGGUAAACAAUCUGGUCUUGUUAAAGAUUUGAAGCACAAUUUCAUAAAACACUAUCGAGUUCAUGAUAACUAGGUAACUAGAUGCUUAAGCUGACCAAAGCAACUAAACACUAAGUAGGGUUUCCAUGAUUUUUAGUCAUAACUCGAUUAAUAUAUUGUUUUGAAUUAGUUUAGACGAUCUCUUUUUUUGUUUUUACCAUUUAAAGGUUUAGAGCUUGUCCAUCGAGCCUAGUCCGACAGGAAUGCAUCAACCACACAAGGCCAUACAACCAUACAACCUAGGUACUUUUGACUCAAAGUAAUCGAUCUCGAGUAACACUAAAGCUAGCUUUGCAUGAUUGUUGGAGAGUGAAAAAUAAACUUGCUUAUUCUUAUAGCGCACAGUGAAAAUCCAAUAUAAAGGUUAGUCACGAACCACACGUACUUAUCGUUGUUUGACAUGGGUGUCAUACCCAAGUUCCUCUUUGGUCACAUUGUAUGCUCGAAAUGAACGAUGAGUCUUGAAAAGAUAUGUCAGCUUUGGUCUAUGAAAUGUGACUAAAAAAACAAAAGUUUUCAAUGUCGGAAUUUGUGCAUAUAUAAAAUUAGUAGUGAAGUGCAAUAUUAAGGACGUGUGAUAGUUAAUGUCUCACAUUAGGAAAGCGAGAAAAUGAUAUAAACUUUGGCUUAUUCCAAUAGUUACGAGAUGUUGUGAGUUAAAACGCAUUUAUGUGAGCCGUGUUAGAGACAAAACAUAAUCACACAUAUAUAAGAUUUUCCUAAUUGUACAGACGUCCAACGCUUGAUAGCUGGUUAAGUUUGACAUUGAUCAAAGUUGGAGCAAGUCACAUACAACAUUUGUUGUUGUUUAACAAUUUUCAGUACGAAAACCAAACAUUUUAAACCAAAUUUUUCAUGGUUGAAAUAAUUAAUUAAUUACUCAACUUUGAAUCUCAAUUGGCAGUUUGGCACCAUCAAUCUAUCGACCAUAAACACUAGUGUGUAUAAUUAUCAACAUACAACACAAGGAACCAAGGUACAUUGAUAUAGAAUAAAAACAUCUUAGUUCUGCUUAACAUCUUCUUUAAAUUAUAACUCUUAUCAUUUAGCCUAACAUGAUAAUUUAUUUGUAACUUUAUCGUUAAUUAAUUUAUAGACAAAAGUUUUACCGGAGACAUUACAUUAUAGAUUUGAGUUAGUUGUGAGCAUGUGUAGUGUUCCACACAAGAGAUGAAUUAUGAAGACCAAGAUUUUGCCACGAGUUCAUAUCAUAUUGAUCAACAAUGUAUAUAUGUAACAAAAUGUGAUCAGCAAAACUAAAUCAAAGAAGAUCAGACUCAUCCGAGUAACGUUUUUAGAGUGGUUCACGUGGUUGGUGAACAGUUUCCAGAAAAUGAAACCAUUACAUUAAAAUAUCUAAAAAAACAAAGUGUAGGCAUCGUUAAAGCAUGUGAGUAGAGUGGGGACCAGAGCUAAUCCCAAACGAUAAAAAAAAAAAGAUCCAAAAAAGAUGAAGAUGCCGUUUUCCAUGCUAAAAUAGAUUUAUGAAGCGAGGGAGACACCCCGGUCUAUAAAAAUCAGAUCUCUGAUAGGUGACAUUGUUGGUGGAUGUGUAGGCGACACGUGUUGGAGCUACCAUUCCUCUCCCUUUUUGAACACGGAUUCCGCAAGUGUUCCUCCGUCAUGGUGGACCCCGUGAUGGAAGUCUCAACUCUCAAGAAUGAGGCGAAAAGCCGGCCGCGGCGGGGCGGUGAAUAGUCGCUUAAGAGUAGCGAUGUUUUAAUCUAAUUUGUUACUCUAGCAUUUACGGUGUUGGCAUUUUACUGCCUUAGAGCGAGCAGCUCCAUCUUUUGGUUUUGUGAAAUUUGAAAUCUGACCUCUGACAUGGCAUAGUCAUUUUGGUUACAAAUCCUCUCUAGUGGAAUAGUCUUUUUUUAAAUAGAUUAGAGAGUAAAAUAAAUUAUUUUUAGGUUGCAAAACAGUGUUUUAAAGAUUAAUUUUGGACAGUAAAAGAAAAAGAAGAGAGAGAGAAGGAGAGAGAAAUAAUCAAUAAACAAACAAAUGACAGUAGAUCUCUCUUGUGUCAAAUUUGACAGUAGAAGCUGAGAGGUCAACUAUAUGUCGGCAAUUCCAUUGGAGAAGGUUAGGGCAAUCAUUUCCUACCGUUAGACCUCCAUGUGGAAUUUGACAAUUUCAUUGGAGAUGCUCUUAAGACUUCAAAAAUUGGCCAAAUUACUACCCAACAUUUUCGAUAUACAAAGAGAUAUAAGUUAAGAGUAAUCUCAUCUAGAAUUUUUUUUUUUACUCAUCUAGAAAAUUUGAGUGACAAAGUGAAGAGUAAUCCAUACAAACAAUUGGAGAAAAUGGAGUACAUUUCUCUCGUCCAUACCAAGCAAAUGAAUCGUCUUGCAUAUCUAAAGUUGGCGAAACUUGUAUACUGCUGCUACAACAUGAAGUUGUCACUAUGUAAUAGACAAACAAUGAUAGACCAAAUAAAUUAAAGAACAAAAUACUGGUCAAUCCUCUUAUUUUUGAGGUUUCGACAGUAUAAUUCUCUUUUUCUCAAUUUCGACAUGUCACUCUUAUUAUUUUCAAUGUCACACAAUUAGGUUAAACCGUCUACUUUUCAUCUAAUUUCAUCGUUAAGUUGUUGAACUGUCAUUUUCUCUCAUGCCAAGUCAGCUGAAUGAAGGGUAAAAUCAGUUAAACACCCUUUGGCUUCUACAUAAAAAAAAAAGAUGGAAAUCCGUCCAAAACUGAAACCAUUUCCCUCCAAAAUCAUUGUGCAAGAUAGUCAUUAAAAUUCAAGCUUCAAGAACUGAAGCAUAACUUAUAUAGAAAAGAAAAAAAAAAAAAAAACUGAAGCAUAACUGAAGGAAACUAAAUAAAAAACAAAUUUCACCUACAUUCAUAAAUAGGUCAUUCAUAAUACUGUUAUUGUCACCAAAAAUACAUUGCAUAUUUUUCAAAAUUAGCAAGCCAAUCAAUAAAGUGCUAAUUUACCUGAUGCAAUUUUUGUUAUGGAGGGAUUUCCAUACAAUUUUUGUUAGAGAAGCGGGAAAAUAAACCAAAAGGUGUUAUAGUGAUUUUAUCUUUCAUUCAGCUGACUUAACAUGAGAGAGAUAAAUGACAGCUAACAACUUAACGGUAAAAUUGGAUGGAAAGUAGAUAGUUGGACCUAAUUGUGUGACAUUAAAAAGUAAUCGGAGUAAACUGUCGAAAUUGAGAAAAGGAGGAUUAAAGUCGAAACCUCAAAAAUAAGAGGAGUGACUAGUAUUUUGUCCUAAAUUAAAACCCAUAUAUCGAUUCACUUCAUAUUAUUAGUGAGCCACUUUAUAAUGACAUUGAUCCGUUUUAAGACGAAAACAAUAAAUAUGGUUUUAUAGAUAUAAUCAACACGAAGAAGUAGAUGGGUGUUAGUCAUCCAGUUGAAUUCAUCGUUAUUAUCCUCUUAUUAGGGAAUUCUAGAAAAACAGUAUUUUAUAGAAAAAUAGUUGACAGAUCUAAAAAGAUAUAUAACAACGCUACCAUCAGUACUAUAUGAGUCACCCGAAGUCUGAUAAUUGUACUUUUAUAGAUCAGUGCAUCUUUUCAGCCACCCCGUGUCCAUUUCUGAAAUACUGGAUGUAGUAUCACUAGUAUGUACGUGAUACAAUAAGGAAUGACAUUGAUCAGACCCGCUCACCUGCGGGACUGAAUUUGAGGGACAAAACGAGACACUUCAUUUGUAGCCAUUAGAUCUAAAUGAGAGAAAUAUGAGGGGUGAGACAAACUUUACACACUUUUUUUUGAUCCACCCAAUCCCUUACCCUUCCCCAAUCUAAAUGAGAAAGGAAGUAGGCGGAGUGCAAAAACUCUUCCCCAAUCUAAAUGAGAAAGGAAGAGGCGGAGUGCAAAAACUGAAGGAGUGGAGGACCGGAGGGGUAAGGGAUUGGGUGGAUAAAAAAAAAGUGUGUAAAGUUUGUCUCACCCCUAAGAUUUCUCUCAUUUAGAUCUAAUGGCUACAAAUGAAGUGUCCCGUUUUGUCCCUCAAAUUCAGUCCCGCAGGUGAGCGGGCCUGUGACAUUGAUAUAUUGGAAAAAAUUUCCCCGAUACAUUUCCCCAAAUGGGCCGGGUUGAUAUGUUAUCCGUAUAAUCUAAAACCCUAAACCCCAGAACCACAGUGUCCGUAUAAUCUAAAACCCUAAACCUAUGGGCAGAGUCCCAGAUAAUUUAACUAUAUGCACCUCAUUUUUUCUCCCUGCGCCUCAAGAUUUCGCUGUGAUCGAACCAGCUCUCCCAUCCAGUGUGUCGAAAGUAGUCCAAUUGUGAUCUCAAGAUUUCCUCUCUCAUCUCCGCGCCUCACUUUUCCUCUCUCACCCAAUCUGUUUUUCUCUCUCGAAUUUCCGAAAUCCGGACAAAAUCUGAAGGAUUGCUCGAUUGUACGUCUUAAAUCUACAACCCAAGCAAGCCAUCGAGUGCUUUUGAGGUAAUUUUUCUAACCCAAUCUGAAGUGAUUUUAUGGUCGGAAUAAAAUGGAGUUUAAUGGGUCGCUUCUAAUUUGUAGGAAACUAAUGAUACAAGGCUUAUGAGGUAGUGAGUUGUACGGUUUAGGGUUAUACUGUGGCAGAAAAGCUCAUUCUAUCAUUGCUGUAGUAUGAAAUAGAUUUCCAGUUCCUUGGAACUAGAUCAAGGGGAACUAGCUUCAGUGUCAUGAGCCAUUAUAGUUUAUAAUUUGAGAACUAUCAGGCUUUGUAGCUUUUAGUUUUACACUUGAAAAUUCCCAGAACCUUCCUGUCUACGUAUAAACAAUUGAUGAUAAGCCGCUAUUAACCAAUAUCAAAACAAACAUGAAUACCAUUUCAAUUGUCUUAUCGUAUGUUAGUAUUAUGUUAUCUUUGACAAAGUUAUGUUAUCUUCCUGUCUACUGGAGUUGACUCAAGUGUUUUGAAAUGUCUAUUAGGAGAUUAAUUUUCAGUCUGUUGGAAAUGGCAUGCUAGCGGUUUGAAAUUCUAUAUCAUCUUUUUGUUAAGAAGAAUAAAAGGCCAAUAGCAAAUACAAAUUGGAGGAUAGAAAGAUGACAGUUAGACCGACUGAUCAAAAUGCUCAAUCCCAAAUGUCUCAUUGCAUUUUUUCAUCUUUAAUUUCUUUUAAGUAGAGUUGUCAUGAUCAGAAAAUUUCACACACAUGGCCAUGUUUAUAGAUUAAGUGAAUUGAAGUUGGCAUGUUUUUUUUUUACACAGAAUAUUGUGUACAUGAUGAAUGCAAUAAGGUGGUCCCAAACUCAGGGAGGUAAUUUUUUUUGUGAUUUGGUUCAGACACUACUACAAAGGACUAAAGGAGUACUAUGCAUAAUAAUAUAAUCCGUAUUGCUAGAAAUUUCAUGAUGGCAUACUUAUCUGCAUAAUAAAAGAAUCAGUUUGACUAUUCUCUUUUCAGUCAAGAUUGCUUUUUCUGUGCAGCUAAAGAACUGCUCAACAUACUGAUUUAUCAAUGUGGUUUCUUUUUUGUUCCAAUUAUGUUCCCUCUAAUUAAAAGUUAUGUUAGUGAUGAAUUAAGAUAACCGGGUGUUCUCUUUCAAGCUGUUUAAGUGCUGUUUUGUUAUAAUUAUGUCUUUAAAUAACUAAAAGGGAUGAAGGAAAGGGCUGAAUAUAUACUCCAGUAGAUAGUUCUUCGAUCAUGUUGUAUUUUGAUAUUGUGAAAGGAUGAUUAAUUGAUUUUAGAGUUCAGCUACAAAUUUUCUGUUGUUUGGAAUUGAUCAUAGAUACCGAGUUGUAAGACCAAUCUUAUUAAGCUGUUUGUUGGAUUUUGCAUCGAUUCUUAUCAAUAUUUUUCUAUUUUUGUAGGUUCUGAUUAAAGUCUCUGGGAGUCGGUCUCUAUUUCGAAGCUCUAGGUUCUUUUCCUUCUACUUGAUUGAAGGGUAUGUCUUUAUUUUUUCUUUUUAAUUUUGUUGUUCUGUUUUGCCAUUUGGGGGUUUGAUUCUAUUGGUCGGAAUGAUAAAACUAAAUGUAUGAUACCCUGCAGUCCUUUAUUCUUAUCUCAUCUAUUAUGUUUCAAUCUCAUGCCCAAACUAUGUGUAUGAUAUCCAAUGCACUAAGGCUUUAGGUUGAUAGCUUUCAUAAUCAUAAGAAAACCCUGUAACAUCGGUUUCCCGAAUGUAAAAAUAAUAUAUUCUGUUUCUUAUCUUCAGCUGAAAAAAAAAUGAGGCCCCACAUUAAUUUGAGUGAUACAAGUUUAUCAGUACAACUUCAAAAUGAGAGACUGUUUAUGGAGAAGCUUUGAAUUUUAUUUAAACUGCUAUAUAAACAACACGCGUUGGUUAAUUUGAUUCUGAAAGUGUUAAUCUUUAGUUUCUCUUGGUUUUGAUUGCAGCACCUGUAUGCACCUAAUUGGAGCAACUUUGGAGUAGAGAAAACUCUCUGUAAUAAUCAAUAUCUUGGUCGAUGUAAGUAUUAAUGCAUAUUCAUAUGUUUCUGUGGUUAGAGAUGGUGAAUUUUUCUACAAGUUAUAUGAUUUAGGUCUGGAUUGAAAACAAUUGGUUUCGAACUGAGAUUUUAGUUUGUUUAUAUCAUGGUCUUUACAUGGAAGCAGUAAUUAUGCCUCAUGGUAGUGUAAACUAAUAUCAAAAGUUUUGUAUAAGCCUUUAGCUGACAAAGUUUGAUCAACAAAGUAUAAGUCUUUGAGUCACAACGAUUAGCUGAAAAUGUUGUGAAUUUUGAUUCUUCAUUUACUGAUCAACUUGCAUAAUAACUAAUUUGGCCUCUACUGAAACAAGCUUCAUGGGUUUUAAUUUUAGUGAGUAAAGAUUUUACUUUUCUUAUCAUACAGUGUCUAUUCUAUUGUUUGCUUGAUAUUAUCUUGAUGAUGAAACCAAUUGAUGAUGCGAACCGGGAACCUGACAUCAUUUAUGGCCAUGAAUCUGACAGAUUCAGUUGAAGACUAAUCCGAGAAAUGGAUGUAAAAUAGCUUAUGGAUAAUGAAAUAUCUUUUGUUGAUUCAGCUGAUGGAUUUGGUCCUUUGCUCACAUAUAUAGUUUCAGCUUAUGGUUCUUAGUUUAUAUCUCUGAUUUAUUUCCAAAACAACAUGCUAAUUUCCUUUAUUGUACCUUUUCAGAGUCUACAAAGGCUGAAGAGAAAGAACAUGUUGAGAAUUCAAAGUAUAAGGAUUUGGUGCUAAAAUUGCAGGUUAGAUUUGGUGUAUUUAAUUUGAUUAGAUUUGCUCUUUGAUUAUUGAGGUGUUCUUCGACUUCUUUGUGUUUAGAUGCCAUUCUUAUAGAUUGAUUCUUUUAUUUCAGACGAUAGUUGCUGCUCUAUUUACUAAUAUUUACAGCCUUAGGGUUUACGAAAUGUUGUUAUUACGUAUUAGUAUUGCUUCUCUACGAAUUCGUAAAGAUUUAGUUAAAGUUACAUUUUAAGUAUUAGAUCCAUUAAAAUGAUAUUGUUAAUUUUUCUUAACUGUUAAAGUGCACUUAUAGUCAUCUAUUCUUAUGCUUAUGUGUGUUUUCUAUAUGCUAUGGUUCAGGUACAGACUGUUGUUGCUUGAACCAGCCAAAUUGGUGGGAAAGAAGUGUUUAGAAGUGCUCUACAUCACAGGUAUAUCCAUUCCACAGACUAGAAUUUACGUCCCUUCGGUGUGGGAAUGUAGAGUGUGAGCUCUUUGUUUCAUAUAUUAUUUAGAAAUGUGAGCCAAGGUAUACUAUUUGCAAAGUUAAAAAUCCCGCCCAACAUACAGAUGGAUGCAUAAACAUAUACAUGAUAGUUAGCAUUGAUAGAUUACAAAUUCUUUCAUAAGGUACAAACAUUAUAUAUUAUCAAAAAAGCUUAACAAAACUCAUUUAUUAUUUUGCUUUCUUAUGUGAACUCAGAGUAGAAUAUAUAUAGGUCCAAUAAAAAUGCUGACCAAAAAAGAUACUAACAAGUUAUUCUUGAUAUUUGUAUUUUUCUUAUUCUGAUCAUGUAAAAACAUGUUAUAAUUAUUUCGUAAAAAAGUACAACUGAAUUAUUGAGAUUGCUUAGGGCUCAGAUUGGAAUCAGUUCAAACAUAUACCGACUUAUCAGUUCUGGUUCAUCCUCCUCUGUUUGUCAUAUGCAGAUUUUAUGCAAAAGGUUCUCCAACUCACCUGUUUGCUACUGUUCCUCACUUUGGUCUUCUGCAUUAACUUAGUUGCUUUUUGUUACACAGAUUUGUACUCCGGUAAUAUCUUCGCAUCUUUAUAAACUUUGGAAAGCUAUCUGUAUUGUUAGAAUUAUACUAAUUCCACUUUUUGUGCUCUGUAGAUUUGGAUGGUUAGGGUUUAUCACAGAAGUCACAAAAUCAUAUGAUACAAACUCUGCAAAAUUCAAACCCGCAGCAAAGCGCGGGCAUAUUUCUAGUUCUGAUAAAAACACUCUACCACCUUAACACGGCCGGGUGUCCCAACAACAACAACAGCAGACGCAAAUUCCAUCUCUCCUGCAUUUCCAAUACUGGGUAUUAAUCUCAAACUAACUCUUCUGCUUACAGCGACUAAAAAUUCAGAUUGGAUCCUUGAUUGCUUUCAUUUUCUACUACUCCUUCUCCUUUUGCUUUGAUUGCUGGUUUGUUUUCAUGUGUAUGCUUUUGUGUGCUCAAGUUGGAGUGUGUUAUGGAAUAUGGAUUAUAUCAGCUGGUUUGAGUAUUUAUAGGUAUGUUAGAGGAAUAGAGGGUACUUGCCAGAAGUCAAGUUGUUCGUGUCAUUGAUUUUUGUUUCGAAUUCUGUGAUUUAGUUCAUUUAUAUCUAAUAGCCGAGCCCAGCUUCGUAUUGGAAUCCUGGUUUGAACACUGAUCUUGACCACUGAGAUUUUCUCCAAGACCUUCAUGUAUGUUCAGGUACUCGUUCGCGUUAUCUCUCUUCUUCUUCUCCUUCCAAUAUAAACGUCUACUGAGUGAGAGUCUUGAAUAUGGAUGACAGUUGAUCUAGAAAUUCAUGAUAUUUCAUAUUUUGGUGUAACUUUUCCUAAUUUGAAAAAUACAUAAAGCAUGUGACCUUUUCUUUUAGUAAUUGGAGGUAUUAUGCAGUUCGUGAUAUUUAGAUUGUAUGAAUUCAAUUGUUUGAUAUGAUUGUUUUUGAGCUGUAUUAGUCACAUUCAGGGUAUAACAUUAUUUCCCUUGUUUUGGAUUGCAUGCUUAAUCUGUAAAUACAAAUGAAAUUGAUUGAAUUUCAUCAAUAGGAAGGAAUAUGCUAUUGGUAUAGUUUCGUUUCUUAGCUUAUCCACUGUCUGGCUGAUGGUUUCGAAUAUUUCAUUCCAGUUUGGUGCCCACCUGCAAAGGUAGGCAUGCUUGCAAAAGUUUCCCCUCACUGCAAGUCUGGUACCAAUUCUUCUCGACAGCUACAAAUACUUUGCCUUUUGUAUCAGAUGGCUUUGGAAAUGAGACCAGAAGAGUUGAUAUCGGUCAUCUAUUUCAAUCCUGCACAAAACUUCACCAUGCAAAGCGUCUCCAUGCUCUUCUUGUGGUGUCAGGAAAAGCUCAAGAUAUCUUUCUUUCUGCCAAACUUGUCAAUCAGUAUGCUUACCUUGGUGAUGUCUCAUUCUCACGCCGCGCUUUUGAUUCGAUGCCUAGAAAGGAUGUCUAUACCUGGAAUUCGAUGGUAUCAGCAUAUGUUCGCAGCGGACGUUUCCAAGAAGCUGUUGAUUGUUUCUCUCAAUUUUUGGUAACCUCUGGUCUUCGACCUGAUUUCUACACAUUCCCUCCUGUCUUGAAAGCAUGUGGGAAUCUAAAUGUUGGGAAGAAGAUCCACAGUUGGCUCAUAAAGCUGGGUUUGGAAUGGGAUGUUUUUGUGGCUGCUUCCUUGAUCCAUAUGUAUUCACGGUCUGGAUUGAUUAGCGUUGCUCGUAAAUUGUUUGAUGAGAUGCCAUCCCGGGAUAUGGGUUGUUGGAAUGCAAUGAUUUCUGGGUUUUGUCAGAAUGGGAAUGCAGCGGAUGCAUUAGGUGUCUUGAUUGAAAUGAGAUCGGAGGGUGUAAAGAUGGAUCCUAUUACUGUUGCAAGUCUACUGACUGCUUGUGCACAAUCAGAUGAUUCCUUAAGUGGGAUCCUGAUCCAUCUGUAUGUUGUAAAGCAUGGACUAGAGUUUGAUCAGUUUGUAUGCAAUGCCUUGAUUAACAUGUAUGCUAAAUUUGGUUGCUUGGGACGUGCCCAGAGGGUUUUUUAUGAAAUGGAGGUAAGAGAUUUGGUGUCAUGGAACUCAAUAAUUGCUGCAAAUGAGCAGAAUGGUGAGCCAAUGGCUGCGCUAGGAUUCUUCAACAGGAUGCAACUAUCUGGAGUUAAGCCUGAUUACUUGACAGUAGUGAGUUUGGCUUCGAUUAUAGCUCAAUUAAGUGAUGCUGAAAUGGGUAGGUCUGUUCAUGGAUUUAUUUUGAGGAGAGACUGGUUCAAGGAAGAUGUUGUUAUUGGGAAUGCAGUUGUGGACAUGUAUGCAAAGUUGGGUGCUAUAGAUUCUGCACGUACUGUCUUUGAAAGACUUCCUGUCAGGGAUGUGGUUUCGUGGAAUACUUUAAUCACGGGUUACACUCAAAAUGGCCUUGCAAGUGAGGCAAAUGAAGUUUACUGUAUGAUGCAAGAGUGCGAAGAAAUAAUUCCAAACCAAGGAACUUGGGUUAGCAUUCUACCUGCACAUACCCAUUUAGGGGCCUUGCAACAAGGGAUGAAAAUUCAUGGGCGGGUGAUCAAGAACCGUCUUUACUUGGAUGUAUUUGUGGGUACAUGCUUGAUUGACAUGUAUGGAAAAUGUGGGAGGCUAGAUGAUGCAUUGUCGUUAUUCUACCAAGUGCCCAGAUGUCCGGUCGCUUGGAAUGCCAUGAUUUCCUGUCUUGGCGUUCAUGGGCAUGGCGAGAAAGCUGUGAAGUUAUUCAAAGAUAUGAUUGAUGAGGGGGUUAAGCCAGAUCACAUAACCUUUGUAUCUCUAUUGGCAGCUUGUAGUCAUUCAGGUUUGGUCAAUAAGGGUGAAUUGUACUUCCAUAUGAUGCAGAAAGAGUAUGGAAUCAAGCCUGGUUUAAAUCACUAUGGCUGCAUGGUAGAUUUGCUUGGCAGAGCUGGGCAUUUAGACAAGGCAUAUAGUUUUAUUAAGACUAUGCCUGUACAGCCUGAUGCUUCUGUAUGGGGGGCACUACUUGGUGCUUGUAGAAUACAUGGUAAUGCUGAAUUGGGGAAAGUUGCUUCAGAGGGCUUGUUUGCUGUUGAUUCGGAGAAUGUGGGCUACUAUGUUUUGUUGUCAAAUAUAUACGCAACAACCGGGAAAUGGGAAGGUGUGGACAAAGUGAGAUCUAUGGCUAGAAACCGCGGACUGAGGAAGACUCCUGGGUGGAGCUCAAUAGAAGUUAACAAUAAAGUUGAUGUCUUUUAUAAUGGGAACCAAACGCAUCCACUAUGCGAACAGAUAUACCAGAAGUUGGGGGAACUAACUGAGAAAAUGAAGAGCCUUGGUUAUGUUCCUGACUUCAGCUUUGUGUUGCAGGAUGUCGAGGAUGACGAAAAGGAGCAUAUCCUCAACAGUCAUAGCGAGAGAUUGGCAAUUGCUUUUGGAAUCAUUAGCACACCUCCUAAAACCCCUAUCCGAAUCUUCAAAAACCUGAGGGUUUGCGGUGAUUGCCACACUGUGACGAAACUCAUAUCAGUAAUUACAGAGCGGGAGAUCAUUGUGAGAGAUUCAAACCGCUUUCACCAUUUCAAGGAUGGAACUUGCUCUUGUGGCGAUUAUUGGUGAAAAUUGGAAUCGAUAGAACAGUUGUGUCAUUGCCAAAUGGGCAAGAGGCUCAGACCAAAAGAGAAAAUGUACAAGAGGCUUCAACUGCAACCAACUGAUGCUUAGAUGUGAAGGGAAGCCAGCAACAAACAACAUUAGCUGUUGAUGAUUUGGCUUCCACCUCAGUUGUGAUUCAUUCACAAUUGCCAGCUUGUUUUCAGUCACCUUGCUUCACUUUGAGAUCAUGAGAAAAGGAAAAGAAAACCAAAAUCCAAGCAGUUUUUGUGUUACAGAUGUUUAUUUGAUUAAAAUAGUCCUGCUCUGAGGUGGCAUUCCACCAAACCUUUUAUCUAUAACAACCUUUCCCCCCAAAUCCACUCCCCCUAAUCUUACUACGAAAUCCACGACGUGGUGUACAUUGACGGCGAGUUCAUGGCCGACCCUCAUGCACCUCCGCCUUGGCCUCUCUUCAAGCAGAACUCAUGGUCGCCGGACAUACUCCGUGAGGAGACAUGGCAGCGUCAAAAGAGCAAUUGGGGCACACGGAGUCUCAACCGCAGCAAAAGCAUUUCAAACGACGACUUGGAGGAACUGAAAGCCUGCAUUGAGCUGGGAUUCGGGUUUGAUUCACCGGAAAUUGACCCCAAACUCCGCAACGCCUUACCUGCAUUGGAGUCUUACCAUGCCUUACAUAAGCAGCAGUUCAGUAAAAGCUUAUCAACAGGUUGGUUAACAUGAUGAAAUUUUUUCUUUUUCCUGAUCCAAACUCCAAAGGGUCGUUGAUUCAUUGACUUAUUUGUGUUUGUUUUCCAGAAAGGGAUGAUGCAGAGGUGGUGAAGAUGAGGUUAAAGCAGUGGGCGCUAUUGGUUGCCUGUGCGGUCCGGGAAUCUUCUUCUUCCGGAAGAUAAAAAGUCGAUCAGGAGUUCAUCUUCUGUUACUAAUUUCGAAUUAAUUAUCACAAAUUGUAAAGCUUCUAUUUCUCAUUGUAAAGUAAAGGGAAAUUACCAUGCACCAGAAAGUAUUAUAAUUUUAGCUCCAACACAUUGCUUUGGUAAGCAAAUAAUAUAGUUCUUCUGCAAAAUCCAACAAAUCUUCCUUUCCCAUUCAAUUGCCUUGAGCUUCCUCAUUAAUUUCCCUGAAAGGACAUGAAUAUGCAUUUCUAGACAUGUCUGGAAUACACAUUAAUCCAGUUGUUGACACAUCAGGGUCCGAGAAGGUUGUGGAGAGUCGAAUACCAUUUGAAACAACGACAUUUCAGUUUGGUGUCACGUCGCGAGUUCGACACUACUGACAUAUUUUUUAUCAUACCAAUUCUCACUCGACACAUAUGAAGUCAAUUGAUUGCAACUUUCUAACAAUCUUCUAUCCAAAAAUAUCAUGGAUUUUUUUUUUUCUUUGAAAAUAUCAGGAUCAGGAUUUUUUAUUUAUUGAAAAAUAUCAAAAGAAAAUCAUAGCUCUCAACAACCCUCUUCAUUUUAUCACAAACUCACCUAUCAUUUUAUCACAAACUAGACUUUUACCCAUGCAUUUGCACGGACUCAAAAUUUUCUAAUAAUACAGUUAAUGAAUCUCUUGGUCAGCUACUGACCAAGUGAACAUGACUAAUACAGUUAUUAUAUCCGGUUAUACAACUUACUACCCACUUUUCCUUUCUUAAUUAUCUCUUCAUUUUAUUUAUUUUGUUAUUUUUUUAUUUACCAUAGUAUCAUUUUUUUUAAUAGUCUGAAUUAGCUUAAUAGGAGUAUUAUUAACAAAACAAAAUUUGAUAAUUUCCAACUUGUUGGGUUUAUAGUAGUAGAGAAUAGAGAUUAGCUAAAAAACUUAACAGGGUCGCUUAUCGUAAAUCUCUGAUCUUUUCCCUUGCGAGCUCUCUCUUCCAUCAUGUGUCUUCCGUCGGCUGCAGUCUCACACUUGUCCUCUCUACACACGCAAGCAGACAAUCAACUCUCAAAAUAUCCAAACACACCCGCGCGUGAGAAACACUCGCCCGCACCGCCUAUCCCUCUCUCCCUAUCGGAUGCUAAAUAUUAAAACACAAAAUAUCUGGAUGACCUCGGACUCAAAGAAAGAUAUUUCGGAUAGCCGACGUGGCACCACUUGACACGUGGAAAAGGCAUGCCAUGUGGCCACUUUUAUGGGCCCCAUCACAAAAACUAAAAUAAAAUAAAGUCCCUCUUAUUCUUCUUGCAUUCUUCACACCUCUCCGGCGAGAUUAGAGAAAGAGAGAGAGAGAGAGAGAGAGAGAGAGAGAGAGAGAGAGAGAUUGAGCAAAACGCACCGUUUCGCAUUUCUCCGAUCAGAAAAAUAGAAACCUGCAAAUGGAAGAGCAGCUUAUCCCGCCGCUGAAAUCGGAUCCCGAGUUCACAAGCGAGUUGACUCGCACCAUUAUCUCCAACUCGGCCUCGUCCGCCUCCGUUGCUCUCGGGACUCCUGUGCAUGCAGCACCGGUAAAUCUCUGUUCUUCACUGUAAAUAUCGAUUUUGAGUUUCCGUCCUGAUUUUUCUUUUAAUUUAUUUUGUCCAUUGUGCUUUGAUGGCGCUUUGCAUGUCAUUUUUCUUUUUUUUGAAUCAGAGAAUUUUCUUUGUUUCUGGCUUUGAUUAGCUAGUUAUGUGUAUAUAUUUGUUUUUUUAGAAGAAAAAUGCUGGAUUAGAGAUGGAGAUCUCAUUUCUCUGGAGGUGUAAUUUUGGUUGAGAAAUAAAUGAUGUCAUUUCUGUUUUGACUCAUGUGGAAAGAUAUUUUGGGAUGGAUUCAGAGGUUCAUAGUGGUGAACAUGGUUUUCUGUUGAUUCUUUAGUUGAGUUUUCAAUUUUGAGCAAGGUUUUGAGUUUAGAAUUGAAUUCGUGUGGGAUUAUGAGUCCGGGAUCUGGUACUGAAUUAUGGAUGUUUUUCCUUCCUUAUCGAUACGACAGUUUGUUACCUAUUUAGGAAUUGAUUCAAUUGAAGGUGAAAUAGACAGUUUAAACUGAUUAGUUCAAGGGAUCUACAAUGUUGCCCUUCUGUAACGACCGUUUGUGGCCCACUUUUGCGCUGGCGUAUUCUAGAUUUCUCCACAUUUCUUACACAAUAAUCAUGAAAGUGAAAACAAACAAAUGUAUGUGCUGCCCGAGCUUAGCAAUAUCAAGUAAAUCUCUUGCAUCUUAGUUCCUGAUCCAUGCAUUCAAUGUAAUUUGGGAAUUUAGCUUUACAUAGACGUCCAAGUGUCUCCUCGCUCUCUAUUAAUUGUUUUUAUCUUUCAGUAAUUUAUUAUACAAUUUCUGAAUGCAGGUUCUAGUCUAUACUUUAUAAAUAACAAGCCCUAAGAUUUUUGUUUUGUUUUUUAUUGUUUUUUUUUUUUUUUUUUUUUUUUCGUUUUCUGCUAUUAGCCACAAGCCUACCACCUCUUCCAUCUGCUUGCCUGUGAAUAAUUUGAAAAAGAAAAGGUGUGGCUGGCGCCUACUACAGUUAACUAUUAUGAAUUUGCAAUUUUCAAAUUGGAAAUGAAUGUAGGAAAAGUUUAUUUUAUGGUUUUGUUCUACUUCAACUGUUGAAAUUUUCCUCAAGAUCUGAAUUAAGCUCCUUUCUUCCUUUUGUUCACUUGAUUGUGAUAUUCCAUUUCAGGGCAUACCCAUAGAGUGGACAAAUGAGAAGCAUAGAUCGUAUAUAAAUUCCCUAGAAACAUCAUUUGUUAAUAAGUUGUACCAGUCCAGGCGUUUGUGGGACUGCCAUCCACAAAUGUAUGUUCAGGGGGCACAUCCAUCACAAGAGUUGCCUUUCAGGACUUAUAAUUCUUCUGACCAGGUCCGGGAGUCAAAUCUGGUAUAUAACUGUUGUCUGUGUGAGCAUGUUGGUUUAUCUGGAAUCUUAUUCAUUUCCCUUCCUGUAUUUCUUAUCUUCUUGAAUUGUUGCAGUUCAUGGUUGUUCGAGAUAGGCGUUCUCAGAAGAUCAUCUCUCUAAGGAAUGAAACUCCGCUGGAAAGCACUGCUGAUUCUAACGUUACUGUGGAAAGGCCCAGGAUGGAUAAUAUUGUGUCUUGUUAUAAGGAGAUCCACUUAAGAAGGAAACCGACCUCAGAACACUUGGGUGUAACCGCAAGAAGUUCCGAGAAGAACCCUGCAUUUCGUCAGGAUUUAGUUGGCAGUACUGCAGGUAAUGCUGAGUCUGACUAAUUUUCCUUGACCUUGCAAAUUUGUCCCUUAAUUUUCUAAUAAUUUCGGUAAUUGCUUCCAAAACCAAUCUCUGCCUUACAUAAAGUUGCCAGAAGUUUCUCCGAUAUAUUGUAAAUUGCUUUCUGCAGUAUGCAAACCCCUCCAGCUUAUUUAUGUACAUUAACAAAAGCAGGAAGUUUUUUAUGUGUUGUUCUCCUGGACUUACCUCAUUUCUACUUAAACCCACCUACUCACAUGUUGGGAAACUUAGCAUUAUCUUUGAUCUUUCCACUCUCCCUGGAAUCAAUAAGGGUUCGGUAAUUGCUAAAUGCCUUUAAAUCAUUAAGGGUUCCAUUAGUUUCUUUGUUUGCUUUGUUAUUUCUAAAAAUUGGUAGCUUUGAGCAAAUUAGUAACUGAUUUUACUUUUGUUGAAGUUUUUGUGUGGAAGAUUAGUUUCAAGGCUAUUUUUAAUCUAAAUCUUUGUCUCUCAACAGAAGUUUCGGGUCAGAACUUUGUGGAGGAGGACCAUAGAGGGAAGCCAAGCUGUGAAUUCAUACCAAAAAGGCUUAGAAGGGCAGCCGAUACUUCCAGCAACGAUCAAGUAAUGUCCAUGAUUACUUCAAAAAGAAUAAUUUAAUUGCCUCACUUAUCAUGAUUCAGAUAACAUGAUUAUUUUUCAGUCUUGGUUAUUUGGGUACUUACUUUUGUUAAUUUGCUGGUAUGUCCUCUUUCCAGCUUGUGCCAUUGGGAUAUGAUACAAAAGAGGUUUCAAUGGCCCAUAACGCUCCCUCCAAAGGAGAAGAACAAGAGCAUCAUCAAUUGCUAUUGGAACACCAUGAGAGCUUCAUCUGUCCAAAAUCUAUCUUUACUGUUUCUUAGUGGGCAGCUUGGUUGCAAGUUGCAACUCAGUACUGGAGUUUAAGUAGAUACUGAUAGAUUGAAACAAACUGGAGAUAAUCUUAUUCUUUCCAUUCUCUGCUAUUUGCGGUAAUGCUAUCGAAAGACUAGGAAAUAUAUAUGUAUCUGUUAUGAUCCAAGUAUGGUGGUGGGUGGAUGGAUGGAUGGAUAUAGGGAGUAGGUUUAGUUGAUAAAUAGUAGUAGCUUUAGGUUUCUCGGUCAUUUGCCAUCACCUCACCAGUUUUGUUGUUGUUUGUGCAUUUCAAGUUGAAGUGCGCUGUUUAAAGAAAAUGUAGAAGGUAUGUAGUAGUGGAGUCUCCAUCCCAACUCCAUGUAUUACAUUUGUAUCUAAAGGCAUUUUGGCCAUUCGGUAGUAAACUCGUAAGUGAAUUUAGUCAUGCUCUCUGAUGGCAUGGUGAACCAUUGUACACUUGCCUCCUUUGUGUCUAUUAUGUAUGUUCUAUCAUGCUUUUACAUAUCAUACGGAUUCAUGCAAAAAUAGUAGUUAACGCAGAUCAAAAUAUGCUUUGAAUGAGUAGGAGAUAUGAAUAAUGUUAUCGAGAGAAGAAAAAGAUCUCCUAUUUGUGUUUUUGUUUUUGAAAAUAGAUCUCCUAAUGGUAUUCACAUAGAAUGAAACACACAUUUUUUUGGUACGUUAUGUUAGAACUUAGAAGAAUGAAGUAUACAAAGAUAACCUCCUCUAAAAAUAAAACAAAGAUAACACAGAAGCAUGUGACAUAUGCUUUUGUAGUUUUGUUAUUAAACACUUCCUUUCAUGAUGCCAUUUUCCACCACACUCCUCCCUUUUCAUGAUGCAGUUGCCACCACACUCUCAAGUCUUAACGACUCAACCUACCUCUGCAGAAUAUAAGCGCCAAAUUCAUCAAUUGAAUUAUUAAUGUGAAGUUUACACAAUGCGUGCUGUUUUGAGAGUUUAAUUAUUUAAAAUUUAUUUAUUAUUCAGUUUUUAACAUUAUCUCUUUUAGUUAACGAUAAAAAAAAAUGUUAUUCUUUUUAGUUAGAGAGAUCGAGUUAAUAAGAAAUCGACAUAAUGUCCAUAACAAACGUAUGACUGAAAAUUCUUCUAUGCACAAAUAUACAAAUGAAUCGAGCAACUAGUAUGACACGUAAACAUGACAGAUAUAUUUUCAAAGUAAGAUAUUACAUGAAAGCGAACAGCAAAUGCAUGCGAUUAGAUAUAAAAAUAGCAACAUAACUAGAGGUCUCAAUUCUGAAAGAGCAAACACUGAAAAAUGCGAACCAAAUUUUCAAAUCGUCAAGCUUUGAAAGUUUCCAAACUUUCCAUGUUUGUCCAACCCGACUCUGCCACCGUGGUUAUCCUUGCGUCUCCUCCAAAAAAACCCAAUUGAAUUCUCCGACUCUUCCACCUUGUUGACUUGAAACUAAAGCAAUAAAACCAAACCCAUUUCCUUCUCUCUCGAAACCCCCACGAUGCUUCUUCUCUGCUAAAACCCCCCAUUUCUUCUUCCUCUCUUUCUCGCCAAAACAAACCAGAGAGACCCAUUUCUUGAUGGGUGUGUUUUCGUUUCAACGAGGAUCGAGAACCGCGACGACCCACGAAGCCUUGCCGGUCUCCGGCGCCGGUGCUUCCUCGCCGGCGACGAACAAGCGACGAUGGUCCAAUCUUAUGCCGUUCGUCGUUGCGUUUGUGGUCAUUGCGGAGAUCUCGUUUCUGGGUAAGCUUGAUUUGGCGAACAAGGCUGCGUUGGUGGAUUCGUGGACGGAGUUGUUCUCGCCGAUUCCGAUGGUGAGUGGUCGUGAGGAUUUGGGCCUGGCCGGUGAUGAUUUGGGCCUGCUGACCUGUGAGGAAUGGUUGGAGAGAGAGGAUGCUGUUGAGUAUUCCAGAGAUUUUGCGAAGGAGCCUGUUUUGGUCUCUGGGGAUGAGAAGGUGUGUAGUUCUAUAAACUAGUUUGAAAUGUUUUCCAAAUGCUUUGCGUAUUGUGUUCUUAUUGUUUCUGAGUUUUCGGCUUUUCGGUUUGAUUAUGAUCAUGUACUUGUUGUUUGCAAGUUCUUGUUUUUAUCAUUGAGUUUGAGAAUUGGGAGGAAAAUUGGUUCUUAGACGACAUAUAUCCUUGUUAUCGAAAGAUGGAUAUGAAGGUUGGGUAUUUGCUUUCUUAACAUUAUGUUAGUGUUGGCUAGUUCUUGUUACACUACUUAAGCUAUUGAUACUUGAGUAAGAGGAGGAUUAUAUCGGUCAGUGUGUUAGUCUCGUGUAGAGAGUGGUGCAGCUAUGAUGGGACCUAGAACAUUUUAGUUGUUGGGUUGAAGGCCAUAUUUUAAUUACUGUUGAGCAAAAGAACGAGAAAGAUUUGGAUUGUGAUGACUCGAGAGAAUGGAAAGUUUGUGACUUUGUGCAAUGGACAGUAGUUGACAAAGUGUGGCAGUGAGGUAUUUUGUUGGUGAAGUUGAUAAUUCUUUUAUUCUUUUGGGUCACAAAGACCAUCUGUAGAACAUACCAUGUGCAGUGUUUGAAUUGGGCCUCUCUGUGUGUUUUGGUAGAAAGAAGGAAACAUUAGUUUUAUUUGUUCUUGAGGGAUUUUAUCAUGAGCCUUUGUAUAUAAGUGCGAUUCAAUAUUUUCAUGUCUUGCCUUUGUUCUUUAAUGCUUUCUGCUCACUUCUGCACAGGACUGGAAAUCUUGUUCUGUCGGAUGCCAGUUUGGAGACAAUUCUGGUAGAAAACCUGAUGCUGCAUUUGGUUUUGGUCAUCAAGAUGGGACAUCCAGUGUUCUCCGAUCCAUGGAAUCAGCUCAAUACUACGCAGAGAACAAUAUUGAUAAUGCAAGACGGUGGGUAAGCACGAUUUAAAAUGGCUGUUGAAUUCUUAAAAGUACCUUUUUUUUUCUUUCUUUUUUCUUUUUUUUUCUUUUCCAAAUAAACGUAUUAAUUCUUUGUUACAGGAAUUGCAGUUUCAUAGAAAAUCUUCUUCAACUAGUUUUAAGAUUGUUUAUGGUUUGGUUUCUCGCAAAAUGUGCAUAAAUUUGAAAAGCUUUUACAAAUGAUUUCAUUUAUUGUGUGUUGAAUAGCCAAUUAUCUGUCUAGUUGUUCAUAAUAUAUAACAAAUUUCGUUUCUUUCCAUGCUGUUUCCAAAUUAACAUUUUUAGCUUUAGAAGUUUACAAUAUCUUUACAUGAGUGUUAUUUCUUCAUCAAACUAUAGGAGGAAAUAAAGUAGCAUAUAGACAUUUAGUAUAUUCCUCAUUUCAUUAAGUAGAGUGUUCAGUUCUUUUUAUCAUCAAGUUCUGAACAGAACUUACAUGAUGGUCAUGUGUUGCAUUUUUUAUACAACUUUGCUCCUACAGAAAGAGUGUUUACUAUGUUUUGUGCUGUUUGUGUUGCAUAGAAACACUUAAGACCUGGAAUUGUGUUUAUUGAAUAAAAGCCCAAGCUUGUUGGUGGGUCAUACUGUUAUCAUGCAGUCAUUUAGAAUUACCUACCAGACCAUUUCUCAAUUACAUGGCUGAUUGUCCUUCUAGAGACCUUUUUGUGUUGUCUCCCUUCUGGCAGUUAAGGAGAUAGUGGAUCCUCCUCGAAUGUCAAUUUCAUUUCUGUUGGAAACCUUUUGGUAUAACUCAUAUUUGUAUUUAUUUGUUUCUGUGUAAUAGGAAGGGUUAUAAUAUUGUUAUGACUACUAGUCUCUCAUCGGAUGUUCCUGUUGGAUAUUUUUCUUGGGCCGAGUACGACAUCAUGGCUCCUAUCCUGCCUAAGACUGAGAAGGCCCUUGCAGCUGCAUUUAUUUCCAACUGUGGUGCUCGCAACUUCCGCUUACAGGCUCUUGAAGCUCUUGAAAAGACUAACAUCACGAUAGAUUCUUAUGGUGGUUGCCACAGGAACCGUGAUGGAAAAGGUGCGUAGAUUUUAAAUAUGCAGUGUCAUUCUACAUCUCUGAUUGCAUUGCUUGCUUGGGGUAUUCUAUAGGUUUGCAACAAACAAUGGCUGGAUUGUUGAGACAUUUUUGCAUUUGUGAUCUGUGUUGGCUUUGUAGAUAAUACUGGUUAGAUUUGGAUAGACAUAGAUUAACAGGCAUAUGGUUUUUUUUUUUUGGGUACCCUUGUCAUUUGUUUCAUUUAAGUUGUUUUCCCUGGCUUUAAGGACAUAAGAAUUUCAAAGUGGCUUUCCCGGAAAAUAUUCUUCAUCUCAUGGAUAAUUAUCUUAUUUAUCAGUUAAUCUUGCUAUAAGGUGGCAAGAAACCUAUAUUGAGUGAUAUCUGUUGAACUACUUUCAUGUUCUUGGAAUUGGAUUACCUUCAUUGAUUUUUUAUUUUAGUUUUUAUUUCCUUCAGAUUAUGUGGGGUAGCUCUAAUUUAAAUUGCAGUUAAACUUUUACUUGGUUUUCCUUCUAUUGGUUAGGAUCUCUAUAUACUUGCAUGCAUGGUGUGUAUGUAGACAUGGCUUGGUGAUAAAUUUUAUAUGGCUUUUUAGUAUUAUAUCUUACUCUCCUUAGCACUGUACUAUGAUUAAUUUCUUUUCCUUUAAACAAAUUUCAGUGGACAAAGUUCAAACUCUGAAGCGCUAUAAGUUCAGUUUGGCGUUUGAGAAUUCCAAUGAGGAGGAUUAUGUUACUGAGAAGUACUUCCAAUCUCUAGUUGCUGGUAUGAAACUACUCUCUCUGUCAUGCUGAUUUUGUAGUUGCUAACCUAGAGUUGGGAAAUCUCUGGGACACCAAAAUGGUUGAAAACUCAGAGAAAAGCCACCGGCAUCUCAUGGAAAAACUCUUCGUGACAUUUAGUCAAGCUUGAGAUUUCAAUAUGGAUGGAUUAUAUUCGCAUGUGCUUUCAUCUUUGAAUUUGCAAUGUUUAGCCUCUACGAAUUUAUAAGAUCUUAUGGUUCCUGUUUGUUACAUUUAAUAUGAGGACAAUUUACUACACAAGGGAAGAAAAUGCAUUUCAGUGGCCUAAAGAAUAGUUCUAAUCUGCAAUACUUAUGUUUGGCAAAAGAUGCUGAUGGUGGAUGUUGAUAUUCCUUCAGGAACUAUACCUGUAGUUGUCGGUCCUCCAAAUAUUGAAGAGUUUUCUCCUGGUCCUGGUUCAAUUUUAUUUAUAAAGGAGCUAAGUGAUGUUGAGUCAGUAGCCAAAACCAUGAAAAAACUUGCAGAUAAUCCUGAAGCAUAUAAUCAGUCACUGAGGUAUGUUUGUUCCCUCCUAAUUGAAACUCUGAUCUUCCAAAUCCUAUUGUUUAUGUUAAAGAGAAAAAUGAGGGCCAUUACUGUGAUUUGUUUUUGGGGAUAUGUUGUAGUGUCGCUGUUUUCAAAGUUUGUUUCUUUAUGAAGAUGCUAACAUGUUGAGAUAUCUGAUUACUAGAUGGAAGUAUGAGGGCCCAUCUGAUUCUUUCAAGGCCCUUGUGGACAUGGCAGCAGUACAUUCAUCAUGCCGUCUUUGCAUUCACUUGGCCACAAUGAUUCGAGAGAAAGAAGAAAGCAGCCUAGAGUUCAAAAGACGACCUUGUAAGUGCACCAGAGGUUCAGGAGUUGUGUAUCACUUAUAUUUGAGAGAAAGAGGCAGAUUUGAGAUGGAAUCCAUUUACAUAAGGUAACUUUAUUUUUUUUUUAGAACCUGGCCAGAUGGAAGUAUUUUCAUCUCCUUGCAUGACUCAGAUGUCCCUAAAAUUCUUAUAUCUGAUUUUGCCGGGCAGGUCGAGCAAUCUGACUCUUGAGGCCUUUGAGUCUUUGGUGCUCACAAAGUUCCAAUCGCAGAAACAUGUGCCCAUUUGGAAAGAGGAAAGACCUGAAGUCUUGAGAGGAGGAGACAACUUUAAAGUCUAUAGAAUAUAUCCUGUUGGUUUGACACAGAGGCAGGCUUUAUAUACCUUCAGAUUUAAAGGGGAUGCUGAUUUUAGAAGUCACGUAGAAAGCAACCCGUGUGCGAAGUUUGAAGUCAUAUUCGUGUAGAUAUAUGCAUUGUCACCUUUAAGCAAGGAUAUGUCAACUUUUAGUCAUUCUCCAUUGAUACAUUUACGGAGAGAUUGAGGUGAUCACAACACAUUCGGGCAACUUUGUUAUGUCCUCAUUUACACGUUGAUUGUUACAGGAGUCUUUAGGAAGAAGGUGAUAGACUGUACGUUGAUGAUAUGACCAGCUAAUUGUGAACCCUUGACAAAUAGGGGAGAAAAAAAAUCGUAGUCCAGAUUUACACAUCUUUUCUGCCUUGUAGUAAAUGGAGCUGAUUACAAACGUUCGACUGUUUAUUUGAAAGUUCUCAGGGAAUCCUUAUUUUAAGGUAAUCAUUCAAUUUCUCAAAUCAGACUUCAUGAUUAGAUCAUUGUAUAGAGAAACUGUCAGAUUUUACUUUCUCCUAACAUUCUUCACUCCGCUUCAUUUCUCAACUAAUCAAACGGUUUUAGAAACCUGUUGUGUUGUGUUUUGGCUCGUUGAUAUGAUUUGGAAGUUAGGAUUCAGUAAGCAAAUCCAAGUCCAGAAAGGAAAGAGGUUUUUUCUAUAAGUUCUAGGAAAGUAAUCUUUCAAGAUCUGUUAGGAUUUUGUUUGUUAGGUUUAGGAGUCCUAAAACUUUAUUGUAUCAGCAGCCCCUAUUCACUAGAAAUAGGAGCUGCAGGGGUUUUUUAAGGUUAAAGAUAGAGAGCACAGAAAACCGAGAGCUAAGGGUGAUAGAGAGAUCUAGCAGGGAGUUGGGGAUUAGCAUAGAGAUUUCAAUAAGUACUUGUAAUCAGGUUGUUAUUCUCCAUAGUGCUAGUGAUCUCUCAAGAGAGAUCACAUCAGUGGACGUAGGCCAGGGUUUUGGCUGAACCACUAUAAAAUUGUGUGUGCUGUGUUUCUAUCUUUAAGUUCAUCUAUCUACUUUGCUUAAGUCGUAAAGUACCAGUAAAGACCAGAAAAGAUCCUAGGGCGCUAACCACAAUAAGUGGUAUCAGAGGUUCGGCUCUGGUACUUUGCGAUGGUAGACAGCAAAGACAUGGUCGAAGCAGAAGAUGUGAAAUCGUUCAUUAAGCCCUUAAAUGGCAAGGAUGACUUCACGCUUUGGCGGAGGAGGAUGAAGAGUGUCCUGAUUCUACAAGAUCUGUACGAGGCUGUUCUCGGGAUAGAGAAUAAGGCAGUUGAUAUGGCAGAUAAGGUUUGGCAGAAGAUGGACAAGAAGGCAAGGAGCACAAUAGAGUUGCAUCUUGCAGAUCAUGUACNNNNNNNNNNNNNNNNNNNNNNNNNNNNNNNNNNNNNNNNNNNNNNNNNNNNNNNNNNNNNNNNNNNNNNNNNNNNNNNNNNNNNNNNNNNNNNNNNNNNNNNNNNNNNNNNNNNNNNNNNNNNNNNNNNNNNNNNNNNNNNNNNNNNNNNNNNNNNNNNNNNNNNNNNNNNNNNNNNNNNNNNNNNNNNNNNNNNNNNNNNNNNNNNNNNNNNNNNNNNNNNNNNNNNNNNNNNNNNNNNNNNNNNNNNNNNNNNNNNNNNNNNNNNNNNNNNNNNNNNNNNNNNNNNNNNNNNNNNNNNNNNNNNNNNNNNNNNNNNNNNNNNNNNNNNNNNNNNNNNNNNNNNNNNNNNNNNNNNNNNNNNNNNNNNNNNNNNNNNNNNNNNNNNNNNNNNNNNNNNNNNNNNNNNNNNNNNNNNNNNNNNNNNNNNNNNNNNNNNNNNNNNNNNNNNNNNNNNNNNNNNNNNNNNNNNNNNNNNNNNNNNNNNNNNNNNNNNNNNNNNNNNNNNNNNNNNNNNNNNNNNNNNNNNNNNNNNNNNNNNNNNNNNNNNNNNNNNNNNNNNNNNNNNNNNNNNNNNNNNNNNNNNNNNNNNNNNNNNNNNNNNNNNNNNNNNNNNNNNNNNNNNNNNNNNNNNNNNNNNNNNNNNNNNNNNNNNNNNNNNNNNNNNNNNNNNNNNNNNNNNNNNNNNNNNNNNNNNNNNNNNNNNNNNNNNNNNNNNNNNNNNNNNNUUGGUGUUUGCAAACUGAACUUCUGCAAGAAUGGUACUCUUGGGAAGCAGAAGGUGGCAUUCAAGUUGGUAGAUUGUGAGAACAAAAGCAAACGAUUGCUGGAUUAUAUUCACUUAGAAGUAUGGAGCGCAACACAAGUAAGGCGUAUGGGAGGCUUCAAGUACCUUGUUACUUUUCUAGAUGAUUUUUCAAGGAAGAUUUGGGCCUACUUUAUGAAGGAGAAAUCCGAGGUUCUCUUCAAGGUCAAGAAAGGGAAAAGCAAAGUAGGAAAUCUAGAAGUUAGAAAAAUCAAAUAUUUGAGAAGCAAUGGUGGCAGUGAAUAUAGAAUGAAAAGGUUCUUACAGUUUUACAAGGAUGAAAUCACAAGGUGCAUCACGGUGAAGGAUAAUCUCCAGGAAAACGAGGCUGCUAGAAGGAUGAAGAAAACUUUUUUUGAGAAAGAAAGAGGCAUGCCACUGCAUGCUGGGUUACCAGACACGUUUUGGAAAGAAGCAGUUAACCAUGCGUGUUAUUUGGUUAAUCGGUCACCAUCAAAGGUCUUGGACUUCAAGUGUGCAGAGGAGAUAUGGUCAAGAGAACUAGCUGGGUAUUCUAACUUAAGGAUGUUUGGUAGCAGUGCGUAUGCUCAUAUUUCGAACAAUGAGCAAACCAAACUCAAGCCAAAUUUUCUAGGUGUUGAGAAAGGAGUAAAGGGCUACAAGUUAUGGAAUAUUGUCAGCAAGAAAAGGGUUCUAAGUAGAUAUGUUAUUGAUGAUAAGACUGUGCCGUUUAAUGAAGUAAAGACAAGUAAGGUGAAGACGAAGACUGAUGUUGGUGUUGUAGAAGAAGCAACAGAAGUUCCUCUAACCAAAGAGAUCAUGGAAGAGACUCCAGCUCAGGUGGAGCAAAUUGAGCAGGUGGAGCAUGAUAAAGGGGUUAUCGAGGUAGAAGUCUUAGAGCGGCAACAACAGUCACUAAUACAAUCUCAGGUGGAGCAAUUAGCACUGCGAACCUACGACUCAGUUCGUCAGUCGCUUGAGCAGGAGUUCCAGAGAAGCAUAGCAUUGGACAAGUAUGCUCUAAGUUUCAGUCCAGGAGAUCCAACCACGUAUCAGGAAGCUAUAGCAAAAUAUAUACGGGAAAGUUGGAUGGGAGCUAUGUUGGAACAGAAGAAGAAGUCCAUACCAAAGGACUUGGUUCAGGAGUCGGUUCCUAAACCCAAAGAAGGAAAUCUGGUUGGCUGUAAAUGGGUUUAUAGGAAAAGGGAAGAAAUGCAUGAUAAGGAAGCCAUGAGUUGCAAAGCUUGGGUAUUGGCUAAGGAGUAUGCGCAUAAAGAAAAGGUCAAUUAUGACAAAGUCUCACCAGCAGAGAGAUGCGUUUAUCAUCAUGUGUUCAAGGAUAGUGUGAUUUUACUAUCAGGUGACGUGUUAACUACAUGUCAGGAUGUGUCUAGAAUUCCAAAGUUAAAGACACAACUAAGGAGGGAAUUCGACAUGAAGGGUCUAGAAGCUGCACAACAGAUCCUAGAAGUGAAGGUAAGGAGGGACAGAGAAGCAGGAAAAUUAUGGCCGUUGUCUGAACCCAUGUCUACUCCACCAGUAGCAGCACACUUUCAGUUUAGUGUGCAGGGGGGAUCAUCUACAGUUGAGUUAGAUGAGAAGAUGCAUGUGUCUUAUGCAAGAGUAGUGGGAUGUCUUAUGGCUAGAAUCUUCAAAAGACCAGGUUUAACUCAAGGAUUGAGCAUUGUGUCAAAGUAUGUGGUGAAUCCGGGUAGACAAUACUGGCAAGCAGCGACGUGGAUUCUGUAUUACUUGAGAAACACAAAGGAGCAUGAAUUUCUGUUUGAAAGACAACAAGAACAAGCAUGCAUUGCUGGUCAUGAGAGGUCGGAUUUGGCAGGAGACUUAGACAAAGGAAGAUCUGCAACAAGUAAUGUAUUUACUUGCAACAAAGGUUCCAAAAGUUGUAGAAAAACUAUGGAAUCAGCUGAGAUAUUGUCUACCACUGAAGUAGAUUGCAUGGCAGUAACAGAAGCUUCCGCAGAUGCGUUAUGGCUUAAUGGGUUAAUGAGUGAGUUUGAGAUUCAACAAGAAGCUGUGGUGAAGAAUGGUGUCAUCAAUUUGACAAGGAAUCAAGUGUUUCAAGCAGAGAGUGAACAUGUUGAUGUUUGUGGUCAUUGCAGCGAAGGUUAGGUGAGCUCAGGGAAGAUAACAACUGAGGAAGAAGCACAUUCGAGGGAGAAUGUUUCAGAUUGUUUGACCAGGACCAUUGCCAUGGAGGAGUUCAAGUGUUACUUGAACUUGUUCGAUCUCACAGCUUGUUGAGAUUGAGGUGGAGCACCUCCUCACUUGAGGUGCGGUAAGGCAAGAGGAGUCUUGCCAAGGUGAAGGUUCUUGGAGGUUUUGUUCAGGGUUACUUCAAGAAGAUUCAAGAUAUCCUGAAGGGUGCAACAAUCAUUUGGUAUCAACUCACCAAGGUGGAGAUUGUUGUGUUUUGGCUCGUUGAUAUGAUUUGGAAGUUAGGAUUCAGUAAGCAAAUCCAAGUCCAUAAAGGAAAGAGGUUUUUUCUAUAAGUUCUAGGAAAGUAAUCUUUCAAGAUCUGUUAGAAUUUUGUUUGCUAGGUUUAGGAGUCCUAAAACCUUAUUGUAUCAGCAGCCCCUAUUCACUAGAAAUAAGAGCUGCAGGGGGUUUCUUAAGGUUAAAGAUAGAGAGCACAGAAAACCAAGAGCUAAGGGUGAUAGAGAGAUCUAGCAUCAGCAGCCCCUAUUCACUAGAAAUAGGAGCUGCAGGGGGUUUCUUAAGGUUAAAGAUAGAGAGCACAGAAAACCGAGAGCUAAGGGUGAUAGAGAGAUCUAGCAGGGAGUUGGGGAUUAGCAUAGGGAUUUCAAUAAGUACUUGUAAUCAGGUUGUUAUUCUCCAUAGUGCUAGUGAUCUCUCAAGAGAGAUCACAUCAGUGGACGUAGGCCAGGGUUUUGGCUGAACCACUAUAAAAUUGUGUGUGCUGUGUUUCUAUCUUCAAGUUCAUCUAUCUACUUUGCUUAAGUCGUAAAGUACCAGUAAAGACCAGAAAAGAUCCUAGGGCGCUAACCACAAUACCAGUCGUAAGUUUUGUAGUAGUUUACCUCAUACUAUUAGAUUUCCUAGUCUGAUUGCAAAUGUCCCAGGGCAAAGGAACUUGGCCAGCAAAGCCAAAAAACUGAUUACAAACCAAGGAAGCUCUUCUAAUGCUUUUAAGUUAAGGACUAGUUGAAGAAUUUUCGACUUAUCAUAUAUUUCGAUUUUAUAUCCAUAUCUUGACCGUUCAGUUUAUAGGUAUUUAUGAGUAGAUAUCUGCAAAUUUUCAGCCAUAUUGAAAAUAGUUAAGACAUUCAUAAGUGUGAUUUACCAAUUAUGAACUUGAACGUUUCAUGUUUGACAAAUUUGGUUCGCCCAUUAAUUUGAUCUAGUUUGUUACCUUAACGAUCACCGAUUUGGCUAAAAAUUUGUAUGACUGAUCUAUUCAUAUAGACCUAAAAACUAAACGGAUGAGAUGCCAAAAUGUGAUCGAAAAAUAGGUCUUCUAAAUCAUAAACCGAAAAGUCUUUAACUAGUCUUCAACCAAUACAUUAGUCUGCACAAAGAAAAGAUCCAUAAACGCAGUUUGCCACUGUAACUGUUAGAACAAGUGAACAACCACUAAUAGUAGUUACAAAAUCUAAGAUCACUCGAUAAUCUUAAACAAGUAAUCUGAUUCUAAAACCUUCUCCGGCUUUAGGUCACUACCAAGACAAGCACUUUAGCCGACGAAAAAUUUUCGUCGGCCUGUUAUCUUAAUUCGUCGGCUAAGAUCUUAGCCGACGAGCCUAUGUCGUCGGGAAAAGGUCGUCGGUGAUGACUUUAGCCGACGAAAUUUUUAUUUUCGUCGGCUAUAGUCCCACAGUUAGCCGACGAAAAACAUGUCGUCGGUUUUUUUCCCAGACUUUAGCCGACGAAACAAUUAAUAUAUUCGUCGGCUAAAGUGUGUAAUAAAUAAUUAAAAAAUAACUAUAGCCGACGAAAUUUACUAUAUUUCGUCGGCUAAACCUUAUAAAAAUUUAAAAAAUAACUAUAGCCGACGAAACAUGCCAUAAUUCGUCGGCUAAAACCUUAUAAAAAAAAUUAAAAAUACUAUAGCCGACGAAUAUAGUGUUUAAAUAUCGUCGGCUAAAGUUGCUGGGUUUUGAAAAAAAAACUGCAGAAACUUUCGGCCACCUCCAAUCACGACCAAAAUUUGACAGAAUCUUCGUCUCAACAUUUCGAACAACUUUCUAGAAGAAAUCGAAACUCAAUUCUAAGCCUAAACAGGUCAAUCGACUCAAAAUAUAAAAAUCCCAAUUUUAAACCCUAAAAACUUCAAAUCUUCGAUUCUCUUCACACACACCGAAUCGAGCUACCAAAUUCUAGGGGAAUGUAGUACUAAUCAAACUCAACUUAUCCAUAUAUAGAACUCACCAAAUGGUGACCUAAGGAAGGAGAAAUUUGAUCGACACCGAAUACCGANNNNNNNNNNNNNNNNNNNNUUAUCCCUCAUGGCGGCGCCACUCGAUGCACCACCUAUCCAGCAAUGAAGUAGAGACGACGGCGAAGCUUUUGGGACAAGUGUGACGGUCUCCGGUGGCUUAACGGCGGAGCUAGGCCGAGAAGAAAUCUGGCAGAUAAUAGACUUCUUACCAUCCAUCUUCGCCUAUAUAAAGAACUUUAGUUGACGAAAUUCUUUAUUUUCGUCGGCUAAACUCUUUUGAAAAUUUUGGUUGACCGCCAAAAAAUUUUGGUUGAAAAUUUUGAAAAUUUUUCGACUUUAGCCGACGACUUUUCAUAUAUUUUCGUCGGCUAAAGUCCUUUGAAAAUUUUCCUCCAACUUUGGUUUACCGCCUAAAAAAUUUUGAAAUUUUGACCUUAGUCGACGACUUUUCAUAUAUUUUCGUCGGUUAAAGUCUAUAAAUUCACGAAAACACUCAUAUCUCCCCCUAUAUUAAGUAGUUUGGUCAAAUCUUCCACACGAAAAACUCUCACGUAGAUGAGACGCAACCACCUAUAUAAAAAUUUUGAGACAUUUACCUUCCGACGAUAGGGCUCCCCAUAAGAAAUAAUAACGGUAAAUAGGGUUGACCGCUACUAUCGGCUCUGAGACUUUACCCGAUUUACGUGAUUUUUGAACCAUAGCCGUAUUUCACCAUUCUGAACACAUCUUAUUUCACGAGAUUUUUAAUAAUUUUGCUUCCUAUGUAGAGUUGGUUCACAAAGUUGUAUAACCUACUAAACAAGUUAUACAAUAUUAGUAGACACGUUGUGAUUCCGAUGACUAAAAUUCACAAACCGAAAUUCGACCGUCAGAUAUGAUCAUUAUGACGAAAUAUGUCUAUGGUAAAAAAUUCAACUGGAUCCGACAACGUUAAGGGCUCGAUCGAAACGGUCAACCAUAAUCCAUCGUCACUUAUCACACGAAAACGCUCAUAUCUCCCUCUAUAUUACGUAGUUUGGUCAAACCUUCCACACUAAAAAACUCUCACGUAGAUGAGACGAAACUGCCCAUAUAAAAAUUUUGAGACAUUUACCUUCCGACGAUAGGGCUCCCCAUAAACCCGAAUAACAGUAAAUAGUAGACACGUUGUGAUUCCGAUGACUAAAAUUCACAAACCAAAAUUCGACCGUCAGAUAUGAUCAUUAUGACGAAAGAUGUCUAUGGUAAAAAAUUCAACUGGAUUCGACAACGUUAAGGGCUCGAUCGAAACGGUCAACUCUAAUCGAAAAUAAGAAAACUGCAUUUUCAAGCCCUAAACGGACUCGGAUGGCCAAAAAAGCCUAUACAUCAUGGCAUUAGCGAUGAGUCUGACUCGUAGCGCCGUUACGCUUCCGGAAAGGUAUCACAAUAGUCAAUCAGACACCAAACGCCAAAUCUGCAGCAUAGUGAAUAGUAAAGGUAAGUCAACUAUCAGCACCGAGACUUUACCGGAAUACUGUGAUUUUUCAACCGUAGUCGUAUUUCACCGUUCUGGUCAUAUCUUAUUUCACGACUUUUUUGCGUUUGAAGGUUCUACGUAUAGUUUUUUUUUCUCAGAUGAGUUGUUGUCUAGAUCUGCAAAUAUAAGUCCACUUUAGCCGACGAAUUAUAUUUUUCGUUCGGCUAAACUUUUAAAAAUUUCGUCGGCUAAAGUUUUAAAAAUUUUGUCGGCUAAAGUUCACAAACUAUAGCCGACGAAAAAAAUUAUUCAGCCGAUGAAAUAUUACUUUCGUCGGCUAAAGUUGACCAUAGCCGACGAAAAUUUUAAAUUAGCCGACGAAAAAAAAUUACGUCGGCCUGGUUUUUUUAUUUUCAUCGGCUAAAGCCUUUCUUCUGGUAGUGGGUCCCGGCAAGCUUGUUUCAAUCUCUAGCAUGACCUUUGUUGAUGCCAUGGCUGUUGGCUACUUGGCUUAGCAUCGUGGGGGUUUCCAGUUACCUCCACACUACAAGUGUUAUGCGACUCAAGCGAUUGAAGUUCUAUUCUUCCUCUUUCUAUGGCUAGGUUAUAUUGCUUGAAUCCAUAAACCCUAGAAGUGGGAUAAGCUCUUACAAAAUCGUUUGACACAUCUUCUAUUUAUAUUUUAUAAGAUUAAGAUUGUCUCAAUGAGUAGUACUACAACAAGACUAAGAUUUCAAAUUGAAAUUAGGAUAAUAUCUUAACAUUUUCUAACUCUUUCAAGAUAUUAUGGGUUCAGUAUGACUGAGCUCUUGAAGAGCUUAUAUGAAAUUUAUCAAUAUUGAUUAAUAUAUCUAGCUAGGCAGCCAGGUUCAUUUUCCAAGGAUUCUUUUGCUUAUUGGUGUAUGCUUAUUUCAAUUCAUUUUUUCUUUCAGUUAUAACAAAGAGAUCUCUAUAACAAAUUAUUUUUCUACAAGCUUUUCCAAUUUCUCCUCAAAUUACGAGAUCGAGCUAGUGUCUUUUUCUGGGGUUUCUAUAUACUGCCAUUUGCAGUUAAGAAUAGUUUGUCAUGCAUUUCUGGUAUCCUUCAAUUUUCUAUAUAUGCUUGUUUCUAUAUUUGCAUGUAGACUGUAAUGCACUGAUGCUUAUUUUGGUUAUUUGCCUUUGUCAAUAACAAACUGAGCAAUGAAAUUAGCUGUAAAUAGAAACUGCAACAAUCAGUUCAUUUUCUACACUAUAUAUUCAACGCCCUCAUGCCAAAUAACUUCACCAGGUGCAGUUCCCGCAGGACCCCCUAUAGCAAAAUCUCUUCAGCACAACAUAAAUUAUAGGGUUAAUACUAUAACUUGGAAUAUAUAUAGAGCUUCAAAUGGCUCCCAAUUUCUUUGUUGCGUCUGUUCUCCUCCUACAGCUUGCGGCAAUCGCCUUCUCCAUACGCUUGCCAUAUUAUGUAAGUUCUUAACAAAACACCCUCUUCUCUUAAACAUAGUAUACAUUUACUUCCUGUAUUUACUUAUGUCUUUGAUUUCCAUUUUGAAGUGAUAUAUACUUUAGAUAUGCAUGUCUCGUUUAAUUUUCUAACUAUCAAAAGGUACAUGUGUGACAUUAUUUUGUAUCAUAUAGCCACCACGGCCGGAUAAGGGUAUUCCAGGAGGUCCGGCGCUUGGACUUCCGGGAGGACCGGCAGCGGGGAUUCCUACGCAGCAAGAGGGUCCGGCGGGAGGAAGUACUACUGCACCUGGGGCAGCAGUAGGAGGAGCCAACAGCGGGAAGAAGUGGUGCAUUGGGAAGAAAGAUAUUUUGACAAGCCUUUUGAAGACUGCCUUUGAUGAGAUUUGCAAAGAGGUCGAUUGCUCGCCCACAGGACCAACAGGAAUAUGCUAUGAUGAAUCCAUUUGGUCCAAGGCUUCCUACGCCAUGAAUCUCAAAUAUCAAAAGAAUGGCCAAAAGGAUUCUGACUGUGAUAACCAAGGAACGUCACAUAUCGUCACCAUCGACCCUAGUAAGCUAUCAAUAUUGUUUUGCUUUGCUUUACUUACAUAUAUUGCUUAUUGUGAAGAAAAUUCAUCUAAUUUCAUUUCCAUUUUGUUUUUCUUUUUGUAGGCUGGGGAAAAUGCGUGUUGAUCUCUUCUUAAGAGUUGAAGGGGGAAGAAGUAGGUGUUGAUCGUGUAAUGUAUCAUCAUAAGUACUAUAAGCAAUCGACCUAGAAAAAGAAAAGGCAUAUAUGUACAAGUAACUUAUGAAUAAAUGUUGUGCAUGUUAUCAAUGUGAUAUAUUUUUCAUAGAAUAACAAGGUACAAAGUAGGACGAGCUACCAAACGAAACCUUCAUAUCCACGAACAAUAUGAAUGGAAUAGAUAAAAAAAUAAAGCCAAGCAAAUGGGGGAAGCAGAAGUUUAAACAAAGAUCAUAUAGAAUUGUUUUAGAAACGAGAAAACUUUCAUUAAUCGCACUCAAUUACAGUCGUUCAAUAAUAUAUCAACUAAAAGCCUAAGGGGAAAUAAAAGAAAAAUUACGAAGUCUAUUUCGAUGAGCUUUGCCAGCAAGAAGUAGCCUCGUUCUUCUCUUUGUAGAUCAGUAGAUGUUAAUCUCUUUGUAGAUAUGCAUGAAGUAGCAGCCAGGUAAAUGAAUAAGGGCUAUUCAAGUCUUUGUAGAGCAACCUAGCUCAAGUCUGGCCAAGUAAACCUUAAUAGUAUUUGGUGAACUUAAAGUCAUGCAUAUGGUAAUUAAGUUGUUUGGUAGAUUACAGAGAGGGUUAUAUAACUGAACAUAUAACUAGCUAGAACAAAGAUAGAUAGAGUUACAAAUUUUACAUUGUUUCCCAUAUACUCUCCAUGUCAUAAUAUUUACAAGUUUUUGAUUACAAAAGUGUGGAUCCUGCAAUUUAUUUCCUCUUCUUUAAUGCUCAAUUGUGGGAACUGGGGACUGAACUUUACUUCAGGUGGGUAUCAUAAUGUGGAGAGUUCAGUGGAAACGGUAUAGUCGAAUUGAGAUCAUGAGGUCAAGUUUAGAUCUGCUUAAUGUUGGUUUGACAUGGGAAAUUAUAUUCAGGUUGUCUUUGCCACAUAAAAAGUGUAGUAUCAAUCCACUGUGGAUUCACCAAAAACUUGCCUUUUUUUACCGCCCAACAUGACUUCUGUGUUCGAGCAUCUGCUGCAACCACAUGUGUGACUGAUGGAUCCACUUGUGUCGAACAAGUAGCUCCCAACUGCUCUGCCAAUUUCCACAAAGGAUGAGUGUCAGCCUUCACAUUUGAAGGCCAGAUAUGACUAAAUACUAAUUUACAUCCCUUCAACACUUCCUUCUGAAGGAUUUUCAAGACGGGCCUCACGUCUCUGUCGAUGAGAUCCCAUCCCUUUAACUCGACUUCAUUAAAGAAGAUGGUGUGGACAUGCCUAAGAAGUUGCAGUACACUUGCAAGAUAAGCUCCUCCAUACCGAUCACAUUCAUCGGUCUUCAACUCGGAAUAAGGCUUACUAUUACUGAUUCCAUAUUGUUGACAACUAGAACUGAUGCCAUAUUGUUGACAACUAGAUUUAAAGAAAUGAUACCUUGGCAUUACUAUUACAUUAUCCUGGUUGUUAUUUUGCCACACAUCUUUUGUAUCAUCAAGGAUGACAACAGCAGAUUCUCGGGCAAGCAUGUUAUCUAGAGCCUUCCGAUCUUCAUCUGUGCUAUCACUACGUGAUAUGACUCUACCCCCAAAGAUUUGAUUUGCAGGAUCAAGCAGCUUAGCCAUUUCUAGCGCAUAGUCUUGUGUACCCAUGGUGUAUAUAGACAGCUCAAACAUUUGACUGGCUUCCAUUAAAAACGUCCUAAUAUAUGGCCUCAACUUGGUCAUCACUUUCAUGUUGGGAGUAUCCACAAUGUGAACAUGUUGCAGGGAAUGAUCAGAUUGGGUUUGUGUCUUCAGAUAUUCUUCGUCUUGUGACAUCUUAUCAAGGGAAGUGGUAUUCAACAGGGUGUGGUCUAGAUCAAGAACCAAAUGAAGUUUCUUAUGGUUCAAUAAUAGAUUGUUAGUGUUUUGGUUGCGUAAUUGAUCAAUUACACCAUCACUAAGCCCUAACCCCUUGUGUAAGGACCCAUACCUCACUCCAGAAGAACUCGAUUUCUUGUAAUAUGCAAGUCUUGCUUCUUUUGAAAUUUCCUGAUUAGAGGUGUCUGUUAUCUUACGCCUUUUGGUCUUCUCUAUCGAAGCUAUUUCACUGUGAUCGGAAUCUAGUCGUCUUUUUUCGUAAGAAACCCAACAAGGUUAUCGAUAUUGUGCAAAAUUGGAGAGACGGUAGCCACGGUUUCCUGAUUAGAGGUGUCUGUUAUCUUACGCCUUUUAGUCUUCUCUGUCGAAGCUAUUUCACUGUGAUCGGAAUCUAGUCGUCUAUUUUUCGUAAGAAACCCAUCAAGGUCAUCGAUAUUGUGCAAAAUUGGAGAGACGGUAGCCACAGUCAUCGUGAUAUUGAUGAUGAUGAAUUUGUUACAGCAAAUUCAGUGUAACAAAUUCAGAGUUAAACCAAGAACACACGAUUUUGACAAUUAGGGUGUCGCUAUUUGAACUUUUUUAUUUAUAUAUUCAGUAUUACAGAAGAGAGAGGAGAAAUUUUGAACAAAUGCAGAAAUAUUGAAACAAUGACUGGUUUUCUUUCCCUUUUUGCAAAAGGGGAGAUUAGGAUUGCAGUGCGAUGAAGGGAAGCCAAUACGGGACUUGUAUAUAUAGGCAUUGUUCGUAAAUCAUAUGGUAGUGGGAUUAGGAGUACCUUAACAUACCGGGAUUCGGAUUUCGGAAUGCCUAUUGUUAGUGGGAUAUGAAUGCCUAGUUGGAAUAGGAGAAAGGAAUGCCUAGUUGGAAUAGGAGAAAGGAAUGCCUAGUUUGUUCUUCCAUCCCCAAUUUAAAAAAGUAAAAAUAAGCGCUUAUGUGUGGCCUAGCGCGUCUCCUAGAUUUGUACCUCCCAGAAUUUCAAAUCCGAAGUUUUCAUGGAGGCUAAACAUAACUCACCGCCCUAAUCUGCAGACUACAGAGCUCCACUCAAAAGCGGUCCAAAUCUGAAGCCUCUGCAACAAAGUCCACGCCCGCAUUAUAGUCUCUGGAUCUCACGGCAGCCGAUCAUUUCUCAAAUAACCGUGGCGAGUGUGGGGUUGCAUGGAUGUUGUUCGAUGAAAUGCCUAAGAGAGAGAGAGAGAGAGAGAGAGAGAGAGAGAGAGAGAGAGAGAGAGAGAGAGAGUAGUAGGUNNNNNNNNNNNNNNNNNNNNGAGAGAGAGAGAGAAGCGAUUGAGGUGUUUAAUGAGGUGAGGGAGUUGACACAUCAUUGGCGUAUUUCAUUGUCAUCAGGUUUCAGUGAUUUCUAUUGUGAACUGUUUAAUUCAUGAGCCUUGCUCAAUGUAGGAAUCACGUUCAAUUCUGGAAUGCUUUUGUUUUGUUACUGCAAAGUACAAGUUUUAAAUCUUUGGUUUAUUCCAUCUUAGCCUUGCUCGUUCAAUAAAUCCAGCUCUGUCAAGGCAAUGUAGUGGACAAAGAAAAAAUGGUUGUGGUUCUUUCAAAUAUUGGAAAAUUGUAUCAUGGAGGAAAACUAUAUCAUGGAAUGGUUGGUUGUCCUCUGAAGGAUCUAACGGACAAUGUUGAUGCUGGUACUUUUUUUCUUUCAAUAUUUCAUAUGCAUUCUGUGAGGAACAUCGUGUUGUUGAAUGUUGGUACUUGUUUCCAUAUUUCUCUGAUGAUUGAUGAAUAUGAUCACCACACCUAACUACUAUAUGCUAUUAACUUGAAUCUUGAAUUGAUCUGUUUAAACUUGAAUCUAGCCACCUCCCAAUUUGUUCUACAAGAUGGUUACCUUUGGCACACAUCAGAUCUUGAACUCUUUUUUAUAUCUGUGAAUUUGUGUUUUGUAUUCUGAACUCAUCUACUGUUCUAUAUAGAGGCCUCUUUACAAGUUAAUGGAUCUUAUUUUUACAAGGAUUUAGGAUAUUUUGACUCAUGUAAUCAGUAGUAGUAUAACUAGUAUUGAGAUCGAUUGUUCUAAUGGGUUUAGGUUUAUGUUGAUUAGGUGACUUUUGCAAAAUGUCAGUCUCAGUUUUUAUAUGUUUAGCUCCUGAAUUUUUUUAAGACAACGCUGGCUAUCAUGUGAUUCUGCAAUGCUGCUGUACUGUUCUUUGCUUAGUAAUUUCCAGAUAGUGAUCUCUCCUGAACGAUUUGAUAUCUCACUUCUCAUUCCGAUUUGUAUUUUCAUCUGUGUAGUUCAAUUUGUUAAGUAUAGAUUGCAAUCCGAACCUGAAUUUUGAUCAUGCAGAAAAUCGGCAAUACCUGUACUGGCUGUACUAGAUGCAAAAACUAUGUCCAUUGAUCCCGUGGCAGUUAUAUGGAUCCGAUUCCUACUUUGUGACAGAGGUCAGUGCCACUUCCAGUGUUCCUAAGAUGCUCUUCAAUUAUUAUUUGAUUUUUGCUUGGCUUUUGAGUCUGCUUUCCGAUUCUCGCAUUUAUAUGUCGUUCUACUUUUGCAUCUAUUUCUUAUAAUCUACAAUUGAUCAUUCUGACUUUGGAUUGACUUCUAAAAGAAAAAAGAAAAAAAAAAGGAUUAUACAUCUGCCAUAAGGAAGUGGAUUGGUGACGCUGUGAGAUAGAGGUAUAUAUAGAUUCAUCAAAUUUAAAUUGUUCACAAGGGUAGUGGGUUGGUUAGUAGUGGUAAGAAUCAUCGUGAGAAAUUGUCCCGUGAUCAUUGUCAAACAUAUUUAAUAACUUCAUCACUUUAAAGCUUAAUUUUGCCUUCAACUCAAGUUUCUAUAUCCACAAGAUUUGAAGACAAAACUUAUUUUUGGAAUUUUGGAUAUAUAUAUAAUAUAUCACAAACAAAGAUUCAGAUAAAGUUUAUUUAAUAAAAUAAGGGGGAUUUUCAUAUAUACUCAAUUUUAAAGAGUGGUUUUAAAUAAAACCCACAUAAUAUUCUUUUCUGAUAGACAUCUAAAAUGUAUCAAUUAUGAUACAUAUUAUGUCCUAUUUUUUCUAAAUUUUACACAAUUGCCACCAUUCAACUAUAACAUAUAAACAUAAUAAAUAAUCUUAAUUGAUGUUUUCUUAAAUACCUUGAUUAUGAGUUUUUCUUUUAACACCAACAUUUUUCAAUCAAUUUGCAAAAAUCAUGCGGUUUUUUUUAUUUUUAUGAAAAAAUCUAGGUGAAAUGAAUACAUUCUAUGAUCUAUACAUAGGGUAAAAUACAAUAUAAAUAAGAUAUCUGAUUAUUUGAGUAAAAAGAAAAAAAUUUAUAAUGUUACCGUAAGCCCUAAGCCCUAAGCUCUAAACCCUAAACCCUAAACCCUAUACCCUAAACCCUAAACCCUAAACCCUAAACCCUAAACCCUAAACCCUAUACCCUAUACUCUAAACCUAUACCCUAACCCUAUACCCUAAACCCUAUUAACUUAACCCUAUACCCUAAACCCAAUUUUGGGUUUUUCUUUUUAGGUAUAUUAUCAUAUCAUGUUAGAAAUGUAAAUGUUCUCUCGAUCAGGAUGAGAAAUGAUAUAAUAAUAUACCUAAAAAUAAGAAAAUUAAUCAAAGAACAAGAACGUGUACCUUACAAUCAGACAUUUUUCGACUAUGUAGAGAGAGACACCAAAUGUGAGCUUAAAAAUGAAAAGAAUUAUUCUAUUACAAAUGACAUACUUCUAUAUAUAACAUAUAUAUACACUCAAGUUAGUAAUAACAAGGUAAGAAAUUAAAGAAUGUAAUUGAUUAUGAUAAAGUUAAAUCCAACUAAAUUUUAGCUUAAUAUUUGAGUUUCAAAUUGAUGCUAAAAUUGAGAAAGAUACCAAAUUUAGCUUUAUAUCGUCUGAAUGGCAAAUCAGAGAAACUAGAAAAUGAAGAAAACUAUUAAUUAUAGACAUAUGCUCUAUAUAGUAAGUUUGCUUAUGUGGAGUGGGUGUAAAAUGAAAAAAAAAUAUGUAUGAGUUUAUCUUAAAAGAGGUCUAGUAUUUUGGGUUUUUAUCUAAUUUUCUUAUAAAAUAACUGAAGUGCAUGUUUGCCUCUGUAGUCUGUACUAUUGCCAAUUUGCCAGUCUUGGGUGAUUUCUUUGACCCUAUCGCUCUUUUGUUGAAUGGAAUCUUUAGUGGAAAAACUAUGCGCUAUGUAAGUUGGUAGUUUGGUACUAAAGCAUUCGACCUCUCGAACUACUUCAGACUCUGGAUGUCAAAAAGAGGGCAACUUGAUCGAUAUGGAGUGCCAAGAUGGAACCAACUCUCGGGCCCUUGGCGACAUCUUUUAUGAACAACUUGCAAGCAGAAGUUGAAAAGUAUGAAGUAUAUCAACUUGCUAGUAAAAGUUGAAAACUAUGACUAUCGAUAGGAGCACAAACGACAGUUUCAUCCCCAUCCCCUUGUCUACUUUUACCAGAAAAUGAAGUGGUUAUCUGUAUGACUUGGAUCUCUUCUUCGUUCUGUUCUGCAAAUGUUGUUAUAGAUUGGAAGACCGUAAACGUGCACUUCAUUUUCUUGAAGAUUAAUGAAACUAGAAUGUCCUAUUCAUCUAGUCAAAUCAUAAUUUCAUAUGACAGAAAAAUCUCCAUACUAUGCUAGUUUACUUCCUUUUAUAAAUACAAAAGUCUGUCAAUGUAGUUUCCAGCGUUUUACAUGGGAUUAGGACUUGUGCUACUGAUUCUCGAAUUGUAUUGUUGUUUACCGGCUUUGUUCAUAUUUUUCAUCAGUUUAAUAGCAGAUUUAAUGUUUAAAUCCCGUUUGACAAGAUCAAACAAGUAUUUGGUUUUCUGUUUGAUUCGGUUUAAUGGCGUCUUAUUACCAGGGACACUUGUAAGGUCUUCGAAGUCACCUGAGGGGUCUUAUCAACCUCUAUUUGAUUAUGCUGUAGUCCGUCAUGGACUCUGUCAAAGACAGAGAUGUUUUAUGUUUUAAUUUUAAUUUGUCACAUUAUAGAAAUUGACUUAUAUUUAUUGAUGGUGAUACUAUGACCUGCAAAUGUUUUUAUUGCUUAUUUACAAUUCCUUAAGAUUAUCCUCUCAAACUUCUAACCCUGUUCUUCUUUUCAUCUUUCCUAACUUCUACUAAAAUCUUGUCGAGAGUUAAAGAGCUAGGUUGGGAGGCAAAUGGGCGGUUAUGAGGGCAAUGUUAGAGUUUCACUUUCCAAAUUCCUAUUCUUGUUCAACUUGUUUCAGUCACAUAAUUGCUAUUCAAUUUAUAACAUAACUGCAACCCAAUCACUGUCACUUGGACAAACUCUUAUCUCCCCCAGACAAGAGUUUGAAUUAGGCUUCUUCACUCCUAAUGAUUCUAGGAAUCAAUAUGUGGGUAUCUGGUAUAAGAAAAUUUCUACUGGAAAAUCUGUAUGGGUGGCCAACAGAGAAAAUCCAAUUACAGUUUUAGAUCCUCCAGCUAGUCUAAUAAUCAGCAGCAAUGGAAAUCUGGAGCUCGUAGAUGGAAAGCUACAGUCCUUGCGGUCAACCAAUAUAAGUGGAGUAGCAUCAGCAUCAGAUCAAAUAGUAAUAUUACCACCUUUGUUGUCCUCUCCGACGAUGGAAAAUUGAUCCUCAAAGAUGGCUUAUCUGUGGAACCUUUGUGGCAGAGUUUUGAUUAUCCUGGUGAUACUUUCCUACCACCAAAUACAGCACUUGGGUUCAAUACUAAAACUGGAGAGAGACAUGUGUUGACUUGCUGGGCAAGUAACACUGAUCCAUCCCCAGGAAAAUUUGUUGUUGGAACUGUGCCACAGAAGCCACCAGAAGCAUUCACUUGGAAAUUAGAUUCAUGUUCAAUGCCAUACUGGAAAAGUGGACCAUGGGAUAAUUCGAUGUUCAUUGGGAUACCGAUAAUGGAUUCAAACUUUGUUCAAUCUUGCAGAAGAUGCAGAGAAGGGAACUUCAUAUUUCUCUUUUAAUACAUACAACAGCUCCACUGUCUACAAUCUGGUGAUUUCACCUGAAGGCAUUUUAAAGCUACUGAGUAAGAGAGAAGGCAAAGAUUGGCACUUAGUUUGGGAGGCUCCGAAUAAUCCAUGUGAUAUUUAUGGGCGGUGUGGUCCUUGAAACCUCAAGUUGCAAGUGUUUGGAAGGGUUUGUGCCAAAGUCAGAGGAAAAGUGGAGCAAAAAUAUCUGGACAGAAGGGUGCGUGAAGCGAACUAACUUAUCUUCAUGUGGUAAUUCAUUGCAAGGGAAAAGAGAUGGAUUUAGGAAGAUGGAUGGUAUCAAACUCCCAGAUUUUUAUGAAUUUGUGCAGCUUGGUCAGAAAGCUGAAAAUUGCCACAUAUGGUGCUUGAAUAACUGUUCUUGCUUGGCAUAUGCAUAUGUAAUUAAUAUAGGGUGUUUGGUCUGGUCCAGAAGCCUUGUUGACAUCCAACAGUUCUCCUCUGGUGGACAACAACUUUAUUUCCGUCUCGCACAUUCAGAACUAGGUAACAAUACCAGUGCUGGUAUCGAAUAAUACUUGGUUAUGGGAUAGGAUAAUGCUAUUAUGUUGUCUCUCAAAUAAUCAAACCACUUCUGAUAUUUUGUUUGCUUCAAUUUUCAGUUGGUGAUAACCAGACACGGAAACCAUCUAUAUUGUUGUAGCUGUUUCUGUCGUUACCAUAUCUGGAGCCAUCAUAAUUUUCAUAUUCAAUAAGCGCAGAGCUAAUAUAUGAAUUCCUGCAGAACAAAAGUUUGGACACUUUCCUGUUUGGUUGGUUUCUCUAAGCCUUUAUUACUGAUGCUUCUUUGUUAUGUGAUUCUAGCAUCUCUUUCACACCCUAAGAAAUUAGAACUGGUAUUAGUACUACUGCAUUAUAACAAUUUUUCGUUUUAAUUAAUGCAUUUCUAUUAUCUUUUUUUAUCUUGUUUUUUCAUAAACUUCGUGAAAUCACGAUCAUUCACAGAUGAGUAACAACAGGUUCAGUAAAAUGAUCACAUGAAUAUAAUAUAACACUAUAACAGUGAUGAUUAAGAAGUCACAAUGUAGGAGAGAUACAAUUAAUUAAGAAUAAUAUGACCAUGACUACUACUCUACUAGGCAGAUAAAGACAAAUUGGGAGGAAAAAAAAACAUGAUAGAAAAAUGCAAAUAUCAUGAAACUUGAAAGAUGUACUUCACAAUGAUCUUGUUGUCACAUAAUUUGUAGAAGAGAUGCAAAUAAGUAUGUAAGAAUAUGAUGACCACUUUGUCAUUUCUAUAUGAUGAAUUGAGGCCAGAAGAAUCACUUGAUUAACUUAAGUUGUGAUUUUAUUAUAACUACAAAUGCUUAUGUGUUUAUUUCAGUUUUGUAGAUAUGGACCUAAGAUAUCAGGAGAAACUAAUACCUAAUUAGGAUGCGGUUAAUCGAGUCUAAUUUUUAAUCCCAUCCCUCUAGUAGUGAUCUUCACCCGUAUGAAACUAACCCUCUUAAGAAGCUAAAUGAUAUUAGGGUGCAAUAUGAGACUCAAAGAAAACUCAAAUACCUGCAAUAACCUGCUUGAAGAAAGCCAAAAAUGUUAAUUAAGCACUGUAAUAGGAACAGUGGGUUAGAAUUGCAUCAUGGGUUGAAGUAUUAUAUACUAAGCAUCCUUGCGAGUAAGAUCUAGAAUAUUUGUGCAUCUAACAUGUGUCUAACACGCAUAUUUAUACAAAAUAACAUAAAUUUCUAUGAUUCUCAAACAACUAACAACAUCAUUGGAGUGAAUCAUAGUGAAAUAUUAGUGUCACCAUGCAUUUCUUCAUAGUUAAAUUUACAUCUAAUUAAUAAUGGUCAGCAGCUUCAAUAUUUUUGAGCUAUGUUAAUCUUGAUAGAAGUUCUAGCAAUUUAGUUGCAAACACUUGUUGAUUCUUUUGUAUGUCAACUAGAAUUAUUAACUUCAUCACUUCAAAGCUUAAUUUGGGUGUGAUCAAUCUAAUGUAUGUCAAACAUAAUUAACAACUUCAUCACUUUAAAGAUCAAUUUUUCCUUCAAGUCAAGUUUCUUAUAUAUGACAAGAUAUGAAGACAAAACUUACCACAUUUGGUUUGGAUAAAUAUAUCACAGUCAGAUGCAAGUUUAUUUAAUUUAAGAACAUAGACUGAAGUCAGUGAAAUGAAUAUUUCCUCUGUAGUCUGUAUUAUUGCCACUGUUGAUUUCCUUGACCUUAUUGCCACUCUUGGGUGAUUGCUUUGACCCUAUCACUUUUUUUUAGAAGAAAAUUCAUUAAUAAUCAAAAGAAAUUACAGAACAUUGAAAUAACCGGUUGUGAUGCCUACACCACAACACAUAUUCAUACUAAGAUAUGUAGUUACAGGUCCGUCACUAGGGGCAACAUCGGGUCCGUCACUAGAAACAACAUCCAUGAGCCAAAAGAGCCCAAUCCCUAACCAAAUUUUACGUUUGACACGAGCUACUCAAACCUAAGAGUAACGAUACAACUUUACCACUAACAAUAAACUGAGUCAAUUAUUUUUCUUCAACACCUUGCCCCUCCUGGGUGAUUGCUUUGACCCCAUCACUCUUUUAAACUGUUUUGUUGAAUGGAAUCUUUAGUGGGGAAACUAUGUGCUAUAUAAGUAUUGCCACUCUUGGGUGAUUUCUUUGACCCUAUCACUAUUUUGAACUCUUUUGUUGAAUGGAAUCUUUAGUGGGGAAACUAUGUGCUAUGUAAGUUGGUAGUUUGGUACUAAAGCACCGGACGUCUCUAACUACUCUCGACUCUGAAUGUCAAUAAAAGCCUAAAAGGGCAACUCGAGAUGGAGUGCCAAGAUAGAACCAACUCUUGGCGACACCUUUUAUGAACACCCUUUAUCAACUUGCAAGUAAACGUUGUAAAUUACAUGACUAUCAGUAGGAGCAGAAACGACACAAAUUCAAUUGUUCUUCAUAAAUUCGAUUUAUUCUAAAUCGGAGUAGGUUGCUAUUGCUAAUCAUCCUAUGGGUAGUGGAAAUCAGGUCAUGUCCUCUUUUAUUGAUUCUUUUCGUUACUGGACAUGCCCAAGUUGUUCACUUCUAUAUUCUCUUUCAUUUUCCUUAGACGACUGCAAAGUCUUUUUGAGUAAACGAGGAGACAACGAUGGAGAAAAUGUGAGUUGUAUAAGAAUAUAGCUCUCACCCACUUUCUCUUCCAUACAGAAUAUAUGCUUUUACAGCAAAAUUAUCAAACCAACAAUUAUGGGGCUAUCACUGAGCUUGUGGGAUGGUCGCAUGCUUUCGGCACCAGUAAUUCUCUUUGUGUUUCAUUUCUUUGUUUUUGCCAACUCUCUAAACUCUCUGCAGCAGCCAUCAUCUUUCUGCCAUGACGAUGAGAGCUUGGCAUUGCUCCAGUUUAAGCAAAGCUUUGUAAUCGACGAAUUUGCUUCUGUUGGUGAGGGUGCUUAUCCAAGGGUUUUGUCAUGGAAACCAGCUGCUGCUAAAGAAUGCUGCUCAUGGGACGGGGUCGAGUGCGAUGAGAAGACAGGUCAUGUCAUUAGCCUUGAUCUUAGUAGCAGUUACCUCUCCGGUUCUAUCGAUUCCAACAGCACCCUCUUCCACCUUGUUCAUCUUCAGAGGCUGAACCUUGCCGACAAUGACUUCAAUCAAUCUCAAAUUCCUAUUACCAUCAGGAAUCUUCCGGUGCUUCAUUAUCUUAACCUCUCUGGCUCAUUCUUUUCUGGUCAAAUCCCAUCUGAAAUUUCUCAGUUGUCCAAGUUGUCGUCCCUGGACCUAUCCUCCAAUACUGAUAGUACUGGUGAAAGAUCCCUGAUGCUAAACCAGUCCAAUCUAAAAAGGCUGGUUCAGAACUUAACCAGUCUAGAAAAGCUUCAUCUCAGCUCCGUCCUCAUUUCUGCACCAGUACCCGAUUCUGUGGCAAAUUUACCAUUUCUGACAUCUCUCCUCCUAGAGUAUUGUGAUCUGCGAGGCCAUUUCCCGGUAAGUAUUUUAAAACUACAAAGUUUAAAGUUUCUUAAUGUAGAAUCCAAUCCAGAUCUCUUUGGUUUUUUGCCGGCAUUUGAACAAACUAGUCCUCUAAUGUCACUCAGAGUUUCCAGAACAAGGUUUUCAGGAAGCCUUCCCUUUUCAAUUAAAAAGCUUGAUUCACUGAACGAAUUAGUUGCCAGUCGAUGCAAUUUUUCAGGUCUGCUUCCAUCUUCACUCGGAAAUCUUAGGCAGCUGGUUUAUUUAGACCUUUCAAAUAACACACUUAGUGGCUCCAUCCCUGCUUCUUUGGCUACCCUUAGCCAACUGUCACAUCUGUCCCUUGAUAAUAAUCAUUUCAGCGGUUACAUCCCAUCUUCUCUUGGUAAUCUCAUCCAGCUUACAACACUUUCGCUUGCAACAAAUCAACUUACCGGUCCAAUCCCAUCUUCUCUAGGAAAACUUAUCCAGCUCACUGAGUUAGACCUCUCUGGUAAUGAUUUUGGUGGUUACAUCCCAUCUUCCAUCGGAAAUCUCAACCAGCUCGUAAGACUUUCGCUUUCUUCGAAUCAAUUAACAGGGCCAAUCCCAUCUUCUGUAGGAAAUCUUAGCAAUCUAAUUGAGUUGGAUUUUUUCUCAAACCAUUUGCACAGUUCCGUUCCUGAGUCCUUAUUCAAUCUCACAAAUCUCGUGACGCUUUAUCUAGAUAGUAAUAGACUGAGCGGCAAAGUGAAUUUCUCCAUGUUUCAAAAGCUGCAAAAUCUCCUCAUACUGUAUCUCUCUGGAAAUAAAUUGGAAUUGUUGCUCGAAGAGACAAGACAUACGAAUGCAACAACUUUUCCAAAUUUUAUAACUCUAGGAUUGGGUUCUUGCAACAUAACCGAGUUCCCAAGUUUCCUAAGAUAUCAAAAAAAUUUGCGAUGGCUGGAUCUUGCUGAGAAUGGAAUGCAUGGCCAAGUACCGAGAUGGAUGUGGAAUGUAAGCAUAGAAAGUUUGACGGUUAUGAACAUUUCUCAUAACUUCCUUUCUGGCUUUGACCAACCUCCAGAUAUUCUUUUGUGGAGUGGCUUACAGCUCUUGGAUCUUUCGUCCAACCUGAUUCAGGGAUCGCUACUGAUACCUUCACCAUCAAUCGAGUACUAUGUAGUUUCAGACAACAAGCUAAGUGGGCAAGUUUUACCUCUGAUUUGCAAUCUGACUUCUCUGAAGUACCUUGAUUUGUCAAACAACAACUUGAGUGGGAUGCUGCCACAGUGUCUUGGGAAGUUCAGUAAAAAUCUGCGAGUUUUACAUCUUGGAAACAACUCUUUUGAAGGCCACCUCCCGGAAGCAUACACAAGCAGUCUAAUCAUGAUUGAUGUUGGUAACAAUAAGCUGCAGGGAAUCUUGCCCAGGUCAUUGGCAAAUUGUUUGAUGCUUGAGUUUCUUGUUAUAUCUAACAAUGAGUUCAGUGAUGUUUUCCCUUUUUGGUUGGGAACUCUCCCAGGGUUGAGACUCUUGGCAAUGCACCAUAAUGGAUUCCAUGGGGUGAUAAGGAAACCUGAAAAGAAUCCAGACUAUUUUCUUCAGUUGCACAUUCUUGAUCUAUCUUUCAAUAAUUUCUCAGGCAACUUCCCCUUUGAAUACAUUUUCUCUGGAAAUGCAAUCAAAGGUAUCACUUCCGAUCAGUUCACAUACCUGAAGACAACCGCAGAUGUUGUUUAUGAUCCUUCAUAUCAUGGCGGGUAUUUCUCCUUCACAAUGACAAGUAAAGGUGUGAACAGAUUCUAUCCCAAGAUUCGAGAGGACUUUGCAGUCAUUGACAUCUCAAGCAACAAUUUUGAAGCUGAGAUUCCUGAGUUUAUUGGGGACCUAACGGGGCUUCGUUUGCUAAAUAUGUCGAACAACAUUCUCACUGGUUUGAUCCCCUCAUCCUUGGGAAAAUUAAAGUUGCUUGAAUCGUUGGACCUUUCACAGAACAAACUCUCAGGGGAGAUCCCUCGUCAACUGGCACAGAUUUCAUUUCUUGCGAAAUUCAAUGUCUCUCACAACAAUCUCAGUGGUCUUAUUCCUCGUGGUUCCCAGUUUGCUACCUUUGACAGUACUUCAUAUGAAGGAAACCUGGGGUUGUGUGGAGAUCCAUUGCCAAAGAAAUGCGGCAAUGAUGCUCCUCCGUUGCCACCUCCUACAGAAGAAGAUGAUGAUUCUGAUUCUGGAAUUGAAUUGGAUUGGAAAUUUGUACUAGCAGGAUCUGUGAGUGGCAUGCUAGUUGGAGUGGUUCUUGCAGAUGUCCUCCUCACAAGGAGGCGUGAGUAUUUUCUUGAGAUUGUUGGGAUACUAAUCAGACUAACGAAAAGGAAAAGAAAGAAUAGGGCUUGGAAAGAUUGAGUUUGUUUGUUUUGCUAUGCAACUAGUCAACUACUCUUUGUUUCUGUUGUUCCCCCAUAUGUAUUGUGUUUUUCUUUCUACAUAUCUGUUGGCAAAGUAGAGAAAUAAUGCAUACUACUUCUAUAACUAAUUUGAUUAUAGAGCAACUCAGAGCGUCGUUUACUUUUAUUUUUACACAGGAUAUUUUCUCAGAUAUCUUAUUUCGACAAUAAUUUCAAAUUUACGAAUAAUCAUGUUGCUCAAUUCUAAUGAAACAUAAGACUAGAGAGAAAAAAACCCAAAAACAAAGCUCUGAUUAACUAAAGAAUGGACUAACCUCUUCCCUAGUUCCCUUGAUAGCAUUCUUAUGUAGUGAGUAUCAGGAAAAUGUGCUGUACCAAACAGUCUCAAUGCUUCUACCCAUACUUCUACGUCACGUUUCCGAGAAAUAUGAUGCAUCUCAAGCAAUGCAACCAAGUGUCCAAGACCAAUCUAUCAUAUUCUGUAUCAGUCCACCCCUAGUACAAGGCACCAAUCCUCUUACAUAUCACCAAGUCACCCACCAAAGCCUCCAGAGGUCGAGCCAACCCCAUAUCUUGCAAUGCCAUGUUAUCAGAAUCCCGAACCCGCCAUACCCCCUGAGCUUCCAAAAGGAAAUAAGAGUAACAGUCGUCCGCCACACUCGAUUUCUUUCAUGCAUUUCAUCGAACACCUUAUCUACAGAACUUUGCGUCCCCAAAAUCUAUCCAAUACAACAAUCAAUGAUGGCCGAAAAGUCGAAACCAACAAAACAGCCAAACGCCAAACAAGUAUCCUUCCUCCCCAGACGCCACAUCCAAACCACACGACUUGCCGCAGAGCCUGUAGCCAUCAGGCUUCAAAGUUGAAAAGCCUUGGCAAAUAAUUAAACCAAGGGGCACAUGCCAGACAGACUCACGUUACGUUAAAACGUAAAACAAUGUCGGUUAACCCAAGGGACAAAAUGGUAUUUACAGAGACCAACGGUGACCGUUUCACCCCCGGGAAAUAGUUUCUUAAACAAAGGCGGUGACCUUUGGCACAACCCAAAAGUCCAUCCUCACCCAAAAUGAACCUCUCCCUCCACCUAAGGUCCUCACCGCUGCGCCCACAUUCUUCCCCUACAAAAAUGGCCACACUCUUCUCUCUUUCCUUCUUAUCAUCACCAUCAACUUCUGAAUCCAAAGCAUUCAAUCUGCCAUGUCGUCAUUUGGGUUCCUAUCUCCUCCUCCUAUAUCCUCCUCGGCUCCCACGAGGCAGCUCUCCGCAGCCACUACUCCGGCUGCGGCACCGAUUGUCGCUCCGGACGUGGCUGCGGAGAGGCUGGAGCCGAGGGUGGAGGAGAGACAAGGGUAUUGGGUGUUGAAGGAGAAGUUUCGACAAGGGAUUAAUGUUCAGGAGAAGGUCAAGAUUCAGAGGGAGCCUAUGAAGCUAUAUAUGGAAGGCGGGAUUGAAGAGCUUGCUAAGUUGCCUUUUGAGGAGCUUGACAAAGCUAAGGAUACUAAGGAUGAUAUUGAUGUUAGGCUCAAGUGGCUUGGUCUCUUCCACAGAAGAAAGCAUCACUGUAAGUAGAUUGAUCAAUCAUUUUUAACCUCUAUUAAUAUUUAUUACUAUCAGCAACUUAUUUGUUCGACAAUUUUCUUGCUGAAAUUUGCCUAGAUGGUAGAUUUAUGAUGAGGCUGAAGCUUCCGAAUGGGGUCACAACAAGUGCACAGACAAGAUAUCUAGCGAGUGUGAUACGGAGAUAUGGCAAGGAUGGUUGUGCAGAUGUGACAACCAGGCAAAAUUGGCAAAUCCGCGGAAUUGUGCUGGCAGAUGUGCCUGAUAUUCUGAAGGGUCUUGCUGGAGUAGGAUUGACUAGUCUGCAGAGUGGGAUGGACAAUGUGAGAAACCCAGUUGGGAAUCCACUUGCAGGCAUUGACCCGCAUGAAAUUGUUGACACAAGACCUUACACGAACUUGUUGUCCCAAUACAUUACUGGCAAUUCACUCGGCAAUCCAACUAUAACAAACUUGUAAGUAAUCUAACUCUCUCAUUUACCCUGUUGGGUUAUUACUAAGCUUUAAUUUCAUACAAAUGUAUUGUUUGAUCUGAUAUCACCUUAGUCCAUGUAGUUUCAAUUUAGCAAUCACAUCCCUUAGUUUAUUAAAUGUAGCAUUAUGAUCCAUGUAGUUUCAAUCUAGCAAUCGCAUCUGUUAGUUUAUCAAAUGUAGCAUUAUGAUCCAAAUGCAGUUGUUAAAUUAUUGCAGAGAUGUUAGUUGGUUGCUUGGCUUAUUAAGUUAUUUUUCAUCUGAGCAGGCCAAGGAAGUGGAAUGUGUGUGUGAUAGGGUCUCAUGAUCUUUAUGAGCAUCCCCACAUCAAUGAUCUUGCGUACAUGCCUGCAACAAAGGAUGGGAAAUUUGGAUUCAAUUUACUCGUUGGAGGCUUCUUCAGUCCCAAAAGAUGUGCAGAGGCAGUUCCUCUUGAUGCAUGGGUCUCAACUGAAGAUAUGAUCCCAGUUUGCAAAGCUAUUCUAGAGGCUUAUAGAGACCUUGGAUUCAGAGGCAACCGACAAAAGACAAGAAUGAUGUGGUUGAUCGAUGAACUAGUAAGUAUUACACCAUACUGAUUAUAUAAUAAGAUGCCUGUUAACGUAAAAUGUGUAAUAUUUAAGUUACUCUACUACUUAGUUAUCCAUAUUUCAACAUCUCAACUCAUGGAAUACGUGAAGUAUAUACUUUCAAAUGUUCACAGUAACUUUUGUUAUUGUGUACUAAUAUUGUUGCCUUGCUUUAGGGCAUAGAAGGAUUCAGAUCAGAGGUUGUUAAGAGAAUGCCCUUUAAGGAACUGGAAAGAGCAUCUACUGAAGACUUGGUACAGAAGCAAUGGGAAAGGAGAGACUAUAUAGGUGUCCAUCCACAGAAACAAGAAGGUCUAAGCUUUGUGGGUCUUCACAUUCCCGUAGGCAGGAUCCAAGCAGAUGACAUGGAUGAGCUAGCUCGUAUAGCUGACGAGUAUGGCACUGGGGAACUCCGUCUCACUGUGGAGCAAAACAUUAUUAUCCCCAAUGUUGAGAACACGAAACUCCAAGCAUUGCUUCAAGAACCGCUUCUGAAAGAAAAAUUUUCACCUGAACCUUCCAUUCUCAUGAAAGGACUAGUAGCUUGCACUGGCAACCAGUUUUGCGGCCAAGCCAUCAUCGAGACAAAGCAACGGGCCUUGAAGGUGACUGAGGAGGUGGAAAGGCAUGUGUCAGUGACUCGGCCAGUGAGGAUGCAUUGGACGGGGUGCCCCAAUACCUGCGGGCAGGUGCAAGUGGCAGAUAUAGGUUUCAUGGGGUGUAUGGCAAGGGAUGAGAAUGGAAAGCCUGUUGAAGGGGUUGAUGUCUUCUUGGGAGGAAGAAUAGGAAGUGACUCUCAUUUGGGAGAUAUUUAUAAGAAGAGUGUCCCUUGUAAGGACUUGGUGCCCUUAGUUAUUGACAUCUUGGUAAAUCACUUUGGGGCUGUCCCAAGGGAGAGGGAAGAAGGGGAAGAGUAAAUUGAAAGACUUAAUAAAACGAAGGGUUCAGUGCAGAUUUUUCAUGGGGGUUUUCCUUGGUUGAAGAAAAGUAAAGAACGAUUGAAGGGUGCUGUGAGCAUAAGAUAUCUGACUUUAUCGGAUGUGAGCUUACCCUGUUUCCACUGUUAUUGUAUACCAAAGUAGUACUUGAGCUUGAUCAGGUAAAUAGUUAAUUCAUGUUUGCAUUUAGUAUAUUUAUGUUCAUCACUAAUAAGAUGCAAUCUCUAUAAUAUUCAGUACAAAUCUUAUUCCCAGAUUCAACUGAAGAGUUUAUUACAUGUAGACUGCAUUGUUCGUGCUAAUACACUUAUUUUCAUUAUUCAAGAAGAAAAAAUAUAAAUAUUUACAUGUUGCUUAGUUUGGUGGUGCUUUUUGUUCCAAGUAAUAUCCUGAAAAAUUGUCAGGAUCGGUCACGUUAGUCUAUCAAAUCGUUUUUUGUUGUGUCAUAAAUUUGUGCAGACUGUUAGUGAACAGAUCAUCACUCUCUCUACCCGUUUUAGAGUAUUUAUGGGACAAACUCGGAAACAACUUCUCGCGACAACUCAAUGAUUUGUUUUUUUUUGUUUUUUUUUUUUCACACUAUAAAGCAAAUUAAUAAAAACGAAAGUUAGAGAGACCAAACUUAUCUCCUUGAUACAACGACAACUCAAUGUUGAACAUGGUUCUUUUGUGGUUUUGUAAUUAGGAAUGCAGAUGAAAAUCUUCAACAUGCCUUUUGAAGUCCUUAUUGCCAAAGUUGUUGCUUUUUAGAAAUAGUUUUAGACUUUUGGAAGAGUUUAUGUUGGGUUGAAGGGGACUGGAAAUCCUUAUUGAUAGUAUUUGGGUCACUAUACUGUUGGAAAUUAUGUCGAUCGUAUCCAAUAAAUAUGAAUGAAAAUUUUGAUUACUCAUGACCUUUUCCUCUGUAAGGUUACAUGUGUUUUUCCUAUAGUUGUCUUUAGGAAUUAGUGUCUGUCUUAAGGAGAUAAGGAGAUAAGGAGAUAAGAACGUGAACCGGUGUAUAACUGUUGGUUUACUUGGGUUCUAUAUGAAACAAAGAAAGGACGAGAAAGAUCAAUGAAUCAAAUCAAUGAAGCAAUGAGUCCUCAUUUCUUCUACAAGACUACAAAUCUCCCUCGUGUCAAGAUUGUUAGAAUCCAAAAUUGUAAUGUUUUUAUUUUGAAUCAUCGAUUAUUGUAUUCUAUAAGAUGGACUCACCGAACUAUAAGCCUCAGGGUAGGGGCGAAAUAUGUCUUUAGUCAAAUGCAUUUUGCAUGCCUCAAUGGGAAAACCAAGUCACUUCUUUGGAUUAAUUACAAAACACUACCCGAAUUAUAAUGUUAUUUUUAUUCUCAUACUUCAUUAUCAAAAACUUGCAUUUUCAUACCCGAAGUUCUAUUCCGUUAGUAUUUUGAUACUCUGACCACUAACACCGUUAAAUUUUGAGGGUUUUUUCGUCAUUUCAAUAAAUGUAUCAUUUUUUACAUUUACUUUAACAAAAUAAUGUAUUUUUUUGAGGUUAUCAAAUACAAAUAGAAUAAUUUUUUUUUGCAAAAAUAUUCAAAAAAAACUCCAAAAUUAAAUAUUUAUUUUUGCAACAAUAGUGAUAAAAGUUAGUAGAACUCUUAUAUGUAUAUAUAUUUUUGGAGUUACAUGUUAAGCUAAAAAAAAAAUUAAAAUAAAUUAUAUCGAGAAAAUAUCGAAUAUCGAUGAAAAUUUUAUCAUAUUUUAUAUAAACAUGAUAUAUUUAACCAAAAAUAUUUUGUUAAAGUAAAUGUAAAAAAUGAUAUAUUUAUUGAAAUGACGAAAAUGCCCUCAAAAUUUAACGAUGUUAGUGGUCAGGGUAUCAAAAUGCUAACGAAAUGAAACUUCGAGUACGAAAAUGCAAGUUUUUGAUAGUUAGGAAUCAAAAUGAAAAUAACAUCAUAGUUCAGGUGAUAUUUUGUAAUUAAUCCUUGUUUUUUUAUGAAUUGAAAUUUGUUUAGUCAUUGUGAUUUGAAGUCGAUAUUUGUUCAGUUCAUGUGGUUUUAUUUUAAUCUGAAUGGUCUUUAAAGUCAUGAUUUUUUAUCCAAAUGGUCAUUCCGUCAAUUUUCUCAGUUAAAUUACUGAUAUGGCCGUUAAAGACUGUAAUUUUUAACUACCAUGUCAGUAAUUUCACUGAGAAAAUUGACGGAAUGACAAUUUGGAUGAAAAAUCGUGACUUUAAAGACCAUUCAGAUUAAAAUAAAACCAUAAGGACUGAACAUAUGUCGACUUCAAACCACAAGUACAAUAUUUUACCCUUUUUGUUUAUAGGGUUGUGAAAUUCACACACCUUAAAUUGAAAUCCACACACUCUUUUUCUUUUUUUGGUUAAAACAUUCACAAAAGACAAAGUUUAAGUUACUAAAAGACAACAUUUAAGUUACCAAAAAAGGGUGUGUUCAUUUUUUUUUUUGGUUACAAAAAUGGUAGUCGAGUGAGCUACCAUUUCGGAGUCGGGAGCAAUUUGUAGGUAUGACCUCUCCCCAAAAAAAGGUGUGUAGAUUUUAAUAUAAGAUGUGUUGAUUUCACAUCCCUUUUUAUAAUGCUCUUAUACGACUCAAACACUAUUACACUCAUAAUUUAUAAUUUAUGUUUCUGUUAAUUUAUGAUUGUUUCCCUACAUAUACCGCAUAGAGUAUCUAAGUCUUUGGAGCAUGAACCAGCCACACCCUCUUCCUCUAGCUCUGAUUUUUCCUAGACCCAAUAUGAGAGGGUAAUGGCAAGAUGUAAACCGCGAAUUAAUAAUCAAAGGGCAAUCUGUAACCAAAUUUCAUGUGUUUACUACUAAUACAUGAAUUGAAAUUGGUUUAUGUUCCAUCUAUUUAUCCUGAAUACAAAACGAGGUGAUGGUUUAUGAAUCAAUCAUAUGUAAUCGAUAUUUUUUCUCUCAUUAUACUUGUUGGUCAGCUGUGGUCUAGUUGGUUAGCUAGUCUAACUGACAUCGUUGAGGUCCAAACCAGACUAACAUAUAUAAAUGUGAGGUAGGUUAAGAAAUAAUAUUUUUACAGACAAAAAAUAACUAAACAUAUCAUUCUAGAUUUCUAGUGAAGAAAAGAAGAAAAUAUAGUAAAGAAAAGAAGAAAAUAGACAUGCCACAAUAAUUUCCCAUUUCUUUAUGGAAAAAUGGUCCAAACAGUGUCUCACAUUUUGAAGAAGCAAAGCUUUGGUAUCUCACAUUUAGAAAACUUCAAAACAGUAUCUCACGUUCUUACUUCGACUAAAGUUUGGUAUCUAGAACCGUUAGCUCCGCUAAAAAAAUUGACGAGACAUUUCUAUUCAUAAAAUGACCAAUAUACCCUUGAGUUUUUAUUUAUGUUAUUCUUUUUAUAUAAAAAGAGAAAUUCGUCAUAACGGUACCUCAUCUUUUCUUCCUUAUAAACUUUGGUACUUCAAGUUUUGAUAACAUCAGAACGGUACCUCAAGUUUUCUCCCCAACCUAAUUUUAGUACUUUUAACCGUUAGUUCCGUUACAGGGGUUGCUAGGUGGCAAUUUUUAAAGGCUAUUUUCGUGUCUUCAUGUCUUCAUUCAUUUUUUACUUUAGAAACAAAAACAAAGAUUCAUGAGUUAUUGUUUUCAUGAGUUUGCAAUUGAUGAAAUUCAUAAACAAAAAUAAAGAUUCCUGAGUUUUUAUUUUUUUCAUUUCGUAAUUUGCUUGUCAUAAUAUCAUAAGCAUUCAAUAGUUAAUAUAUUUGUACAAACUCACUUAAUAAAAGAUUCAAACAUCUUUCUCUUCAUCUCUAGUCUAGAAAAAAAAUAUCACUUUUUCAAGAUCCAGCUCUUUUCGUGAAGGCCGUGAAGCUCCUAAUUUCCUAAAGAUAGAGGAAAGAAAAAGAUAACAAUUUUCCCACUACAAAAAAAAUAAUUUUUUAUUAGGAUUAAUUUCAGUUUACUCCCCUCAAAGGUUUGGGGUUGACAUCGUUUUACCCUCCAUACUUUUAAUUUUGAAAAUUUACCCCCUAAAGUUUCUGAUUUUCAUAAAUCAGGCUCAAUUGCUAAAAUUCCGUUCAAUUUGGAGGUUAAAUGCUAGUAUAAAAUCUUAGAAAAAGGGUCCUAAAAGGCGAUUUAUGUUAUCAUAUGACUAUUUUAACGCUUUUAGUGAGUGAUGAAGUCAAAAUUAACGCCUGAAUUAGAUGAAAUUUCAGUAAUUAGGCUUGAUAUAUGAAAAUUGGAAACUUUAGGUGGUACAUUUUCAAAAUUAAAAGUAUGGGGGGUGAAAUGAUGUCAACCCUAAACCUCAGGGGGGUAAACUGAAAUUAAUCAUUUUUAUUAUUACAUAGAUGAAAUAUAUAUUUAGAGAAAAAAUAAUGAAUUGAAAUAUGAAAAGACAAAAAAUACCCAUGAAAAAUGGUCAGCUAACGAUUACCCUAUCGGAGGUUACGGCUAAAAAUACUAAAAUUGGGUCGGGAUGAAAACUGUUGAGGUACCGUUCUAAUGUUUUGAAAAAUUGAAGUACCAAAGUUUAUAAGCAAGAAAAGAUGAGGUAUUGUUAUGACAAAUUUUUCUUUAUAUUAUUUCUAUUAUAUAUAAUGAAUAACAAAAAUAAAACUUAAGGGUAAAUUAGUUAUUUUAUGAAUAACAAUAGUUGUCAUCAGUUUUUUAACGGAGCUAACGGUUCUAGAUACAAAACUUCGAUCGAGAAAGAUACUAUUUUAAAGUCUUCUAAAGAUGAGAUGCCAAAUCUUCGUUUCUUUAAAAUAUGAAACACUGUUUAAAAAAUUUUUCCUUUCUUUAUUUUCUUAUAUAAAUCCGACCUAUGCUGUUGCCCUCGUCAUUUCACUACCUCCGCCGAUAACACUGAAAAAUGAGCAGCCGGCUCAAAACCCUAAAGAGCACAGACGAUGAUCCGAAGUUCCGAACCACCAACCCCCCGCCGCCACAAUUCCUUACUUACCAGACAACAUCAUCGAGAAAAUCCUCUCCUUCCUUCCGAUCAAUCUGGCUGCCCAGGCCAACACCGUCUCCAAGCAGCGGGCGAAGCUAUGGCCUUCCUUCAUUGUAAUCGAUCUCGACGAGGGCUGCUACAGCGAACAUGAACGUUUCCUCGACAUGUUGUACUUUUCUCUCAGACGAUGCAAGGAUCAGAGGGUCUUGGACAAGUUGAGGAUUCGAGCCAGCCUUGAACUCGGCUUCCAAGAGGUAAUUGAAUGGCUUGAUUUUGCAAUGGAAAGGUGUGUCAAAGAGUUAGAUAUUCAAGAUUUGGAUCAGAAUAGAAUCAAAAACGCUACGAAAAACUUUUUGAUUCCCCAUGACGUUUUGACUUUGGAAUCUUUGACCACUCUGAAUUUGGAGAAUGUUAGACUUUAUGCAAGUUCCGGAAUUGAUGGUACUGUGAGCCUUCCCUCAUUGAAAAACAUGUCCCUCAAAGACGUGACAUUUUUGGUGGAUGUGGAGGACACAGCCAUCAAGGCCUUACCCAGCUUAGUUUCGGGAUGACCUUGCCUUGAGCAUUUGUCAAUCGAUGGAUGUAAGCUCGGCUACUCUGCCUUUCGGCUUGAAAUUCAAGUGACAGUCUCAAAUCCUUAGAAAUUACGCAUUGUCCUUCUAGGACUGUAGAUAUUACCGCCAAGAAUCUGGAGUCUUUUACAUUCUAUUCGGAUUGCACUUGUGCUUACCAUAAGUUUAUGUAUUUGUGGGAAUGUGAUAGCUUGAAACAUGUGGACAUCUCUUGCAAGGGUUUGAGACAGCUUCUAUUGCACAAUUGCCUAGAAACUAUGGAGAACUCUUUAAACACUCCCAGUCUGGAGAUUUUUGAGUUUAGUGGUUAUCUGAAGGCCCAGAUCCAUUUUGUGGAGGCUCCAUCAAAUUUAAUAAACUCUAUAAUCAGAGUAUGGGAGACCAUAUGGCCCAUUGAAUAUUAUUCUGCUAUGAGAGAUUUUCUUGAAAGUUUCGAUUACUCCAGAAAAGUGAAGAUACAUAUUGAAGAGGCUGAGGUAAUAUAUAUUUAAUCUCUUUUUCAUUUUGUUUGUUGCUGCUUAUAGUUUGUAGCCUCAUAUUUCUAACAUUGCUCAUAGUUUCAAAAGCUAGAUAAAAAAGAAAGUAAUUAACUUUUAAAUUUUAACCCAGUUGCCUGAAUUCCUUAGCCUUUGAAACUUUAUGAAUCUGGACUCGCUUACUCAAAGUAAAGGUAUGUUUGGUUAGUUCUUCAGCCAGUUAUGGUAGUAAAGAAAUUGGAGCUUAGGAGGGAACUUGAUAUAGAAAAGAUGGGCUGCUAUAGGACUCAGAUUGGUUGUAUGUUGCUUUUUGUUGGUUAAUGUGAGCAUUUGAAUUUUAUUAUCUUAUACAAUAAGUUGGAAGAGUGCAUAACACAAUUAGGCAUAUAUUGUGAUUUUCAUCUUUAAUAGUUUGUUGUUGUCAAUGGCUUGUAGGGUGUCAUAAUACCAGAACAUUGCAGAAUGGAAUGGUCUCCCCCAUUACCUAGUAUUAGGCAGCUGCAGCUGUACUUUUCGGCUCCAUUGGGGGACACAGAAUAUUGUUUGAGACCCUCAUUGCUUUGGAUGGCACCAUCUGCAGAGGUUCUACCUUUUCUACAUAAUGAUGACGACAGUGAUGAUUAUGAAGAUAUGGUCGACCGCAAUAACAAUGAUCACAAUGAUUAUGAGGACGAUGAUGACUAAUAUAAUAAAGCAAAUUUUUUUGGCGGAUAAUGGGACUCUGAGAGAGUAGUAUGAUGUACUGCUUCAGUUGGAAUCCCUCGUUUGCAUGUCUUAAGCUUUUAGAGAUUAAUUUUGGGCCGCCUUGUCAUUUUGAAUUUGCCAUUAGUCUCAUUUUUUAUUUUUUUCUGAGGUCUGAAAGUUCAAUUUCAGUCUUUAACAUCAAGAAUUUGAAUCCGGCUCAUUCCCUGUUUUUGAAUCUGUUUUGGUACGUUAGUCACUAUUCUUUGUCCUCUCUUGUCUGGUGGUAUUCUCUGUUUUUUUCCUUUUUCUUUAUUUCAUUAUGUCCUUGUUGAGAGUGACGUGGAGAGUUAAGAUCAAUCUAUUAUGUCUUUGUUGGGAGUGAUGUGGAGAGUUAAGAUCGUUGUGGUUUUGAUUGAUUUUUGGAGGUGUUGAGUUGAUUUUUAUUAUUAUUAUUAUUAUUAUUUUUUUUUUAUUAUUAUUAUUUUUAUUAUUAUUAUUAUUUUAUUUAUUUAUUUAUUAUUUUUUUUUUGUCAAAAGUGAAACAUACCAUCUAUUUUCUUGGUAUCUAUUUAGAGGAGGUCAAAUCUUUACUAUUAGAAAGCCAGUGUCUUGGUAGAAAAUUUUGAGAAAAAUAAAAAUUAUAGUUAAUAUGGGCUUUGACUGUAAAACACCGUUUGACAAAAAAAAAGGAGAAAGAAAUAGGAUUAGCACAUUCAUCUCCUUUUAAGUGGGGUAGAUCAAGUAAAACUUUUUUCAUUUUCUAAUCUAAGUGCAGAUGCACGGAUAAAAGGCUAGUAUAAAUAAAGCGUUGAAAUAUUGGUGAGUUGUUGCCUGGUUCGUUAGGUAAUCUAGCUAAUAAUGUGAAGCUUAUGGUUCAAAUCUCGAUGAUAUGGUAGGUUACACGAUUUUAAUAAAAUAAAAAAAAAUUGUGAAAUGACCCAGAGCGGCUUUAGUGCACCACGGUGCACUUGAACUAUUCACGUAUGUUAACGGACAUUAGUGAGACGGAGAAAUUCCAUUGGUUAGUCAGAUGAAGACCAAUAAAAACGAAACUGUAAUAAAAGUGUAAAACCAAAAAGAGUACAACCACCCUUCUGCACCACGUCCACUGCUGUAAACACCCAUUUCCGACUGGGACCUCGACUCCCGCGACUUCCUUCUCCACCACAACACCGUCGACCUCGAUCAUCUCAAUAAGAUCUUCGUCGCCGUCGAGUUCUCUAGGCGGGCCUAACCUGAUUCCUUGAAAGGAGGGGUCCACCACAACGUGCAAAAACUAUAAAAUUUCCCUUUAGGAAAAAGGGGAAGGGGGGGUCCCCAACCCAACCAAACCGGUGACCAAAAAAAACCUAAAUAAAAAAAAAAGGAAAAAAAAAAAAAAGGAAAAAAAAAAGGAAAAAAAAAAAAAAGAACAUAAAUCUAAUCAACCAAACUUAUGCAGUCACAUCUAAGCUCUAUGCGCCUCAACCCAAAGGUCGCCGCUGACACCAAAACAGAAGUAAAAGAAAACAAAGAAAGAGAAACAAAGUAGGAACCCAGAUGAUACAUGUCAAGGAAGCUAAAGGGGCGAAGUAGGGAAGAAUCAACCAAGUAGGCUUGACGGUGACAAAGAGAGGACGAGGAGAAAACUUUUCUUGUGGUCUUGUGGAGUUCGGUUAGUUAGUGCUUGUCAGAAUACAUGAAUUUAGUAUGAAAUUUUUUCUUUGAACGGGUGUAUGCAACUCAACCUAGUUGGGAGGCUCAACCUUAUGUCUCUGUUACAAAAAUAUAAAAAGCUUAUAUAUUAAGUAUGGAUCUGGGCUACCCAAAUGUCAACAUUGGGCCCUCCGGUCCCCUCGACCCAAACUAUCGCUAAAAUGUGGGGUGGCCCGAACGUCUUUCCACUACUAUAUGACCCGAGUCACCGGACCUCUACCAAUACUGCCGCCAUUUCACAAACCCUCCCACACUGAAAAAUGUGGAGGAGGGAAUGGUACAAAUUCCUAAGGAGCACAAAAGAGGAUGAUAAUGAAACCGCCGCUCCACAACAAUCCCUUACUUACCUGACAACGUCAUCGAAAAAAUCCUCUCCUUCCUUCCGGUCAAAGACGCCUUUGAGGCAACCGCCGUUUCGCAGCAGUGGAGAUCCCUUUGGCCUUCCUUCCCUGUUAUCGAUUUCGACGAGGAAUGCUAUAGCGAACCUCGACGUUUCCUCAGUUUCCUGCGCCACUCUCUCAGACGAUGUUGGGAUCAGAGGGACUUGGACAAGUUGAGGAUUCGAGCCAACCUUGGAUACUGCUAUGUUCCGGUAAAUGAAUGGGUUGAAUUCGCAAUUGAAAGGUGUGUCAAAGAGUUUGUUCUUCAUGAUUUGGAUGAGGGUAACAAAUUUUAUAAAAACUUCCUGAUUAACCAUGAGGUUUUGACUUUGAAAUCUUUAACUAGUUUGGUGAUAGGCGCAAAAGCACCUACAAAGAUACCCUAUUAUCAAAUCAAUUAUAUCAAUGUAGUAAACGGCAAAUAGGGGUCAUUACCCGCAGAGGAUUGGUGAUGCUAAGACUUAAACACAUAAGAACACAAACAGACGCGUAAACCAGAAAUNNNNNNNNNNNNNNNNNNNNNNNNNNNNNNNNNNNNNNNNNNNNNNNNNNNNNNNNNNNNNNNNNNNNNNNNNNNNNNNNNNNNNNNNNNNNNNNNNNNNNNNNNNNNNNNNNNNNNNNNNNNNNNNNNNNNNNNNNNNNNNNNNNNNNNNNNNNNNNNNNNNNNNNNNNNNNNNNNNNNNNNNNNNNNNNNNNNNNNNNNNNNNNNNNNNNNNNNNNNNNNNNNNNNNNNNNNNNNNNNNNNNNNNNNNNNNNNNNNNNNNNNNNNNNNNNNNNNNNNNNNNNNNNNNNNNNNNNNNNNNNNNNNNNNNNNNNNNNNNNNNNNNNNNNNNNNNNNNNNNNNNNNNNNNNNNNNNNNNNNNNNNNNNNNNNNNNNNNNNNNNNNNNNNNNNNNNNNNNNNNNNNNNNNNNNNNNNNNNNNNNNNNNNNNNNNNNNNNNNNNNNNNNNNNNNNNNNNNNNNNNNNNNNNNNNNNNNNNNNNNNNNNNNNNNNNNNNNNNNNNNNNNNNNNNNNNNNNNNNNNNNNNNNNNNNNNNNNNNNNNNNNNNNNNNNNNNNNNNNNNNNNNNNNNNNNNNNNNNNNNNNNNNNNNNNNNNNNNNNNNNNNNNNNNNNNNNNNNNNNNNNNNNNNNNNNNNNNNNNNNNNNNNNNNNNNNNNNNNNNNNNNNNNNNNNNNNNNNNNNNNNNNNNNNNNNNNNNNNNNNNNNNNNNNNNNNNNNNNNNNNNNNNNNNNNNNNNNNNNNNNNNNNNNNNNNNNNNNNNNNNNNNNNNNNNNNNNNNNNNNNNNNNNNNNNNNNNNNNNNNNNNNNNNNNNNNNNNNNNNNNNNNNNNNNNNNNNNNNNNNNNNNNNNNNNNNNNNNNNNNNNNNNNNNNNNNNNNNNNNNNNNNNNNNNNNNNNNNNNNNNNNNNNNNNNNNNNNNNNNNNNNNNNNNNNNNNNNNNNNNNNNNNNNNNNNNNNNNNNNNNNNNNNNNNNNNNNNNNNNNNNNNNNNNNNNNNNNNNNNNNNNNNNNNNNNNNNNNNNNNNNNNNNNNNNNNNNNNNNNNNNNNNNNNNNNNNNNNNNNNNNNNNNNNNNNNNNNNNNNNNNNNNNNNNNNNNNNNNNNNNNNNNNNNNNNNNNNNNNNNNNNNNNNNNNNNNNNNNNNNNNNNNNNNNNNNNNNNNNNNNNNNNNNNNNNNNNNNNNNNNNNNNNNNNNNNNNNNNNNNNNNNNNNNNNNNNNNNNNNNNNNNNNNNNNNNNNNNNNNNNNNNNNNNNNNNNNNNNNNNNNNNNNNNNNNNNNNNNNNNNNNNNNNNNNNNNNNNNNNNNNNNNNNNNNNNNNNNNNNNNNNNNNNNNNNNNNNNNNNNNNNNNNNNNNNNNNNNNNNNNNNNNNNNNNNNNNNNNNNNNNNNNNNNNNNNNNNNNNNNNNNNNNNNNNNNNNNNNNNNNNNNNNNNNNNNNNNNNNNNNNNNNNNNNNNNNNNNNNNNNNNNNNNNNNNNNNNNNNNNNNNNNNNNNNNNNNNNNNNNNNNNNNNNNNNNNNNNNNNNNNNNNNNNNNNNNNNNNNNNNNNNNNNNNNNNNNNNNNNNNNNNNNNNNNNNNNNNNNNNNNNNNNNNNNNNNNNNNNNNNNNNNNNNNNNNNNNNNNNNNNNNNNNNNNNNNNNNNNNNNNNNNNNNNNNNNNNNNNNNNNNNNNNNNNNNNNNNNNNNNNNNNNNNNNNNNNNNNNNNNNNNNNNNNNNNNNNNNNNNNNNNNNNNNNNNNNNNNNNNNNNNNNNNNNNNNNNNNNNNNNNNNNNNNNNNNNNNNNNNNNNNNNNNNNNNNNNNNNNNNNNNNNNNNNNNNNNNNNNNNNNNNNNNNNNNNNNNNNNNNNNNNNNNNNNNNNNNNNNNNNNNNNNNNNNNNNNNNNNNNNNNNNNNNNNNNNNNNNNNNNNNNNNNNNNNNNNNNNNNNNNNNNNNNNNNNNNNNNNNNNNNNNNNNNNNNNNNNNNNNNNNNNNNNNNNNNNNNNNNNNNNNNNNNNNNNNNNNNNNNNNNNNNNNNNNNNNNNNNNNNNNNNNNNNNNNNNNNNNNNNNNNNNNNNNNNNNNNNNNNNNNNNNNNNNNNNNNNNNNNNNNNNNNNNNNNNNNNNNNNNNNNNNNNNNNNNNNNNNNNNNNNNNNNNNNNNNNNNNNNNNNNNNNNNNNNNNNNNNNNNNNNNNNNNNNNNNNNNNNNNNNNNNNNNNNNNNNNNNNNNNNNNNNNNNNNNNNNNNNNNNNNNNNNNNNNNNNNNNNNNNNNNNNNNNNNNNNNNNNNNNNNNNNNNNNNNNNNNNNNNNNNNNNNNNNNNNNNNNNNNNNNNNNNNNNNNNNNNNNNNNNNNNNNNNNNNNNNNNNNNNNNNNNNNNNNNNNNNNNNNNNNNNNNNNNNNNNNNNNNNNNNNNNNNNNNNNNNNNNNNNNNNNNNNNNNNNNNNNNNNNNNNNNNNNNNNNNNNNNNNNNNNNNNNNNNNNNNNNNNNNNNNNNNNNNNNNNNNNNNNNNNNNNNNNNNNNNNNNNNNNNNNNNNNNNNNNNNNNNNNNNNNNNNNNNNNNNNNNNNNNNNNNNNNNNNNNNNNNNNNNNNNNNNNNNNNNNNNNNNNNNNNNNNNNNNNNNNNNNNNNNNNNNNNNNNNNNNNNNNNNNNNNNNNNNNNNNNNNNNNNNNNNNNNNNNNNNNNNNNNNNNNNNNNNNNNNNNNNNNNNNNNNNNNNNNNNNNNNNNNNNNNNNNNNNNNNNNNNNNNNNNNNNNNNNNNNNNNNNNNNNNNNNNNNNNNNNNNNNNNNNNNNNNNNNNNNNNNNNNNNNNNNNNNNNNNNNNNNNNNNNNNNNNNNNNNNNNNNNNNNNNNNNNNNNNNNNNNNNNNNNNNNNNNNNNNNNNNNNNNNNNNNNNNNNNNNNNNNNNNNNNNNNNNNNNNNNNNNNNNNNNNNNNNNNNNNNNNNNNNNNNNNNNNNNNNNNNNNNNNNNNNNNNNNNNNNNNNNNNNNNNNNNNNNNNNNNNNNNNNNNNNNNNNNNNNNNNNNNNNNNNNNNNNNNNNNNNNNNNNNNNNNNNNNNNNNNNNNNNNNNNNNNNNNNNNNNNNNNNNNNNNNNNNNNNNNNNNNNNNNNNNNNNNNNNNNNNNNNNNNNNNNNNNNNNNNNNNNNNNNNNNNNNNNNNNNNNNNNNNNNNNNNNNNNNNNNNNNNNNNNNNNNNNNNNNNNNNNNNNNNNNNNNNNNNNNNNNNNNNNNNNNNNNNNNNNNNNNNNNNNNNNNNNNNNNNNNNNNNNNNNNNNNNNNNNNNNNNNNNNNNNNNNNNNNNNNNNNNNNNNNNNNNNNNNNNNNNNNNNNNNNNNNNNNNNNNNNNNNNNNNNNNNNNNNNNNNNNNNNNNNNNNNNNNNNNNNNNNNNNNNNNNNNNNNNNNNNNNNNNNNNNNNNNNNNNNNNNNNNNNNNNNNNNNNNNNNNNNNNNNNNNNNNNNNNNNNNNNNNNNNNNNNNNNNNNNNNNNNNNNNNNNNNNNNNNNNNNNNNNNNNNNNNNNNNNNNNNNNNNNNNNNNNNNNNNNNNNNNNNNNNNNNNNNNNNNNNNNNNNNNNNNNNNNNNNNNNNNNNNNNNNNNNNNNNNNNNNNNNNNNNNNNNNNNNNNNNNNNNNNNNNNNNNNNNNNNNNNNNNNNNNNNNNNNNNNNNNNNNNNNNNNNNNNNNNNNNNNNNNNNNNNNNNNNNNNNNNNNNNNNNNNNNNNNNNNNNNNNNNNNNNNNNNNNNNNNNNNNNNNNNNNNNNNNNNNNNNNNNNNNNNNNNNNNNNNNNNNNNNNNNNNNNNNNNNNNNNNNNNNNNNNNNNNNNNNNNNNNNNNNNNNNNNNNNNNNNNNNNNNNNNNNNNNNNNNNNNNNNNNNNNNNNNNNNNNNNNNNNNNNNNNNNNNNNNNNNNNNNNNNNNNNNNNNNNNNNNNNNNNNNNNNNNNNNNNNNNNNNNNNNNNNNNNNNNNNNNNNNNNNNNNNNNNNNNNNNNNNNNNNNNNNNNNNNNNNNNNNNNNNNNNNNNNNNNNNNNNNNNNNNNNNNNNNNNNNNNNNNNNNNNNNNNNNNNNNNNNNNNNNNNNNNNNNNNNNNNNNNNNNNNNNNNNNNNNNNNNNNNNNNNNNNNNNNNNNNNNNNNNNNNNNNNNNNNNNNNNNNNNNNNNNNNNNNNNNNNNNNNNNNNNNNNNNNNNNNNNNNNNNNNNNNNNNNNNNNNNNNNNNNNNNNNNNNNNNNNNNNNNNNNNNNNNNNNNNNNNNNNNNNNNNNNNNNNNNNNNNNNNNNNNNNNNNNNNNNNNNNNNNNNNNNNNNNNNNNNNNNNNNNNNNNNNNNNNNNNNNNNNNNNNNNNNNNNNNNNNNNNNNNNNNNNNNNNNNNNNNNNNNNNNNNNNNNNNNNNNNNNNNNNNNNNNNNNNNNNNNNNNNNNNNNNNNNNNNNNNNNNNNNNNNNNNNNNNNNNNNNNNNNNNNNNNNNNNNNNNNNNNNNNNNNNNNNNNNNNNNNNNNNNNNNNNNNNNNNNNNNNNNNNNNNNNNNNNNNNNNNNNNNNNNNNNNNNNNNNNNNNNNNNNNNNNNNNNNNNNNNNNNNNNNNNNNNNNNNNNNNNNNNNNNNNNNNNNNNNNNNNNNNNNNNNNNNNNNNNNNNNNNNNNNNNNNNNNNNNNNNNNNNNNNNNNNNNNNNNNNNNNNNNNNNNNNNNNNNNNNNNNNNNNNNNNNNNNNNNNNNNNNNNNNNNNNNNNNNNNNNNNNNNNNNNNNNNNNNNNNNNNNNNNNNNNNNNNNNNNNNNNNNNNNNNNNNNNNNNNNNNNNNNNNNNNNNNNNNNNNNNNNNNNNNNNNNNNNNNNNNNNNNNNNNNNNNNNNNNNNNNNNNNNNNNNNNNNNNNNNNNNNNNNNNNNNNNNNNNNNNNNNNNNNNNNNNNNNNNNNNNNNNNNNNNNNNNNNNNNNNNNNNNNNNNNNNNNNNNNNNNNNNNNNNNNNNNNNNNNNNNNNNNNNNNNNNNNNNNNNNNNNNNNNNNNNNNNNNNNNNNNNNNNNNNNNNNNNNNNNNNNNNNNNNNNNNNNNNNNNNNNNNNNNNNNNNNNNNNNNNNNNNNNNNNNNNNNNNNNNNNNNNNNNNNNNNNNNNNNNNNNNNNNNNNNNNNNNNNNNNNNNNNNNNNNNNNNNNNNNNNNNNNNNNNNNNNNNNNNNNNNNNNNNNNNNNNNNNNNNNNNNNNNNNNNNNNNNNNNNNNNNNNNNNNNNNNNNNNNNNNNNNNNNNNNNNNNNNNNNNNNNNNNNNNNNNNNNNNNNNNNNNNNNNNNNNNNNNNNNNNNNNNNNNNNNNNNNNNNNNNNNNNNNNNNNNNNNNNNNNNNNNNNNNNNNNNNNNNNNNNNNNNNNNNNNNNNNNNNNNNNNNNNNNNNNNNNNNNNNNNNNNNNNNNNNNNNNNNNNNNNNNNNNNNNNNNNNNNNNNNNNNNNNNNNNNNNNNNNNNNNNNNNNNNNNNNNNNNNNNNNNNNNNNNNNNNNNNNNNNNNNNNNNNNNNNNNNNNNNNNNNNNNNNNNNNNNNNNNNNNNNNNNNNNNNNNNNNNNNNNNNNNNNNNNNNNNNNNNNNNNNNNNNNNNNNNNNNNNNNNNNNNNNNNNNNNNNNNNNNNNNNNNNNNNNNNNNNNNNNNNNNNNNNNNNNNNNNNNNNNNNNNNNNNNNNNNNNNNNNNNNNNNNNNNNNNNNNNNNNNNNNNNNNNNNNNNNNNNNNNNNNNNNNNNNNNNNNNNNNNNNNNNNNNNNNNNNNNNNNNNNNNNNNNNNNNNNNNNNNNNNNNNNNNNNNNNNNNNNNNNNNNNNNNNNNNNNNNNNNNNNNNNNNNNNNNNNNNNNNNNNNNNNNNNNNNNNNNNNNNNNNNNNNNNNNNNNNNNNNNNNNNNNNNNNNNNNNNNNNNNNNNNNNNNNNNNNNNNNNNNNNNNNNNNNNNNNNNNNNNNNNNNNNNNNNNNNNNNNNNNNNNNNNNNNNNNNNNNNNNNNNNNNNNNNNNNNNNNNNNNNNNNNNNNNNNNNNNNNNNNNNNNNNNNNNNNNNNNNNNNNNNNNNNNNNNNNNNNNNNNNNNNNNNNNNNNNNNNNNNNNNNNNNNNNNNNNNNNNNNNNNNNNNNNNNNNNNNNNNNNNNNNNNNNNNNNNNNNNNNNNNNNNNNNNNNNNNNNNNNNNNNNNNNNNNNNNNNNNNNNNNNNNNNNNNNNNNNNNNNNNNNNNNNNNNNNNNNNNNNNNNNNNNNNNNNNNNNNNNNNNNNNNNNNNNNNNNNNNNNNNNNNNNNNNNNNNNNNNNNNNNNNNNNNNNNNNNNNNNNNNNNNNNNNNNNNNNNNNNNNNNNNNNNNNNNNNNNNNNNNNNNNNNNNNNNNNNNNNNNNNNNNNNNNNNNNNNNNNNNNNNNNNNNNNNNNNNNNNNNNNNNNNNNNNNNNNNNNNNNNNNNNNNNNNNNNNNNNNNNNNNNNNNNNNNNNNNNNNNNNNNNNNNNNNNNNNNNNNNNNNNNNNNNNNNNNNNNNNNNNNNNNNNNNNNNNNNNNNNNNNNNNNNNNNNNNNNNNNNNNNNNNNNNNNNNNNNNNNNNNNNNNNNNNNNNNNNNNNNNNNNNNNNNNNNNNNNNNNNNNNNNNNNNNNNNNNNNNNNNNNNNNNNNNNNNNNNNNNNNNNNNNNNNNNNNNNNNNNNNNNNNNNNNNNNNNNNNNNNNNNNNNNNNNNNNNNNNNNNNNNNNNNNNNNNNNNNNNNNNNNNNNNNNNNNNNNNNNNNNNNNNNNNNNNNNNNNNNNNNNNNNNNNNNNNNNNNNNNNNNNNNNNNNNNNNNNNNNNNNNNNNNNNNNNNNNNNNNNNNNNNNNNNNNNNNNNNNNNNNNNNNNNNNNNNNNNNNNNNNNNNNNNNNNNNNNNNNNNNNNNNNNNNNNNNNNNNNNNNNNNNNNNNNNNNNNNNNNNNNNNNNNNNNNNNNNNNNNNNNNNNNNNNNNNNNNNNNNNNNNNNNNNNNNNNNNNNNNNNNNNNNNNNNNNNNNNNNNNNNNNNNNNNNNNNNNNNNNNNNNNNNNNNNNNNNNNNNNNNNNNNNNNNNNNNNNNNNNNNNNNNNNNNNNNNNNNNNNNNNNNNNNNNNNNNNNNNNNNNNNNNNNNNNNNNNNNNNNNNNNNNNNNNNNNNNNNNNNNNNNNNNNNNNNNNNNNNNNNNNNNNNNNNNNNNNNNNNNNNNNNNNNNNNNNNNNNNNNNNNNNNNNNNNNNNNNNNNNNNNNNNNNNNNNNNNNNNNNNNNNNNNNNNNNNNNNNNNNNNNNNNNNNNNNNNNNNNNNNNNNNNNNNNNNNNNNNNNNNNNNNNNNNNNNNNNNNNNNNNNNNNNNNNNNNNNNNNNNNNNNNNNNNNNNNNNNNNNNNNNNNNNNNNNNNNNNNNNNNNNNNNNNNNNNNNNNNNNNNNNNNNNNNNNNNNNNNNNNNNNNNNNNNNNNNNNNNNNNNNNNNNNNNNNNNNNNNNNNNNNNNNNNNNNNNNNNNNNNNNNNNNNNNNNNNNNNNNNNNNNNNNNNNNNNNNNNNNNNNNNNNNNNNNNNNNNNNNNNNNNNNNNNNNNNNNNNNNNNNNNNNNNNNNNNNNNNNNNNNNNNNNNNNNNNNNNNNNNNNNNNNNNNNNNNNNNNNNNNNNNNNNNNNNNNNNNNNNNNNNNNNNNNNNNNNNNNNNNNNNNNNNNNNNNNNNNNNNNNNNNNNNNNNNNNNNNNNNNNNNNNNNNNNNNNNNNNNNNNNNNNNNNNNNNNNNNNNNNNNNNNNNNNNNNNNNNNNNNNNNNNNNNNNNNNNNNNNNNNNNNNNNNNNNNNNNNNNNNNNNNNNNNNNNNNNNNNNNNNNNNNNNNNNNNNNNNNNNNNNNNNNNNNNNNNNNNNNNNNNNNNNNNNNNNNNNNNNNNNNNNNNNNNNNNNNNNNNNNNNNNNNNNNNNNNNNNNNNNNNNNNNNNNNNNNNNNNNNNNNNNNNNNNNNNNNNNNNNNNNNNNNNNNNNNNNNNNNNNNNNNNNNNNNNNNNNNNNNNNNNNNNNNNNNNNNNNNNNNNNNNNNNNNNNNNNNNNNNNNNNNNNNNNNNNNNNNNNNNNNNNNNNNNNNNNNNNNNNNNNNNNNNNNNNNNNNNNNNNNNNNNNNNNNNNNNNNNNNNNNNNNNNNNNNNNNNNNNNNNNNNNNNNNNNNNNNNNNNNNNNNNNNNNNNNNNNNNNNNNNNNNNNNNNNNNNNNNNNNNNNNNNNNNNNNNNNNNNNNNNNNNNNNNNNNNNNNNNNNNNNNNNNNNNNNNNNNNNNNNNNNNNNNNNNNNNNNNNNNNNNNNNNNNNNNNNNNNNNNNNNNNNNNNNNNNNNNNNNNNNNNNNNNNNNNNNNNNNNNNNNNNNNNNNNNNNNNNNNNNNNNNNNNNNNNNNNNNNNNNNNNNNNNNNNNNNNNNNNNNNNNNNNNNNNNNNNNNNNNNNNNNNNNNNNNNNNNNNNNNNNNNNNNNNNNNNNNNNNNNNNNNNNNNNNNNNNNNNNNNNNNNNNNNNNNNNNNNNNNNNNNNNNNNNNNNNNNNNNNNNNNNNNNNNNNNNNNNNNNNNNNNNNNNNNNNNNNNNNNNNNNNNNNNNNNNNNNNNNNNNNNNNNNNNNNNNNNNNNNNNNNNNNNNNNNNNNNNNNNNNNNNNNNNNNNNNNNNNNNNNNNNNNNNNNNNNNNNNNNNNNNNNNNNNNNNNNNNNNNNNNNNNNNNNNNNNNNNNNNNNNNNNNNNNNNNNNNNNNNNNNNNNNNNNNNNNNNNNNNNNNNNNNNNNNNNNNNNNNNNNNNNNNNNNNNNNNNNNNNNNNNNNNNNNNNNNNNNNNNNNNNNNNNNNNNNNNNNNNNNNNNNNNNNNNNNNNNNNNNNNNNNNNNNNNNNNNNNNNNNNNNNNNNNNNNNNNNNNNNNNNNNNNNNNNNNNNNNNNNNNNNNNNNNNNNNNNNNNNNNNNNNNNNNNNNNNNNNNNNNNNNNNNNNNUCUUUCUUCUCUUUCUCCCUCUUUGGUUUGGCUGCUCCCUUUCUUUUUGUCUCCCUCCUUCGUCCUUUCUCCCCUCCUUUUUCACGUAGAAAUAGGUUAGUUAACCUAUAUGUCUUCCAUCACCAACCCAACUAGGAUUAGGGAUCCUAAUUAAGCCCAAUUAUCUCCUUUUCUUUGUUUGACUUCAAAACACCUAAAAACAAAUAAAGUUAAUUAAAAAUAGGAAAACAUCACAAAAUAACUAAGUAAUAAGAAUAAUUAGCAUGAUAAAAGUCGCACAAAUAUGCGACUAUCAUUUGGAUUUGGAGAAUGUGAGAGAUUGUGCAAGUUCUGGAAGUAUUCAUGGUCCUGUGAGCCUUCCCUCUUUAAAAACCAUGUCCCUCAAGGACGUAACAUUUUUAGAUGAUGAGCAGGACACAGCCAUCUGUGCCUUCCCCAGCUUAGUUUCGGGGAGUCCUUGCAUUGAGCAUUUGUCAGUCGAUGGAUGUAAGCUCGGCUACUCUAUCUUGCAUAAUCCUUGGAAAUUAUGCAUUGUCAUUCUAUGAGAGUCACAGUUAGUGCCAUGAAUCUGGAGUCGUUUACAUUCUAUUCGGAUUGUACCUGUUCUUAUCAUAAUACUAUGUACUUGUUGGAAUGUGAUAGCUUGAAACAUGUGCACAUCUUUUGCAAGGGUUUGAAAAGGCUUCUGUCGCAUAAUUGCCUACAAAGUAUGGAGAACUCGUUUUAUACUCCAAAUCUAGAGUCUUUUGAGUUUGGUGGAUAUCUGAAGGCCAAGAUCCAUUUUACAGAAGCUCCAGCGAAUUUAGUAAACUCUACAAUCAGAGUUUCGGAGAACUUAUGGCCCAUUGAAUAUUAUUCUGCUAUGAGAGAUUUUCUUGGAAGUUUCGACUGCUCUAAAAAAGUGAAGAUACAUAUUGAAGAGCCUGAGGUAAUAUAUAAUUAUAUAGUCUGUAUUUCAAUUCUUUUAUUUCUUGCUUAUUGUUUCUGGCCUCUUAUAUCUAGCAUUGCAAUUUACACAUAGUUCCAAAAGUUAGACUAAAAACAAAAAGUAACUUCUAAUUUUAACCUGAGUGCCUGAAUUCCUCAUCCUUUGACAAUAUAUGAAUCUACAGUCGCUUACUCAAAGUAGAAGUAUUUUUGGUUAGUUAUAAGCCCUUUGCCCUAUUUAGUAAGUCCGUGGGGAGAUGAUUUCACAUUUGGAAGUGAGGGAAUGGUUGAAUGCUUGGUAUCAUGCUCUUAAUCCCUUUGGGCAUCCACAGAUUUGUUCUACUCUGAUGCAUUUAACCUGUGAUUCAGAACUUCCUUGUAUAAUACUCCUCAUGACUGAUAGGUAUUGGAGUCAUCAGAAUAGUAGGGAUGUGGUGGAUAGUUGGGUUAGAAUUUAGAAACCACUCAAAAAUGUCAAUUUGAUAAAGAAGUUUUAUUAAGAACUAGCACUAGACUUCUUCCCUCCUUUCUAUUUUUCCUUGCUUCUUCUGUCAAUUUGUUCCUCAUCAGGCUUUGUAAUAUAGAGGUAUACUUGAUAGGCACUCCAGGGUAUACAUAGACUAGCCUUUAUACUACGAACCGGUUAAGUUAGUAAAGAUACUGGAGCUUAGGAUGGAAUUUGAUGUGGAAAAGAUAUCGGGGUUUGAUUCUGUUGGCGUUUGAAGAUCUGCAGCACUGAUUGGGGGUUAAUCCUAUAACCUUCUAAUUACCAUAUCUGAUCUAAGAGAGGAUAUGUAUGCUGCUAUAACCUUCUAAUUACCAUAUCUGACCUAAGAGAGGACAUGUAUGCUGCUGUAGGACUCAGAUCGGUUAUUUGUUACUUUUUGUUGGUUAAUGCGAGCAUUUAAAUUGGAUUAUUUUAUACAGUAAGAUGUGAUGUGAAAAAGAAGUUAUAGUUGAAAAGUGCAUAACGCCAUUACGUUUUUCUUGUGAUUUUCAUCUUUAGUAACUUGUUGUCAAUGGCUUGUAGGGUGUCAUAAUACCAGAACAUUGCAGAACAGAAUUGUCUCCCCCAUUAUCUAGUAUUAAGCAGCUGCAGCUAUACUUUUCUCCUUCACUGGGGGAGAGAGAAUAUUGUUUGAGACAAUCAUUGAUUUGGAUGGCACCAUCUGCUGAAAUUCUACCAUUUCUAGAUCACGAUGACGAUGAUGAUUCUGAUGAUUUUGACGAUGAUGAUUACAAUAUUGUUGAUGAUGAUAAUGGCAUUGAUGAUGACAAUGGGAAUGUUGACAAUGAAGACGGCGACGAGUAAAUUGUGAUUAAGGUAGAUAUUCUGCAUGUUGUGUUACUUCAGAAAAAUGAUCAGUUCAAGCUAUAUUGUUGUGCCUAAUGAAGAUUGUUAGUUCCUAUGAAAAAAUUAAGAUUGUUGUAGUUCUUUUAUUUAAUUUAAGUAUAACGUUUUAUACUCGCAUUGACAUGGCCGAACGAAGCUAAUAAUUAACUGGUAUCUUCAUUCUAUUGGCGCUUAUUCUCGAUCAUUGGCAAUGGAGAGCGUAUUCAGCGCACCCGUCCAUCUCCGCCGUCCAUUUGACGCGGACUUUUGACUUUUUCAAAAUGGACGGCGGAGAUGGACGGGUGCGCUGUAUAAUUUUCGAUUGGCAAUGAUAUGUACUGCUCAAGUGAGAAUCCUUUGCAUGUCUUAAGUAUCUUAAGAUUAAUGUUGGGAUGCCUUUCCAUUUUGUAUUUGCCAUUAAGUUCAAGUUUUCUUUUCUUUUCAGGGAGGUGACCUCAUCCAGCGAAUUGGAAUUCAAGCUGUGAUCUCCAGUCUUUUAGUAUUUUGUACUUUUGUCUGAAUGGUGUAGUUUCGUUAAUUUGAAAUAUAAUAUUUUAUAUUAGCUUCUACGUUAGCUUUGGCAUAAAAAAGGGAAUAUAAGCUUUCACCACUAGACUUUCUGUCUACUUCUGCGUUAGAUUUUCCAGUUUCAAGAGGGUCUAACAGGACCGAGAUCUAAGCUCGAGCAAUACAGAACUGGAGAAGCCAUUAGCAAAGCAAGGGAUCAGUCGGAUGUCGGAUCACUGAUUGAGAAUUUGAACCUCCUGGCUGAAGCAAAAAGCACAGAGAAAGCUUAACUUGGAGACUGCCCAUAUUCGCAGUCGAAAUCGAAGAAGCGGCUCAACAACCUCAUUUUCAGCUGGCUCAUAAGCUCUUCCUUCUCCCAUGUUCUCUCUGUUCUACCUAUUCCAUCAUUCCAUGUUUGUGUUGACGGUAUUUGUAAUCAAGAAUUUCAUGAUAUGUUAGAAGUAAGAGCUCAUUCCCUGUUUUUCAAUACCCAAAUGUGUUGGGCCCUCUAAUCCCGUAGGCCCAAACGUCAUUCUAUUCCUAUAUGACACCUGACCUCUAGAGAGUCCUCUAUCCCUACCUGUCCUCAUUUCACUACCUCAAAAAAUGUGGAGAAGGAGAUGUUACAAAACCUCAAGUCCCCAUUUGUUUAAUGGGAAAUCAUGGUAUGGAAAUGUAAUUAGUUUUAUUUUCCAUUCUAAUGUGUUGCUUGGUUGUAAAUGAAGAUUGGAAAGGAAACAAAAAAUGAGAUAUGACUGAAAAUGACUCCCUUAUAAAGCCUGAAUUGUAUUACCUAGUUAGGGGUGAUAUUCUAUUUCCAUUCCCACCGUCAAAGGUAAAUUACAGAAAUUAGACAUCUAUAAAGUUUAAAUUUUCUUAAAUAGAUUACAUAUGCAAUUAGUAAAAGGGUGUUACUGGAAAUUAUAGAUUUAAAGUUCAUUAUUAUGACUUAUUAAAUAUGGUGUAAUUGGAAUAGAAAUAAAUUAAUAAUUCAAUUAUAAUAACAACCAAACACCUACAUGGAAAUAACAAAACCUUUUCCUUUCCAUAUCAGUCGGGAAAUGAAAAUAAGGAAGCCUUUCUAAUGAGGACCCUUAAGUUGAGGACUUUUCGGUUUAUCCCACAUUUCGAUCUUAUAUCCACAUCUUAACCGUUCAGUUUAUAGGUAAUUAUGAGUAGAUCAUUUCUGCAAAUUUUCAGCCAUAUUGAAAAUAGUUAAGACAUUCAUAAGUGUGAUUUACCAAUUAUGAACUUGAACGGUUCAUGUUUGACAAAUUUAGUUCGUCUAUUAAUUUGAUCUAGUUUGUUACCUUAAUAAUCACCGAUUUGGCUGAAAAUUUGUAGGGUUGAUCUACACAUAUAGACCUAAAAAUUGAACGGAUGAGAUGCCAAGAUGUGAUAAAAAAAUAGGUCUUUUAAACCAUAAACCGAAAAGUCCUCAACAUAUUUCAAACACUACUAAAUCAUUUUCCUAUCCUGACAUUCUUGCUAACCAAACAUGGCAUAAGGAGCAUAGAAGAAGAGGAUGAUGAUGAAACCUUCAUUGAUUUGGAUGGCACCAUCUGCUGAAAUUCUACCAUUUCUAAAUCACGAUGACGACGAUGAUGAUUAUUGUAAUACCCCGGAAUUUUGAUAUUAGUUUCUAAUAUUAUUUGUGAAUUUUUCGAGUUAGAAGUUAGUGUGUUUUGAGGUUCGAAGGAAGAACGGAGGUGUUCGAGAGAUUUCUUUGUUGAAAAUGCUUUAUUUUGAAGGGUCAAGAGUUGACUUUUUAUCUGUAAGUUAUUUUCGAAAACUUCCUUCAUGAAAGUUAUAGAGUUUGUCGAUACGAGUUCGUAGACAUGCGGCACGCAUAAAACGGAUGUCGUAUGAGAAAGUUAUGGUCAGAGGAAGUUAGUUUCCGGUUUUGGAAAUGUGUAUAAGUAGAAAAAUGUGUGUGGGUUAUUUUUAUAAACCCUAAAUUGCAGCAGCCCCAUUUCAGUUUCUCUCUCUCUCUCUCUCCCGUCUCCAUUUUCACCCUCAAACUUCUUCCGGCCAUAACUCGGCCAUCCGGCGACGGAUUUAGGUGUGCUUGGUAUCGUUGGAAAGCUCUCACUCCCCUCUUUCUAUUCAUUCCAGCCUCACACCCUAUGGAGCACUAUGCACGGCGCAGAAAGGCCCGCAAGUUACUGCUGCCGCCGGCGGUGAAGCUCCGACCUAUUCCGGCGACAUCGAGGUUUGAGGCUACCCAUUUCUGGAAGUUCUUGUCCUUCUAAGCAUGAUGAUACCAGCUUUGAAGCCUAAUUCUAAGCGUGGAGCUUUCGAGUUCAAAGUGCUCCUUGUUUCUUUCCGGCGACGUUUGGUAUCGUUGGAAAGCUCUCACUCCCCUCUUUCUAUUCAUUCCAGCCUCACACCCUAUGGAGCACUAUGCACGGCGCAGCAAGGCCCGUAAGUUACUGCUGCCGCCGGCGGUGAAGCUCCGACCUAUUUCGGCGACAUCGAGGUUUGAGGCUACCCAUUUCUGGAAGUUCUUGUCCUUCUAAGCAUGAUGAUACCAGCUUUGAAGCCUAAUUCGAAGCGUGGAGCUUUCGAGUUCAAAGUGCUCCUUGUUUCUUUCCGGCGACGUUUCCGGCCGAAUUGGCUUUGGCCACAGGUAUGAAAACUGUUUCAUUUGAUGUGUUCUACAAGUUUCAUGUUGUGAGUUUCCCCAAAUUUUGAAGUUGGUGAGGCGUGUGGGGCUCACUCGCCGCCGCCGCUUGUGGUGGCGCGUGGGAGCGCGUCCGGGCAAUGUGAUUGAGUUAGUUGCUGUGUUAGCUAGUUGUGUCAUUGUGAGUGACUGCUUUACUGAUUUGAUUUGGUUUUUCCUUAUUUAAUCUUCUGGAAAUUUGGGUAUGUUGCUAUUGCUAUCUUGGUUGUGUAUCGAAUUUGGUUGGUUAGUGACCUUCUUUUGGUCUCGACCUUGUGUCCUAUUUUUAUUGAUCUUUCUGGAAAUUUAGGAUAUUGUUGUUGUAGAUAUGAUGUGGGUGUGUCAACUUUUCUGUGAAUCUUGAGAGGUCUCGAGGAAAGCUUGUUCUCAAGGGACAAGUCUUUGGGUUAAGUUAGGGUCUAGGUCCAAGAGUGAAAUGUCUUGGUCGCAACUAGUUAGUGUAAAUGGCAAUCACUUGUUUUGUUGGUCACUAAGUUGUUUGUGAUAUCUAGGUGAUUAGCGAAGUUGGUGUUGUGCUUGUUCUUAUUGUGUGUGAAGACGCAACAGGAGUUAAAGGUGAGUAAAUCUCACAUGGGUUCAUAAAAGAACCGAGUUUACUUUAUAGUUUAUUAUUGCUAAUUAUGAAGUUGUCCUUGAAGGAAAAUGAUUUUGUCUUUAAAUAUAAAUGAGUUUGAUCGUCAACGACUCAUGGUAAGUGAAACAAGUUUUCUGUUAAUAAUACUCUUUCAAAAGGACUUCCGAUCAUGAGUCAUAAUUAGAGUUGGUAGAUUAUUUUUGUUUUUAAAUAUUUAUAUCCAUGUGUGUAUGUGUGAAAGGCAUAUUAUGAUCAUGUGAUAUUGUGAUGUUAAAAUAUGGUUGUUGAUAGAUUAUUCUAGUGGGAAUAUCUAUGUUUUUUUCGUAUAAAUAUAUCUAGGUGGAAAGAUAUAAUUUAUGAUGUGCUCUGGUGUUGUUGUUGAUGAUAUUUUUUUUAUUGUGAAUUGUUGUUUAAAUAGUCAAAUCGGGUUCUAAGCUUUUAAUCGGGUGAUUGGUUACGGUUAUGAUGAUUUUUUUUACUUUGUGAUUUGUUAAGUGUUAUGAUGAGAGAGUAUUUGAAUGUGUGCCUUAGUGGUACGUGAUUGUGUGCAUUAGUUGUGGAUGUGUGUGCUCUAGUGGUGAUCGUGUGCAUUAGUUGCGGAUAUGUGUGCCUUAGUGGUGAUUGUGUGCAUUAGAUUAGGAGCCUUCGUGGUGGACCGGGAACCAAGCCUUGGCCGGGUGAUUGGUUAUGGUUAGUAUAGAGCUCUAGUUUGUCUGUCAGUACUUCAUGGGAGAUGACUAAUGGGAGAUGACUAAGUGUUAACGAACCCAUGAGUACGUGUUUGUUUGGUUACUUAUGGGGGAUGACUAAGUAUUGACGAACUCAUAAGUAAGAGUAGAGAAAUGAUUGUGUGAUGUUCUUAUGUGUUGUUAUUUAAAUUUCUUGCUUUGAGUAUCUCCUGAACUAUGCUUAUCCGCAGGAGAUUCAUUAAUCUUAAUUAUGUGAUUUUAAUAGGAUUCAUUUAUGAUUUUGAGUGAUUUUGAAUUGUUGUGUUUUUCUUAAUUCUUUUUUUUUUGAAUUCUCUUGCUUUUAGGUGAUUCCUGAACUAAGUUGCUCAUGCAGGAAUUACUAGUUUUAUUAUAUGUGAUGUUGGGAUUGUUGAGUUAUUAUUUUGAGAGUUACUUAUACGAGCUUUUUAGCUUACCGGGUUUGUUGUUUACAACCCGGUGCACCAAUUCAUGGUGUAGGGGUUAGACCUGCAGGUGAUGAUCAACAAGGUUGAGGCAGUGGCUUAGAAGCUGGGUUUUAGACGAUAUACAUUUAUUUGUAUAUUAUGGCAAUUGUUUUUAAGCUCAUGUGAGCAACUUUAUUAUCACUAGACUUUUGAAGUUGAUGUAAUUAAGGAGUUAUAAUAUUUAACUCGGUUGAUGAGCUUAUUGACAUUUACAUUCCAGUAUUUGUUUUUAGUUUGGAAGUUGUUGAGCAGGUUUUGGGAUAUUAAGUUUUUGAGUUAUAUUAUGCCCAAAUUUUUAAAAAUUUAACCUUCGAAAAUUGGGGUGUGACAGUUUGGUAUCAGAGCCUAGGGUUGCAUAUUUGGUGAUAAUCAGUAUCUUUGAGUGAUGGCCCGACUACAGCGGAUCCCCAUCAUACUCUUUGGUACUGAUAUGUCAUUGGGUAUGCGGGAGGCAAAGAUGUUGUCUUAAGCGUUAGGUUUCCAGAGCAUAGGUUUGCUCUGUAAGCAAGGAGUGCGAGUGUGGGUAGAGUUUCUUGAGGAUUAGUCUUUUGAGGAAUAAGAAUCAUUAGAUUGACUCCUUUUCAGCUGCCCGUGGUAAGCUGGAGGAUUUGUGAUUGGUGAGCAAAGUUUAGGAGUGAAAUGUACUUUGUUCUCUUUUCUUCUUCAUGAGAGUGAGCUAUGAUUUUUGGUGUGUCUUUUCUGUGAUGUUGUGGUGGUGUGGUGUUUUGAUUAAGUUAUGGAGUUAAGGUCUUGUGUUGCAGUUAAGGUCUUGUGUUUGACUUCUGUUGUAGAUGUGAUGCAAUUGAAUUAUGUGGCUCAUACAUCAUUCUUUGUUGUGGUGGUAGAGAUUCUCUACCAUGCGAUUUUGUGUGUGAUCUGAUGUCAUGAUCUUUGUGACUUAUUCGGGGUUAGCAUUUAGCUUGGUUGUGGUGUUCUAAGUGGUUGAACACUAUUUGAGUUAUACCCCAUGUGUUAUUGACUCUUGAAAGAUUUAUGUGUAGUCAUUGUUUUAUGUUAUAGUAGCAGGAUAGUUGUGUGUGCGCGGAAAUGCUAUAUUGCCUCGAGUUGGAAGGCGUUAUUAAUUGUUGUUAUGUUAAGUGGUGCACUUAUGCUGAAUCAUUGAUCUUGACGCAUGUUGACCUUCGAGGUCUUACGGCCAUGCAGAGUGCUACGCGUCUAAUUUAAGACGCGAAUUUGUUGUCCGUAGCUUGAUAGAUGGGUUGGACAAUGGGGUGGGGGAAAUGGUCAAUAUGUGGUGAGCCAUGUUUGACUUCUAGGUGAGCAUUGUUAUGCAUCGUAGGAUGUUGUUACGUCUUUGUUAUGCUGGUGGAAAUUCUAUGUCAUUUUUCUUAUUGCAUAAUCUCAUGUUAUUAAGAUAUAUAUAUAUAUAUAUAUAUACAUUUUUUUAUUUUUUUAUGUGACUAUAUGAAUGAGUUUUUGUGUGGAUCUGAUGACUUCGUGAUUUAUGGACUUGUAGCAAUGUUGAUUUCGGUUGUGUGCCAAUGUUCUUUUGAAAGCUCGUAGUGUCAUGGUGAGUUGACAACGAUGCGAUGUAGAUAUUGUUUUGGGUUGAGUUCACAUUCUUGUGUAGUUUGUGUGUGUUAUUUUGGUUAGCAACGUAGUGGUUGUGAAAUAUGCAGGGACGAGUUUUGCGAACCAUUCAGUUACCACCAAGUGGGGUGGUAGGGUGAAUUCGUGUCUGGCUUCAGGUGACCAAGACAACGAAAGCGGUGUGGUUACAUUCAUUGUUGAUGUUCGACUUGAUUUUCUAUGAAGUUGUAUGGCAAAAUUAUUGAGGAAACUCGAUAUGCUUGUGGAGGCUUUGAGACGAGAGAGAUUGUUUGGUAGUAUGAACCUGUUUUUGGGGGAGAAGUUAGCAGCACUUGGGUGGAGUAGUGCAUUUAAAUUUCAGGGACGAAAUUUCUUUAAGGGGGGUAGAAUGUAAUACCCCGGAAGAAGUUUCAACUAUACCAGUUUUUUUGAUACGAAAGUAAAUCAAAUAUAAAACAUUACAGACAGUUGCCUCUCAGACAACCAGUUCCUAAAUUAUCAAAUUGAAUACAUCGGGUGACUCUUCUCAGAAGGUUGUUUUCCCAUACUCUUUCUUCUGUGGUUUGGUGUCUUGUGCUUGCAAUUGCAUCUGCCGCAAAGUUUGCUUCUCUAUAAAUGUGUUUAAAGGAGAUGGUGCUGAAACCUUUUGCAAUUUUCUUGAUGUCUUGGACAAUUUGCUUAAUCCUCCAAGGUGAACUGAUAUUCUCAUUAACUGCCUCAAUGACCAUUUUUGAAUCCCCUUCUACUUGGAUGUCAGUGUAACCUUUUGCUUUAGCGUUGAUUAGGCCGUCUCGUAAGGCAGUAGCUUCUGCUAUUGGAGCUGAAGUGAUGCCCAGGUUUCUUGAACUUGCAAAAACUGGGUUCCCUUCUGAAUCUCUGAAAAUUACUCCUGAAGCAGCAGAGGUGUUUGAAACAGAACCUUCAAAGUUGAUCUUCAAAGUCCUAUCAGGAGGGGGAAGCCAUCUAAUAGCUUAAGUAGGGUUUUGAGAGGUCUCUCCAUGAUAAACCUGGUUAUGAAGACUGUAGCUUUUUUCAAUGGCAGCACCAGCAGAAAUUACUACUUGUGGUCUUUCAUUGAUAUUUCUAAAGGACAAGUCAUUUCUUGCCUUCCAUAUUUGCCAACAGAGAAUAAUAUAUUUAGCAAAGAGAUCUGUUUCAAUAUUUUUUCCUGAAGAGAGUUUAUUUAGAUUUUCAAUAUAGUUAUAAGAAAAAAGAUAAUGGUGUAAAUUGGAUUUUCUCCAAACUUCUAUAGCAAAAGGGCAGUUCCCAAAAAGGUGUUCUACAGUUUCAUUAUCAGAAUUGCAGAGAUUGCAAGUGAAUUGCAAGUGUUGUCAUUCAAAUAACCAAAUCUGGUUAACCUGUCUUUUGUUUUCAGUCUGCCUCUCAUAAGAAGCCAACAAAAAAUUUUCACUUUUGGUGGGAUAUUUAGUUUCCACAUCUUGUUCAUAAGCCUAGCUUGGGGGUGUUUUUCAGUAUCACUGCAUUGUAUCCAAGUAGCAGUUUUUAUGGAGAACUUACCAUUAGCUGCAGGGCCCCAGACAAAUUGGUCUUUUUGAUUCCCUGAAGGGAUAGGAAUUCCAAUAAUUUGUUUAACUAUUUCCCAGUCUAAAACUCUGAGGAGUUUAACUUUAUCCCACUUAUGACCUGUAAUAAAAUCUUUGACAGUAGCCUCCCAAUUGAUAUUAUUUCUUUGGUUAAUGGGAAUGAGAUUAGCAAAGAGGAAAUGGGAAUAUCCAAUUGAAAGUCCAAAACUUAAUGCUUUCCCCAUUUCCAAUUGUCCAUCUCAUACCUUCAUUUACCAGCUCUCUACUAUCUAGAAUGCCUUUCCAGGCAUAAGAGGCUUUAACUUUCUUGGUAGCCUGAAAGAAGGAUUUUUUCGCAGGUACUUUCUUUUAAUAAUUUGUACUCACCAAUUAUUAGGCUCCGUAAUUAUUUUCCAAGCUAGUUUAGCAAUUGCAGCAUUGUUAUAGAAGGCAGUUGGUCUCACACCAAGUCCCCCAACUUUUUUUGGGGUGCAGACUUUAUCCCAAGCAAUUGGGGGAGUUGUAGCAUUUGAACCCCAAAGAAAGUUUCUAGCUUCUUUAUCUAUAGAAUUUGAGAGCUUCUUAUUGCAUUUGAAAAUGAAAGAACAUGGUUUGGCAUUCCAGAAAGGUUUGUCUUAAUGAGAGUUAGUCUACCAGCUCUCGAUAAGGUACUUUUUUUCCAACCCGCGAGCUUACCAUUUAUUUUGGAAAAGAGUUCUCUAGAGUUAACUGGGUCUUUCCAGAAAACUAUAUUAUGAAUUCCUAAAUACGUCCCUAUAACUUUUUUCUGUCGGAUACCAAGUAUACUUGAGAUAUUGGUUCUAACAGAGUUGUUAGUAUUAUUAGAAAAGAAAAGGGAGGACUUAUGAAAGUUGAUUUUUUGACCUGAAACUUUAGCAAAAAGAUCUAGGCUAUGUAGAAUGUUUUUAGCAGCUUUGUUAGUAGCUUUAGCAAAGAUCAAACGGUCAUCCGCAAACACUAGGUUUGAGAUUCUAAACCCACAGGGGGAGGAAAGAAGACCAACAUUUGUUUUCAAGUUUUUGGUCAGAGAAUUUAGAUUCCUAAUUAAAGGUUCCAUGCAAAGUAUAAAGAUAUAAGGAGACAGAGGAUCUCCUUGUCUUAUUCCUCUACUUGGUUUAAACCAAUUAAUAGAUCUUAUUGCUUUGUUGAUGCGAAUGAUAAGCUGUUAACUCAGACGACUAAUUUCUAUUAACUGCAACUAUGAUUGACGUGUGACUUUCGUUUUUCUCCUUACACCUCGUGGUUGGUAUUGUGGUUUUUGUUUCGCUGAAUUAGUGGCUUUCGUUUAUGCAUGUACAUUUCUGGUGCGUCUAUUGUUACACUACUAAAUAUUUUUGUUCGCUCUACACAUCUUUGGUUUGUUGUAGACUAAAAUACUUUAGAAUUACAGGAAAACACUUGUUUUAGAAAACUUAUUUACCUAAUAACCAAAGUACAAUUUUCUUUGGGUGAUAUACUUUUCACCGGUUUCAGAAUGAUGCCUCCUUUGUUCUUCUUCUUAAGAUUUUCCAUUAGACCUUUGAGAUCAUGGAUUGCUGAUUUCAAAUCUUUGAUGGUAAUGUUGCAAAUGCAUGCUUUUAAGAGACGCUUCUCCGGUUCUCUCCAUUUUAGAGCUAACCAACCAUUGCUGGCAGUGGAUCAUCUCCUAGCUCAUUUAUCAAAAUUCAGAAGCAUCAUUUGACAUGCAUGAUACAUCGUCGCAAAGUUAUUUUACAAAAAAUAACAGUAAACGAAAAGUUAGUAAAGGACACAAGUCACACAACCACUAAGAUCAAAUUUUUACUAACAAUAUUAAUAGGGAAGUAAAAAUACUCUAUGAGUCUAUUAUGAGUCUUUUUUGUAAGGAACUCUUCUAACGAGGACAUUUAACUGUGUAUUGCUUCAUCCAUUUAAUAGGGAAGUAAAAAUACUCUAUGAGUCAAUUAUAAGUUUUUUUUAAGAAACCUUUCUAAUGAGGACCAUUCUAGCAAAGUUUUUAUGUAGUGUUUUUCUUACCACGUGACGAACUCACAGUAAGACGGCUCAAUAGAAUCACAGAAAAUUACAUUGAAUGACAAAAUUACCCAUACUUUUCUAACGUGUAAUUCUCAUAAUUACCCUGAUGGCCCAAGUGUAUUUCAGUCUUUCCAUUCCUAUAUGCCCAAAGCCCCCCCCGACUUAUCCUAGUAGCGUCGUCACAUUUCACUACCACCGCCGAAAACACUGAAAAAUGUGGAGAAGGAAAUGGUACAAAACCCUAAGGAGCACAGAAGAAGAUGAUGAAACCGCUGCCACCUCCGCCAACACAAUCCCUUACUUACCUGACAACGUCAUCGAGAAGAUCCUCUCCUUCCUUCCAGUCAGAGACGCCGCUGUGGCAACCGCCGUUUCGAAGCAGUGGAGAUCCCUCUGGCCUUCCUUCCCUGUUAUCGAUAUCGAAGAGAAACGCUUUCGCGAACCUCGAUGUUUCGUCGACUUCUUGCGCUACUCUCUCAGACGAUGCAGGGGUCAGAGGCACUUGGACAAGUUGAGGAUUCGAGCCAACCUCCAAUACGGCUACUUUUUGGUAAGAGAAUGGGUCGAUUUUGCAAUUGAGAGGUGCGUCAAAGAGUUAUAUCUUCAGGAUAAUAAUAAAUUGCAUCAAAACUUGCUGAUUACCCAUGACGUUUAACUCUGCAAUGUUUAACUGGACUGAAUUUGGAGAAUGUGAGAGUAUAUGCAAGUUCCGGAAUUAAUGGCCCUGUGAGCCUUCCCUCAUUGAAAACCAUGUCCCUCAAAGACGUGACAUUUUUGGAUGAUAGGGAUGCCACAGCCAUUGGGGCCAUCCCCAGCUUAUUUUCAGGGUGUCCUUGCAUUGAGCAUUUGUCAAUUCAUAGUUGUAGGCUUGGCCGGUCUACUAUGGACCUUGAAAUUUCAAGUGACAGUCUGAAAUCCUUGGAAAUUGUGCAUUGUCAUUCUAUGAGAGUCCAAGUUACUGCCAAGAAUUUGGAGUCUUUUACAUUCUAUGCGGAUUGUACCUGUCCGUACCAUAGGACUAUGUACUUAUGGGAAUGUGAUGGCUUGAAACAUGUGCACAUCUCUUGCAAGGGAUUGAAAAAGCUUCUAUUGCAUGAAUGCCAACAAAGCAUUGAGAACUCGUUUAUACUCCACAUCUGGAGUCCUUUGAGGUUAGUGGAUAUCUGAAGGCCAAGGUCAAUUUUGCGGAAGCUCCUGCGAAUUUAGUAACCUCUACAAUCAGAGUUUGGGAGACCUUAUGGCCCAUUGAAUAUUAUUCUGCUAUGCGAGAAUUUCUUGGAAGUUUCGAUUGCUCCAAAAAAGUGAAGAUACAUAUUGCAGAGGAUGAGGUAAUCUCUAUCUCAAUUCUUUUAUUGCUGUUUAUUGUUUCUGGCCUCUUAUAUCUAUCAUUGCAAUUUGCACAUAGUUGUUCCAGAAGUUAGACCAAAAACAAAAGGUAACUUUCAAUUUUAACCCGAUUGCCUGAAUUCCUCAUCCUUUUAAACUUAAUGAUUCUAGACUAGCUUACUCAAAGUAGAAAUAUUUUUGGUUAGUUAUAACUUAUAUACCCUUUCCCCUGAUUUGUAAGUCCGAGGGGAGAUAAUUGCACACGUGGAAAUGGGGGAAAAGGUCAUUGCGUUACAUCAUGAUCUUCAUCCCUUUGGUCAUUUGCGCCUUUGUUCCACUCAUGCAUUUAAUCGGUGUUUCAGAACUUUCUUGUGUAAUACACCUCAUGAUUGAUAGGUAUCGGAAUCGUCGGAAUAGUAGGGAUGUGGUGGAUAGUUGGGUUAGAAAUCACUCAAAAAUGAAAGGUAAGAUAAAGAAGUUUCAGUAAGAACUAGGACUAGACUUCCCCCACCCCCCUUUCUACUUUCCUCUCUUCUUUUUUUUGUGUGUCUCCUCAUCAGGCUUGGUAGCAUAGAGGUACAUUUGAUACGGAAGCUAUACAUAGACUAGUCUUCAUACUACGAAGAGGUUAAGUGAGUAAAGAACAUGGAGCUUAGGAGGGAAUCUGAUAUGGAAAAGAUGUUGGGGUUUGAUUCUGUUGGCAUUUGAAAAUCUGCAACCCCUGAUGGGGGCUAAUCAUAAACCUUCAAAUUACCAUAUCUGACCUAAGACAGGACAUGUAUGCUGCUAUAGGACUCAGAUUGGUUUUAUGUUACUUUUUGUUGGUUGAUGUGAGCAUUUAAAUUAGAUUAUUUAGUAUGAUGCGAUGUGAAAAAGAAGAUAUAGUUUAAGAGUGCAUAACACAAUUACGUAUUUCUUGUGAUAUUCAUCUUAAUAACUUGUUGUCAUUAUGGCUUAUAGGGUGUCAUAAUACCAGAACAUUGCAGGACAGAAUGGUCUCCUCCAUUACCUAGUAUUAAGCAGCUGCAGCUAUACUUUCCCUCAUUAGGGGAGAGAGAAUAUUCUUUGAGACCUUCAUUGAUUUGGAUGGCACCAUCUGCUGAAAUUCUACCGUUUCUAAUUCACGAGGAUGAUGAUGAAUAUGAUAAUUUUGGUGAUAACGAUUACAAUAUUGUUGAUGAUGAAAAUGACAUUGAUGACGACAACGAGAUUGUUGGAGAUGAUGGAUGACCGCGACGAUGAGUAAAUUUGGAUUAAGGUAUAUAUUCUGUCUGUUUUGUUACUUUAGAACAAUGAUCACUUGAAGCUAUACUCUUGUGCCUAAUGAAGAUUGUUAGUUCCUAUGAAAAAAAUUAAGAUUGUUGUAGUUCUCUUAUCUAAUGUAAUAAAUAAGGGUUUAUGCUCGUACUGACAUGGCCGAAGCUAGUUAAAUAACUGGCACCUUCAUUCCUUGGGCGCUUAUUCUUGACUAUUGACAACGAUAUGUACUGCUUUAGUGAUAUUGAUAUCCUUUGUAUGUCCUAAAUAUUUUGAGAUUAAUGUUGGGAUGCCUUUGCAUUUUGUACUUGCUAUUAACUUCAUGUUUUCUUUUCUUCCCAGGGAGUUUAAGAGUUCAAGUUUCAGUAUUUAACUCUCGGACUCAUCCAUUGCAAAGCACAGCGAAUUGGAAUUCAAGUUGUGAUCUCAGUCUUUUUGUAUUUUGUCUGAAUGGUGUAGUUUCGGCAAUUGCAAAUAUAGUCUUUAACUGUUGGACCUCAUCCAGUGCAAAGCUUAGCAAAUUGAAACUCUUGCUCUGAUCUUAGUGCUCGCAUUCUUGUUGGAUUAGUGUAGUUUCCUUUGCACAAUUUGAAUCAUAUCAUCAGUUCAUCACUCCUUGUCAGAUAGAGAUUUCGGAAGAGUGGGAAGUCUCCUCCCGUGGAAACAAUUUUCUGCUUGCAGAACCAAACAUGGCGCUGAAUAAGAGCAUGGAGCAAUUAUCUUCAAGCUCUUUUAUAUGGUGAAUGGAGAGCAUUGCUGAUUAUCCUAGAUGCUUUUGCCUUAACUUGAGCAUGUUAAACACUAGAAUCCAUCUUUUGCAAUUGUCAGUGAUCUUAUUGCUUUGUUGAUGCAAAUGAUACUUUGUAAACUUAGACAACUAAAUUUCUAUUGAAUGCUGAUAUGAUCGAUGCAAGUACAAAACAGAACAAAGCAAGUGUAAGCUUGAAUGUUGGGUCAGUGAUUGAAGCUCAAGUCAUGCUCAUACAUAUGCGUAUUUUUGAGGAGCCUCCCCUCCUUGCUGAAGCUAAAAUCACAGAGAGCUUAUGAGGAGAACCGCGGAUCGCCUAACUCUGCGGUCAUUGUUACCUAUUUGCGUGAUACAAAUGAGGGUUCAGGCUUGUAUACCGAGUGAGAGUGCUCUCGAAAGAACUUUGGGGCGUGGCAAUUUAGCAAUUUAUGUUGUCACUAGCUAAUCAAGAUAGUGACAGUGAAUUAGACACUAGUUAGAAUUAUCAUCUACGUUUUGAAAUAAGAAUAAUAAUUCAAGAACAUUUUUACCAGAUUCUCUCUCAGCUCGUUAGUUAUACUAGAAAACAUGUUUAGGCUUUUAUCAGUUUGAGCAUGUUUAGUUUUAUUAGGUACUAGAGUAGAGUAUAGUAAUAUUUGUGAUUCUUUUAUUGAUAUCUUUGAUUGCUAUGUACUAUUCAUGUUCAUGUGCAUUCCAAGGAGGCAAGGAGUGGUUAUAUGGCUCUCCAUUUUAUUUUCAGUUAUUUUGCUCCUAAAUAUUCAGAGGCAUCAGACUUUCUAUAAUAUAAACAUUCAUUUUAAUUAGCUACUUUUUAUUCAUAUUGAUUAAACUAUAUAUGUGACCACAACAUGGGAAUCAUGCGACCACAACAUGGGAAUCAUGCUUCAAUGAAUGAAAAGCAUUUUAUCACUCAAAUGAAAAUAAAGCUAGCAUGCAUAACUCAUCAAAUGAAUAAACUGAGGGUUCAAAUGAAUAAGCUAGCGUGCAAGAUUGAAUGCUUCGUGUCUUCUUUAUCAAUAGAGCUCAUGUCAAUGGGGGGCCAAUGAACAAGAAAAUAGUUGUACCAGAUAAUGAGAUUGGGACAAGAAAGUGGAGAAACAAAAAAUCCGGGCCAUUAUCGAAAACCAAAAUACAUGCAUUUUGGACCAUACCAAUAGUCCUUACUCAUAAGUGAUCCCAUCUACUUGAAUGAAACCUCAUUUUAGAUGAACGAAAAGUAGUUAACCCUCAAACUUUGAAGGUACAGGUUUAUUAGCACAAAUUGACAAUGUCUGAAUAUGAAAAGGGGAAAGACAUUGUCCCCGGGAAUAGAUUGAAAAGCCUCAAUCACUAUGAAUAUGACCAUUACAGGCAGCCACAUAUGUAACAAUCGUGGUACUAUUUACAUACAUUUAUAUAAAUUGACUAACGAAUCCUUCAUUAUUGGUUGGUUUGAAUCACUUGUAUUUCUAUUGAUCAAAAUAUUUUCAGUACACGACAUGUAUUUUCAUUUUCUUUUUAUUGAAUUGUUCUUAUUUAAAUUCAUUUAAUGUAAACUACAAUGAAAAUAGUUAGAGUGUUUCUUUACUUCUCUGUCAUCAGCUAUUUAGACAGGAAACUAAAGUGAUAAAUCAAUGAUUCAAUAGCUUUAUUAUUAUCUUCGAUCUAUUUUNNNNNNNNNNNNNNNNNNNNAGGAGUCUCUCUCUCUCUCUCUCUCUCUCUCUCUCUCUCUCUCUCAUGAAGCAUGUAUGGUGCUCUAGAGAGUGCAUCCCCUCUAUUCAACCGGGGUUGUUUGGUUGAUUAUUGUGGUCCUCGGGUGGAGAUGGAUCGGGAUUUAGUUUGUUGUAGGUGAAGGAAUUUUAAUUAGUGCGGAAUUAGUUUAACCAUUAAACUACUAACUAAAUAAAAAUUCCAUUCCUUUAACCCAUGAUCUUGGUUUAUUGUGAUAUGUAUAUAAACAUAGCAUAUAUGGUAAGGAAGAACAAAGAGGGAGUUUAUGUUCUACUCACCCUUGGAGCGUGAUUUCAAUCCGAUCCAAGUGAACCACCAAAGCUCUUCUCCUUGAUCGAUCUCUCCUUGUGUGUGUUUCCUCCACCUUGAAACACAUGAUUAAGAACUCAUUGUGCUAGUAAGCUCUUCCUUUAUGUAGUAACUAAAGCCACAAAAUAAUGUGACCUCUAAGGAUCUUCACCAAGUAAGUCAAGAGAUGAAGAAGAUGAAAGGAAUGAAAGAAGUAUGCAAGUAUUCUUUCUUCCUUUGUUACCAAAUUAUGAAAAUGGAAAGAGAGAGAGAGAGAGAGAGAGAGAGUUUUUCAGAUCAACUAGAGAUAGAAAAUGAAAAACUCAUAUUACCUUACGUCCAUGCUUUCACUUUAUAUAGUUGGAAACUUUCACUUUAUAUAGUUGGAAACUAUUUCAACAUUAAAGUGAAAUAUUGACUUUUAUAAAGCCAAUAGUUGGCUGGUCAAUAUGUACUAUUGGGCCUAAAAAAUGUGUCUUGAGCUUUCAUUUAAGUAUCUCUUAGUGAGGCCCAAGCACAUACCAAAAAGGCCUGACAAUCAGUUAGGCCUAAUAAGCUCGGUUUUACCCAAAGAUCCUAAUUAUGUCCAAAUAAUAAAUCUAAUUAAUAUUUGGUCAUAACCAACUCUUAUUUAAUCUUCUUUAUCUCAAUGAUCCACUUAUAUAGUGUGCGAUCUCUUAGGUUCUAAUUAACAAGGCAGUAUAGUUUGUUGAACAAUUCUAUUUCGUUUACGAAUCAAAACUCCAUUUUGAUUAUCCCUUGUUACUAGGAUUGUAAAAUCAAUCCUCAAGGACUUCACAAGCCAUGAGCAACGUCUUGCAAUAUAUCAUGACUACCCUAGUUAAUAUAGAAUGACAAAGAACCUAUACAAUUGGAAUCACAAUACAAUACGGUCCUUCUCUAAUACAAUGUUCUAAAUCACAUCAUCGGGGUAUGGAAAUAAUAUGUCAAUCCCCUAUUGUGAUUUCCAUUCUCAUGUGAUUCGUAGAAUGUGAUUAUAGACUUCUUUUAAUCUCAUUCAAUUGGAAUCACAAUACAAUACAGUCUUUCUCUAAUACAAUGUUCUAAAUCACAUCAUCGGGGUAUGGAAGUAAUAUAUCAAUCUCCUAUUGUGAUUCGUAGAAUGUGAUUAUAGACUUCUUUUAAUCUCAUUCAAUGAUUUGGCCAAAGACUAUUUGAAUCACAUCUUUGAACAUACACCUUAUUUACUUAUGUAUAGAGAUUCCUUAUUGUACACUCACAUGUCUCUAUAAGCGAAUUGAUUACACCAAUGAGUGCAUGGAUCAUAUCCAUUAAGGGACAUAAUGUUACUGCAUCAUCAAGAGCAAAUUCAUUCACUCAUAAGACAACCAUAGUGUCUCAGGUCAAAUGACUAAUUUGUAUUAUUGCAAUUUAGAGUUCAAGUUUGACAUGUAAGUAAAACUCCAUACAAGAACUCUAACGAUCACGUUUAGUGUACUCUUUAAAAUAAGAGCACCCACAUACGUGUAUUAGUGUCUCUACACAAAUGAAAAGAUCGAGACAUAUCAUCCUCCAUCUUGAGCAUACAUAAUAUGUGCUAGUCUUUCCGGAUUAACAAUGUCCAAAUGAUAAUACUAUGACUAGGAACAUUUAGGAUAAGAGUGUAAAAGAGUAAAUGUCUCAUACAUCUAACUCUUUAGAUUACUUUCUCUUUAACUCAAUUUCCUUGGACCUUGUUCAAUCAAAUAUUAAAUAUAAGCAAUGAACGAUCAACUUGCCCUUUUGAUUAAUAAUAACUACAAUAAUAAUUACAUCAUAAUGAUUGUUUUAGGACAUAACUCCUUCAGUAGGAGAUUGAUCUCUGACAUUGGAUUGCACGGGACAUUCCGAUUUUAGGAUCUCGGAACCAUCCUUUUCUUUUUACGAGUUAGAAGUAUUGGCUAUUGUGUAGUCAACCGAGGGCUAUUUCUGAUUGACUUGUUGGACCUGCACGGGUGGGUUAUGGAAUUUGCGGCAUUUGGCUACAGCCCAGUGUCCUAUUUGGUGUCGCGGGGGUGAUAAAAUGCUAGAACGGCAGCCAAAAUCGAAGCGAGUCAUUGUGUCAACAACAUGGAGGUUGGGACUGUUAAGGGCCAUUUCUAGUGGAAUACGAUGGGGCGACGGUGGAGGUCAACGCCAAAGCGACGAUGGAAGUCGACGUUGCGACCACUGACAGUGUCAACGCUGAGACGUCGACAAAGGUCGAUGGAAAGAUAUAUGGAUGUCCAAAGUAGGGUUGGAUCCCCCAUUGUGGGAUUGGGCUAUUGUGGGCCUGGCUAGAGUGAGGUGGGCUUUCUUAAGACCUACUCACUGUUCUCGGAUAUAGGACCCAAGUGGUUGGUUUGGGCUGAUUUGGGCUCUAACUCUUUCUUAGAAUGGAGACCCAAAUUUAUGGUUCAUCUUCUUAUGGUUUGAUUGCUAUCCAAGUUUCUAACACGUUUGGUGGCCUUUGCUCCCUCGAAAGUCACCUCCCUCUCCUCUAGUAUGGUGUAUCUCCUUAGUUACAAAUAUAAUCCUGGUUACGUACAGUUACUACUACAUUUACAUUACUCUCGUGACAUAUGCGCACAAUGUAGCGAUGUCUUGCGACAUCAAGUCACACGAUUACCUCUCAUUAAAGAUGUGUGUUUGUGCAUCUUGGAUAAUAUAUAUCACAUCGUUAACCAUCCAAUAUCCAGCUCGAAAAUAUGGGUAAUAUAUAUAUAUAACUUGGUUAUUGGUUGUUGUUACAGUUGCUCUUACCUUAAUACCCUCCUAAAUAAACCAUUUGUAUAUUAAUCGAUCGGUGUAGGUUCUUGAUCAGUAAUGCCUUGUCCCCUUGAUGUUGUGGCAGUAUAGAUCGCCGUAUUACUAGCUUCAGUAACAUAGGGAGAUUUGAGGUACGCCUUAACUUUGUUUAGAUUACUAUACAAACUUAAUUUCUAGAUGACACUCGCCAAAGUAUGACGCUCUUCGUGAAUGGAUUUGGAGCUAGGUUAAACUUUCAACGCCACCAAUUUGAUGUUAUCCUUGUUGAUAUAUGAAUCUCACAUCGGGAACAUGAGACAUUGUCUGUGAGUUUAUAAAAGUUUGAGUCUCUCCACUCAUUGCCAAUUGGUUUUGAAUGUGAACCCAGACUAAUUUAUCAAUCCUAUACGUUGGAGUAGAGCUGCAUUCAGAUCAGAUUCAUUUUUUAAAAUAUUUUUUAAAAUAGGAUCCAUGAUCCGAACUGUUUAAUUUUUUCGGUUCGGAUUAUGUAUUUUUUAAAAAUAAGAUCUGAAUGGAUCCGAAUACGAAAAUAUCGGUUCGGAUCUCGGUUCUUUUCGGGUAUGGAAAGCCUGAAAUUUGAGACAUAUCUCAAUGAAAGCAAAGACAUAUUUCCAAGAUUCUAAGAUUCCAAAAAUUCAUACCAACUCGGACAGAGAAUAACAUUAAGCACUAAGCAAUUCAAAGUUUCAAACUUACCCAGGUCUUGACAAAAAAAACAAAAAAAUCAGAGAAAUGAAAAUGAAAUAAACCAAAGUCACAGACGAACUUGAAUUUUGCCAAUUGCAAUAAGCCUGGAUACCACACUCGAGCUCGUUCUUGACUCGGGAGUAGUCACUAGGUGACGAAUUUGAGUUCGGAGUUGUGAGCGUUUGUGGUUUUUCUGCUUCCAGAUUAGGUCUUUAUUCUUUAUUACUGUUUCUGCAUAAUCCCGGAGACUAUGUAGAAUCACGGUGGAACACGAACAUGAACAAUAAACAUCAUGGGCAAGAGACAAGCACGUAUAGUGGUUCACCAUGCCAUCGGAGGACAUGGCUACGUCCACUUUAGAAUCAACUAUCAUGACCAAUAUGCCUUUGGGGUCGGGAGAGAGAUCAUCAUGCAGCCAGCUAGCUAGAGAGCUUUCUACAUAUGGGAAGCCUUCCUUUUAUAGCUAAGGAAGGUUUCCUCCUCUUACCUAUUAUCAAUGUGGGACUAACUACUACACAUGACUAUUAUCAAGGUGUCUUCUUGUGGAGCUUGGAGGAACACCUUCCCGAUGUGGUACGGAUAAUAUUUCACCAUGACGAGGUAGCCUGGAUGUCGGUCUACCGGAAGUAUGUCAGGGGCGAGGCCCUUCGUGGCCAGAAAACAGUCUACGAGGUCGUUGCUUAUGCUUGCGGUAUAUAUACCAACAUGUCCCCCCAACUCCCGAAUAAGAGGACCAUCUUAUUUGGAGAGUUACAAAUAAAUUGUAUGCCGCCAAGUGUAAGUAACGACCGAGUAACGACAUACACCCCCUGUCCCCCCAACUCUCUAAGGAAGAAAGUUCUCUUACUCAGAAUUAUUUCCCUCUCCCCCUUUCUCAUGAUUUUCUUCUCUCUUUUUGAAAGGAGUGACAAGAUUCACAAUAUCCCCCCAAGUCUUGCUCGGGUGUUUUUCCAUUUUAGCAUAUAGGUGUUAUCCCCGGUGUUGCUUUCUAUUUGUUUAUACCACCGAGGAAUUUGGUACUCGGGUGGGUAGUUUUCAAUGUGAUUCUCGGGUCUUGCUUGUUGAUAUUCUAUACUUUUGACAUAUUGGUCUUGCUCCUUUUUACACAUCGGUGUUACUCAGGUGUUGUCUUUACUUGCUACCCAUUAAAUCUUACUCUCGGUUAAUGUUAUCUUUUCCUUGUAACGUAAGAUCUUAUUCCGGGUCUUACUUUUUCUUGAUAUACACCAUAAUCUAUAAGUCCGCUGAUAAGACAAAAAAUGUCCCUCUAGACCCCCAGCCUCAAAACUUACUCGGCCGGGCGAUAUGUUUUCACGUUUCCAAUGGCAAGAUACCGUUGGCUCCCCUUUUACGGCCAUCCGGGUGUUACACUUUCCCAUGGACAAAGGUAGCGAGCCCUUUCCAUAUCCUGUAUUUCUACUCGAGUGACGGGGUGUUAACGUCGUCUGUGGUUUAUCAAGCCACUUGCUCCGUUUUUAAGGGGAUGAUAUAAAACUUAUGUCUUUCGGUGGAUUACCUAUCCCGCUUGGUGUUACUCGGGAUUUUAAUGACUUAUGCCUCCCGGUCAAAUACAUAUCCCGUUCGAUGUUACUCGGGAUUUUAAUAACUUAUGCCUCUCGGUCAAAUACAUAUCUCGCUCGAUGUUACUCGGGAUUUUAAUGACUUAUGUCUCUCGAUCAAAUACAUAUCCCUCUCUUGGUCGAAUGCCAAUCUCUCGGUGGUUUCUCAGUUUAAUCAUGAAGACUUAGACUUUCAUAUCCUGAUUGUGUUUUCAAUCUAAUGAAAGGCAAUCAAAUGAGGGACUUAUCUGCCGAAUGGGUGCACAUAGGAGGUACGGUAGAAUGGGCUUUCACUGGAGUCCCUAAUGUACUGACAUAAUCACAUCAUUAAUUAAAUGAACUUAAUAUUGACCAAUCAUAAAUUCAUCGACCAAUCAUAACUCACAAAACAUUUCAUCUUUUGGAUGCUUACAUUUAAUCGAACAUGUCCAUACGGCCAUUUCAAGGCCUCACAUGCAACCUUAGAAUCAUACCACAAAUAGGUCUAGCAUAUCAUAUAAGCAAACAAAAACCAUAUCAAGGCCCUCACGUACAUAGCAGCAACAUUAAUUCCAAAACCACACCACUCACACCAAACUACUAUGGACACCCAAAGCUCAACAGAAAACAAGGAAGCAUAUUCAAAAUUAAAAACAGUGUGCAAGAUGCUGUCUUUGACUUCAAUUUCUACCCACUCAACUCCAACCAAAAUUAUUGAACCCAAGCCUAUUUUAAAGAUGGUACUACAGGCUUUAAAUACAUAGCUUAAGUUUUGAAAACAAAGCCCUGGAUAGAAAGUUACGGUCUUGCAAAGUUGGAACAAAAUCUGAAAAUCCAGAAAACUCAGUUUUGCUGAGUCUGCUACUGUUUUUGGCAAGCUAUUUGUCACACCAAAAGGGAACCAAAACCUGUGAAAUUUAACACACACAAUGAUGGAUAUAUGAGCUUUACCAAGGUAUUUUCAGAUUUCAAAACAAAGGCCUGAGCUGAAAGAUAUCAUGCCUCAAAGUAGGCAAGAAAAUCAGCUUUUCUGCAGAAUUCUGGAAAUUUACAGCAAGAACAAGACUUGGUUUUGGAAGCUUUAAUUCGACUUUGGAAGUACCAAAACAAGUUCUAAAGCUUCAGAACAGAAAGGAACAGACUUCCAGAACACGAAAUCAUCUUAAACAUAGCAAACAAGGAAUCAAAAUGACCCAAAAUUUACUCUGGACACCCAAACUCUGGACAGCAAAACAACAAAGUUCUUCAACCCUCAAUACCAAAUUUAUUAGAUUCGAAUAACCAAAUAUAACCCAUCCACUCUCUUUCCUACCCACAUUUCUCAACUCAAUACUUCCCCAAUUUACUUGCAUGCCUUUACAUGAUUCCUUCAUCUUCUUACCAAGACAACCCAAAUAGGGAAAUUUUCAGCAUAUAUACUAAACAAUACUACUCAUAACAUGCAAAAGCAAGCAACUUUCUUCUUCUUCCCUCUCUAAUUUCACAGCUAAUUUAUACAUGCAAACCAAAUCUACCAACUACCACAGUGUUUAAACACCAGCACUGGCAAAUCAAAGCAGAAAGAUCACAACACAUAAACAUUCCCAAACCACAAAUUUUCAUCUCAAAAACACAAUAAUCACAAAUUGAAAUCAAUGCAGGGUGUUAAGUCCAUAGCUUGAGACCCCCCAAAACAGCCAAAAGCAAAACCAUGAACAAAGCUAAGGCGGUUUCACAAAUUGACCAAUGAACUUCACAAAUUGCUUCUAUGGAAGAGAGAUGCAUUGCCCAACUCAAUAUAAACUCAGUGGAAUAGCUUGUAACUAAUAACCCCAUCAAAACAGGUAUUUGCAAUUCUAAAUGGCUAAUGCCUUAUGACUUGCUUCCUCCCAACUCUAACAUACAGGACUGAAUCUAUUUGCAUAUAUGGACUGCCUGCCAAUGUAAUCAAGGAUUGGAUCCCGAACACAAGCAACUCUAUUUGCAUAUAGCAAAGCUAGCACAAAAUCACACAAUAAUUAAACAUGCUUCCCAACGAAUUCCCAAAUUUAAUCCCGGACAGAUUUGAAUAGACUUAGGAGUAGAAAGACUUAGCUUGUUUGAUUGGUAUGCCACUUUUAGAAUCUGGGGAAGAGCAAGAUGAAUCCAGAGCUCUGUAUAGAAUUUUGAGUGAUCAAAGUUGCUCGGAGUAGACUGGAAAUAGCUCCGAGUUGUCCAUUCAUAGGAUAUCACGCAGCAUAAUGUACUGUUCCCCAACCCCGGGAGGGAGACGAAGCUCUGAUCAGAGAUUCUCUCUGCUUUGAAAGUUUGAGACAUAUUGGAUCGGGUUUCACCGGGAGAUCAAAUUGCUACCGGGAAGGACUUCUUCUAUGAACGGGUGUCCAUAGCAGUUGGCCAAUUGUUGUUAGGGUGCCAAGAGUAUUCUUUCCCUGCUUUCAACCGAUGCCGACUGAGAGCAGAGCAUGCCGGCGCCCGGCGAAUCAUUCCUGGCCGGCGGUCGACGAGCUUGUCCCGGAAGAGUUACUCGGGUCGGACCCGGGAACCGGCAGGUGAUAACAACGGAUCUGCAAGCCAGCUCGUCCUUAUGUGGUGAACCAGAUAUUAUCCAGACCGAUCCCUGCCUCCCGAUCAAUGGCGUCGAAUUGAUCGGGCCUGAUCCCAAUUCGCACAACUCUCUCCUCAUGAACUCGGUCAACCAGACACAUGAAGACGCUUGGCCCGAACUUGAAACCCGCUUCCCGGAGACUGCUCAUCCCGGAGACUGAAUGCUAGGCAGGUCCCCUCUUUCCGGGCGACAUCUCAUCCUGGGCUGGAGCCACCGGGAUAAGAAGAUGAUCGGGACCCGGAGAGGUGGUGCUGUAAGUUUUUUUAAUUAAUUCUAUACCAGAUCAAUACACGUAAACUAACAUUGUGUUUAUAUGUCAAUUGUACUUAGGAUUGCAAACAUUAUAUUUAUCCUAUAUCUGCAUAAAACAUGAAUAUAUAAAUAUGAACUCAGAAUUUACCAGAACCAUUUUGAUUAUCCAUUCAGCCUUCUUAUUUCACCUCUAAGUUCUUUUAGUAAUGGGACUAAGUAUGAGAAUCAGAUAUGCAUAAGAAGGGACUAACAUACAUAUAUAUAGCAUAUUGUAGGUAGUUUCAUCCAUAAAGAAACUGUCAUAAACUUAACUGUUUUGUCAUAAAACUGCUCUCAACUGCAAUUUAGAUUUCAAAUUCAAAUGUAAAGCUUAUCUACAGAUUUAUCUUAAGGCUUUUACACAUGUCUUAAACUCAAAUCACAUUAUAUAUAUUUAUACUGUUUUUCUAAUAUCAGUAAACAAGUCUUUGUCAAGUUCUUAUAAGCUGAUAUGCUUACAAUCUCCCACUGAACUUGACAAUCCUUUAAAUACAUGUAUUACAGUAUAAUCACAUAUAACAAUGAUUUACUUAAGUGUGCACUGUGAGUCUAAAACUUUCUUAAAUAAUUCAAAAUCCUUCAAUUGCAAAUUCUGUCAAUAAUACUUAUGUCAAGGAACUCAAGAACAACAUAGGAAUAGAAUAGACAUCAGUGUUCCAAAAUCACCUCUCAACAAGCUAAAAUCACAUGAAUUUCAACUUAAUAGCAGUAAACUGAAUGUGUUAUAUAUAAAUGCAUUCUAAACACAGUAAUACCAAAUGUCUUACUUAAUACCAAAAUUUCUAACUAAAUAGAAAUAAGGCAAAUUAUAUUCACCGUAAACUUCAUCAUGUUCUGCAUAUAGGUUUGUAUUGUCAUUCAAAGACUUACAAAAUGAAGUUGUACAACUUAAUGUGCAGAUUAAUAACAAGAUGAAAUCUUAAUAAUAUAAUCUUAUUGAUCAAUUUCACAACUAAAUAAUAAAACAUAAUACAUACUAACUGAUUAUGAUGCCAUCUGAAGUCUCCAACUUUAAAGUUCAUCUGCAAUCCCCAUAUUCCUUGUAUGCUUGACAAAAUCUGCUACUGGUAGUGCCUUUGUCAAUGGAUCUGCCAACUGCUCCUUUGUACCAACCUUAACAACCUCAAUUUCACCAUCUCUAACACUCUCCCUUACUGAAAAAUACUUAACAUCAAUGUUUCUUGAAGCUGAUGUUCUCUUGUUAUUCUUAGAGAAAAACACUACUGAUGAAUUAUCACAGCAAAUCAUCAAAGGCCUUUCAAUGGACUUAAUCAACUUCAAAUGAGAAAUAAAAUUUCUCAACCACAAUGCAUGUCCAGUAGCUUCAAAAAUAGCAAUGUAUUCAGCCUGAAAUGUUGAUGUUGCUGUGAGACCUUGCUUUGAAGUUUUUCAAGAAAUAGCUCCUCCUGCUAAAAGGAAAAUAUAACCAGAUGUAGACUUUAAGUCAUCCACAUCUGAUUUAUAAGAGGCAUCUGCAUAAGCCUCUACUUCAAGUUCUUGUUCAUCACUUCUCCUAUAAACUAACAUGUGAUCUUUAGUCUUCUUUAAAUACCUCAAGACCUUCUUCCCUGCUAUCCAAUGAGCAUGCCCUGCAUUGGAUUGAAACCUGGCCAACAUGUUUACUUCAAAUGAGAUGUCUGGUCUUGUACAAAUCUAAGCAUACAUCAAACUUCCCACUAAUCUUGCAUAUGGCACAUUCUGCAUUCCCUUUGCUUCGAACUCAUUCUUAGGACUUUGCUCUUUAUGCAGCUUAUCUCCUUUGGAAAUUGGUGCAUCUCCAGACUUGCAUCCUUGCAUACCAAAUCUGUGCAAUAUUUUCUCCAAAUAAUUUCUUUGAGACAAACCUAAAGCAUGGUGCUUUCUAUCCCUGGUUAUCUCAAUUCCCAACACAUAGUGUGCUUCUCCCAUGUCUUUCAUGUCAAAUUGACUCAACAGAAAAGCUUUUGUUUCCUUCAACAUGCAAACAUUACUACUAGCAAGUAGUAUAUCAUCAACAUGUAAGAUAAACAAAAUAAAAUUGCUCCCACUGGUCUUAAUAUAUAUGCAUUCAUCAAGUUUAUUUUCCAGAAAACCAAAUUGAGUGAUUACCUUGUCAAACUUUAGGUACCACUGCCUUGAUGCCUGCUUAAGACCAUAUAUUGAUUUCUUCAGUUUGCAGACUUUAUUUUCAUCUUCUACAAAACCAUCAAGCUGCAACAUGUAGAUUUCUUCAUGCAAAUCACCAUUCAAAAAUGCAGUCUUGACAUCCAUUUGAUGUAACUCGAGAUUCAAGUGUGCAACAAGAGCCAUAACAGUUCUGAAUGCAUCUUUGGUAGAAACCGGAGAGAAUGUCUCAUUGUAAUCAAUACCUUCCUUCUGAUUGUACCCCUUAGCCACUAACCUUGCUUUGUGCCUCUCUAUUUUGCCUUCAGCAUUUCUCUUUGUCUUAAACACCCAUUUGCACCCAAUCAGCUUAAAAUCACAUGGCUUAUCAACCAAAAUCCAUACAUUAUUCUGAGACAUACUCUUAAGUUCAUCUUCCAUUGCCAAUUUCCAUUUUGCACUAUUCACUGAUUGCAUAGCUUGUGCAACUGUAAGUGGAUCAUCCUCAUCUCCCAAAUCAAUUUCUUCAAUUAAAUACAACUAAUAAUCAUCUGGUAUAGCAGGCUUCUUGAUCCUUAAAGAUUUUCUCAAAGCUAUAGGUUCAGACACUUCUUCGUUUUGCACUUCACUUGCUUCCAUUUGCUGCUGAUCUUCAUUUCCUUGUCCUGCAAUAUUUUGCUCUAUUACAGUAGCAUCUUGAACUUCAUUUUCUGCUUGUUGUGUAGAUACGUUAUCAUUCUGAUUCUCUGGAACAAGAUUCACCAGUGUUUCACUUCCUGAAGCCAUAUUAUUAUUAUUGUUGUCCUGAACUGGGAUUGAAACAGCACUGCAAUCCUGGUACACAAACCACUCUUCAAAAUUCUUGUUACUCCUUUCCAAUGCUUCCAUAGGUUCCUUUGACACUUUACUUGCAUCAUUAUCACAUUGUUCAUCAUAAAACAUGGCCCUAUGUGACUCCACAAUUCUGCAACUUCUCUUUGGACAGUAAAACUUGAACCCCUUGGACUUUUCACAAUAGCCAAUAAAAUAACCACUUACAGAUUGAGAAUCAAGCUUUCCAUUUGCCACAUUGUGUACUCUAAUCUCUGCAUUGCAGCCCCAAACAUGAAAAUGAUUCAAACUAGGCUUGUAACCACAACUCAAAAGAGGUUUUCAACACAGCCUUGCUUGGAGUUCGAUUGCAAAUAUAAUUUGUUGUUUUCAAUGCUUCUCCCCACAAAAAUUUUGGAAGUGCAGACCUCACUAUCAUGCUUCUCACCAUGCUUAUCAAUGUUCUAUUCCUCCUUUCUGAAACACCAUUCUGUUGUGGGUUGUAUGGAGUAGUGUAUUGUGCUACAAUUCCACAUUCCUGCAAAAACAAUGCAAAAGGGCCCUUACGUUGGCCCUGCUCAGUAUACCUUCCAAAAUAUUCACCUCCCCUAUCUGAUCUGAUAACCUUAAUUACCCUGCCUGUUUGUUUUUCAACUUCAGCCUUAUAAAUUUGAAAAGUUUCCAAAGCUUGUGAUUUUUCUGAAAUUAGGUACACAUAACAGUACCUAGAGAAAUCAUCAAUGAAGGUGAUGAAAUAACAAUUACCACAGAUAGUAUUGACUGGAAAAGGACCACAAAUAUUUGUAUGAAUUAAAUCAAGAAGACAUUCACUCCUCUUUGAACUUGUGUUCCUAGCCUUAGUCAUUUUCCCUUUCAAACAAUCAAUACAAGUCUCAAAAUCUGUAAAAUCUAAUGUAGGCAGUAUGUUUUGUUUCACAAGUUCACUCGGUCUUUGUUUUGAAAUAUGACCAAGUCUUUUAUGCCAAAGAAAAGAUGAUUCUACAAAUUUUCUCUUUGAAAUCGUUUUACUUAAAGCAAAAACAUAAUGCUCAGCUUGAUUUUCAGAAACAUUAACACAAUUAACAUGCCAAUAACCACUUAUCAAACUUGAAUCACCAAAACACUUAUUAUCAUAAUAGAAAUUCAUAGCUAUAUUAUUACUUGAGAAACUAUAGCCAUUGUUUGCUACAAACUAAGAACCAGAAAUCAAAUUCCUACUAAUACUAGGGAUACAAUAGACAUCGUUCAAUACUAAUACAUAGUUAUUCCUAAACUUGAGCUUGACACAUCCUACAGCCUUAACAGCCACCCUUUGGCCAUUUGCUGUACAAACUUUUGUUUCAUUCCUGCUUGGGAUGGAAAUCUCUGACAAUCCCUGUAAUGAAUUAACAGUAUGAAUGGGUGAGCCAGUGUCAAACCACCAAGAAUCAUCACUUACAAAAUCAUUUGACUCAAAUUUGAAAACAGAUUUAACAAGAAAAUCACCUUUCUUCUUCAGCCAAGCUUUGAAACAUCACAAUCUUUCUUAAAGUGACAAGGUUUCUUACAAAAGAAACACCUAAUGCCACCUGCAGGUUUGUACCUUUUAUCAUGAUCAAAUUUCUUAAUAGGUUUAGAGGUGCUUACAGAGGUACUAGCUUUGCAGUUCUUGUUGCCAAACUUCUUGAAUUUUCCCUUUGACAUCAGAUUCACAGCCACAGCCACACUUUUUCCCUUCUUCUUAACUUCAUCCUCAACUUCCACACAAAGUGAAAUUAGCUCGUUCACUGUCCCCUUUUCCUUUUGAGUCUUAUACAACGACUUUAGUUGAUCAAACUCAUCAGGUAGAGAAUUAAGCAACAUGUAAACCAGAAAAGGCUCCUCUACAAUCAUACCAAGAUCCUUCAGACUUUCAACAAUAUUGGACCCCUUCAUAAUGUACUCCCUUACACUGCCCUUUCCAUUAUACUCCAUUCUCAUGAAGGAUUUCAUGAGUCUUCCAGUCUCAGCUUUGUUGGAGAUGAGGUACUUUUGAGCAAUAGAAUCCAUGUAGACUUUUGCCAAUUCAGAAUCUGGGAUGCUACCCCUCACACUGCUGAUCAUGCUCUUCUUGAUCAUUAUCAGUACCAUCUUGUUGUGCUUGUACCAGUUAUCAUUCUUCUCUUUCGCAUAUGUGCUUGCAUUCUCAGCCAAUGCUAAUGGUGGAUCUUCCUUCAGCACAUGAUCGAAAUCCAAGAUUCCCAGAUUAAGUUCUAUGUCACAUUUCCAUUGCUGAAAGUUUGAGCCAUUCAGAUGCUCAAUCUGAUUUAUGGACAUUGGAAAUUGCAUAGCUGUAUGUGAAAAAAGAUCAAACAAGUUAAUCCAGUGUAACUUGAUACCAGAAAAAUUUGAAUGUCCCAAAUAUAGUAUAUAAAUGUAUAUGCAUACAGUGAUAUGAAACUUAUCAAAUUCAAGACUCUGACAACCUUUGUGGUGUACACAUCUUUAUUGAUAUGAAUGUUCAUUUACUCUUUACACAUACCAGAUCACAAAACCAAAUGUCUAAACUGAGUCUCUAUGGAAACCAGAAUAAAUUUAAUUUUAAGUUUUUAAGUUUAAGAUCUGUUCUUGAUGAUGGAAUUGUUGCAGUCCUGUUUAUCUUCUAACAUAAAGCCACUAUGGCAGCACAAAUGUUCAAAAGAUCAACUGAAUGAUACAUAAAAUUUCAUUCAAUGCAUUUCAGGUCACUAUGGCAACACAUAAUGCAUACACCAUUUAUAUCACUCAUAUCACUUAUAACAUCAGCAUAUUCAUAUAAAAGAUAUAAUAUAAAUCACUGCAUCAGAUGAAUAGGCAUAUAAACGAGCAUACAUAUAUAUUGCAAUAUAUAAGCAUGUAUUUUCUGGCUUAAUGUGGAUUAAACAUAUAGAUUCCCAGCAUACAAGUUAUAAAGGAAAAAAGUUUCUUUUACAUGCAAUUGAUCUAAGCAUAGUCGCUCUGAUACCAAUUGUAAGUUUUUUUUAAUUAAAUCUAUAUUAGAUCAAUACAUGUAAACUAACAUUGUGUUUAUAUGUCAAUUUUACUUAGGAUUGCAAACACUAUAUUUAUCCUAUAUAUGCAUAAAACAUGAAUAUAUGAAUAUGAACUCAGAAUUUACCAAAACCACUUUGAUUAUCCAUUCAGCCUUCUUCUUAUUUCACCUUUAUGUUUUCUUAGUAAUGGGACUAAGUAUGAGAAUCAGAUGUGCAUAAGUAGGGACUAACAGACAUAUAUAUAGCAUAUUGUAGGUAGUUUCAUCCAUAAAGAAACUGCCACAAACUUAACUGCUUUGUCAUAAAACUGCUCUCAACUGCAAUUUAGAUUUCAAAUUCAAAUGUAAAGCUUAUCUACAGAUUUAUCUUAAGGCUUUUACACAUGUCUUAAACUCAAAUCACAUUAUAUAUAUUUAUACUGUGUUUCUAAUAUCAGUAAACAAGUCUUUGUCAAGUUCUUAUAAGCUGAUAUGCUUACAGGUGCUGCUGCCGGAUGGGUGUCCAUAGCAAUUUUUCAGUGGGCACCCAACCGAACACAUCUGCAGUUGAAUGAUGCCAGCAGAUCGAGUGACCCACUCCAAGUCGAUCGAGGCCGAUCACAGUCCCUCGGUCAGGUCUGAUCCCAACUCCCACAUUAACUCCCUCUCCUGUUGAAUCUGACCAACCGGGAACAUAAGCUUGCUUUGCCUGAACAUGGACUCUGCUAUCCCGGAGGCAAAGUAACUGUUGGUUGCUUAUUUCGAUAUCGAGUCUGGCAUUGAACUCGACCAUGAUAAAACGGGCUCCCAGCGAAUCCGUUUGCCCCUAACUGAUGAACUUGACCCGAAGGAGCUCAUGAAGCCGGUCCUGAGUGGUGUCGAAGAUCCCGGUGAGUUACAGCUGGCUGCACACCCGCACUUUGACGAAAUCGUGAUCGAGAUCAUCGACUGCCAUUAAGACGAGAAGGUCCCGGAUGCUGGCUACCGAUUGGGAACCCGGGAGGGUCACUCCUUGGACUGUGCGGACAAGGGUCCGGGAUGGGUCUCACGGCUGCCGGCAGAGAUCUCUGGCGAUUUGGAACAAACCGGAGGCUGCCACCGGGAGAGGAACCCUUGGGUCUCGCUGAAUCAUCUCUGGGACGGUGGUUGGAGUUUGUUGUUCGGCCUUGGCAACAUCCCGAUGAUAAAAGGACCGGGCGGGUCAUGCCAUCCCUCUUAGUGGCAUGGGCCUGCAUAUGGCCUCCUAAUGGGUUGGGCCUGAGAUGGUUCAGGCCUGCAUGAGCUUACUGGCAGGGCAACAAGACUUUUUGUACUGAUUCCCACAGAGGGCGCCAAAUGUUUCUGCAUAAUCCCGGAGACUAUGUAGAAUUACGGUGGAACACGAACAUGAACAAUAAAUAUCAUGGGCAAAAGACAAGCACGUAUAGUGGUUCACCAUGCCAUCAGAGGACAUGGCUACGUCCACUUUAGAAUCAACUAUCAUGGCCAAUAUGCCUUUAGGGUCGGGAGAGAGAUCAUCAUGCAGCCAGCUAGCUAGAGAGCUUUCUACAUAUGGGAAGCCCUCCUUUUAUAGCUAAGGAAGGUUUCCUCCUUUUACAUAUUUCCAAUGUGGGACUAACUACUACACAUAACUAUUAUCAAGGUGUCUUCCCGAUGUGGUACGGAUAAUAUUUCACCAUAGCGAGGUAGCCUGGAUGUCGGUCUACCGGAAGUAUGUCGGGGGCGGGGCCCUUCGUGGCCAGAAAACGGUCUACGAGGUCGUUGCUUAUGCUUGCGGUAUAUAUACCAAUAACAAUUACUUCUUUAGGAUUAGGUCAAACUGGCGAAGGAGAUUCAUUUUUUUGUUUUAAUUUUUUUUCUUACCUUACCAAUCUAACAGCUUACAAUAAACCUAGUUCAAUCUAAUGGUUAUUUGGGUUUUUGUAUUUUUUUUUUAACAGGGUCCUAUCCGAACCAGAAUUUCCUGAAACAAAUCGGAUAAAAAAAAAUUUGUUUUUUACUAACCAGGAUCUGAUCCGCACCUUAUUAUUCGGAUCGGAUCGGUUUGAUCGGUCUUAGAACCGAGACCCAGAUAUGCAACCCUACAUCAGAGUGUGUCUCUGUUUCUUCUGAGAAAUGUGGGUAGACUUGGUAGUUCUGGGACAUGUGUAUAUCAUGCUCCGGUCAGUUUCUCAUACAGUGGACUGUAGUUGGUGCCUUGAUGGUUCUCGUUCUAGUAUUAUUCAUAUCAUUUUUCUUUUUUGAUAAAAAAAAGAACUAGAUUAAAUGGAUGUGCCUCUAAUGCACCCGCGGUUUAUAGAGUCAAAAGACAACGCUAGGCUAGCUUCCAGAGGAACAAUCUCCUCCUAGAAACGAACAUCUCCUACUUUGUGGCUAAAAUUUGCAACAACAUUAGCUACAAAAUUGGCCUCUCUAAAAACAUGCUUGAAACUAAUAUAAUCAAAGGAGUUCCUCAAAAUUCUAAUUUCUUGAACUAGGUUGAGAAUCCUCCAGGGUGUAGCAACAGUGCCAUUAACUGCAUCGAUGAAAAGCUUCGAGUCUCCUUCAACCUCCACUUUGGACAAGCCUCUCUCCUUGGCACAAAUGAGGCUGUUUCAGAGUGAAAGGGCUUCUGUAACUGAGAUUGUGAUAAUUCCGAAAUUGGAAGAAGCUGCAACAAGUGAAUUGCCAUUAGGGGUUCGGAUUACGAAUCCUCCUGUUGCAGAGUUCCUCCAGACUAAGCCAUCAAAAUUGAUUUUAACCCUAUCAUUAGGGGGUGGUGACCACCUGAUCAUUUCAAAUCUGUGCCAGGAGUAUUCAAAUUCUUAGUUGAACUAGGAUCACUCUGAGUAUUACUCAUAGCCUGUAGAUGAGCUACAACAGCAGCUACUGUGGCAUUGGAUCUAGGGGUUUUGCCCCUAAAAACCACAUCAUUCUUGUCCUUCCAUAUCUGCCAACAAGUCUAUCACAAUAAAUUUCCCAAAAAGAUUAGUCAUAGUGAUUAUCUAUAAACCAUUUACGAGCCACCUUAAUAAGGCAUUCCUCCCAGUCAGUAGGAGGAGUCAUGGCAGUUGCAUUCCACACAGAAGUUGCAAAUUUGCAGUAACCAAAUAAAUGGUCUAUUGUUUCAUUAUCCUCAUUACAAAUCACAUCUGAUCCCAAAACGCGAUAGUCUGUCCCUUGUUUUAUGUCUACCUUUGAAAAGAAGCCAACCAAAGAAUUUCAUUUUUGAUUGAAUAUUUAGAGACCAAAGCUUCCUAAUAAGCCCCAUCUGAUCAUGUUUUUGGCCAUCCUGUAGUUGCAUCCAAGUUGCAGACUUUAUAGAGAAGUUCCCAAGAGUUAUAUAACCCCAAACAAACUCAUCGUUAGUAGGUAUAGAAGGAAUAGAGAUUCCUAUGAUUAUUCAUAUCAUAAAGAGUCCCGUACAUCUCCCCUAAACAAAACUAUCAGCAGCCUAAGCACGCGAAAGUACUAAGAAGGCACAUACGGGAUAGACGUCGAUGAUUCAUAAUCCACGUACGCAUGGUUUUCAUUUUCUUCCAGCUAGCUAGCUAGCUAGCCACUUAUUAUUAGGUAAAACCAAACCCUAGCUAGCUAGCUAAGGCGUGGUCGAGUUAGGCACAGCACGAAUCCGUAUAUGAAAUCAUGAUCGAUCCCCGCCGUAUGCUCCAAAAAUGGCAAGACAGGUUGGAAUGAUGUGCCAUCGAAUUGUCAGCCGGCGUUAUAAAAGGUGGCACUGUUCUGUUUGGCCAAAUCUGGAUAGAUAUACAUGGAUUAUGGAGCUGCUGCCGCACAUAAGUCAUUCUGGAUAUCUGGGAGCAGUAUUGGAAUCUGUUUAGUUCUCUGUGUUGUUUCGUGGGGUAAUUCCAAAACAUCUUUUGGCUUCAGGAUUCAGGAAUUUGAUUCCCAACUCUUUUCCAUUAUUCGGCAAACGUGGCCAUAGCACACGACUCCCUAUUAUUUGCUGGCCUCUUCCAAUCGGAACCAUAUAUACAUGCAUACAGAAGAGACACCUCUCGAUCACUGUGACGAUCCAAUAUUAUCUUGUGGAUAUGUUGCGAUUUUGUGAACGAUUUUGCAUGUCGGGGUCUGUGAUUAUCUUCAGGCUAGCUAGUCAUACGAUCCUCGACUUCUGAAAACAUCAAGAUCGGAAGCCGGUAUUGGCUGUUUGUGUAUUUUGUGCUCAUUCUGUCUAGAUAUUCUGGAUAUCGGCCGUAUGGUCUAAAUUAAGUCACACGUAAUGGAAGUAAAACAAUGUCAGCCUGUAGAACAUUUAUCACUAGUUGUUUGCAGAGUUCAAUACAUACUUGUUCUGCUAAAUAUGAACUUUUUAUUGUUCACUGUAGCAUUAAAAUUAGACGUGUGUACUUUUUGUGUACAUACUUAAAGAAAACAUAUCUAUGGGAGAUUUUGUCUCUAGAGAAAUCACCUUAAGAUUUGUCUCUAGAGAAAUCACCUACGGAGGACAUAUAUCUACGUGGUUGUUUCUGUUAAGGUCCUGCAUAUUUAUUUAUGGAAAGAAAAUACUUGCGUCCGGACUAGUAUUAUGUAUGUGUGCGUUCGGGGUUUCUCUUAUUUACAUACUUUUGUCAAUGUAAAUCAUAAUUUUAAUAGUUUAAAAGUUAAAUUAACUAACAAAGAUUAGCUAUGCAAAAAAAUCAAUGUAAACAAAAUUCGUUUGCUCAGCCCAUUUUAAACAAAUAGACAAUUCUGGUGAAAGUUAGCAGUCUCAUGAUUAACUGUUAAUUUGUUUGAUUCAUUAAGCUAAGCAAACGAUUUUUGUUUACAUUGAUCUUUUGCGGAGAUGAUCUUUAAUUUUGAGGGAAUUUACCCUAUCAUGUAUUGGGCAUGCAUGUAUCGUUGUGGUGUGUAUUUAUUUAUUUAUUUAUUUUUUUGAAAGAGUCAGUUACGACUUUCAUUAAUUUAGGUAAAACGAAUGUUAAAAGCAGCUAUUACAUACUCUACCGCUAUCAUCUACAGAUAGACAAGUAGUUAUGAGGCAUACCUCACCUAGUACAGAGGAUAGAUUACUUUUUAAUAAUCGUGCUCACUUAUUCUGUAAGUCUAUUUCUACUGAUGCAUAGACAAAUAGGCUAAUGAUUUAAAAUAGAUAAACUUAAAAAAUGUCUAGUAGGGCCAAACCCAAUCUGCUAAGGCCCAGAAAAACCCUAGCAGAAUUGAUGCCGGUAGCGUAACCGUUGUCGUCAACACAGACUACAGCAACCAAGCCAUCGACGCCGACAUUGCAUCCUCCUUUGUUGCCGCCACAAGCCUUGUUGUUUUCGCCGUUGACCUGAGCAUCACUGCUACCAUCUAAAGUUCCAUGCGUUGCUUUCACAAGUCAUGCCUUCGUACCAACAACACCAAUCCAAUCAGAUGUUAAAUUGGUUUUAGAUCUAGGAGAAAACCUAGAUGAGGAAACAACAUAGACGCCUUCGCUAGGGAAGAAGUCUUCCCUUGGACCUUCACUUCAGUUAUGCUUGCGGUGAAGAGGUGAGAGACACCAGGGGUUGAUUGGAUUGGUGAUGACCGUUGAUAGAUUGCCACGCAAAGACAGCAAGAGGCAGAGGAUGAAGAUCUGCAUAGUGAUGGUGAUUUGCACCAUUGAUAGAGCCCCGAGUCAUGACGGCCAGAGUUUGGUAGAGAGGAAAAAGAGGGAGCCAUUAGGUCAUUCUGUUUCGUUGUGGUGUGUAUUUGUCUUCGGUUUAGGGUUUAAUUACAUACGGUAUAUGUGUAUCGGGUAACUACUUUCCAAAUAAAAUUUACAAUAAUAAUGACACCAGAGUUUAGGGAUGGCAAUGGGUAGGGUAGGGUACGGGGAUCAAAAUACCGUACCCAUACCUUUUUACAUUUUUCAUCCCCGUACCCGUCCCCGUACCCGUAAUUAGAUAAUGGAGAUUCCCCGUACCCGUACCCUUUGGGGAUUACGUUUUCAUACCCGUACCCGUACCCGUUAACAAUUAUGUAUUAAAUUAAAUUUUUUAUUUUAAAUACGAAAUACAAUUAUAUAAAAGUAUGAAAUUAAAAUCAAAUACCAAAAUAAAUAAGUUUCAUACUUCAAUCCAAUAAAAAUAAAUAUAAGUCUUGGUUAAAACAUAACAAUACCGGUAAAUUUCAUUAAGAGAAUAAAAAUAUAUAAUAAAAAGGAAGGUCCAUUAAAUGUUUAUUAAGAGAAUUACAAAUUUUUUUACAUAAAUAUUUAUUUAUAAAUUAUAUAUAAAUAUAUAUAAUAAUAAAAUUAUAUAAUUAUAUAUAAUAAUAUUUUCAUCCUUAAUGGGUGGGGAUGGGGACGAAUAUCAAAAUACCAUACCCGCCCCGUACCCGAUUUAAGAAUCCGAAUACUAAGGAUCCCCAUCCCCGUUACCCGUUUAUACCCGUAUAUCUUCCCCGUUAGGGUCGAAUACCCGUGGGUACCCUACCCGCUGGGGAUUAUUGCCAUCCCUACCAGAGUUAUAUACUCAAGAAAAUAUAUAUAAGCUACCAUAUUAUAUGAAAUCAUUUCCUAAAUGAACCAAGAAACUAUAUAUGCAUGUAGGUUUGAAGGAUGAGGUUUGGGUGUGAAUUUCGAGAAAAUCUACACAAAAGAUCUCAUUAUAUAGUUAUAAUUCUAUAUCACGUACAGACAAUAUUCUUAGACUCAAAACUCAAUCAAGAUUGGUUUUUGACACAAUAUAUAUAUUUUCACUUCAUUCUCAAAAUUUAGAAACUAAAUUAAGCUCAAAGUUGACUAGUCGAUCAUGAUGCAAAUCAACACCCCCUAAACUCCAAAAUAGCGUUUUAACAUGUCGUGGGUCUCUCUUUGCUGCAUGGGGCACUUUUGUCCCGGCCGUUCUAAUAUGUGAUAUAUAUAUCUUCCAGCCAGAUGAUCUGCAGCUGCCUUAUAAGUGCAUAGUCCAUCGAAAGCAACUAGAUGAUAUGCCAACUGAGAAGACGUGGUUGUAUUUUGUAUAGUCUAGCGAUCUAUAUGUAUGAGGAUAAUCAUAUAGCUCAAUAGCUAACUUUCUAGGAACAGUUAAGAACAUGCACCUGUUCGACUUAUCUUGAUGUAUCCACACUGCAGUCAAAUUUAUCUUGAGGAAUCAUGUAUGUGGAAAAUAUACAGAGAGGCAUAGCUCAGAGCUUGGCAAUCACUCGAAAAUCUAAUAACAGAUUCGUUCUUACCUAUGUGGAUGUUCUCCUGACAUCCUAUACGUCCAAUUGUCCAAAUGAGUCUCAUUGUCAUCAUUGCUAUAGGACUAGCUAGCUCGAUCGCAUGGAGCACAAAGCAAAAGGGAGCUUGCCAUUGCUGAAUACUAUUAAUUCUAAUAUCUCCACGUACUGAUUUUGAUUCCACUCGCUCGUAUAUCCUCUUCCACACCCAACGUUUUUGUCCUCUUGAUCAUCAUGACUAAACCAUUUUUAAUGAUGGCAUGGGUAGAAGCAGAUCUAGAGAGCUUGAGGCUCCCAUGCUUUGCUUUUCAAUUGAAUUGCUGGCAUAGCUCUUAAGUCUUAAGCUAGGGUUAAAGAUCAGCUCUAUCUCGUACAUGAGAUAUACGCAUUUUUAUAAAGAUUUUGAAGAUUAAUGUGAAAUAAAGAAUUUGUUGGAGUUGAAUCGAAGCAUAUAAACGGUAAAGGAAUAUUGACUUUUUGCUUCAUGAUACAGAAAUUAUAAGAGAACUGUUGGAUUAUUAAGUUGUUAUGCGAGCGAGCAUUUGUUAUAUACUUAGGCUUGUAUGGCCCCAAUUUAUCUCUCAAAGGAGAUCGACAUUAAUAUCAGCUAGCAACCGUAUAUUAUUUGACAUGAACCAACCUCGAUCUCUUUAGGUCCUAACAUCUGGUGUUUACCGUGUUAUUUAGUCCAGAGAUUUUACUCCAAACAGAGCCAUUUGUUAAUUAGUACAUUAAUCCAUGGCUGCAUGUGUGGUUUUUUGUAGUUUUAAGGAAAAUAUUGACUCACAGUCUUAAUUGAACGAGGAAAGCAAGUUAAGCAAAGAAGAUGACUGCUGAUACCUAUAUGGAUUGUGUGUUGUAGUCAUGUAGAAAGGUAGAGGAUGAGAUAGAUGGCUUCUACUCCUACACAAGGCCGGUCUUGGCGCAGUGCAAGCAGUACGCUUGCACCAGGCCUAGGAACAUAGGGGGCCUUAAUUUUUUUUUUUUCAAUAUGUUAAAUAUAUUAAUAUAUAAUUAUAUUAAUAUAAAAGAAAAAAACAAAACACAAUUAAAGUCCCAAAAGACAUUUUCUCUUUUGUCGUUCAAUCUUCUAGACUUCUAUUUAGUUAUUCUUAUUAGUUAUGUCCUAUUGCGUCAUUCUUGAUUUUCUUAGAAAAAAUGUCUUCCGUUCACUCUUCUUUUCUUUUAAUUUUUUCAUCUUCUUCUAAAUUCAUAAUUUCAUAUACUCAUUGCAUCGAUUAUGGAGAAGAUUCGUUGUCGAUUGACGAUUGAUAUUCUUCACAAGACCACAACCCAAUCUCAUAUAUAGUCUUUACUUCAUUUGUCGAUGAAAUUGUAAAACUCUCUAUAAAUUGCUCACAUUCUCACAAUCAUGCAAAGUUCUCCAUCCUCUCUCAAUUUUGGACUCUCAAUUUUGCAUAUCUUCUCUCAUAUAUAAUCUAAUUUCACAAGACUGGACCGAAGGUUGCUCUGAACUUCACAUUUUUAAAUUCUUCUUUUUUGAUUCUGUCAUUUUGGAUGUUGAAAAAUGUUGCUUUAAAUUUCCUCUGUUUUUUUUUUCUUUUCUGAAAUUAUGUAUAUGAGAUACAUAAAAUUGAUGUACGAAUUUGAUAUAUGAAACCCCAAAAAAAUUGGUAUAUUUUGAAUAAAAAAAUUAUAUAAGGGGCACAUUUUUAACUUUCGCACUGGGUCUUGAAUCCUUUAGGACCGGCCCUGCUCCUACAUCUUUCUGUGUUUUUGAUGUACCUACCUUAGCUAGUUAAUUAACUGCAUGCCGCCAUGCAUCUGUAUGGUAAUGGAUAUAUNNNNNNNNNNNNNNNNNNNNNNNNNNNNNNNNNNNNNNNNNNNNNNNNNNNNNNNNNNNNNNNNNNNNNNNNNNNNNNNNNNNNNNNNNNNNNNNNNNNNNNNNNNNNNNNNNNNNNNNNNNNNNNNNNNNNNNNNNNNNNNNNNNNNNNNNNNNNNNNNNNNNNNNNNNNNNNNNNNNNNNNNNNNNNNNNNNNNNNNNNNNNNNNNNNNNNNNNNNNNNNNNNNNNNNNNNNNNNNNNNNNNNNNNNNNNNNNNNNNNNNNNNNNNNNNNNNNNNNNNNNNNNNNNNNNCCAGCUUAUGUCAAACUAAAACCGUUGAAGGUCAUUAAAACUAAAUUGAACUUUUGAAAGCCUUAACGAUCACCAAAUCAUAUGAAAUUUUGUAGAGGUGAUCUACUCAUAUAGACCUAAGAUAUGAACGGUGGAGAUGUAAAAUUAUAAUCGGGAAGUUGGUGUAAUACCAUAUCCCUAUAAAUGGCUUAAAAUAUGGAUCCCUCAUUGAAAGGGCCAUAUAUAUAUAUAUAUAUAUAUAUAUAUAUUUAUAGACACACACACAUACACACACAUACAUCUAUAUAUAUGGAUUUGCAUCAUUUCAAGGAUUUUGCCAUUUCAAGUUAAACUAAUUUGAGAGGAAUACGAGUAAGACGGUAAAAUAAUCAUUUUAGACCACGUACAUAUUUCUUUCAAGCCCCUAGAUCCAUCUUGAACCAUGUAACGUACUUUGAUCCAAGCAAACUCUAUUGAAGUUCAUUUGGAUUCGUCCGGCGCCCGAAUUCCGGACUAUUGAUUCUAAAGGAUAUUCUAGCUCAAGCAGACAGAUCGAUCGUCUGCCCUAAAUUUUAGUUUCUGUUUAGGGAGGUCGACUGAUAAGAAGUCUCAUCAUCAGAGCUAGGUCCAAACAAAUGAACCCUAAAAUGAUCGAACUGUAGGUUGCCUGCGUUCUAGGUUACACUACAUCGACGACGACUAGUUAAUUCUCAUCCCGUCACGAACUCUCUCGACUGGACCACGGAGAUUUCUACACCUGUCCCGACGAACCCUGACGUCGCUCUCGCCUCCGAUUCUUGACGUUAGGUGGUGGUCACGACGCAGUAGGGGACCAACAUCUCCAGAACCUUCCACGUCGGCUAAUCGGCGGUUGACCGUACAGUUCCCCACCGACGUACCUGGGUCCAACGACAAGCUGGCCUCUUAUAUUAGCUUGGGGGAUUAUCCGAACGGGCUCAGCUGUAAUACACCGCCGUCUCGGGUCCAUCUGUUCCACAUGAAUAUGGCGUCGCACAGGUAAAAUCUUAUAUUCUCGAUGUGGGAUUGAUAUCUCAACACGCCUUUGCACGUGUGGUGAAUUUUCAAGCCUAACACGUGGACCUUGGACGUGGGUAAUCCGCUCUGAUAUCAUGAUAAAGUAGUAUGCGGUUCACGUCUAAAACCAAUUGGCAAUUGGUGGAGUGGCCCAAACCCUUAUAAACCUACAGGCAAAGUCUCAUAUUCCCGAUGUGGGAUUGAUAUCUCAACACUAACUUUGCGACUUCAAGGGUUUUAACUUGCUCCAUCGAAAACAAUGUUAUCAUGCACUCAUCCAUGACAAAGAGUGACAUGAUAUGGGGUGCUAGAAUAUAUAAGAGAAAUCAAGAAGUAUGAGAUUAUCUUAACGGGAUGGAAAAUGAGAAAUAUAUCAUCAUGUCUUGGGCAUGCAAGGUGAACUUGACGGAAAAUUUGGUUAAUAAUGCUUAACGUUGAUAUGUGGUUGGAUUAAAUUAUUAGAGGCAGGGCAAGUCUUUAGCGACCUGUGUAUCUUAAAAGAGGUUAGCUAGUUUUAACUCUUUACCGAUACAUGUUUUGUAUGUGUAAAAUAACGUUAUUUAUAUUUUUUAAGUUUUAAUAUUUAGAGUAUAAAGUUAGAAAUUAUGUCGGCACGAUGUGAAAAAUUAUAUAUGUAGAAUGUGGGAUGUGAAUUUUGUCUUAUUAUAUCAACGACUUUUAGUAAUACGAUAACUAUUUUUUCACUAUGACUUGCCACUUACAAAUAGACAAAUGUUACUAGACAAAAUGAUACUAGGCUAGCUAUUCUUGAUAAAAUUUUGUAAAAUUUUAUUUCUUUAUUAUUCAAAAUAUUUAUUCCAAUAUUCAUCACAUAAUAAAAAUUUUACAAUGUGUUAAUGUAACUCAAAAUACGAUUAUUCGUUAAGAGUGAUUUCUAAAGGAAACAGGAAAACUUUAAUUUGGAUUUCUUAGGUCAAAAAGCUUUUUUUCUUUUUCUGAAAAGGGUCUGGGAUUGGCCAAGAAAGUUUUAUCUGGCUAAGCUAUAACUAUUCAAGUUCAACAUGACAUGUUCUUAUCCUUUCAGCAACCUUCCCAUUUCGGAAGCUAACACUACGUAUACAGUGAGAGCUUAAUUCAGAACCACAAUUUACAAGUCAAACGAUUCAAUUCAAACAGUGAUUUCUAGCAUUCACCAUGAGUUUGAUUGUGUCAAGUCUAAGAAAUCACUUUCCAAACUUUUAGCAAAUUAUUUAAUUUCCUCCUAAUCCCAGUUCACAGUUUGUCUCUUUGUGCAGGUGGAACUCCUCCUUCCUCCUAUAUAUACCCCAGCCCUCCUCUUUUCCUCUCAUCAUUGACAUUACCUCCCUUAGCAACCAUCAUUUCCAGUUCUUCACCAUCCUUCAGUACAGAAGAGAAUUCACAAAGAGAGAACCAGAGAGAGUGGUGCUACAUUUUUAUGGAGAAAAUUGCUUCUACUUUGAUAUACAUAUUUAUCUCUCUCUCAGCUCUGUUCUUAUAUCACUGCAUAAAGAAACAAAAGAGAACAUUUCUGCAUAAGGCUAAGCUUCCCCCAGGCUCAAUGGGGUGGCCUUGCAUAGGAGAGACCCUGCAAAUGUACUCUAUGGACCCAAACAUAUUCUUUUCCACAAAGCAGAAGAGGUUUCUAAUCAAUUACCAACCUCUGAUCAUAAUUUCAUGUUUACAUCGGAUAUUGCAUGGAUUUAUCCAACUUGUUCUGCUUUACUUGUUCAUCAGGUAUGGAGACAUAUUCAAAACCCACAUACUUGGCUGUCCUUGUGUCAUGUUGGCAAGCCCUGAGGCCACAAAGUUUGUGCUGGUUACUCAUGCUCACCUAUUCAAGCCCACAUACCCGAAAAGCAAGGAGAAGCUGAUCGGCCCUUCUGCUUUGUUCUUUCACCAGGGAGAUUACCACAGUAGUCUUAGGAAGCUCAUUCAGAGCUCUCUGUCUCCAAACCCCAACACUAUGCAGAAACUGGUUCCUGACAUUGAAGCUUUAGCCAUUUCUGCCUUGGAAUCAUGGGCUGCAGCCGGAACUGUCAUCAACACCUAUCAUGAAAUGAAGAAGGUACAUGAAAUUUUGGACCCUCCAUAUUUGAUUAAUUACAUGAGUUAAAGUAGUCUUCUGCACCAACACGUUUACUUACGUCGUUUUGCUCAUGUAUGCUUAUGUCGGCUUAUCUUGGUUUUGCCACUGGUUCUAAUGUAUCUGUCCUUCCAUUGUCGUCUGCAGUUUGUGUUUGAUGUCGGCUUUCUUGCCAUUUUUGGCCGAUUGGAUGAUACUUACAGAGAGAAGCUCAAGCAGAACUACCACAUGGUAGACAAGGGUUACAAUUGUUUUCCAACAAACAUGCCAGGCACUGCAUAUCACAAAGCUCUCUUGGUAAGCAAAAUCAACUCUAUCGGUAUAGUUAUAUGUAUGUAGUACAUGUUAAAGAGAUUUUAAUUUGACAAUGCCUUUUGUUUCUUCCACUUUCUUCUUAAUCAUCAAAGGCGAGGAAAAGGCUUAGUCAGAUUCUGAGACAGAUAAUUUCUGAGAGGAAGGAAAAGAAAGUACUGCAGAAAGAUCUCUUGGGUGAUUUGCUGAACUUUCAAAAUGAAAAGGGGCAAAACUUAAGCGAGGAUCAAAUUUCCGAUAACAUCAUUGGAGUGCUGUUUGCAGCCCAAGACACUACAGCUAGUGUUCUAACAUGGAUUCUGAAGUACCUCCAUGAUAACCAAAACAUUCUUGAAGCUGUGAAGGUAAGGAUUCCACAGAAGUUAAAACUUUCAUGCAAGUUAUGCAUGCGACAGAUUGUUAUAGAUAUUGUGUAUACUAAGCUGUUCUAUUUUGCAGGCUGAGCAGAAGGCAAUAUGUGAUGCAAAUGAUGGGUGUAAGAGAUCAUUGACAUGGGCACAAAUCAGAAAUAUGCCGCUUACACAUAGAGUAAGCCCAACUCAAAGAAGGCUCAUCAGCUCAUGUGGUCAAAAUUUUUAAUAGCUAGAAAUUAAUAAUAACAGCUGAACAUGUAUAAAUUUUCAGGUUAUAUUAGAGAGUUUGAGGAUGGCCAGCAUCAUAUCUUUCGCAUUUAGGGAAGCUGUGGUUGAUGUUAAAUACAAAGGUAAGUACUUACACUCAAUUUAUGUCAUUUAGGGAGAAAUUGAGAGAAUUUAUUCCACUAAGUUUACCCAGUGCUAAUCACGUGAAAAAAAAUUAUGCAGGAUAUCUCAUACCAAAGGGUUGGAAGGUCAUGCCAUUGUUUAGGAACAUACAUCAUAAUCCUGAGUUCUUCUCUGCUCCUCAAAAUUUUGAUCCAUCUAGGUUUGAGGUAGGUGCUGCAUUUCACAGAAACAGUUAGUUUUUUUUUUUUCCCGUUUUUCGCUUUAACAAGAUGAGAGAAUCAAAUCGGUUGCCUUUUUUGUUUUUGAUCAGGUUUUCAUGCCCUGUUCCUAAUUUUUUUUUCUGGUUGUGGAGGAUAGGUUGCUCCAAAGGCUUAUACUUUCAUACCAUUUGGCAAAGGAGUACAUGCUUGUCCUGGAAAUGAGCUUGCCAAACUGGAGAUGUUCAUUUUGAUCCACCAUCUCGUGACUAGUUUCCGGUACUAUGUCCAUCACAACUUUCUCACAGAAGACUGAUUUUUUUUAUUUUUAUUUUUAUUAUCAAUAAAGGUGACUUUGAAAAGAAAAAUUUAUAAGGGUCUUAUUUGUUAAUUUUCUUCUUUCUGUUUAUGGUUUAUAUUUACAGAUGGGAAGUAGUGGGAUCACAAAGUGGGAUUCAAUAUGGCCCAUUUCCAGUUCCUCAGCAUGGACUACCAGCCAGAUUUCUGAAAGAACAAGUGAAUCCCAAACAAGAUUUCCCGACCACUAGUUAAAUAUGCCUUCCCCACCUAAUUCAUUUCACCUCCCCAUAUGCUAAAAGUAUUCAAUCUUCAACCCUAUUGUUUUUGAGAUGGGUUUUUCGUUCUCUCUAGAAUUAUCCCUUCUACAUAGAGAUCUAGCCCUUGUAAUUUUCAAGGAGUAAUUUUAGGAUUAUCCAAAUCAAUGAUUGAGGGGGGUUAAAGUUUUCAUAUCACUCUAUUGUAAGCUUAGCGAUAUUAUUCUUCCAUCACUGCUCAUUGAUGUACUCCACUACAAUAAGCAGGACUUAUCAUUCACCAUCAUCCAUAAUUCCAUAUUACCAUAAACGAAAAGGUUUGUUAAUAAGCACAAGCGCUAUUUCAGGAUUGCUCUUGAUAUUUGGACAACAAAUAAUUUAAAAUGAAUGAUGAAAGGAUGAUUAAUUGUAAACGACGUAUCUCAACAUUUGCUCUGAAGAUUUCAGUCUAUCAAGUUCUCUAGUGAGGUUAACUUGAUUGCACGACACUAGCUUCUCUGGAUCACACUGGCUCCCAUGAUCUGCAGUGGUAUAUUAGCUCAGCCUUUGACUUUUGCAUCUUGGAUAUGGAAUGUUGUAGGGGAUUCAUCUAGUAACUGUCCUAUCAUGACAAAAGAAAGAAAAUUUACUUUUCACUUCCAACUUUUACCAUCUUCCGUACUUUGCGCAACAUUUCUUACGUAAAAUCUAGUGUAUAAUGUAUAGUGUGUACUUACGUAUUAGUAUGUGCGUAUGUUAUACUAAUUGAGGCAUGGGGAAGAUCAGUGGAACUAGGCAUUGUUCCCCUGAUGGGAACUUGCAUAUUGCUUCACACCAUGUUCAUUAACUGUGGCCACAAAAAUGCCACAUGUUGCAAGCCAAUAGUGAAUAACAGGGAUGCCAUUCAUCAGCAGAAAGCUUUGGAUGAUUGGUUGAUGUAGGAUCAAGGCCAGGUAGCCCUAGCCGAGCAUGACCAACUCCGACCUUCUAAUUGCUAACACAUUCUGAAGCCAAUAUUAUUUUGACGGUGGCCCUGAGUUUGAUAUUUUGUUUAGAGGAGAAAUAAAACUGUCCAAGUUCUACAGUAGGGCACCCCUACAGGGACUGACCAAGAAGCAUUGAUGUCUGCAAAUUUCUGACCUAUUUAUGACCUUCAAGGCUGCAACUUCGAAUUCACUGACCGCAGUUCUGCAUGCUUCCAAUUCUGUACAGAGUCAAACUAACACCAAAUGCAUGACUAGCAUAGAGUGUAUUCAGCAAAGUGUAUCAAAUUCAAUAGUACGUACAGCAAACUUCUGGUUUCGGCCAAUAUGUGACUGCCAGAAGGAAAACUGAUCGAAAGGCCCAAAAGUUGUGCUUGAUGGCUCUGGUAUCAGUCAUGUAAAGCUACAAGCAUUUCUGCACUACUAGCUAUGAUUAAACAGUGUAUCAAGCACAAUGUGCAAGUAAAAGGGAAAGAAAAGCAAGAACAGGGUAUUCUAAUCAGAUCAAACCCCCACCAGAAUAACACUGUAGUUCUGUUGUGAGGUUGACACGACUACUGGAAUGUGCUUGUGUAUUACAAAACUUAGGGUACCAGUGGCGGAAAGGGGAAAAUGACAUUAGAUCAUCACAUCAUUUUCCCACGUCAGAGACGAUGGAAUCGUCUCACCGUCACUACAAAUAAUGCACAAAUAACACCACAAAUGUACCAGAUAUUCACAUGGCACCAGCCACAUCAUUCAUGAAUAGAGCAUUAUCAAGCAAAUGUAGCUGUUGUGGGAUGAACAGUAGUUAAAUAACAACCUUAUUGCCUUCAAUUCAUCAUGAAAAUAAGUGAGACAAUGAUAUAACUUACGGUGUCAAUGAAGAUUUCACUUGGUGCAAUCCAUACCACUUGCAUAAUCCUCCAAGAUACUUCCAAUCGUCCAUGCCAGCAUAAUGAUGAGGAACUUCAUUCUAGUAAUCUGUACAUUGAAUGAAUGCCGUUUUCAUCAGUCAGAAUAUAAGACCAUCAAGACUUAUAUUAUCAUAGUUAUUAGUGAUAAUGAUGAUAAUUAGUUUUGGUACGUAACAUAUGAUGAAGACAAUUCAAACAAUGUAUGUGUUAAUCAAACACUAAAGAAGGAAAAAGUCACGCAAUUAAGUUACGUGAUCCGUAAAAGGUGUCGUGAACAAUCUAGAUUCAGAUCGGCACAUAGCAUAUUUCAAUUUGUCAUCAUUAUCAACUAUCGUAAAAACAUUCAUCUUUCUGUAAAUAGAUCACGACUCAAUUUCAGACAGACAAAAUGGUAUUCAUAAACAACCCUUAAUGCGUAGAUCAGAUCGUGAAGCUUGUAAUGCACUGACACAUCAAUAAUGGAUAGAAGGUAGAUCUUCCAGAAUUGAACUCGGCUUAUAAAUAAGCACCUGAUGUGAACUCUCCUACUCAUAGAGAUAUUGUGUCCAUUCUCUACCAAUCUCAGACCUCAACUCGAAAGAGGCAGGAAUGUGUACAGUAUGAAUUUCUGAAGACAAAAGAGACUUCAUUAUAAACUUCAAUUACUUAAGGAACAUAAGCUCCAGUCCCUGAACAAACACAAUAUACUCUGGUAAUAAAAGUUGAAUCAGCAGAACAAGGAUUUUCAAUGAUCCCCAACUUAAUUAUGACCAUGCACCAAAUCUUACUAUGUCCUAGAUGAAUUCACUAUUAGUUUUACUUUUUCAAGUAGAAACAUGCACAACAUGCAUGAAAAUAUUUUGAAACCUAUUUUCUCAUCACAUUGAGGAUCAUCAUGUCUUGAAGACACAAAUUUUCUGGUGAAAACAUACAACUUCACCACAGAAUGCAUGGAAUAUAUAUUUCUUAGCAAAAAGUACUUAGACCACAAGUAUUCUUGACCUGAAACAAAUUUCUAAUCAGUAACUUUCCUAAUAUUGCAUUCUGUAUAUAGCAUGUUCUUCAGUUUAUUGCAUGCCUGAAAAAACCUUGACACCAGUCUAUGCUUCAUUUAAAGAAAAAGAAAUAAACAUAUGUGGUCUAAGUUUCUCUAUAAUUAGAGUUACUCAGGAAGAUCUUGAAAUGGAAUAUAUAUACCUAGUCCCUUUUUUGUUUUUACUUUUCUAACUUCCAAAAUGGUAAAGAAUUUCACCCUUCUCCUCAAAUGUUCAUAAAACAUCAUAAAAACAAAGAAACUUCUUCUAGCCAAUAAUAUCUUGACUGUUACAAUCUGAUGUUACUUCUCCCUUCCAUCAGCUUGAGGGGGCAUGUUAAGCGAAAAAUGGGUAAAUUAUCUCAAGUCAAGUCAUUGUAGGAUAUAUUAGGUGUACACAAAAACAAACUGCAAUAGAUUGUAUCAAAGUUCUGUGAUACUGAGGCCGUUUUUCAGAUCAAUAUACAAAACUCUCUCUCUUUUUUCUGGGUUUUCAUCAUCUUGUACAAGCUUUUUCUUAUUCUGACACUUCUAACCUGUUUGAUUCAUAUGAAGGACUAGCUAUUCACUUCUUCUUAACUCAAACUUCAUAACAGAUUGCUAAGUUAAUAAAUGAUCACUUGGUUCCAUAUAUGGCUAAAAGAUAGUAACAAGCUGAUUUCUAAAUAACAUUUCUUUCUUAAGCCUUUCGAGUAAGAAAGAGUCAAUCUGACAUGAUUCUUCUGGACUCACUCUACCAGACAGGUCUUUUCAAUAUAUAUAUUCCUAUAGAUCAAUGAAGAAAUAAUAAAACUUCCAAAUUGACUAUUUUUUUUUUUUUUUUUUGAAUAGCAAAAUUGACUAAUUUAGUAGCAUGAAAUUUAAUUAUAACACGCAGAAGAAAAUAUCAUAAGAUAUGAACAAUGGGAAUGUUCACCUCAUUCUUCUCAAGUGUUAAGCCGAAGAAACUCAAGAAAGCCAGGAAAAAUCUCAUUUUCCAGGAAAGGAACUAAACAAAAGAAGAUAACGUACGUGUGCAAAUAGAUAUAAAUGCAUUUGGAAAAAUAAAUUAAUCUACCCAAGAUUUUGCAUGAACCAAACAGGUCCGGUGCUUUAUUCGAUAGAAGAAUGAUCCUUGACCUUAACAUAAGGUUUGAUCAUCCAUCUUGUCAAGGACAACAUGUAAACCAAGAUCAUGCCGGGAUCGUGUAUGCUAGAUGGUAGUUGUCAAGCAAAAUAGCUAGAUACAAAUUCUUUCAAGGACUAUGGCAGUUGGAUGAAGAAUCUGCUGUUCUUGGUAGGAUAAAUCCUAAACUUCUUUGAUGUAGAAUUGUGUAUGUUACCCACAUUAUCAAACCAUCCCUAAGGCUGGCACUAAUAAAGGAAUCGACCUUGCUAGGAUGAAGCAUUACCAAACUUUCAGGCUUUCAGCAUUAUACUGUCUAUACGUACACAGAACGGGAAUCAUUGACAUCUAAUUGCAGCAAACACGAAUGCCAAAUGACCACGAAGAAAAAGCUUAUGCCGCUAUUGUGACAUGUAUGGCGGAUGUGAGGGAGCAUGACUUCAUAUUGCAUUAAUAAAAUUGAUAAUUGGAAAAGCAGUUUGGUAAUAUGAGACUAUGAGUAGAAUGACCAGGAUUUCAUAAAACCUUACAACACUUUGUGAACCAUGAUCAAACACAAUCAAACCUAUUCAUAUUAACAGUGUCAUUUGAAUUGUUAAUUUUCUGGCAACUAUUUCAAAGAAAUCAUCUUGGACAGAAAAGUGAUGAGAACGAAGCAUAAUCCAUGGAAAUUUGAAGAGAAAAACAACACUGUUUGCUUGAAAUGUAUCAAUUCCUGCAAUUAAAUACCAAAUGAUACAUUUUUUUCAGAAAAAGAAUACUGUUUCAGUUUCUUUCUCAUCCUAUUAACACAGGCAAUGAUCAGAUUGCCCCCAGUAAAAUCUCAAGUUAGUCUUCUGAACAACUUUCUUGAUAGGUAGGUAGCAGUAAUAAGCAAAACUUUGUAACACCAACUUGAUCUAUACCAAACCUCAACGUAGAUAGGAAUUUAACAAUGAUUCAAGUGAUAUGGUCUCCAUAUCUCUGCAUGUUUUCUAUACGAAACACAAGUUCUAUUAACAAUGCCGGCAUGUGUGAAUUGUGAUUGUAUAUAUAUAUAUAUAUAUAAACGAGGGCAUGUGUGUAUUGCCACAAAUAUCAGUUCUGGGGAAACGGUUCUUGAAUUGUUAAUAUAAUGUUGGGAAACAAAGAAUAGUAAGUGACCAAACCAAAACAAUCAAAUUAAACAUGCAAUUAUUCGUUCACAGAGGCUUUGCGGUCAAUAAAAAAAUGAGAAGCCAAACAAGAAUGAAUCAGUGCAAUGCAUCCUUACAUUGUCUAGAAUCCAGGUACAUAUCAUCAAUCAAAUUAAACAUGCAAGUAUUCUUUCACAGAGGCUUUGCUGUCAAUAAAAAAUGAGAAGCCAAACAAGAAUGAAUCAGUGCAAUGCAUCCAUAGAUUGUCUAGAAUCCAGGUACAUAUCAUCAACCAACUUUCUGAACUGCUGAAAGUAGACGAAACCCAAUCAUGAAAACUGCUUAAUCUCGUCGGCCAUGGCAGAAUACAAAUUAAACUUAGGACAGAGAGAUUACUAAAGAGCAUGGCAGAGCAUUUGAGUUUGGAAGACGGCUGGAGCAGAGAUGCAUGCAAAAAGGGAGAAGCCGGAGGAGGUAAAAGGUUGAGAAUCACCAAGGCUGAAAUUUCCGAAGAACCAAAAUUUAACAUUAAGCUAUGGGUGUGUUCGGUUAGGUUUGGUUUGGCUCGUUUUGAAGCCGAACCUUGACCGAACCGUAUUUUUCGGUUUGGUUAUAUUUCAACUCGCAACCGCAAUGGUCGAACUGAUAUUUUCGGUUAUACUAUGUAUCAGUUUGGUACGUGUCAGUUUUAGUGUGCACCGUUUUUAUUUAUCUCAACUAGAAAAUGUGAACAAAAGUCAGGCUUCCGCUAUUUUUACCUAACAAUUUCAGCUAGGCAUAAACAAUUUUUAUUACAUUUAGAACAUCUCCAACAACUUCUCUAUAAAAAAUAAUUAAAAAAACUUAUAUGAUGAAAGAUAAAGUAUAGAGACAGAGAGAAAUAGCAAGAUAAUAGAGAAAGAGUGCGGUUAUUGACACCCCACCAAAUGCUUUUUUCACCCCGCAUUUCAAUUUUAAACUAAAUAUUCCAAUACUAACUCCACAAUCAAGAAUUUUUGUGAAAAUAUAAUAUUAAACUAAAAUCUAAACAACACAAAUUCUCUACAUCUUUACAUUGGAAAAAAAAAAAACAAAUCUCUACAUUUUUCAAAUCAUAUUUGAGAAUCAUUUCAAUCUUCAACAUGGUGGUUAUACAGUGUGAUAUAUGGGAUUGUUCGUUCUUAUUUUUAUUUUAUUUAUGGCUUCAAACGUAGUAUUUCAUAUAUAUAUAAUAUUCAUAAUCGUAAAGAAAGAACUCAAGAAAGAGAUUGCGGAGAACAUAGGAUGUGGUUUGAGAAGAAUGGAGGUAUGCGUCAAUUAUAUUGAUGAAAUAUUUGUAUAUAUUUUAUCAGUUUUGUAAUUGUAAGUUAAAAGAAAGAAAAUAAAAACUAGAUUUUCACAAAAUUUUAAUGGCAGAAUUGGAAUUUUAAAGGUAAAAAAUUAGACGUGGGGUGAACUGAGCAUUUAGUGGGGUGGAAAUAGCCGCACCCAUAGAGAAAUCAUCAUCUUAUUCAUUGAUAGGAGCUCUUUAUAUAGGAAAUUACAUAAUACCAAUAUGGUAAGGAUAAUGAAUACAUAGAUCUAGUCAAACUACAUAUCCUAAUGUCACAAGGCCAAGGCACACAUAAAGAAUAUCUAGAAAUAUACAGAAUAUCUAGAAAUAUACAGAAUAUCCUAGAACACUCCCCCUUCUGCCGCGCGCUGAUAUGCCGAUGGUGCUGAUCUGUUGCCUCGUCAAGUCACAAAAACCCUGUGGGAGAAAAACAGAACAUUGAUCGUAGAAGAAAAAGAGUACAACACACCCUUCACAUUUGAUAGUGACAUGUAUGUAUGUGCUAGACUCCCCCUGAAGUUCGCACCUCCCCUUGAUCUUUACAUCAAUCAUAGGGUUCUUCAUGAUUCUUACCAAUCACGGAAAUUUCAAUAACUUAGCAUGUCAAUGCUCUUUAACAUGUCUUCAAAUGUGGCAUUAGGCAAUGAUUAACUAAAUCAUGCCGUAUUGUCCUCAAAUGAUCUUUUACACUUAGAUCUUGAGGAGAAGGCCGCUUGUGAACUCAAAACAUAAGUUCGGGCAGGAAAUCAGAUUUUCGCGCAGCAUAACCUUCAGUUACUAGAACAAUCAUAACUUCCUCUAGGAAAUACAUAUGAAUGAACCGUAAACGGUUUUGGAAACUAGACUCAUUUAGCUUUCCAACCGUAUAUUACACACGUUCUGGUUCGUCAGGAGCUAUUCACAAAGUCCCGUCGAAGUUGACUAUUUUGCCAAAAUCAGAUUCUCGGACAUAUUCCUACUUUACGAAAACGGCCAUAACUCACUCAAUAUGAUAGGUAUGAUCAAAUGGUUGGUGUCCCUGGAAAGUAGACACAUAGACCUUUCCAAUGGUACCAAUUUCACCAUUUUCCAGUGAGUGAGAUAUUCUGUAGGUCUCGUGAAAUUUGACCUACGAAACUUGGCAGAUUCUGAUUUCGCUUUUGAUGUGUUUUUCUUAUGUAGGGAUAGAAUAAGCCUCAACCUUUCAUACCAUUAAGUAUUGAAAAAGGAGUUACUGCCAUUACAUUGGCGUUGCGUGGGCGCAUAGCUACACUUAGUUUUACAACUUUUCAUAGCGAAUGAGAUGUCAAGUCUUUCGUAUUGUGUUGAGUACAUUGAUGCGUCUUAUUGUACUUAGAUGGGAGCUCUAUCUCUCAACACAUAUUUGUCAUCUUGCUUUAGACAAAACAACGGAUCUCUCUUUAGAGCAAAAACUUUGAUUAAUCAUGGGAGUAUAUGUAAGCCUCACUAGUUAUAGAGUGCCUAAACCGAUUGAUGGAAAAUCAUCAUCAAUACAGUCAUCGAGUGCCUUAUCGAGACUCGUAGAGCCAAUAUGUAUCAUCAUCAAUACAGUCAUCGAGUGCCUUAUAGAAAAAGUUCUGAAAACUAGACUCGUAGAGCUUUCCAAUGAUAUAAAGCUUAUUGUCUGGUUCGUCAGGAGCUGUUCACAAAGCUCAAACGAAAUUGACUGUCCAGAAGGGACAAAUUGCUGUUUUUCACAGAGUUGGCAUGUGCAAAGCUAUGAAGCUUGCAGGUGGCAUGUAGGCUUUUACCUUAGCCAAAAGUGACGUGUGUAUGAUCAAAACCAAGUCCUUUUGGUCAUUCUAAGGUCGUAAAAUCCAUGACUAGUUAGCAAAAGCUCCCUGACAUGAACAUAAACUAACUCAGAUGACCUAGAGGAUUCGAUCAUGAUGAUAAUUUUUUGGUUUUGAUAAGUCUUCAACGUCUUUUACAAGACGGCAAUUGGUUUAAUAGCGUAGGGGGAUCCAAAAUCAAAAGUUUUCGAUAACUCCAAGUCAGUAUGACCAGACAUGUCUGUGGAGGGUCGGUAGUGCGAGACACACUUGAAACCACUAUCUCCUUAAUUUCAGACAAUUCUAAGACAUCACACUGAGCUUGGAUAAGCCUAGUUGAACAAUUGAUAAUGGAAAAUCCACUAUAAGGUAGAAGACUUAACUAGAAACACGUUGGCGAUCCUCCUUGAGGAUGCAAGGCCGUGCGUCAUCUUCACUUGGAGAGACCAAAACGGUACAAUCUAACCAUGUAGAUUGUAAAUAUGUCAUUCUUCUAAGAACGAUGUAAAAAUGUACAUCUUGUUUGUAAAUCAAUACGAACCCUAAGAGGAGAAAAGUUUCAUAACUUCGAAAAAAUUCUCAAGGCAUUCAUUAUUGCUAAUGUAAGUACAUCGAGGUCUCAAAUAGACGACGCCUUAUUACAUAUAGCUUGGAAAGAUAAUCAAUGUCUAGCCAAUGAUGUCAAAGUCAUGGGUAGCUAGAACUGGAUCUGAAUCUUUGAAAUUUGUGAUCAUGAGGAUGACGUUAUUGUCCUCAUAUUGAUUUUCCCUACCUUUUUGUAUGCAUUUAUAUUUUGAAGGAGAGUUCGACAACUCUUGAACCAAUGAUCCGGAGAUCCACAACAGUUGCAUUAUCAAGAGCUGGCAUGAGUUGUUUUGACAGAUUGGUGUCUAGACCAGGAGUGUCGCCAUUAGGGCCGGCGACACCUCCCCCUCUUUUCUAAACAACGGCACGGCGUUUUCUGCCGUUGCCGUGACCCAUAUUAUUGUCCCCACAUUAGGGGAUAAUCUCAAAUACGUUUAUCGCAUUAACGUAUAUACAAUUCUCGUUUGCAAUUGUAAGAUCAAAAUCAAGUCUUGUUGGUAAUUCUAAACCAACUUGGAGGACCUAGAGAACUUGAUGAUGAUCGGAUCCGCUAAAGAUUAUGGACAAUAUGUAGUCAAUUAAGGUGGUAAGCAAUCCACUUGACUAAUAACUCAACAAGUAGAGUUAUAUGAACGUUUCAAGAAACGCUCUAUGAGUACAUUCCACAGUACUUUGUGGUCAUUACUUUUUGCACAGAUUGUCAUUGAAGGUUUUUAUCGAUGGGGCGCGUCAAAGACUUUGAGCGCAUGAGAUGUGAAAUCUCGGCAUCUAGGCUUGUUAGCCUGGGGGUCAAAAUAUGUGGUUUAAUCAUUUCUAAUGAAAGGUUCCACAGAUACAAAGCGAAGAUCCGCCUUAGGACAGACAUCGAGUAUGUCAAAACUCAAAAGAGCAGAAUGUUACAUUGCUCUUGCAUACAAAACCAAGCUGUUAUGAGACUCGAUAGAGGUCACAAACAAUGCUUUUAAUGGUUUGUCCUUUGGAUUGAUCAUAUACAAUCCGGAAAAGCCGCGAAUUGAUCAAACACAAUUCGGAAAAGGCCUCGGAUUGAUCAAACACAAUCCGGUGAUAGGUCGGGGUUGAUCAUACACAACCUGGAUAAGGAAACAAGAGUAAUCAAACACACUCUUGACCCGCGAAUAAAAUUCUGGGAUUUUUGGUACAUGCACACACAAAAUCUCAAACAUGGAAUGAAGAUGGAGAAUGGGAGAAACCACUUUAUCUCCCCCGAGUUUAUUGAACUUUGAACAGUUUAGGGUUUAAAACAUACCGUAAAAUUUCUUCAAAAACUCGGAUUUCUUGAUCUAAAGCUCGAUCGGCGAAACCAGAAAAGAAGGCGGAGCUGACGGCCAGGAAGCGGCGAUCAGGAGCAGCGACAACGUCGGGGUCGAGGCAGGGCCGAGAACUUUUGGUUUGAGAAAUAAUUGUUUUUUAGGGUUUGGAAAACAAAUGGUAGGCUAUUGGCUCUAGGGUUAGAACAAAGUGCAUGAUAACAUGAUGAAAGAUAAAGUGUAGAGACAAAGAGAGAUAGCAAGAGAAUAGAGAAAUCAUCAUCUUAUUCAUUGAUAGAAGCCCUUUAUAUAGAGAAUUACACAAUACCAAUAUAGUAAGGAUAAAUAAUACAUAGAUCUAGUCAAACUACAUAUCCUAAUGACAUAAGGCCAAGACACACAUAAAGAAUAUCUAGAAAGAUACAGAAUAUCCUAGAACAUUCUCUAUAAUUUCUCUAUUAUAGGGAAGCAAAAGUCAAUGUUUUAAGCAAUUUUUCUUCUACAACUCUAACAAAUUCCUUAUUUUGGAGAUUUUAUUAUCAUUCAUUCCCCAAAUCCUUUAAAAAAAUCAUAGAGUUUGUAGCAAAUAGCUGGGAUUUGGUUUUCACUCUCAUCACAUUCCUCUUUUUGGUGAAAGUUUUAAGAAUCUGUUGAAGCAAAACACCCAAAAUCUCCCCAAAAUUGAAACAACCAAGAAUUUGGGGAAGCUAUUGGAGAUGCUCUUAGAGUACCCACACAGAUCAUGCUCCAAAUAUCAAAGAACUAGCAAAAGAUCAUAUUUAAACACUUAACAAACACACAUAUAUCAAUUAUCGAGCAAACAUAACAACUAGCAAACCUACAAACUUACAUGGGAAUGGAUUUCUUAUAUAUAACAAACCAUCAACCAUCAAUAAAGAAUUAGAAAAUAAAAACACAUGUAAUGAAAAUAAAUUCGAUGCGGUUAGGUUUGAAUCGCAUGGUUUAUGACUCAUAACCAACCAAACUGUUUUUAUGAGGUUCGUUAUGGCUAUAAACGAUCCACUUUACUUCAGUUUGUAUGAUUGUUUUUUCGGUGCGGUUGGGUUGGUAAUCACAUUUUCAGUACCGUUCGAUCGGUAACUGCCGGUUCAAAUCGUUGACCCCUACAUUACGUGACAUUGCAUUUUGAAUCCCCAAAUAUAAGGAAGCACAUCACCUGUUUCGGAAUAUCUUGUGCCAAACUUGUGCUACUAAUGGGAGCCCGACAUGUGGCCACUAUCUUAAAAGGAGUUAUAUUCGUGGGUGAGAAUCAAACACAUGACCAAAUCAGAUCGUGUGCACCCAAUGCCCUUCAGCCGUCGGCAACCCCACCAUCGGAAUUCAGGAAUGUGACUCGUCUCUACCCACCACAUUUCUCAUCAUUAAUCAACAUUGCUUAAAAAACUGCGAAAAUGUCACUUGACGCAUAAGCACCGCAACUUUGACUUCCAAGCUAGCCACCGGAAGCUUGACUAUUUGGGCCAUCCGGGGUUAAAUAAGUCCACAACAAGGACCAGCCCGGCCCAAAGAAAACGUAGCCAAAUAUGGCAAAACGUCCCUCUCUUGAUAUGACAGAAAUAGCAACAAGUCGCAAUUCCCCAUUCACUGGCUCACACGUCACUUCUAGUCCACGACCCGAUUAUUAAAUUAUUUAUAUAUAAAUUAUUUUUUUGAAAGAAUAAUAGGACUAGUAGGAAGCCUAUAGUCUGCGAUAUUAGAGAUAGGCAAGCAUAUACGGCAUAUAACCAUACACACAUCUAUACUCCAUUUCCAGAGAGAAUCAAGCACAAGAUCUUGACCUCUCUCUCUUCUCUUAUCUCUCUCAUCCUUUCUUUCUCCGGUUCUCAGUUUCCGAGCGAAUUAGGGCAAAGCGCAGAUCGGAAAUGGAAGAAGAUCGCGGGCAAUCGUCGCAUUGCCGAUUCUGAUUUCUUUUUCCGAUGCACUGAGGUCGGCGCCGGCGCGUGAGUUUUGAUCCGGUUCGGUUAUUGUUUUGAUGCGAUUGGGCCGAAUUGUGGUUCCAAAGACUCUGAAAUGGAAUCGUUCUGGAGCCACAAUGCCGCCCCAGACUCGUCGCAUUUCCUCGUCGCCGUCUACUUCGCCUUUGGAUUCUUCUUCGCUCGGCUCUUCCUUGAUAGGUUCAUCUUCACCGUAAGAUUCUUCUUCUUCUUCCUCCUUUUUUGCAAGUAGCUAAAUCCUGCUUUCUGUAAUUUUUCGUUGAAUCUUGAAUUUUUGUGUGUGAAAUCUUGGAUUAGUUUCGCCUUCAAUUCUGCAUCAUGUGGUUCUUGUGCUAAUGAUAACUCGGUUGAGCUUAGAAACUAUGAUCGUUGCGAAAAAAUGGAGCAUUAUGUACAAUUUUUAGGUUCAUUAUCAUUAUGCAAUGAGUUGGCGGUUCGAAUGAUUGAGCUAUUCCGAAUAGUUGUAGUUGGAGGGAAAGAAUAAGAGGUGAGGUUAGCGGACAUUUUGGAAUUACCGGAGUUGAGUAGGUUUGGGUCUAGGGGGAUUCAUAGAAAAGAUUAUUGUGGAGCAGUUCGAGGUUGCUAUGCGUGUCGUUAUUCUUGGUUGCAUUAUGUUCUUUUAGGUUGCAGUUAGUGUCAGCUUUAUAGUGAUUGCGGGGGCAAGUCUGAGAUUUCUGAUUAUUUGUAAGAUUUUGGGGUAUUUAAGUGGUUAAUUAAGAUGAUCAAGAACCUGAAACUGCAAGGAUUUAGGUCUAGCAUCUGGAAAAGGGUGAUCUUUCUAUGUCUUCAACAUGAUAGUUGCCUAGCCUCAUGAAUUCAUGAAUUGAGUUCUGUGUUGAUUUAUUGACUUGGUUGAUAGUGAGUCAUUCAAGGUUUUGGCAUAGCAUCUGAAAAUUUUGAAUUUUGUAUUCCCUACUUGUCGGGUGUUAAAAUGAAUUGUAGACGUUUGUUGAUAAUGGAGGUUGUCACUGCCGGAGAGAUUGGCUUAAUCAGUGUCAGCUGUUGCUUCAAGGUUCAGUAUGUUGGGUUAAAUCUUCUUCUAGACUUCUAACUUGGUUUUGUUUAAAGUAAACUGUAGGACCCCCUGUAAUAUAGUCUGUUUGUAACCUAUUAGCUUGCUUUUAAUUCAAGGACAACUGUGUCUACUAGUCUGAGUGAAGACUAAUUCUAAGGAAUAUACUAAGUAGAAUUGACAUCUUGGAGUUCUAUAUAAAAUGCCACUUUAAUCUAUCCAUAAGCUAGAUCCAAUUAUUCAUCCCUGUAGUGAUACUUGUUCAGUUGUUCAUCAUUUGGACAUUUGAUUAAGCUUUCUCAACUUCUGUCCAGUGUCCAGUGUCCAUCUCUCUCAACAUGGAAAUCAUUCCAAUACUACAGUACUAAGUCCUCCUUUCUUUUUGGUCAUAAAAACACAUGUAGAAUCUAUUUGGAGAUAGGCUUAGAAUUUGAUUAUAGGACUAUGCUGAAUGCCUGAACAUUAGGUGAGUAUGCUUUGAAUAGGAAUUUUGCAUUCUGUACAUUUUGGCAUUUAGGUUUAGCAAUUAUUCAAUGGCUCAAAUCCAGAGUGUGUACAUUACUUAAUUCUGAUGGCUUUCAGAUCUGGGAAUAGAUCUGCAUAAGUUUGUUGUCAUAAUAUUAGCUGUCAACUGUUAUGAUAUAUGUAUAGACAAACCUAGAUACACAAAGUUUUGCCUAAUAUUUUGUUUGCCUUUUUUUGCCUAGUGUUAAUGUCAGCAUCAAGUCAAGCUUAGUAAAAUGUAUUUCUCAAGACUUGGGACAAUUUAGAUGCGAAGUUUUAAAUCAAAAAAAAAAGAAGUUGCGAAGUUUUGAAUUUUGGAUUUCAUUUGGAAUUCAUAUAAAUCUGGUAAAGUGGCAUGCUUGCAUAAUUUUUGUUUACUUAACCAAAUAGGAUCAUCAUCAAAUCCUGUUCAAGGUGGACUGAGAAGCCUGGAAAAUAUUCAAUUGUUUGCUUUCCCUCUUCAAACAAAAAUUUUCAAACCCACAUACAUUAGGGUAUCAGGUUUUCUUUGAGUUCCCUUUAGGGACAAAUGUUGACUUUAUCAAGAAUGUCAAUAUCUCUGGCCAGGGACGGAGCCAGGAAUUUAAAGUAGGCUGGGCUAAACAUACGUGAAAAUUUCAAAGUGUAUUUAAAAUUUUUGACUACAUUUAAAUUUCUAUGCCUAUAAUUUAAUAUUUAGAUGGCAAGAUCACUUAGAGGAGACUUGUUAGACAGGGCUAGGGGAAAGUAUCACUUGGACGAGAGACUUACUAGAGAAAUAAUGAUAGAAGCAUGAUAAAUUAGCUUGGGAUUGAAAUAAUGGAGAGAAAUAAGAUUAUUAUAACGCGAAUGAGACAAACCAAAAACCAUAAUGGAAACUAAAACAAUUUAAGUCGGUAUUUUAGUCAAUAAACCACCAAGUUCUUUAGAUUUUUAGAGAUUUAGAGAUUUUUUUCUGCUUAAAAGUUACAAAUCCUUAUCACUUUGUUAAGAGAUAGCCUUAUGAUUAGAAAUUAAGAAGGCCUGCAUGUCAUUAUUCAUGUGAGCAAACCUACUGUCUGGUAAUCAUGAUCAUGGAUUGAAAGUCAUACUAUCAAGAAUCAAGAAUUGUACUGAUUUCUAACUGGUUGGCACUCUUCAGUUCUUUCUAUGACGUGGACUUGUUUUAUUCAUGUGAAAGAAAUUGAGUUAUAGAAAUGAUGUUUAAUGAUUAAUCUGUCAAUAGCUUUUGUCUAUUGUUCAUGUCUUUGUUCCCCUCAUUUCAGAGGCUUGCCAUCUGGAUGUCGAGAAAAGGUUCUGCUCCAUCGAAGAUAGAUAUGGUCCAACGGGCAAAGAUUACGAAAUGCUCAGAGUCUAUGUGGAAGUUAACAUACUAUGCAACUGUCGAAGCCUGCAUUCUCAGCAUAAGCUACCAGGAGCCAUGGUUCACAGAUACAAGAGAGUACUUCAAAGGAUGGCCAAACCAAGAGUUGGGGUGAGUAACUCAUACGGUGGUUAGUUAUUCUGCAUUCCCACUACUGGAUAGAUGAACAUUUAUUUAGUGUCGGAGAUUGGAAUUGAUUUGUUCUAAUAUCUAAAAGAACACGAGAAAAUAAUUUCUGUUUAUGUUCUCUGCAGACCAGCAUUAGUGUCUGAUCUUGUUUCAGAUAUUGGUUGAAUUGGGCAUAAUGCUUACUGAUAAAUAUUAAGGGAAUUAAUUAAUUGGGAAGUCAAUUAGCAGUUUGUCGAAUGCUGGAGACAUACUCUGUAAAUAUUAUUUUUAAACUUCACAGCUGUAACUCUUUUUUUUUUCAUCACUUUCUAGUUGAAUUGAUUGUUGACGUGAACUCUGUUAUCUCCUGACCAUUUCAGAAUAUCAAUUUUUUAAUUUUUUUUAUUAGUUUGGUGUCAUUUUCGUUUUGCAGAUCAUUAUUUUUAAAGUAAUGUUUUAUUUUUGGUCUCAAGAGAUAGGGCAAUGCAUUUCAAGCUCUACCCCUUGUAUAUGCCAUAUUGAAGAGCUUCCCUACUCCAUUAGUGUGUUAUAUGUCUGAAUGUAUAAGAAGGUGUUUCCAUCCAACUUGGUGGACAAGAUGAUUGUGGGAUAUACCUUUCAUCCUCAUCCACACAGAUUGGAGGGCUGUGUCAGUUCACGUUUAAUUGUAAUUUUACUAUAUGGUUUGUUUUUUUUUUUUUCUUUUGUUCAUCCUAUGACAUUUUAUAUAGUUUCUAGCAUCCGGUAGGUUAGAACUGCAUAUUGUUUAAUUAGCCAGCUCGUUUCUGUAUUUGUAUCUUAAUAAAAUCUCUGUGUUUCUCAUGGAGAAGAAACUAAAAAUGAUCGACUUAAUUGUUAUAGAAUGAAUAAUUUUGAUGACUCAGUUUUAGCUUAGCAUUUACGAAUUGAUUAUUCUGAUUCUGUUCCUUUAUCAUUUCAGGCUUCCCCUAAAGCUUGUGUAUAUGUGUCAAUGUGGAUUCUAUACCUACAGUAUUGUUGCUCUCCUUACAUGGGAAACCCGAAGGAAGGAUUUCUCAGUGAUGAUGUCUCAUCAUGUAAUUACCGUCUUCCUGAUUGGAAUGUCAUACAUUACAAGGUAUGUUUGUGUAUGUGCAAUUCAUUUUUUAUGUCAGUUUGUGUUCGUAUGGGGAGGACAUCAUGCACUUAUUUUCUUUCAUUCUUUUAAAAAAAACCUGGUAACCUGGGCCCAUAACAGUCUUUCCUUUAUUGUUAGUUUGAUAUGGUCACUUGCAGUAGCUGUAGUCCUAAGUUACUAAUAUAGCAAAUUGUUGUUGAGAUACUGUUUCAAUAAAACCAGUGUCCCUUAAACUUUGGGUGAUAGUAUUAAGUAACAAACUCUUACUAUGACAGGUCUCUCUCUUUACAUAUAUAUAUAUAGACACACACAGUCCCGUUCACAGGUGGACGUCCGCAAUUGUGAGAAAGUGCAGACUGACACUCUCUACCAUUAGAUUGGUUAUAUCAAAUUUAACGGCUCACAUGAAAAACCCAUGUGGGUGUAGGAACACGAGUCUUCUUGCACCCUCAGUCUUCAACUCAUCACUUCUGAACAAGGAACGAAUUUUGGAAACAUAAUGAAAGAUAUGGAAAUUGGAGAUGUUUUUUUUUUUUUUUGAUGAAGUAAAAUUGUGGAGAUGAUUACGAAUGAGGUAGAUAAAAGUUACACCAAUUCCUCUCUUUAUUGGUUGGCUUCGAAUGUGCCAAAGCUAUGUCUAAGCUUUCGCUGGGUGGGAUUCAGGUUUUGAAUGACUUGUUUUUGUCUUUCAUUUUCUUUUAACUUUAAUUGAAAACUGAACCCAGUUCUUCAUCUUCAGUCUUAUGCUAAAGUGAAAUAUAUGAAGAUUUAUUUUUCCCUCGGGGCGGCCUUAGAUCGGAUUAUUGAGUAUAAGCCAUACUCUUUAUGGAUGGAACGAGAGAUAAAUCAUCGACAUGGGUUUCGCCUUUUUCAUAUGUCUGAAUCCAUCCCUCCAUCUGAGAUGCAACCCGAUCAAUCUCAGACUUGGACUGGCUCUAUGGUCUCUUUUUGUUUGUUUUCCUUUGAUUCAAUUUGAAUAGAGAAUUGUGGAAGACCGCUCGACAGUGUGACCAUGUCACGGUAAUGACAUUGACUGGGUUCGAGGUCGGUGAAGCUAAUCAGCCAGAAAGGCCAUGUGAAGAUUGAGAAUAAGCAGGACAUCUGAAAUUCCUUGAGCCGUUGAAGUUCAUUUAAAUCAAUCCUACAGCUCGGCACUUUUGCAUAUAUCAUGGACAUCCUUCUCUGAUUGCGCCUGUAUACACACACAUACACUGAAAAAAACGCUCUUUGAAGCUUAGCUCAUCUAAGACCAUUAGUAUCAAUGGAAUUUUCGUUGGAUUUGCAUAUGUUGACAUAUAUAUGUGAAAAUCUCAAGCAUUGUAAUAAAGCUUAAACGCCAUGAUCCUUUCCGAGAUUAUAGGCAGGCUUCACAAAAAUUGUAUGGGGUAAAUCCCAAACAAAUGAGUUGAUCAAACACCCUAGCUUUGGUACUCGAACGCCAAAUGUAUUUUCUUUGCUUGUCCAUGCCACUAAUGUCUACACUUGGGCAUGUGUGUGUGUGUGUGUGUGUAUAUAUUUAUAUAUGUAUGUAUACAGGUAUACAGGUAUAAUAUUUUUAUUAAUAGAGAUGAACCUAUGAUCGAAGCUUUAGGUUCAAGCCCCAUUUUGUAUUAAUAUACUAAAAAAUUUCUUGGUUCUACAUGUAUUAAAUCAAUUUCAGUUGAAAUGAUUAACUAAGACUAGAAGUAAUCCACUGUCCACUUGCAGCUUUUUCCGAAUUGGCUCAAUCAUUCUUGCCCUGCAUGAUGGGAGUGAUGUAUUCAUGGAAGCUGCCAAGGUCUUCAAAUAUUCUGAGAAGGAGCUUGCAGCAAGUGUGUUCUUUGGGUGUUUUGCUUUUUCAUGGCUCAUACUGCGGUUAAUAUACUUCCCCUUCUGGGUCAUAAGCUCAUCAAGGUCUGCUCUCAUGGUAAAUCAUUUUAUUAUACCAUAUAUAAAUGUAUGGUAACUCCUCCUGCUUAUCUGUUCUUAUGGUUGCUUUUUUACAGUUAUGACCUUGUUAAGCACUUGGAUUUGUCUUUGUCCUCUCAUACAACACUGUACUAUCUGUUCAAUACGAUGUUAAUGACGCUGCUUGUGUUCCACAUAUACUGGUGGGUUAUGAUAUGCUCAAUGGUUAGGAGACAACUGAGUAAUAGUGGAAAGGUUGGAGAAGAUAUAAGAUCAGGUAAACUAUAUGUGCUGCUUACAGGUUUGAAUUUUACAUUUCAGUGCUUGUUAUCAACUUUGAAAAGUAUAUACUCUCCACCUCUCACUUAUUGGUUGAGUAAUACUGGAAACAUUUAGUAUGUUAUGCAAGGAAACUCUUCAGCUCGUAUUUAUAUCACUUGUCAAUACACACCUGGUUGUCAGUUGUCACUGAAUUUGAGGUGUGGGCUUUCUCCGCAAAUGAAAAUAUGGCUUCUUGGCUUAAUAUGUUUAUCUCCAUACCUUGUGUCGGCCUUAGCUUGGUCCACUGGGUUGCUCUUUGUAUAGAGAAUGGGUCCAAAUUGACAUAAUUAAUAUAAGGUUUUUUUUUUUAUUAGUGUUUCAAUUUUUCCAGUCAAGUCAUGUUCUUCAGUCAUUAUACUCAGACCUACCUUGUUGUAUUGUUGGGACCGUAUGCUGAAACUACGCUCAUGGAAGGUCAAACACAUUUUAACAGUGAAUACCUGUUUGUAAGUUUGGCUAAUGAAAACAAUGUAAAGUUACACCUGGAAGCUUGUUGUGUAUCAUAGAAAAAAUCACAUUCUAACAUCAUACACAUCCAUCUUGUUGCGUUGGUUUCUUUUAAUGGUUUUAGAUUUCACCACUUCCUUUCUAAUGAUUUUCUCUGCUGUUUACAGAUUCAGAUGAUGAUGAUUAGACGGAAGAUUUUGUCCAAGGUUUUCUUGCCUUUGUUAAUGCUGACCUGUAUGUAGGUUAUAGCUGCACUCAAAAGUGGCCCUUAUCUGUAGGAAGGGGUUGAUAGUCUCUUCCGUUAUCAAAUUUUGUUUCGAGUCUUCACAGAUCAUGGCUCAUGUCACCGUGUAUUCUUUUCCUUUUUCUUUUUGGAUGGAGUCUCUUGUUAUAUGGUGUAUAAGAAAUAGGUAAAUUUGUGUAUAAUUCUUCUCUCAGGAUAAUCACUUGUAUUGAGACUAGCCUUUUGUAUGGAGAAAUGAAAGGUAUUCACAAAUUAGUAAAGAGAAAAUAUAUCAUGGACUUGUCAUUGUUUCUUUCACGCUUAAAUAUGUCGAAAUGCUGCACGGUACUCACAUUUCGUGUGCUAUGUUUUCUUUCUUUCUUCUGAAAUGGGUACACACCAAUGAGUACGUUAUCAAUCUUUUGAUGAAGCAUAAUCGUUGGUUAAAGAAGCUCAAAGCCAAUAAACUUUCAACAAUGACAUCCAAAAGAACAGUUAUAUGACUUGUGUAUGGACGUCUCUUUUGGUACAUGAAAACAAUGUCAAGUUUUGAUCGUAACGUUUACGGUAACAUUGUUCUUUUUUCGAAUCAACUUAAAGACUCGCGAAAACUUGACUUGUCCAUGGAAAGCAGAUGUGCCUGCGUGAUUGACGUAAUUGGAAGCUGAUUUUCGAUGACUGCUCAAUCUCAGGUGUUGAUUUUCGAUGACUGCUCAAUCUCAGGUGUUGAUUAGUUACCAAAACAGUGAAAACGGACGCCUAUAUAUAAUAAGCUCUAGAGUAGAGGUUUGCUUCAUCACAAAGCAGAGGAGAGGCAUGAAUUCACUUAAAAUUUCCACCCUUUGUUUCCUACUCUCUAUCAUUUCCAUACCCAACUUCACUGUUUCCCAAAUCCUAUUUCAGGUACAGAAAGAAGCACAUAAUCUCUCUCCCUCAACUUUUUGUUUUUGUUUUAUUUGUUUUGUUUUGUUUUUCUGAUGGUUGUUGGUUGGUGAUCUCAGGGGUUCAAUUGGGAAUCAGCAAAGAAGGGAGGAUGGUACAACAUCUUGGAGCAGUCCGCAGCUGAACUAGCUUCUUCAGGAAUUACACAUGUUUGGCUUCCACCACCUUCUCAGGCUAUUUCAGAUGAAGGUACUUGAUUUUUUUUACUUUCACAAAACUCUCUUUUGUACUUGAGUUGUUUCCAUUCUCAUCCAGAAUUUGGAGAACUUUGUGAGCUACCUGAUGCUCUGGUUAAAACGACCAAACAAAUGUCCACCACAAAUAAUUAAAUUGUAACAUUUCUUUUCUCUGGUAUUGAAUAUUAACAAUGAUGCGAGUUUGUUUCGAUAAUGACAGAGAAAUUCUUUGGUAUUGCAAGGUUUGUAACAACAUGAAACAGAAACUCUUUGGAAAAUGCACAAACAUCCUUUUCAAGUCUUCAAAAUUGCCGAACUGUUGCAGAUUUCAUUUGCAAACCAUCUAGCUACCUAUACCAUCUAUACUUUAUAUGAUGUAUCUUUAAAAACUGAUAAUUAGUAUAUACAUCUAUCAGCCGGGACAAUUGCCUUUUCGAUACCUGUGUUUUGAAUUCACAGUUUAACUUGGUGUGUCUUUACACCCUGUCUCAUUUAGCAAAGAGAUCCUAAGCAAGUGUAUUCAUAGCGAUGGCUAACAUUAUCAAAGCACUGCUGAGAUAAAAGCCGCAAUUGUAUUGUUAGGUGCAUGAUUUGUCAUAUAUGCAGCACAAUUCAUCUGUAAAUUAUGUCAAAGAUUAUGCAUUUGAUUGUUAACCUAACCGGUUUGCUGUUCCUUCUAAGUGCGACUAGUACAUAACUCCUCAGCAUUUCUGGUAACUGUUGAUAGCAUUGUCUUUGGCUGUUAGCAUCAGUGGAUUCAGUUCUACGAAUAUGAAACUUAAGUGAACUUCUUUUUUUUAGGCUACAUGCCUGGCAGGCUCUAUGAUCUCACAUCAAAAUAUGGAAACCAAGAUGGAUUAAAGGCACUGGUAAAAGCCUACCAAGACAAUGGGAUAAAGAGCGUAGCAGAUAUUGUUAUAAACCAUAGAUGUGCAGAGAAGCAAGAUGAAAGAGGAAUAUGGUGCAUUUUUGAGGGAGGAACACCAGAUGAUCGCCUUGAUUGGGGGCCGUCUCUUAUUUGCAGUGACGACACAAAAUAUUCUGAUGGCAAGGGAAACCCUGAUACUGGAGCUGACUUUGGUGGUGCUCCUGACAUUGAUCACAAAAACACAAGGGUCCAGAGUGAGCUCUCGGAUUGGAUGAACUGGUUAAAGACCGAAAUUGGUUUCAGCGGCUGGCGAUUUGAUUUUGUCAGGGGAUAUGCUCCAGAGUUCACCAAGCUGUAUGUGGCCAACACAAAGCCUAGUUUCUCAGUAGGAGAGUAUUGGAAUUCCAUUGCUUAUGGAAGUGAUGGAAAACCUGAGUACAACCAGGACAACCAUCGCAACGAGCUCGCUGGAUGGAUAGGGAAUGCUGGAGGAGAGGUUACUGCUUUUGAUUUUACAACAAAAGGGAUACUUCAAGCUGCUGUCCAGGGUGAACUGUGGAGGUUGAAGGACUCGAAUGGAGGUCCUCCUGGAUUGAUUGGAAUAUCGCCACGCAAUAGUGUGACAUUCAUAGACAAUCAUGAUACAGGUUCCACACAAAAAUUGUGGCCAUUUCCAUCAGAUAAAGUCAUGCAGGGAUAUGCUUACACUCUUACUCAUCCAGGCAUCCCAUCAAUAGUAAGUCUUUUUCAUCUUGAUAUGCCUUCUUACAAACUAAAAUGACAUCGUCAUGCCAUUGCUCAUGUGAAAGUGUUUAUAGUUUAAUUACCUGUUGUCCAUUUAGAUAACUGUUUGUAUUUUUUUGUAACAGUUCUAUGACCACUUCUUUGACUGGGGAUUGAAAGGGGAGAUCUCGAAACUCACUGCAAUUAGGUCCAGGAAUGGGAUCAAACCCGACAGUGCCGUCCGUAUCCUAGCAGCUGAUGCAGAUCUCUAUGUAGCUUCCAUAGAUGACAAAAUCAUAACCAAGAUUGGUCCAAGAUUCGACGUUGGGAACCUUGUACCGCCAACAUUCAAAAUCGCAACUUCUGGAAAGGAUUAUAGUGUUUGGGAGAAAUCAGCAUGAAGGUCUUGUUUGUAAAGCAAUGAACUAAUUAAUAAAGUACUUGUUAUUCAUGUAUUGCAAGUGCUUAUCAUGAAGUAAUGCAAAGGAAAAUUUUGCCUGUAAAGCCUUACUGGGAUUGCCGGAAUCAAUUUAGAACCAAAAAAAAAGUUCAUGAUAAUGCUACAAUUGAGCAGAAACGAAUUAAUCUUGGACUAAACUGUGGUAACCAUCAAAAUUCAACUAAGGUUGCACAAUCUCUUACUAAUCUUGGUCUUCAAAACGAAGUUGUAAUUGUCUUCUGAAAUUGAGUAGUCAAGACUCUACUGAAUCGCUGCUCUAGGUGCCAUCCAAUUCAAUGAAUCCCUCCACUCAGAGCCUCUAGCACCUUUCCUACGGCGGAGGUGUACAUAGAGAUUCUUGCAGAGCAAGCCUGGUGAAGAGCAAGAUUUUCUGAUAUUUUCUGGGAAUAAGAGACUGCAGGAUUCACAAAUCUUGAUCAGUUUAAGGCAAAUGAAUCAAUAAUGUAUGGAACAUGUAAAACAGAUAUGUAGAUUAAAAAGAAAAACAUUAAUGACUAUAUCAACAUGUCCGCAAUUGCAGUAGGUAACUUCUAAGGAUUUGAGACUUCAACUCGAAACUUUGAUAUCCAAACGAUUAAAGAUGAAGCCACCGAAAUCUGAAAUUGAAGAUAGUGUCAAAUACUCGAUGGAAGUGCACCCUGAAAUGAAGCUGAACAAGUCUUUGGAAGUCAGUUGCACACGCUUGAGGGACAGAGUUUUCAAAGACGGAAUUAGGGUUUCCAGAUGAUGACCAAUCCUAAUAAUUUUCACACGCUCCAAAUUUAAAAUUGUUAUAGAUUUUGCACUCAGAAAGUUAUCCAGGGGGUAAAUAGUAGCCUACAACCCCAGAUUUAGUUCCAAGGCUAAUAUCUAAUUCCUUGACGCCUUUCUCAAGUGCAAAAAUGCAAAGCUUAUCUACCAUGGCAGAAUCUCCAAAAACAUAUCUGUUCAUGCGAAGCCUGAAUAUAUCUAAGAGCCGUUUUUAAUCUUUCUCAUUCUCUUGUGGAACUUGAAAAAUAUGUUUGGAGGAUGUUGCUGUUACAUGACUUGUAUGACUUGUGUCUAGUCGUCUCUUUUUUCGUAACGUUUACGGUAGUUCUUUUUUCCAAUCAACUUAAAGACCACGAAAACUUGACUUGGAAAUUAAACUCUGACAGUAACGGUUGGGUUGGAAAACUCGUCCAUGGAAAGUAGAGGUGCCUGCAUGAUGGACGUAAUUGGAAGCUGAUUUUUUGUUACUACUCAAUCUCAGGUGUGGAUUAGUUACCAAAACAGUGAAAACGAACGCCUAUAUAUAAUAAGCUCAAGAAGAGAGGUUUGCUUCAUCUCAAAGCAGAAGGGAGACAUGAAUUCACUUAAAAUUUCCACCCUUUGUAUCCUACUCUCUAUCAUUUCCAUACCCAACUUCACUGCUUCCCAAAUCCUAUUUCAGGUACAGAAAGAAGCACAUAAUUUCUCUCCCUCAACUUUUUGUUUUUGUUUAAUUUGUUUUGUUUUGUUUUUCUGAUGGUUGUUGGUUGGUGAUCUCAGGGGUUCAAUUGGGAAUCAGCAAGGAAGGGAGGAUGGUACAACAUCUUGGAGCAGUCUGCAGCUGAACUAGCUUCUUCAGGAAUUACACAUGUUUGGCUUCCACCACCUUCUCAAUCUGUUUCAGAUGAAGGUACUUGAUUUUUUUACUUUCACAAAACUCUCUUUUGUACUUGUGUUGUUACCAUUCUCAUCCAUAAUUUGGAAAACUUUCUGAGCUACAUGAUGGUCUGAUUAAAACUACCGAACAACGUCCACCACAAAAAGUUAGAUUGUAACAUUUUUUUUCUCUUUUUACCAACGAUUUAAGUUUGAUUGCAUAGUACGUACUUCUGUAAUAACAUGAAACAGAAACUCUUGGAAAAUUCAUAGUGAUUACUAACAUUAUCAAAGCACAGAGAUAAAAGCCGCAAUUGUACUUGUUAGGUGCAUGAUUUGUCAUAUAUGCAUAUAUGCAGCACAAUUCAUCGGUAAAUGUCAAAGAUUAAGAGUUCAAUACAAAACAGUUAAUUUUCAGAUUUCGCAUUUGAUUCUUAGCCAAACCGGUUUGCUAUAUUUCCCAAGUGGACUAGUGUUUAUAUCGUCGUCUUUGGCUUUUAGCAUCAGUAGAUUCAGUUCUACGAAUAUGAAACUUAACUGAACUCAACUUCUUUUUUCUGAGGCUACAUGCCUGGCAGGCUCUAUGAUCUCACAUCAAAAUAUGGAAACCAAGAUGAAUUAAAGGCGCUGGUAAAAGCCUACCAUGACAAGGGGAUACAGAGCAUAGCAGAUAUUGUUAUAAACCAUAGAUGUGCAGAGAAGCAAGAUGAGAGAGGAAAAUGGUGCAUUUUUGAGGGAGGAACACCGGAUGAUCGCCUUGAUUGGGGGCCGUCUCUUAUUUGCAGCGACGACACAGAUUAUUCUGAUGGCAAGGGAAACCCUGACACUGGAGCUCCCUUUGUUCCUGCUCCUGACAUUGAUCACAAAAACACAAGGGUCCAGAGUGAGCUCUCGGAUUGGAUGAACUGGUUAAAGACCGAAAUUGGUUUCAGCGGCUGGCGAUUUGAUUUUGUCAUGGGAUAUGCUCCAGAGUUCACCAAGUUGUAUGUGGCAAACACAAAGCCUAGUUUCUCAGUAGGAGAGUAUUGGAAUUCCACUACUCGCGACGAGCUCGCUGGAUGGAUAGGGAAUGCUGGAGGAGAGGUUACUGCUUUUGAUUUUACAACUAAAGGGAUACUUCAAGCUGCUGUCCAGGGUGAACUGUGGAGGUUGAAGGACUCGAAUGGAGGUCCUCCUGGAUUGAUUGGAAUAUUGCCACGCAAUAGUGUGACAUUCAUAGACAAUCAUGAUACAGGUUCCACACAAAAAAAGUGGGAAUUUCCAUCAGAUAAAGUCAUGCAGGGAUAUGCUUACACUCUUACUCAUCCAGGCGUCCCAUCAAUAGUAAGUCUUUUUCAUCUUGAUAUGCUUUCUUACAAACUAAAAUGACAUCGUCAUGACAUUGCUCAAGUGAAAGUGUUCAUAGUUUAAUUAGCUGUGGUCUAUUUAGAUAACUGUUUGUAUUUUUUGUUAACAGUUCUAUGACCACUUCUUUGACUGGGGAUUGAAAGGGGAGAUCUCGAACCUCACUGCAAUUAGGUCCAGGAAUGGGAUCAAGCCCGACAGUGCCGUCAGUAUCCUAGCAGCUGAUGCAGAUCUCUAUGUAGCUUCCAUAGAUGACAAAAUCAUAACCAAGAUUGGUCCAAGAUUCGAUGUUGGGAACCUUGUACCGUCAACAUUCAAAAUUGCAACUUCUGGAAAGGAUUAUUGUGUUUGGGAGAAAUCAGCAUGAAGGUCUAGCAGCAAAUAAUUAAUAAAGCACUGGUGAUUGCAACUUUGCAAGUGUAUAUCAUAAAGUAAAAGGUGUUUUAGGAGAGAAUCUACCGUUAUUGUUCGAUAGAAAUACUUAUUUAGAGCAUCUCCAACAGCUUUUCCAUUUUCUUGAAAUUCUCAAUUUUGAGGAAUAUAGAGCUAUUUUUAGGUCCAACAGCUAUCCCAUCCUAUUCCCCAAAAUGGGGAUGAAGAAGAAAAAGAAGUUUUCAUUCCCUAAAUUUGCAGCAAAGCCUUCCUUCUCCAAAAUUAAAUUCUUCACAUGCUCCAACAAAUUUAAGACAACAAUAGAAUAUUUUAUUGGGUAGUUUAUUGUUACAAUGAAAUAUAUAAUGUUUUUUUGUUAUAAUUAAUGAUGAUAUAUUAUAUUUUAUUGUUGUAUUAAAUGCUGAAAUCUCCAAAAUGGAGAAGCUGCUGGAUUUUGAUCAUAAUUUUUUUUUAGAGAUUUUAGGGUGUGUUCGGUACCGUUUUGUGAAAUGGUUUUUUGUUUUACAAAUUCAAAAACAGAAGUAAAACGCGUUCGGUUGAUGUAUUUCAAAAACUCCAAAUAAGAUACAGGGAGUACAACUCUAAAUUCAUGAGUAAGUUUGGAAAACAUAAAAAGGACGUUUUACCCGUUUCUGAACACGGGAUAUUGCAUUGAAAAACAUGGAGAUUUUUUCGGGAGCUCUCUGCUUCAUGACACAGACUGUUUUAACUUUUAACCACCUCUUCUAUGUAUUAUGUGCCACAACUUCCAACUAUGGCGAUCAAAUUGACAUCAUCUAUGAGAUUGAUUUUUCUGUUGUAAAUUGGAGAAAGUUCUUCGUACCUAGUUGCUAGGUUGUAGCUUUAGGAUUUAGACUCAGUUUGAAAGAAUUACCUCAGAAAUCUUCCUACCCAGAUGGCCAGAUGAGUUUGUUGUCGCUCUGAACCUGUUCACAAUUUUUGUCGGUGAUACUAUUCCUCUGUCGAUGGAUAUGGCGAACCGAGCAUACUCACGUUUCACCACUAUUCAUGAUGAUUCACUUCUGUUAUUCGAUGAGAAUCCAUGAUUCCAGUUGAGAGUUUUAAGUUGAAGAUGAUGAAAAAAGCAAAUGCGUUUAUGUGGUGGAAUUUGAUGCAAACAAUAUUUAAAUGAUAUGCCAGAUAGCUACAGUAAAUAAUUAUCAUUAUAUUAUAGAAGAUUGAUAGAUGUAGCUGUGCAGGUGAUGGGGAUAAACUUCAACAAACUUAUAUUGAUAGAGUUAGAGACGCAUUGGUGAGGAACAACUGAAACAUGCUUUUACUUUUUUACUUUUUGUAAAACUCUUCCACAGUUGUGCUAUCGGACGCAUAUCCAAAUCGUGAAAAUAUCAAAUUUAAUUAUUUAUUUUCAUUUUAUAAAACAGUUUUUGAAAAAUGAAGUUGUAAAACAGUACCGAACACGCCCUUAGCUUUGGCUUCACCAUUUUAGAGAAAUUUUAGAGAAGCUGUUGGAGAUGCUCUUAUAAUGAGGGAUUUUUUUAGGGUUAUUUUAAGAGAUAGACUCUCUACCGUCAGAUCUAGUUUGUUAAAAAUAAAUGGAUGAGAUUAAAACAAAGAGUGUACAUCCUUCUCACUCUCUCUUUCUGCAAAACGUUGAGACCAACCUUUGAACCCAGAUUUUCAUGGUGAGUCUAAUCCCGACGAGGAAGGUGGAACGGAGGUCGAGACGGCGGAGCUCGGAGCGAGGUUGAUUCCGACCCAUGGUGGGUCUGAUUCCGAGGCUGAUUCUCAUAUCGUUAACCCCAUUCUGGGUUCUCAAUAAUCAUCAAAUUCGCAUCUCAAGCACUUCUCUUUCUUCAAAUCCUUUUGAAAUUGACUGGGUUUUCCGGCUGGAUCUUGUAUUUGUAGUGGGAAUACGAGGGAUUAAGAGAAGUAGUCCUCUUGUCUCAUAUUUGAAUUCAACCGGAGCAAUUUUGAGGGAAAUAGUUGAUGCAAAGAGUUCAUCUUUUGGUUUCAAAAUUCAAACUGAUAACAAAUUUUGGGUUUUUUUUCUCAUAUGGAAAACAAAUUUGGACUCUUGUUUGAGAUAGUCCACUCUUGCCCUCUGGUUGUAUUUUUCAGUUCUCAUAUUGAAAACAAACUUUGGGUUUGUUCUCUGGGCAACGAUGGCAAAUGCAAAAUAAACAGAGUACACAUAGUGGGAAGAAACUACAAUUGAAAUUAGUUUGAAAAGUGCUUGAGAGUGGGGGCUCGAGGGAAUUGUGGUUGAGAUUGGAUUCAGGAGAAUUGUUACUGGCAGAUCACAGAUGUCUCGACAUAAUUAAGAAUUUUGGAGAUUGGAUUUCUGGGUAUUUGAAGGGAUUGAGAACUCUGGGAGUAUGAGAACUUCAGGCAAGUUAGGAAGGAUUCUUUGCUUUAAUCUCAUUCAUUCAUUUUCAUUAAACUAGAUCUAACUGUAAAUAGUCUAUCCCUGUUUGGUAAUGUGGUAUGGGACAAAAAUUCACAUAUUUUAUACUUUUAACAGAAUUUUAGUGGAGUAAUUUUAAAUACACACCCCUAAUCUCUAAAUACACAUCCAUUACUUAAUACACCACCCAUUUAGUUUUUCAUUUCAAUAUUAUACUAAAUACACAUCUCAAACUGCCUAAAAUACCCUCAAUAUCUAAAACUAAUAAUAAUUUGUAUUUAAUAUAAUUAUUAUAUAUUUACUAUUUCACAACUCUCUUUAUGCAUUCUCUUUUAUUUUCAGUUAGAUUUUUUUUUAUCGGGUUGGAAAAUUUUUUCUUGAUAUUUAUCAAUUUAUAACCAAAAGAGUAAUAUUAUAUUCGAACUCCAACUCCAAUAUGACAUCAAUCAGCUAGAAUUUGAAGAAAAAUAAAUUAUUGAACAUACAUAAUUUUUUCAAGGUUAAGAAACUAGUAGUAGUACAAUAGCAUAAAAACUAAUUUUUAGUCUGCAAGAUAAAAACUAAACUAAAAACUAAAGUUGAUAAAAAGAACCAAAUGAAUCAGUAAAUAGUAUAUGUGAUUAUGACAGUAGAUGAAUUUCAGUUGAUGAAUUUUGGAGAAGAGGUUUUUAUUUCUUUUCUUUUGAUGCGUAAUAAUAGUGGAGAAGAGUUAGGUUUUAGGGAAGAGGAAGUUUUUUUUUUCCUCUAAUAAUUUAUGAAUGUUUUUGUAAUUAAACAUACCUAUAAAUUUGAUGUGAAAUAUAAAAUAAUAGAGAUGUGUAUUAAGAGAUUAGAGGUGUGUAUUUAAAAUUUCUCUUUGGUCAUUUAGCUUACCUAUAAAAUCUUAAUAGAAACAUAAAAUAACAGAGGUGUGUAUUAAGAUAUUAGGGGUGUGUAUUUAAAAUUUCUCAUUUUAGUGUUUGGUAAAACUUAAAAAACAUGUUAUAAUUAAUCUUGAGGUCGAUAAACGCAGAUUUUCAGAAACAGCCCCUUGACAUGCUUUCUCAAAACUCGGUUUUGCAAAAGCGCGAAGGGCCGCAGGAGAGUGAAAUGAAAAUUUAGAAUACCGAGAGCACCCUCGUGUUUGUUCAAAAAGACGGGUUUGUAUGGUAUGACAUACAUAUUGCAAAUGUGUCUAAUUGUAUGACAUAUGAGGACUUUUAAAAGGGUAUAUGGUAAUUACAUGGUCAUUUAGUUAUUUCUUCAAUCAAUGAUAGUUACACAUUUUGUGAGGCAUGCUAUAUCAUAUGGUAUACUAGAAUUUUCCCAAAAAGACUGCUAUGUGUAUAUCUUUCACAUUUCUUCUCUCUUCAACGUUCUAGGCUUCUAAUCUGCAACUCAGUUUAAUCAGCUUUCAUCUUGGUUGUCAUCAUUCAAGGAUUCCCCCUAAAUUUUGGUGGUUACAGUCUAAUCCAUGUCUCAAUCUAUUCAAUUUGAAAUUGAGAAUUUCUAUUCAUGUUCAUUAUUUUACCUGAAUACUUUCUGGGUUAGAAGCUUCUACAUAGUAGUUUGAGUUUCUCUAUACUUGAAGUCUCCUUUUUGUUGUCUUAUAUAUAGCACAUAUAUUUGGCUUCAAAUGAGAGCAUAUGAAGGUUUCUGAUCACUGAUUCUAUAUACAUAUAUAGACCACAAAUUUGAAUGGGUUUGUUUGAUAAACGAAUUAAAAAUUUUUAAAGCUUAAAAGAGAAAUAUGAUUGAAAAAACAGGAGAGGAAAAGAAUAGAGAAAAACCCUAAGAGGAAAAGUCCUCUCAUCCGGCCUCGCCGCCAUUCCUAUGUUGGCCACUGGCCUCGCCAGCGUGAGUCGACUAUGGCCGGACGGGAUGCUAGCGAAGUUUGUUCGUUUGGUGAUCGGUGGCUAGGGGUUGAGUUAGCCCAUUCUACAGCAUCUUCAGUCGAAGGCGGUGACUGCACAGGGUUUGAUCUCGCAAAGAAUGGUGGUGGCUGAUUGCGUGGAGCGAGAUCCUCACAUCUGACCUGGCUUGUGAAUCCAUGGUUGCUUCCGAGCGUGAUCCGCCGAAGAUCCGAUGAAGAUUGGAGGCGGGUCGGAAGAUGGAUUUGCAAAGGGUUGAAGUCGGACUAUCAAGGUUUGGGAGGUGGGGAUCGGGAUGUUGUUGUACUGAUGGUUUGUCGGCAGUGGAGCAGUUCAAGCCAGAAAGCAGCAGUGGUUCAACGGUAGGUGGGGCGAGAAGAUUUGGACGGUGCGGACCCCGUUUUAGGUUUUGGGCCAAUGAUGGGCUUCUCAGUCUGGAAGUGGGCCUAUUUUGGGCCGAGUGGCUGGGCCAUUUCUGCUAUGGGUUUGUUUUAUUUUAUUAGUUGUUUUGCUGUUUCAGUGGUUUUAAUAAAUCCCUAUCGUUUUUCAGUAGAAGUAGGUGCGUGCACUCUUUGUGCCUUGUCCGUUCUAGUUUGGUCGCGAAUCUCAUGUAUUAGCACAUGGUCGCAACCUCUUAGUAGCUGGAAUAUGUCUACCCUAGGUAUGCAGCGAGUUCUUUGCUUCGUCAAAUGGUCACUGCCACCUAAUGGUAGAGUGAAGCUAAGUGUCGUCGGAUUUAUCCUCUGGAGGCAACAUAGUAGGAAAGCUGUGCUUGUGGAAAUUAUGUUUCGCAAUAGUCGAGUUAACUUUUCGUUAUAUCACCACUAUGUUAAAGUCACCACUAUGUUAAAGCAAAUAGAGCAGCCAUUAGAGCACUAUUUGCUAGUCGGUGCCUAGUUGAGUACAUGUUUGUAGAGACUGUUGAUAUUAGUUCAGGUCUUUGUAAUCAGAGGUUUAGGCUCAAUGUCCCCCCUUGUAUUCAAUAGUUUCAUUAAUCAAAACUUAAGGGCAGCCGCACCAACUCUUUACUAAAAAAUAAAAAAUAAAAAAAAGAUUCUGGAGUUGGCUUAUGUUUAUCAUCUUGUGCAUAACUUCUGUAUAUUGAACCUUAAACAAUUCGUAGAACUCUUUAUAAAUUAGGGUAUAUUAAGCCAACUCCAGAAAUAUCCAACGCUAUACCAACGCUAACGCUUUGUCCAUUUUUGUCAUUUCAUGGUUUUGUAUUGGGUUUAUGAAAGAACUUACGAAACACUUCCAAUAUCAGUUUGAUGAUUAUAUUAAUUACCAAACACUUACCUGAGUUUUUAAACAGUGGAUUAUUUUACAACUGAGUUUUUAUACUGCUGAUCGAUUAUUGUGAUCGCAAUACCAAACUAAACCAAAAUGAACCCAAAAAAUGGAUCCCUCAUUGGAAUGGCCCUCUUAUUUAUAUGCAUUAUAUAGAGUCUUCCGAAUAAUCUAGAAGUUCUAUCAAUAUAAGAGUAUAGAGAUUUAAUGUGGAUUGAACUUGGUAAGAAAAAAAAAAAAAAAAAAAAGGUAUGCAAACUGAAAUGAAAUAAAAUCUAUGUUUGUAUCUAACAUGCAAUUGGAUAGAGGUAAACCCACCUGGCAUCAUCAACAUGUAGGACUAGUUUUCUGCAAGCUUUGAAAUACUCGAGAAAAUUUCGAAAGGCAUAAUGAUUUUCCAUUCUGUCCUCGAAGGCAGCGUCUUCGUCCAAAAGAUGGAUAUCUGCGUCCAUUACAAAUUCUGAAUUAUAUAUGGAUAUCUAUAGUGGUCUCUUUCAACAAAUUUCCACAACACCAUAAUCGCAAACAAUACAGGUUAUGUGUGCGGUUGUUGAUAUACUUUAAGUUUCUGCAAUUGAAUAUAUGAAACUCACGGCACAUGCAAGGAUUUGAGACUCGAAUCCGAUAUUUCAAGUUGCAGAAAAUCCUCAUCGAAGUUAGAAUUUAAACUUUGUGACAGAUACUCAAUAGAAGGCAUCCGGAAAUCAAACGGGACAAAGUCAUGGAAGUCAGUCGCACACUCUCGAGGGACAUAGUUUUCAAAGUCGACGGAAGCAUGUCAUUACUAGAGAUGACAUCCACCUCUACAUUCAAAUCCUCCAAAUGUAAGGUAGUUAAAGAUUUUGCAGCACUAAGAACUUCAAGUAGCAAUAUCAUCCGGUUAUCCAAAAUAGAACAUGAAAAUAGUGACAGAGAUUCAAUGGCAGGGAAACUGGAAAAGAAAACCAACAAAGCCUCGGAAUUCAGUUGCACAAUGUUCUUCAGUGACAGAUAUUCAAAGACGGAAGGGUAACAGAAUGGUCCUCCACAUCUAAUAUCACAAACUCCAAACUUGAGGUAGUUAAUGAUUUUGCAUCAAUAAGGGUGUGAAGUGAAAAAUGGUAAAGCAACGACCUUUGCUAAUGUCCAAUUCUUUGAGUCUUCUCCCGACUGCGAAAUUCAAACACUUGCCUAGGAUACCAGAGUCUCUCUCUAUACUGAAGGUAGACGUAGUCAAGCGAAGCCUGAUCUAAGAGCUUCUUGUUUUUGUGUUAGUUUUCAUAUUGGAGUAUCUCGAGCUUUUUGUCACUAUGUUGUGCCGGAUCGCCAUCAUCGAGAACUAAUACAGAGAGGGAGAACCAUACAGCUUGCCAUUGCUUUGAAAGAGAGCUCAUUCGAACGGCAGAUUUGGUUGGACCGUAGGAAGGAGUGGGAGUAUUUGGUGGAUAACAUCGUUCAUGGCCAUGGGGUUUUGAACAUAAUGAUCUUUCUUUAUCUGGCCCUGCUUUGAGAUCUUGUUAGUUGAGUUAGGGUUCUUCGCCGUCAUGUUCCUGCGUCUUUUUGCUUUGGUAGCCAACAGGCAGCGGCCAAAAGCCACAAAACAAUGUGGCUUACGUACGUACGAAAUGACAAAUAUAACUGCAAUUGAAUUAGAUCUCAACUACCAAAGUACGAAAAGAUCAAUAUGUAGUAGAAAACUACAAACAAAUCUUCUGAGAACUGUUUCCAGAUAAGGAUAAACAUCAAACUUGUUUAGAGGGGAGGCCAUGCAUGCUAGGGUUUUACCAGCUGGCUGGGCGUUCUGGGAUUCGAACUUGGGUCGGGCUUCACGGGGCUUGCUUCGCUAAAUUUUUUUCGUUAUUUUUUUUUUUUUACUUUUUAUUUUUCUAACUUUUUCGAUAUGAAAGUUAGAAGAAAUUUUAAAUACAAAACUCUAAUAUCUUAAUAUAUAUCCCUAUUAUUUUAUAUUUCACAUCAAAUUUUAUAGGUAUGUUUAAUUCCAUCAAUUAUGAGGGGAAAAAAAAAACUUUCCUCUCCCCUAAAACUUUUUUUUUUUUUGGUUCGAAUCCUUAAAACCUAACUCUUCUCUACUAUUACUAUGCAUCAAAAGAAAAGAAAUAAAAACCUCUUCUCCAAAAUUCAUCACCUGAAUUUCAACUACUAUUAUAAUCACAUGUACUAUUUACUGAUUCAUUUGGUUUUUUUUCUAUCAAUAUUAGUUUUUAUCUUACAAACUAAAACUUAUUUUUAUGCUAUUGUAAUUAAUUCUACUAGUUUCUUAACUUUGAAAAAAUUAUGAAUGUUCAAUAUUUUUUUCUUCAAAUUUUAGCCGAUUGAUGUCAUAUUGGAGAUUGAGAGUUUGAAUAUAAUAUUUACUUACUCUUUUGAUUAUAAAUUGAAAAAUAUCAAGAAAAAAUUUAUAACCCAAUCAAAAAAAAUAUAACAUAAAAUAAAAAAGAAUACGUAAAGAGAGUUGUGAAAUAGUAAAUACUAUAAUUUGAGCUCGCGCCUGGUGUAGGCACGAUUGAUUAGAUUAGUGAUGAUGGAGUGAGAUAUUGACGAUGAUGAUAUCACGUUGGAAAAUAAGCGAAAUUGACAUAAGAAUGUAAAUGUAAAAAGAGCAUGGAUCCACAUACAUGGGUUGUAUGGCUGCAUAUAGUACAAGAGUAACAGCUGCUCAGAAAUCAACCAUUUGAAGAAUGAGUUUUCAAAGGAUGCAUUACUUUCAAAUCAGUGGAAUUGUUUAAUAAGCUUAAAAUUGGCUAUCUUACACUGGUGGAAGUAACAUUUUAACAUCAAAACAUCAGUUCCACUACUUUAGUAUUUGAACAAAUCUAAGAACUAUCUAUUUAAUCAAAGCACCAAUAAUUCACAUUUCCAAAAUUCAUGGUUCAUUUCUUUAGUUCCAUUUUGACUCACAACCAACACCUAUACCUAUCGAGUUCCCUGAUCUUCUCUAAAAUAACAAACGUGUCAGCUAACUUCAAGGGCUGGCAUUUCAUUUACUCCUCUACAUGAUCCAUGAUAGCAGUCUUCAUCCUGUAAAUACAUAUCAUCAGCUCAAAAUUCUUAAAUGUAAAUAGGAAAAAGACAAUUUCACUAACUCUUCAGAGGUUUCCUAACUCCAAAAACAAACAUGAGGCGAACAUAGAGUACUUGAUUUUAAAUCCUCAAUUUGCUAAAAACUUAAAGCAUUUCAGAUUAAUCAUGUGUUCUCAAAUAUAAGCCAACAAUUUUUCAUUCUUCAAACGUAGUAGUAUUAUAUCAGGAAAUGACUAAAUAAGAACACUAUCAAGCAACAUUAUCUCUUUCAAAUAGCACAAUGAAUUCAGCUAUUCAAAUUUUCAGCACACUAUCUAAGCAAUUGAGCUGAUGCUUACAUCCACCAUCUCUAGUAUAGCAAGCAAUCCCAGGAAAUUACUAAUUGAAUCAAAUAAAUUACUAACCGAGUCAAAAAAUUGUAUUAAUCUCUGCAAGAUAAUGAUCAAAGAAAUUUGUUCACUUGAUAACUGGAAUUUAAAACUAUCAAAUACCAUAACCAAAACUCUCUCAUAUCCCAUAUCUGCAACACAUGAUUCCAUUUUAUCAAUCACCCUACUUGUAGCAAUCUGAAAUUUGAUUAGAGUUCCAAAUUACUAACUGAGUAUUUGGUUUGUUAAUUUUUUAAUGGCACAUAUCCAUAUCAACUCUGAGUCUUCAGGCUUCUCAGGGUUCCUAAUAGUACAUGUUUCUGCACUUUAAAUUUAAAUUAUUCCCCUCAGAAAGCUUUGAAGCUACCAUGUUUUACAUAUCCUAAAUGCAAAACAAACAGUUUCUACUCAACUAUAUGUUUCUUUAAUCUAACAACAACCUUCGCAGUUUCACCUACAUAACUAUUCUAAUUUUUCUAUAGGCAGAUUGAUUUGCAGAGGUGCAUGAAAAGUGCUGACUAAAAGCAAAGAGAAGGAUAGUAAUACUGAAAGAGAUUCAAUCUAUUCAGAGCAAAAGAAUAAAAAUUGUGAAUUUGCCAAAUAGUUAUAUACAACAGUAUCAUACUUAUUAAGUGGAUAAUAAACCAUCUGAUUUAUAUUCUGGUGAACAUGAAAUUCUAAAUGCAAGUUUUGAGGACUGAUAUUAACGUGGAAGAGGAACAAAGAUAAACCAAUGUAUGGAAAAAGAUACAUAGAAUAUCACCAGUAAUUGCAACUCAUAACAGGAGACGGAUUCUCUACUCACCUAUGUUCUAUUGCUGUCCACUUCCAGCUCUUGUUGCGAGUUUAAAACAGCUAGUUUUAAUUGUUGGAUAGAAGCCUAUGGCAGACAAACAAAAUUAUAUAUACAUGAAAAUGGAACUACAAUGGAUUAUAUUUCUAUAGAUAAACUAAAAUAAACUCCAUAUCAGACAGAAACGAAAAACAUAUUGAAUAGAAGAUCACAAACUAAUCUAAGUACACUAAAGGUCAGCCACCUAUUUUUUUUAUAUAUUUAUAUAUAGAUAUAUGUGUAUGCACAUAUAUCCAAUUACUUUAUUAUGUUGAUCCUCUCCUGGUAAACGAAAAUCGAUCAUCUCGAUCUAAAUAUGCUUAUAAAAGAGGCCAACGGCCAACCAUGCAUAUCCAAAGCUAUCAAGUAUCAAUAAAGCUGUCAAGUUUUGAUUUCAAAGUAAUAAAAGAUCUUAAUAUCUGUUGCAGCAAGUCUUGAGAGCUAUUCAAUUGGGGAGAGCCAUACUUUUCAGUGGUAGAUCGCUGGGCAAGUUCUGGUGUAGCUGUAUCUUAUUUUCAAUACAGAACCAUUUAUUUAACUAACAGAUAAUAUAUAGCAAUCGAUCAAUCAAGUUCGUCUAUAUGAUGAAAGCAAUCAAAUAUAGAUGAAGAUGAAACAUUAAAGAAUCCUUACUUAAAGAAACCUGAAUUCACCAAAAACCUUUGAUGCUUGAUUGAAACCCAAACCCGCAAUAAGCAAUAAGAUGGGUGAAAUCAAACCUCGAACACCUUAUGCAUUAAAAUUUCCCAAACAAACUCAAAUCGCAAUCACCCUACCGGCCUCAUCAAUCGCAUAAAUUCAAAGACCGUAAGGCCUGUUCAUUCUUACCAAAGCAACACAUAUAGAGAGAGAAGCACAUACCGGUUCGACGUCAGCUAUCUGGAAGACGACUAUGAGCAAGACGGCAGCUGUGUUUCGGUUUUGAUGCAAAGGCCUGAGGGGCGGUCGGUCGCGACGGCGACUUUAGCAGAUGGCAUAGAUCAGAGAAUUGUUAGGGAAAAAACAGAGGAGAAGAUGAAUCACAUACCGAUACGGUGAAGAGUGGCGUAAGAGAUACAAAGAAGAGCGAAGGAAAGUGGAAAGUUGCUGAAGACGGUUGGCAGGGAAAACUGUUUGGCGAUGAUAGAGACAGAGGAAGAAAAGAUCUGAGGCAAGAAAAGUUGUCUUUCUUGUGUGUUUUGGGUGAGGUCGAGUCAAGAAUCAAGAUGAGGAAGGGAGAUUUCAGGUUUGACUUUGAUUUGGAGCAUUUAAGUGAGUCGGCGUCUGUUUUGGACCAAAAACAGUUUUGGGCUGAUUGGGAUAAAUGGCAGAAGAAAUAUCUGAGGCCCACUGCUACAGUAAAUAAACAGUGUUUUCUAAACUCUGAAUUAGUAUAUUGUAAAUAUAAUAAUUAUAUUAAAUUUGUUCUAGGAUAUUCUGUAUCUUUCUAGAUAUUUUUUAUGUGAGCAUUGACCUUAUGUCAAUAUGAUAUGUAAUUUAACUAGAUCUAUGUAUUCAUAUCCUUACCAUAUUGGUAUUGUGUAAUUCCCUAUAUAAAGGGCUCCUAUCAAUGAAUAAGAUGAUGAUUCUCUUGCUAUCUCUUUGUCUAUACACUUUAUACUUCAUCACGUUAUCAUGCACUUUGUUCUAACCCUAGAGCCAAUAGCCCACCAUUUGUUUUCCAAACCCUAGAAUCGGGCAGCCUUGUUUUUCCCUAUUUCCGACCAAAAUUCCGACUGCCCUCCGCCGGAAUUUUAUAUCCCCAGAAAGCUCUCUCCGUCCCGGAUCCAACACCGCCGGCCUCACCCUGAGAACCGGCCGGAAAGUCUCAGAACCGGCCGCCGGAAGAUUCCAGACCGCCGCCGCUACCGACCACCGUUUCACCACCUUCCCUUGCUCCGAUCAACCUAAAAUUUUGAUAGAAGCUUCCCCAUCCAGAACUGCUCCUCUUGUCAAAUUUUCAGCCCCAAAUUCGAAGUAUAAGUAGGCGAAACGUUGUUUCUCCUCUCGGCAGCCUCUAGAAACCAAAGAUUUCAAGAUUGCUCGUCUUCCAAAGAAACCAGAAAGGUAUGUUUUGAAACCUUAAACUUUUCCAAGUUCAAUAACUCGGGGAGGAUAAAAUCCUUUCCUCCCUUCUCCAUCUCCAUUCUAUGCUUGGGAUUUUGUGUGUGCAGGUACCAAAAAUCCAGAAAUUUUAUUCACGGGUCAAGAGUGUGUUUGAUCACUCUUGCUUCCUUGUCCGGGUUGUGUAUGAUCAACCCCGACCUUUCUCCGGAUUGUGUUUGAUCAAUCCGAGGCCUUUUCCGAAUUGUGUUUGAUCAAUUCGCAGCUUUUUCCGGAUUGUGUAUAUUAAUCAUAUGAACAUCAAUUCCAGAAACCGCGUCUCCUAUGGUGCCUCUAUAUAUUAAUCAUAUGGUCUCUGUGCUUUUGAAGAUUCAUUCAUUCAUUCACCCUCAAUCCCAUUCAUGUUUGGAGAUUCAUUCAUUUUUAGUGAACGCGCCCUCAGUUUAACCUGCAUCGAUCAUUUGAAAAAUCAAAACAAACUUUUGAUUAGUCUCUGCAUGCAGAAGUGGAAAACUAAUUAAUUAGACAUGGAUGGAAAUUCCUUAGAAAAAUUAAAGGUGAUCACGACUGCUAGCUAGGGAUUAAACUUUUUCCAAAUAUGUAUGCAUGCAGCUUAAAAAUGAUCAAUCCGAAUGACAAACCAUUAAAAGCAUUGUUUGUGACCUCUAUUGAGUCUCAUAACAGCUUGGUUUUGUAUGCAAGAGCAACGUAACAUUUUGCUCAUUGAGUUUUGACGUACUCGAUAUCUAAGGCGAAUCUUCGCUUGGUAUCUGUGGAACCUUUCACUGGAAAGGAUUAAACCACAUAUUUUGACCCCCAGGCUAACAAGCCUAGAUACCGAGAUUGCACAUCUCCUGCGCUCAAAGUCUUUGACUCGCCACAUCGACAAGCCUUCAAUGGCAAUCUGUGCAAAAAAUAAUGACCACAAAGUACUGUGGAAUGCACUCAUGAAGCGUUUCUUGAAACGUCCAUAUAACUCUACUUGUUGAGUUAUUAAUCAUGUGGAUUGCUUACCACUUUAAUUGACUACAUAUUGUCGAUGAUCUUUUGUGGCAUCAUGAUCCAUAACCUUUAGCGGAUUUGAUCAUCAUCAAGUUCUCUAGGUCCUCCAAGUUGGUUUGGAAUUACCAACGAGACUUGAUUUUGAUCAUACAAACGGGAAUUGUAUGUAUACGCUAAUGUGAUAAAUUUAUUUAAGAUUAUCCCUUAAUGUGGGGACAACAAUAUGGGUCAUGGCAACGGCAGAAAACGUCGUGCCGAUGUCUAGAAAAGAAGGGGAGGUGUCGCCGGCUCUAAUAGCGACACUCCCGGUCUAGACACAAUUUUGUCAAAACUACUCACGUCAGCUCAUGACAAUGCAACCGUUGUGGAUCUUCGGAUCACUGAUUCAAGAUUGUCAAGCUCCUUCAAAUUAUGAAUGCAUACAAAAAGUACGAAAAAUCAACAGCCCUAGCUACCCCUGACUUCGAUGUCAUUGGCUAGACAUUGAUUUUCUUUCCAAACUAUAUGUAAUAAGACAUCGUAUCGAUGUCCUUUGUUUAUUCGAGACCUCGAUAUAUACUCACAUUAGCAAUAAUGAAUGCCUUGAGAACUAGUCAUAAAUGCCUCCGAGUUAGUUUAUGUUCAUGUCUGGGAGCUUUUGCUAACUAGUCAUGGAGUUUACGACCUUAGAAUGACCGAAAAGACUUGGUUUUGAUCAAACACACGUCACUUGUGGCUAAGGCAAAAGCCUACACGCCACUUGCAAGCUUCACAGCUUCGCACAUGCCAAUUCAGCGAAAAACAGCAAUCUGUCCCUUCUGGACAGUCAACUUCGUUUGAGCUUUGUGAACAGCUCCGGAAGAACCAGAUAGUGAGCUUUAUAUCAUUGGAAAGCUCUAUGAGUCUAGUUUUUAGAACUUUACGUGGUUCGUCCAUAUCUAUUUUAACGAGGAAGUUAUGGCUGUUUUAGUGUGCAAAGGUCAUUCUACGCGGAAAUUUUUAUGUACUCUCGGGAUUGCAGCUUUUCGUAGCUUCUUUUAAUCCUUCUAAAUGGUUCAAGUGGAACUAUUAACUAGCCUAUCUACUCCUUGUAGAUAUGUCUCAUCGAGACAUUGAGUGCUUCGCAGAUAGUGGAACUAUCCACAACAUUCUAAGGAACCGGCAACUAUCUUUGGAUUUUGUGCCUUUGUAAAUCUUCUGUGACUAUAAUGAUUGAAUCAUACCGGCCUUUCCUCGAUGUCGCAUUGGCCUCCUGCAAUGCUCAUUACUUGUUUUGAAAGCCUAUUCUUUAGCUAAAUUAGGAGUGAGACCCUCCUACGCUAAAUGACACAAAAGUGAACAUUCUAUUCUUACAUCAAACUAUGUAGAUAGAUACAACCAACUUGCGGACAUCUUUUAUGCUUUAUGGUGUUGGUUGAAGUGUUAGCACACUGGUCACGUGUUACACUAUUAUCUACUGUUUAUGCUGUUUAUACUUCUACGGGCUCACUAUCCAUUCUUUAAAGAAAGUUUAUCGGGAUGUAAGUUGAAGUGUCCUGUACCUCAUGUUCACAUGCAAUACGGUCUCACCAAGGCUACGACUAAUUCACAUGCAAUACGGUCUCACCAAGGCUACGACUAAGCAACUUUAGCUUGUCGCUCGAACAUUAUUGAUGCGCACCAAUCUUUCUAUUGCGUCUUGGGGCUAUGCAAUAUUUGCAUGCAGCUUUACUAUUCAUCUACGACCCACCAUCAUUGAAUAUUUUUGUACUACAGCUCGUGACUGUGUACCAGGAUUGCAAUCUUUGAGCUCAAACAAGAUUGAAACGGAUCUCCAAUCAUUGAGCUCAGCUAGAUGUUUAUUCUAGGUGCCAAAUCGCACUGCCACUGCGCACAAUGAUGGGUCAUUUGAGAUAAAUACGUAUUUAGGUUGGAUGUGAACCUCCACCUAUAAUCCGCAUAUGUAAAAACCUUGUUAGGCGAUCUCUUUCACCGCUAUAUUGCGGAUUGUCACUUUGAUGAGACAAUAUUCCCGCUGUUAAGGGGAGAUAAGAACACAAGUGUUCAAGUGGAAUGACGUGAAUUGUCGUGGUUUGUCCUCACUAAGUCUCAUCUUGAUCCCAAAUGCUUAAAAUGUUAAAGUGACGAGAUCACAUGCUGCAAAUAUGUCUGCAAGGAUUGAUGUCUCCUCAAGAGGACAUGGCGCGACCAAAAUGUGUUGGUCUUGACACCAUCACCAUGGAUGGUGAUAUAGUGACGCCAUAUAGUGGCAAAAUUGGUGUCACAAGGCUGUGUGGCUCCCUAAAAGGAGGGAGGCCCUUAGGUUCGAUACUUUAUUGCACUAGGAAGAAAGCGAGUUUGGCACAACCUGAUCCAUUGAUCAGUGAUACUCAAAUCCGUCUCAUGAAGUCUGAAUUGUGAUUAUCGUUGGGGGACGCGUCAACGUCAAAUCCAAUCCAUAUAGAGAUCUCUACAAGUAUUACACUAGUAUAUAUGAGGACGUGGGAUAAUGAGUCUACUAUCGAACCACCUUUCGUUGAUGGAUAUCAACUUAGUUGAUUGGCCUAACGGAAAGAUGCGAUCCAACAUUAACAAAGAGAUAGGUCCUUGGGCAGGUGAUGCCGACACCGCAAGCUAAACCCUAUCAACUAUACCUUUGUUAGAUAGCGUAGUGAGAACAAGAGUUUAGACUCACCUUAUGGCGCAAGGUCUCUCACUAUCACGCACUGAGAUCGACUACGUUAAGAUAUGCUUUCGUAAUGGAUGUCAUUGAACUCCACUACUUUGUCAGUUUGGUAGUUUCCGAAUAACUGAACAAGCAGCCUAUGAAUGUGGUCAUAAUAACAUCUCUACGGGAUCAGAGAUAUGCAUGAAGGUCUUGAACAGACUUCAUUCAUCUGAAUCAAGUGGCUCCAAACCACAAGAGCACGCGUUUGCUAAAUGUAUUGAAACGCACAUGGACUCUACUUGAUUUGGAAGGGAUAUGGUGAAUUAUGCCUUUGCGUGUUCAUUCCGGAUUUACAUGGACUCUUGAUGACUCAAGAGAUGCCAAUAUGUAUCAACAUCCGAAGAAAAAGAUCUUGGGAAGACAUGGUCUCGAUAAGACACUCGAUGACUGUAUUGAUGAUGAUUUUUCAUCAAUCGGCUUAGGCGCUCUAACGAAAGUGAGGCCUACAUAUACUCCCAUGAUUAGUCAAAUUCUUUACUCUAAAGAGAGAUCCGUUGUUUUGUCUAAAGCAAGAUGACAAAUAUGUGUUAAGAGAUGGAGUUCCCAUCUAAGUACAAUAAGACGCAUCAAUGUACUCAACACAAUACGAAAGACUUGACAUCUCAUUCGCUAUGAAAAGUUGUAAAACUAAGUGUAGCUAUGCGCCCACGCAACGCCAAUGUAAUGGCAGUAACUCCUUUUUCAAUAUUUAAUGGUAUGAAAGGUUGAGGCUUAUUCUAUCCCUACAUAAGAAAGACAUAUCAAUAGCGAAAUCAGAAUCUGCCAAGUUUCGUAGGUCAACUUCCACGGGAUCUACAGGAAAUCUCACUCACUGGAAAAUGGUGAAAUUGGUACCAUUGGAAAGGUCUAUGUGUCUACUUUCUAGGGACACCAACCAUUUGUUCAUACCUAUCAUAUUGAGUGAGUUAUGGCCGUUUUCGUAAAGUAUAACGAAUCUGUCCGAGAAUCUGAUUUUGGCAAAACAGUCAACUUCGACGGGACUUUGUGAAUAGCUCCUGACGAACCAGAACCUGUGUAAUAUACGGUUGGAAAGCUAAAUGAGUCUAGUUUCCAAAACCGUUUACGGUUAGUUCAUAUGUAUUUCCUAGAGGAAGUUACGACUGUUCUAGUAACUGAAGGUCAUCCUGCGCGGAAAUCUGAUUUUCUGCACGAACUUAUGUUUUGAGUUCACAAACGGCCUUCUCCUCAAGAUCUAAGUGUAAAAGAUCAUUUGAGGACAAUACGGCAUGAUUUAGUUAAUCAUUGCCUAAUGCCACAUUUGAAGAUAUGUUAAAGAGCAUUGACAUGCUAAGUUGUUGAAAUUUCCGUGAUUAGUAAGAAUCAGGAAGAGCCCUAUGAUUGAUGUAAAGAUCAGGGGGAGGUGCGAACUUCAGGGGGAGUCUAGCACAUACAUACAUAUCACUAUCAAAUGUGAAGGAUGCGUUGUACUCUUUUUCUCCUACAAUCAAGGUUCAGUUUUUCUCCCACAGGGUUUUUGUGACUUGACGAGGUUUUUGACUAGGCAACAGAUCAGCACCAUCGGCAUAUCAGCGCGCGGCACAAGGGGGAGUGUUUUAGGAUAUUCUGUAUCUUUCUAGAUAUUCUUUAUGUGUGUCUUGGCCUUAUGUCAAUAGGAUAUGUAGUUUAACUAGAUCUAUGUAUUCAUAUCCUUACCAUAUUGGUAUUGUGUAAUUCCAUAUAUAAAAGGCUCCUAUCAAUAAAUAAGAUGAUGAUUCUCUUGCUAUCUCUUUGUCUAUACACUUUAUACUCCAUCAAAAUUCAAAUUAUUAUUAAUUUUAGAUAUUUAAGAUAUUUUAGGUGAGAUAUGUAUUUAAUAUAAUAUUAAAAUAAAAAACUAGACGAGUAGUGUAUUAAGUAAAUGGUAUGUAUUAAGAGAUUAAUGUGCGCAUUUUAAAAUUACUCAAAGCAACACAUUUUACUCCCCCACAACUCUAAGCAGCAGCUGAGGUUAAAGCUUCCCGGCUGAGUUGGCCGGCGCUAAGGCGACCAAACAAGGAUGCCUCUAACUCGGAAGGCGAAAUGAGUGCGUCAUCAUAACCUGGAGAAGGACGCAAGCGCUUCCGUAAUCAAUUGUAUGAGAGAUGGAUACGCAUUCAGGUGUUCCGUCCAUAGCGCAAGAGCGCCACGUAUGAUAAGCUUUAAUUAGAAACCCCUGUACGUGCGUGACUCUCACUCGCCCCUCCCUGAUCCGAAGAGCCGAUCAAUGAAACACAGAGAAAGAAAUGGCACGUGCGUACCAACACUGCGUGUCUGAAGUGUGUGAACAGCUGUCCUUCCAAAGCGUAUAAAAGCCCCUUGACUCUCAAUUCUCAAACCUUGACUCUCAAUUCUCAAACACUUCCAAUUCAAAGCCUUUCCGACAACAACAGCCUAUCUUCAACUCGGAAGCACCUCGAUCUCCACAGCAUGCAAAACAUCUUCAAGCGAUCCAAACUCGACACCGCCGGAGCACCACCAAAGUCGACCGGAAACCCACUUCCUCCGCCGCCUCUCCGCCUCACCCACGAGCAAGAACUCGCCGUAAUCGUCUCAGCUCUCCGUAACGUCAUCGCCGGCACCACCACCACCAUGGACUUCAACUCGCUCUUCCCUUCCUACCACAUCCUUGCAGCAUCCGACGCCGAUCGUUGUCCUGUUUGUAACAUCAAAGGUUGUCUUGGAUGCAAUUUUUUCCCGCCACCAGCUCAGGAGGAGAACAACAUUAACAGCAGCAACAAGAAGGGACCCAAAAAGAGGGUGAAGAAGAACUACAGGGGAGUGAGGCAGCGGCCUUGGGGAAAAUGGGCCGCCGAAAUCCGAGACCCGAGAAGAGCCACUCGGGUCUGGCUCGGCACUUUCCACACGGCCGAGGAGGCGGCCCGCGCCUACGACAAGGCCGCCAUUGAGUUUCGCGGACCCAGAGCGAAACUCAAUUUCCCGUUCCCGGAUAACUCGCCAGCACAGGCGCCCAUUCAAGUACUACCUCAGAAGCAGCCAGUAGUUGUUGCCGAGACAAAGCAAGAGACCAAGAGCGUGGAAUAUUCAAAGGAAAUGGAAUCGGCGGGAAUGGAAAGUGAGUUCUGGGAAAGAAUUGGAGAAGACGAGUUGUUUCAACGGUGGAUGAUGACGGACUACGGAUGCAUGAUAUAGCUUUAGAUGAUUCAUUCAUAAACAUUAUUAAUUUAAUUAUUCAUUCAUAAACAUUAUUAAUUAUAGACUGUAGCUUUAGAACAAGCUUUUUUUUUUCUUUUCUUGUUUUUUUGUAAUAGAGCUUUACAACAAGCUUAGCACCAGAGGUUUGCAUCACAAAGCAGAAGACAUACAUGAAUUCACUAAAAAAGUUCCGUUCUCUGUUUCCUACUCUAUCAUUUUCAUACCCAACUCUCUUCACUACUUAUUUGUUUCCAUUCCCAAGCCAUAAUUUGGUUAAGCUUGAAGAAAACAUAACUACUUAAACUAAAACUGUACGUAAUCACGUAGUCAAGUCAACUUAUUGUAAAGUCAACUUAAUGUAAUCAAAGUAUACUUGUAAAUCAAUGUUCACAAGAUCUAAUCACCCACUAUCCAUUGGUCGGAAGAAAAAAGACACUAUAAUCACGUACAUUAACCAAAGCAACAUGGAUUCACAAAAAUCACUUGGUCUUCGUUUUGGUAUUCUAUAUUUUCAAUCUGUGGACAACCCGCCAUCCAUUUUAAUGAGUCCCUCAAGUAGGGAUGGCAAUAAUCCCCAGCGGGUAGGGUACCCACGGGUAUUCGACCCUAACGGGGAAGAUAUACGGGUAUAAACGGGUAACGGGGAUGGGGAUCCUUAGUAUUCGGAUUCUUAAAUCGGGUACGGGGCGGGUAUGGUAUUUUGAUAUUCGUCCCCAUCCCCACCCAUUAAGGAUGAAAAUAUUAUUAUAUAUAAUUAUAUAAUUUAUUAUUAUAUAUAUUUAUAUAUAAUUUAUAAAUAAAUAUUUAUGUAAAAAAAUUUGUAAUUCUCUUAAUAAACAUUUAAUGGACCUUCCUUUUUAUUAUAUAUUUUUAUUCUCUUAAUGAAAUUUACCGGUAUUGUUAUGUUUUAACCAAGACUUGUAUUUAUUUUUAUUGGUAUUGAAGUAUGAAACUUAUUUAUUUUGGUAUUUNNNNNNNNNNNNNNNNNNNNAAAUUUAAUUUAAUACAUAAUUGUUAACGGGUACGGGUACGGGUAUGGAAACGUAAUCCCCAAAGGGUACGGGUACGGGGAAUCUCCAUUAUCUAAUUACGGGUACGGGGACGGGUACGGGGAUGAAAAAUGUAAAAAGGUAUGGGUACGGUAUUUUGAUCCCCGUACCCUACCCUACCCAUUGCCAUCCCUACCCUCAAGUCAGAAUCUCUCGCAUCUUUUGGAGAUUUAAUAUGCAUACCUGGAGAUUAAGGAUACAAGGUACUGGUGGAGAGCAAUUAAGUGUAUCUGAAGUUUUCUGGAAAUAUGAGAGUCUACACAAUGCACAAAAAUUGGAAAAGGGAAUUGAAAUGAGUAAAUCUGUAGGAUUGAACUUGGUAGAUAAAAAAGUAUACGUACCGAAAUGAAAUGAAAUUUAUGUUUGUGUCUAACAAGUAAUUGGAUAUAUAUCAAUCUCACAUCGAGAUAUUGUUAUUGGUUUUGGAUGUGAACCCCAAACUACUUUAUCAUGGUAUCAGAACGGGUUACUCACGUUCACGUGUGAAACCCAAUGGUCACACGAAUACGGUAAUAUGAGACAUUGCAUAUGAGUUUAUAAGGAUUUGGGUCAUUUCACCCAUUGUCAAUUGAUUUUGGAUGUGAACCUCAAACUACUUUAUCAGCUUUAAAAGAGAGCUUUGGUGGGAAAGAGUGGAAGAAUUUGGUGGAUAACAUGGUUCAUGGCCAUGGGGUUAUGAACAUAAUGAUCUUUCUUUAUCUCGCCCUGCUUUGAGAUCUUUUUAGUUGAGUUAGGGUUCUUCGCCAUCAUGUUCGUGCGUGUUUUUGCUUUGGUAGCCAUAAUAGAGGCAGCGGCCAAAAGCCAUUGGUAUUUUUGUUAAUUAUAUCAAAUGUUUUCAUUUAAUUUUUUUAUUUUAUUUUUACUAAUAAGUUUUGUUUAUUUUUUAAUUUUUGAUUUUCUAUUUCCUUGAUCGCCUCACCCAUCUCAUGAUACCAGUGUGACUAGAACGUUUUUAUUUUGAGUUAAAUGAAUAAAUUUUUGAUAGUAUGACCAUACGAGGUUAUCGCUAACUAUUCACUAGAAAUAAACUUUCUCAUAAUACUGCCUGACUAGCUGUGAAGAGUGAAGACUUCCUAGCAAGUAAUACUCAAAAUGCAGACUUUACUCAAAUGAUUACAAAACUAAACGCAGAAAAGAAGUUAGCUUUAGAAGAAGAUCGAUUUCUGUGUAAAAAUUUGAUGCAGAAUGAGAAGGUUCUUAGAAUAUGAUAGUGUGAAAAACAUAUUAAUUAUACUAUAUCAUGGUUCCAAAUGAGCUGGGCAUCAGAAUUAUGAUGCGAAACGAGUGCUCCCUAGUUCUCCCAGUGCCAUUCGUACCAGGAUGUCUACUUCAUAGUCGACAAGGCAACCCCAUCCCAGAUUAUAUAGGUACAUGAUCGAUCUCCUAGCCUUUCAGUGCGGUCCAGAGUUAUUUUAGUUGUUUGGCUUUAUACUAAUAUGUGACAUAUGCUCGCAAACAAUCAAAACGUGUGUUAUUCUGAAUAUCAAUACAAUCGAUUUCUGUUUUGGUGAUAUCAUAGUGGACUAGAAAUUUUAUUUAUGUCACGGGAGCAUCACGUGACAUAAUGAAGUGGUUAUCAAUCUUAUAAAUGUUAACGGUCAAACGUAAAUUUUUGACCCGUCAUAUAAGAAUAGAUAAAUUUCUCGUUAAACCAAACGACAUAAGAAAAAAGAAUCUCAAUAUCCUCUCCCAUUGUUUAUCUCCUCACCAGAGAAACCCAACAUCCUGAAAUCAUAAUUAAGCAUUCAACAACACUAAUUGAUGGCUUGUUCUAAAUUUACUUGUUAUUACUACUUCAUUGAGUUGGUUAGAUUGAAAGCGUUAAACGUGUUUAUGCUCAUAUAUAUGUGAUUAUGAUCUUGGUAUAAUGCUCAUUCAGUAUAACAAUGUGCUGUGCUGAUCGAGCUGCUGCAGUUGAAGCUUCCCGUUGAGUUGGGUGCUACCUCAGGCCACCAAACAAGGACUUGCCUAUAUAGAAAUGGCUGACUAUUUGAUGGGGUCAACAAUUUCCAAAAAAAAAAUGUUCGUCUUACACUUUCACACCUGUGUUGGAGUCCAGAUGGGUCAUUUUUGGGAAGCUUUUAGUUUGGUGUUUAUUCUGUUGUAUAGACCGUGUGUGCUACUAUGUUGAUUAUAACUACUAAUGAGAUGACAUUGCCAACUAUUAUCCAAGAAAAAUAAAGAGAUGACAUUGACACUCGUGUUUUAUAUUAUUCCAAACGCCAAAAGGUGCCGCCAAGUAAAAGGGAUCCAUUUUGACCACACACACAAAAAAAAAGUAAAAGGGAUCCAUCAGAUAUCAUUUGUCAUUUGUCAAUUGUCAUGUGUCAUAUUUUCUAAUAACCGACAUAAUUUAAUCAAGUGACGAAAAAUAUUUGGUUUCAUGAUAAUCAUAUCAACAUUAUCUCUAUUUAUUAGACAGGUAGAAAGGUUUAUAUAUAUAUAGGAUUUUUCUCAACUGCGAACGUCCAUAUCAAUAGUUUUAGUGUGGAUUUUUAUUUUUACACCACUUUUCGAUCGAAUUUCCUCAUCUUCAUCGUCUAGUAUCUAAAUAAUAUUGUGUAGAUCAUCUUUGCAAAAUUUCAGCCAAUUUGGUAAUCGUUAAGGCCCCUAAACUCGAAAAACAAAUGGACGGACUGAAUUCUGUCAAACAUGAACCGUUCAUGUUUAUAACAGAAAGACGCAAUUUUGAGGGCCUUAAAGAUUACCAAAUUGGCUGAAAUUUGCAAAAAUGAUCUACACAAUAUUAUCUAGAUACUAGACGGUGAAGAUGAGGAAAUUCGAACGAAAAGUGGUGCAAAAAUGAAAAUCCGCACCAAAACCAUUGGUGCAAACGUCCGCAGCUGAGAAGACCUGUAUAUAUAUAUAUAUACACAGUUUCCUUUCAAAGUGGUGUCCCGCUUUGAAAUUAAAGUGUGGACUUCCUUAUUUCGCUCAUUUUCAGGACGUAUUUCCACAUCUCAACCGUACAAUAUUUAGAACAUAGUGUAUAGAUCAUUCAUGCACAGUUUCAUCUAAUUUGGAGAUCAUUUGUACCGAAUUAGAUUAAAUAAAUCAAAAGAACAAAAGCUGUCCAAACAUAACUGUUUGUGUAAAUCACGAUUAUGGAAGCUCAAAUGAUCUUCAAAUUGGAUGAAAUUUUGCAUAAAUGAUCUACACACAAUAUUCUAGACAUUGUACGGUUAAGAUGUGAAAAUGCAACCUGAAAGUAAGCGAAAUAAGGAGGUCCACACUUUAAUUUUAAAGCGAGACACCACUCUAGAAGGAAACUGUGUGUGUAUAAUAGAAGGCUACAUCUUAUAAAAAAAAGGUAGGGUUAUAUAAAGUAAUUAACAUCAGGGAACUUGUACUUUCUAUUGAACUUGCGAAAUCCUAGGUUUAGGGCGACAGUGAUCGUGUGUCUUGCCCCAACCAAGCAAGUGGCGUCCCCCAACAUUGUGUGAGGGUGAAUCUCGGUUUCAGUCUCUCUUGGGGAUUACAUAGAUGUUUUUCGGCUAUGUUUUGGGAGCACUUUUUCAGAUCGUCACCGACAGUGGAUCGCUAUCGCAUCUAGAUAGUCUUGAUCAGUUAAGCCGAACAUACAAGGGGAUGUUGUUUUGAAGUGAUUGCUCUUGUGAUUGUACUUUUGACAUUGACUUAAUAAGGUUGCAACAAAUAUUUAUUUCAAUUUCUUUAAAAGAAAAUGAAGAGAGUUAGGGUUUAAAUUUUAUUUUUCACAAAAUAUUAGUUUUUGAUUAUUCAAAAAAUAACAGGUUAAUCAAAUAAAAGAAAAAAAACAGAGGUUAAACUAGAACUCUGCCAAAUCAGCCCAUCACCAUUUGGUGUAGUGGCAUAAGUCUCUCUUAUAUUAGUGGGAGGUCAUGAGUUCGAUUCAUAACAGACUCAUUGUUGUAUUUUUGAGUUAUUUGAUUGAUAAAAAAAAACUCAGCCGGCGCCUGACGUUAGCACUCCCGUAAUCAACUAACCGGCAUUACGUCACUCAGUCCUAAACAACCGGAAACUUCAGGUGCCCCGUCCGUAGCACAACAUGUCGCACCACGUAUGAUUAGCGUUUCCAAGCACCUCCCGCGUGAGUCUCACUCGCCUCCCCUCCCUAAUCCGAAGAGCCAGUCAGACCGCACUGAAAACCCAAAACAGAAAAAUUAAGGCACGUGCGGACGCAAACUUGCGUGUCUGAACUGUGUGACAGCUGUACUCCCAAAGCGUAUAUAAACGCCCCCAAAACCCCAUUUGACUCUCAAUUCUCAAACACUUCUCCAAUUCAAAGCCUUUCCCACCACAACAAAACCCAAAGCCUUCAGCUGAACUCAGCGGCACAACUCCACAGCAUGCAAAACUCCUUCAAGCGAUCCAAAUUCGACACUGCCGGAGCUCCACCACAGUUGACCCAAAACCCACUUCCUCCGCCGCCUCCCCAUCUCACUCACGACCAAGAACUCGCCGUAAUCGUCUCCGCUCUUCAAAACGUCAUCGCCGGCACCACCACCACCAUGGACUUCAACUCUCUCUUCCCUUCCUACCACUGCCCCACCCUCACUUCCUCCUCAUCCUCCGCUCCCGCCCUCCUUGCAGCAUCCGACGCCGACACGUGUCCCGUCUGUAACAUUAAAGGUUGUCUUGGAUGCAAUUUUUUCCCGCCACCAGCUCAGGAGGAGAACAACAUUAACAGCAACAACAAGAAGGGACCCAAGAAAAGGGUGAAGAAGAACUACAGGGGAGUGAGGCAGCGGCCUUGGGGCAAAUGGGCUGCUGAAAUCCGAGACCCGAGGAGAGCCACUAGGGUCUGGCUCGGCACCUUCCACACGGCGGAGGAGGCGGCCCGCGCCUACGACAAGGCCGCCAUUGAGUUUCGCGGACCCAGAGCCAAACUCAAUUUCCCGUUCCCGGACAACUCACUGUCGAUGAACCAUGAAACUUCAAUGACGCCAGCACAGACGCCCAUUCAGAAGCAGCAAGUUAAUGUUGCUGAAACAAAGCAAGAGACCAAGAGCGAGGAUUCAAAGGAAAUGGAAUCGGCGGGAAUGGAAUGUGAGUUCUGGGAAAGGAUUGGAGAAGACGAGCUGUUUCAACAGUGGAUGAUGACGAUGGACUACGCAGCUGAUCACUCGUCGGAUUCUGGAAACGGGUCUGCAGGAAAUGCUCACAGUUACUGAUGCAUGUGUUAUAGCUGUAGAAUGAUAUAUCAGUGUUCAUAAAAAAAAAUGAUAUAUCAGUGAGCACUAGUUUUUGUUUUUUGUUUUGUUUUGAUUAACAUUCAUGUGAAAUUUCUUGUUUUUGAGGGGAAAUCACAUAGUGUUACUGUUUGGUUAAAGAUUGCGAUGUAAAAUUUGGUAAACAUUACGAGGUUAUCUUUAUCAAUUAGAUUACUUGCUGCCAAAUUUGAAUUACGCACGAUACAAUUUUGAGUUUAAGCACUUUUUAACAGAGCUCAUACGUGUGUGGGUCCUACGCGGACCAUUUACUGACUGGUUGACAUGAAGUUUAAAAAGGGAACAUAAUCUUGUAAUAGAGCACGUGGGUUUUUUUUAGAGGGGGCCAUGGAUCAUAGGGGUGUAAGCAUUAAGUCACUCGCAAAAAGGACAUGUGCGGAUUGAUUUUGUUUUCUUCUGGGGCUAUUUCCCAUGUUUCUCACGUUUUUGAUUUUCACGUGUGAAUUGCAACCGAUCUAAAUUAAUGCAUUAUCCAUAGGGGACAUCUAGUUCAUGAUUUCAUAUAUCAAAUAAAAUUAUUCUAUUAAUUCAACGUACAACUGGAUUAAAUAAAAGAGUAAUGUACAUUCUAUUGGAACACAAUUAAGCUUGGUAUUACUCACUUCCUCUCACUGCAAAAUCUGUUUUUUAUUUCGACUAUUUAAGAGUUGGUUACGAAAUCUGUUUUUUAUUUCGACUUUUUAAGAGUUGGUUGUGUUAGGGUUUUAGCUUAUAGUAGAAAAAAUUUAAACAUUCAAAAUAGUGAUAACAAAAGUAGAAACGGGUAUUCUUGGAAAUCAUAAACAAAUUAAAAUCAAGACCAUGGAUGUUGAAAUAUAGUCCCGUUGAAAACCUUACUAGACAUAUCAUAACUGGACAUAUCAUCCAUCACACCUAUUUCCUGAAGGGAAAGCUUCCUUCCAAACUCAUAGUAUGUUUUUUGUCCGUUUAUGCUUCUUGACCCUAAACAAGAGCAUUUCGAUUGCAAUUGAUACCUUCAAAUUCGCCUUCAAAUAUCUGAUUUCAUCAAACAUAGGGCCUCCCAUACCGAUAUCAGUUUCUUAGCUAUUGAGAGCUAGAAUAAUAGUAUUACUAACCGCAACUGUCCACAUCAAUCCUAAAGCAACUUUAGCCCAUGUAACAUUGCUAGAGCCUCUGUUGCUUAUGCUGACAAAUUACCCAUAAUAAUAGCUACAGAAGAACGCACCUUUGCAAAAAAUUUGAAUCAUUGGCGUCGAUUAGAGAACUAUGAGAGCUCGAGCUGUUAAAAAAUGUAAAUACUGGAACGGAGAUACAAACAGAAAUUCGGAUAAUUGAAAGGAAUCUAAUGCCAACUUAUUCUCCAAAAAAAAAAAAAAAACCUAAACGCCAACUUCUUUGUUUUGUUUUCUGCGGAUCAAUCCCACAGUAUAGAACAAGUUUGAAAAUUAUUUUCAACCUGUUCUAAACGUUUGACCAGUGUAUCUGUUUUCAAUUAAAUUGAAAAGAAUAACCGGAAAAUGUACAAAAUCAAUAUUGAAAUUUAAAACCUAUUGUGCAUUGCAGCAUAUUGUACUGGAUACAAAUUAUACACUACGGGUACGUUUAGUACAUGGCAUUACCUAAGCCAGUGUUAAAUAAGGAGUCAUUCAAGGCUAAUCUCAUUUUUGGUCUCUCUCGGUACUAAUAUUAAUGGUGUUAACUUGGACCUGUUUUUCAAUUUCGCCUCCUUAGGAGGGCUUAGCGUGGGUACUCCGAUUAGAGGCCCUUAGCUAAGACUCACUAACCACCUCUCAUUCACAUCGCUUCCACAACUCUUCUCUUUUCAUUCUUCACCUCCUCUCUGUUUCACCCCGAAGAAUCUUUGCUCCACAACUUUUCUCCUUUCCGAUUUCAUAGACGAUUUCCAUUCUUCACCUCCUAUCUGACCUGCGCCGUCUCUGACUUCUCCCAGACCUGCUCCGUCCUCAACGCCCUCGGCCCCCGCCCUGACCACGAGGCCGUCGACACCGCCAAGGCCAAGCUCGCCCUCAUCAACUCCUCUCUCUCCAAGAAGCUCGAGGACCUCGUCCUCUCCCCACGCCCCACCGAAGUCGACCGCUUCCAAUGGCGGGGCCACCUCGCCUAGCGCGAGCAGGAGUGCCACGACUCCGCUGACAAAGACAGGCAGGACUGCAAGGCCAUUCUCCAGCUCGACGAGCUCCACGCCGCCUACGAGAAGCUUCUAAAGGAUGCCGAGGAAAGACUCAACAAAAUUUAUCGCUUCGCCUAGGACAGCGUUGUCCAGGAGGAGCCGCCGGUCUCCAACCAGCUCCACGAGGAGGUCGUCGGCAUUCUACACCAGGCCAACGGGACCGCACUAGACCGCAUCAACCUCUCCGGCCGCCUCUUAAGGUUCUUGCCGGAGGCGUUUGGCAGGAUCGUCGGGUUGCUACACCUUGAUCUUUCCAGCAAUGAGCUCAAGGUUUGCUUCCCUUUUCUUUCUUUCUUUCUUUUCUUGCCAAGAAAUUGAACUAGUUAUUGAUUGAAUAGUUUGGUGUCAUUGUUAAUGAAAGAGGGGAUUAUGAAUCAAGAAGCAAAGAAAUUGAAAUCGAAAUAGAAAUGAUUGACUAGUUAGAGUAAUCGAGUCUAAUCCAAUGCAUCACCAAACAUGAGACAUCUCUAAUUUAAUUUUUUUUUCCCUAAUCUCAUGCAACACCAAACAUGACCCAGUAUUAGUACAAUUUAAGGCAGUCCACACUAGUCCAGGACAGUCUUAAGAAUUAAGGAGGUGUAAUGCAGUACUAGGUACCAAACGUGCACUACAUGGGCACUUUGCGAAAUAUUCAACAAUUGAGCAGUGCAGUACACCUUAGUGUUCAACCCUACUAUACAAUACAGUGUCGGCGUCAAAAAGAGUAUCUCGACUCGGAAUUUUGAAAUCUCUCGACUUCUAUUAAAAAACUAAGAUAGCUCCAGUUGUUUGAAACUAAGUAAUGGUUGAUCGAUACCAUGUCUUUGUGGAAGUUCUGGUAAUAUGAGAUCCUGCAACAUCUUUUACAACAAAGUGACACACUAAUUAAACAGGGAACUUAACAUACGUAAGCUGAACAAACUAUGAUUAAUCAAACUAUGUAAAUUGAAAAGUUAUCAUACAAAAUACUUGGAAGCAAAGGAAAGUCUUAAACAUAUGAAAAGAGAUUGAGAUUCAAAGCAUAAAUUUCAAAUGGCUGGUAUUUGCAAUGCAAAACAUCCAACAGUCUACGACAUGAACAUGAAGGGAAUUUUAAUCUCUAACAAACUUAAAUGCACGAUAUUCACAACGCAUGUUUGUUUAUUUUGCUUUCUGGGUCAAGGAUGCAUAAAUUAGGGACUCUCACUCAUCAGUACAUCCAUUCUUAUGUCUAGACCAAGGAACGAAGAAGAUUCCAGUUGAUUGUUAAACUUCAGACAUGAAUGCUCUUUUAUUCUUUAUUACAUAUUUUAAAUAAGAUAAACAUGGAUCUAAAAAUCAAUAAUCGCAAGAGUAUACAUAUAGCACUGCUAUUGAUCAAAUUUUAUCAAUGAACUUUAGUGGUAGAAUCAUUAACUUUGGCAAAAUUCUGAAUGAAAGAAGGGAAUACCUGACAGUCAAAUGGGAGGGAUGGUGCUAUUAUACUGAUGGGGAAGAAUCUCCGCAGAUGAUGCUAUCCAAGACAAGGAGGGAUCCAACCAAUAAUCUCUGUCCCAUAAUGGAUUACUAAAGGUUAGCUGCAGCUGCUUGACACUAGGUAAUGGUGGAGACCACUCCUUUCUGCAAUGUUCUGGUAUUAUGACACCCUACAAGCCAUUUAAAAAAAAUGUUAAAGAGGAUAAUUACUUGCACAUAAGAUAAUUACACUUUGUUGGCUUGUUUUGCACAUUGCACCAUCCAGUUUCAUACAUCCACCAAAUAACGAGUAGCAAAGACUCUAAAACAGCUAGUUGCAGUACGAGAAACAGGAGACUGCAAUAUAACCGUAGCACUAGAAAAGAAUUGAAAAAGAAUAUCAUCAUACCUCAGCAUCACGAAUCUCUAUCUCCAGUUUUCUGGAGCAAUUGAAACUUUCAAGACAAUCUCUCAGAAAAGAGUAAUACUCAAAGGGCCACAUCUCAUUCGUAAUUCUGACGGUAGCAUGUAACAAGCUUAUUGGAGAUACCAGGAAAUGAACCUUGGCCUGCACCAAGCCACUAAACAGAAAAUGCAACAGACUUGGAGUGAAAAUUGCAUAAUCGAUACUCCUUUCACAAUCAAGCAAAAGAAGUCCUGUCAAGCCCAAACUAGAAAUGGUGAGAUGCUUCAGUCUGUAACACUCCCACACAGUCAAAGCACCAUGGUGGGAACAGGUGCACUCAGAAAAGAAUACAAAAUUCUCAAGAUUGAUACAUUUUACUUCAAAAUCCAAAGCAUGGCAAUCCGAGAUAUACAACGAUUUCAGACUUGGAAUUGAAACUUCCAGACACCCGAGCGUGUAGCCAAGAUCACACUGAUUCAAUUCUAAGUACCAGAGACGAGGGCAACCCGAAAGCAAGAUCUCAAGAUCAUUUUCGUCGUCGAAUUCAACCUCUUUGAGGGACAUGGUUUCCAGUGAACUUAGGGUUAUAGGAUCAUCAGCUUCUACUCUAGAACUGAUAUCGAUUUUAACUUUCUCCAAAUUCAAGCUAACCAAGAAAUGUGAAGAGAAAACUGCUUGGGGGAUCAGGUACAAGCUAACCUCAGUUUCGGCUUCUUCGACGAAACAGAUCUCCAAAUCUUCCACAAAUCUCUCAAGUGCAAACGUCACGCACUCGUCAAUCGUGCCGAUGUCGUCUCCGGCGAGGCUGUGUGCGAUUCGAAGCCUGAGCUUGUCUAAGCUCAUCUGAUUCCGGCAGCGUUCCAUGCAAUUCUCCAAGAAAUGGAGGAAUCUUUGGGACUUGGCAGGGUCGUCGGGAUCGGAGGGGUCGCCCUCGUCGAAAUCGAUUACGGGGAACGAAGGCCAGAGGGACCCCCACUGCUUCGAAACGGCGGUGGCGCGAGCGGCGAGCUUGAUCGGAAGGAAGGAGAGGAUGUGUUCGAUGACGUUGUUAGGUAAGUAAGGAAUUGCGGCGGCGGAGGUGGUGGUGGUGACGGAGGCGAUCAGGCGGUUGUGAUCGGUGUCUGAGUUGUUUAGGGUUUUGAGUCGUUUGAAUUUGGGGGAAACCAUUUUUCCGUUGUUUUGGCGAAUGGUCGAUAUUUAUAGGGGAAUAGUGGGAACUGGGAACUUCACCGCGGCAAUAUAUCGCGAGAUCUCAGAUAGAAGCGAGUAUUGUUUUGUUGUUUUUAUUCAAAAAAUAAAAAGUUAAAAGAUGUGUUAUCCAAUCCAACUUUUACCAGCAAUGGUUUUAACGAGAAUUAUUAAAUUACGGAUUAGUUGAAAAUUUUUUCGUUUCACUCUGUUUUCGAUCACAUAUUCACGUCUCGACCGUUUAAUUUGUAGAUAUAUAUUUUAUGUACAUCACAUAACAUGCAUGUCCACUUCAAAAAAAACACAUAAUUUUAGAAAUUUUAGCUUCGACUGAGACUGUGCAAAACGCCCCUUGAAGAUGGGGCACCUAAAUUGCUCUAGUCUCUAAAGUGAUAGCUCACUUGGUCACCGAUUUUAUAACCAAAAAAAGAAAGAAAAAGAAACGAACAUAUUCCAUCUUACACACCAUAUGCCAUGUUCUCUUUAUGUACACCACAGUUCAACCCUAAUGUACAAUACAAUGCACCAAAUCAAAAAAGUCUCCCAACUCGGAAAUUUGGAAUCUCUGGCAUCUUUUAGAGAACUAAGAUAGCUGCAGCAGUUUAAACCAGGUAAUGGUUGAUUGAUAGUUCGAUAAUAUGGCUUUGUAAAGUUCUGGAAAUAUGAGAUCCUGCAACAUCAUCCACAACAAACUGAUUAAACAGAGAACUCACCACAUAAGGAUUGAUAAUCGAUUGCACAAACUCUCAUUAAUAAAACAAUGUACAUUGAAAAGUUACUGUACUGUAUAUAUAAUAUACUCAAGCUAAUGAGCAUACAUGAAAAUUAUUUCAGAGGAAAUCAAAGUUUUUCAAGAUAAUCACUUAAAGCAGGUUAAUUAUUCCCUAGACAGUUUUAUGAUGGAAGGCAAUGAUCAAGUUAAAUUUACAGGAGUACGAAAGAAAAUCACAAAAAAAAAAAAAAAAAAAAGAAUUCGAGAAAAAAAAAGUGAGGAGGCCUCCGUAAUGUUUUGGAAAUGACAAAACUGAUGGGCUUUCAGCCGGUCAUCACCAAUGGAUUAUUACAUAUCUUUCACCAAUGGAUUAUUACAUAUCUUUCAUCCGCACUCUCAAACAGCGGAAAUUCUUAAACAUGAGUAAAAAGAGUGAGAUUCAAAGCAUCAAUUUCAAAUGGUUGGUCUUUGCAAUGCAAGAAAUCCAACAGUUCAGGACAUGAACAUGAAGGGCAUUCUAAUCUUGAGAAACUUAAAUGCACAAUAUUCGCUGCACCUGUUCAUUUAUUUUUGCUUUUCGGGUCAAGGAUGCAUUACUCAUAUCAGCAAAAACGAGGGACUAUCAUCAGUAUGUAUCAUUCUUAAGAGUCAAGACCAAGGAGAAGAAGGUGCCAGUAGAUUGUUUAACUUAAGCCAUAUUAUAAAACUCUACUACUUAUCUUGAAUAAGUUGUUAAUGGAUUGCAAAAAUAACUAUAAGUGAUCAAUUUUCUCAAUUAAUUCUACUGGCAGAAUCAUUACGUAUGACAGAGAGUCUGAAUGGAAGAAAUACCUGACAGUUAAGGAGGGACGGUGCUAUCAUAUUGAGAGGGUAGAAUAUCUACAGUUGUCCUACACUGCUAUUGUAUCGAUGGGGUAAAAUCUCUGCAGAUGGUGCUAUCCAAGUCAAGGAUGGAUCCAAGUCAUCCAACUGAUAAUCUCCAUCCGGUAAUGGAAGAAAGGUUAGUUGCAGCUGCUUGACACGAGGUAAUGGUGGAGACCAUUCCCUUCUGCAAUUUUCAGGUAUUAUGAUACCCUACAAGCAAUUGACAUCAGAUAAUUAUAGAGGGAAAUGAACGUAUCAGGAUUUGUCUAUAAGAUAAUCACACUAUACUGACUUCUUUUUAACAUUGCACAUUGUUGCUGUUCCGCAGAUACAAAAAGUAACACUUUAAAAAAGCUAGGUGUAAUAAGAGAAACAGUAGACUGCAAUAUAAGAGUAGAGUUGAGAAAGAGGUUCUAUAAUACCUUAGCAUCAUGAAUAUCUCUCUCCAAUAUUCCGGUGCAAUCAAAAAUUUCAAGACGUUCUCUCAAUAGAGAAUAAUAUUCAGAGGUCCACCGGUAAUUCUGAAUUCUGAAUUCUGCAUCUAUCAAACCUGGCGGAGAUUCCAAGAAAUGGACCUUGGUCUCCACAACUCCACUAAACAGAAAAUACACCAGACUUGGAGUGAAAAUCGCACUCUCCAUACUCGUUGGGCAUCCAAGCAAAUGAAAGCGUUUCAACCCCACACUAUAAAUGUAGAGAUGCUUCAGAUUGUCACAUUGCCACACGGUCAAAACAACAUGGCGGGCACAUGAACAGUCGGAAAUGAACUUAAAAGUCUCAAGAUUGACACACUCCACAACUUCAAAUACAUAUUGAUGGCAGUCGAUAAUUUCCAAUGAUUUAAGACUUGAAUCCCACAUUCGAAGAGAUCUGGGCUCGUCCGCCUGGUCGCCAAGAUCACAUAGAUUUAAUUCUAAGUGCUCGAGGCGAGGGACAUAUUUCCCCUUAAGUAAUAUCUCAAGAUCAAUGUCAUCGAUCUCAACCUCUUUUAGGGACAUGGUUCUCAGUGACAGUAGGGUUAAAGGAUCAUUAACUCUAUCCCUAGUUAUGAAAUCAAUUUUAACUUUCUCCAAAUUCAAGCUAACCAAGAAAUGUGAAGAGAAAACUGCUUGGGGGACCUGGUAGAAGCUAACCUCAUUUUCGGCUCCGAGGAAACAGAGCUCCAACUCUUUCACAAAUCUCUCAAGUGCAAACGUCACGCACUUGUCAAUCGUGUCUUUGUCGUCCCCGGCGAGACUGUGCACGACUCGAAGCCUGAGCUUGUCUAAGCUCCUCUGAUUCUGGCAGCGUGGCAUGCAAUUCUCCAAGAAUCGGAGGUAUCUUCGAAACUUGCCAGGGUCGUCGGAAUCGAAGGGGUCGCCCUCGUCGAAAUCGAUUACGGGGAACGAAAGCCAGAGAGAUGCCCACAGCUUCGUUUGUAGUACGAUCAAAAUCAAGCCUCGUUAGUAAUUCCAAGGAAGUAAACUAGGAAGUAAACUGAAACAUAAACCAACUUGAAGGACCUAGAGGGGUUGAUGAUGAUUGAAUCCGCUAAAGAUUAUGGAACAUGAUGCCACAAAAUAUUAUCGAUCAUAUGUAGUCAAUUUGUCACACCUCGGACCUGGUGUUGGGGGAGACUCGAUCCGAGUCUGCAACUGAUCCAAGUUCAAGCCAAUCCAAAAUAUAUAUACUUUCCAAUGACGCCCUGAUUAAACGGUCAAUAAAAUUCAACGGUCCAGAUCAAACCGCCUUUAUUUUUCUAUUUUCAAUUAAUUUUUGGAUAACUUCAAACUUCCAAAAAUCAUUAAAAAUAGUUCUGAUGUCCAAAAAUACUUCCGUAAAAUCCUACAAACUCGUAACGACGUCUAGUUUAAUCCUAUGGGCUCGAAAGAUAAAAUUUGACAAACUAAAAAUUUGAAUAAGUUUUGAAAGCCACAAGGAAUUUAAAGAAUAACAGAAAUUGAAAUAAUAAUAGCUCAAAAAUAAUUUCUUAUUUAAAAAUAGAAAAUUUAAUUUUCGAGAUAUUACAUAAUUAUAUGUGCGUAGGCCAAUAUGUUUAUCUUAUUAGCGUAUAUGCAAUUCCCGUUUGCUAGUAUGAUCAAAAUCAAACCUCGUUGGUAAUUCCAAGGAAAUAAACUAAAACAUAAACCAACUUGGAGGACCUAGAGAGGUUGAUGAUGAUCAAAUCCGCUAAAGAUUAUAGAUCAUGAUGCCAUAAACUUUAACCAUAUGUAGUCAAUUAAGGUGGUAACAAUCCACUAGACUAAUAACUCAAUAAGUUGAGUUAUAUGGACGUUUCAAGAAACGCUCCAUAAGUGUAUUCCACAGUACUUUGUGGUUAUUACUUUUUGCACAUAAUGUUGUUGAAGGUUUUUGUCGAUGUGUCUCGUCAAAGACUUAAGUGCGAGAGACUUUAAAUCUCGGCAUCUAGGCUUUUGUUUGCCUUGGGGGUCAAAAUAUAUGGUUUAAUCCUUAACCAAUAAAAGGUUCCACAAAUACCUAGCGAAGAUUCGCCCUAUGAAUCGAGUAUACGCGUCGUCAAAACUCAAAUGAGCAGAAUGUUACAUUGCUCUUGCAUACAAAACCAAGCAGUUAUGAGACUCGAUAGAGGUCACAAAUGAUGUUUUUUAAUGGUUUGUCCUUCUCGAGGAUCGAUCAAACAUAAUUCGAGGAAAGGACAAAGAAACAAGAGUGAUUAAACACACUUUGCUAGUUUGCCAAAUAAACUGUGUUUAGUAGCUACUUUGCAAUUUUUCAUGCUUAAUUCCACGUGUGUAUGAUGAAGUUGCUUAUGUAAUUCCAUUUGAUUCGUUGCGCGGUAAUGUCAUGAAAAAUAAAAACAUAUGAUUAGUCAUAUUCACCAUAUAUAUAUAUAGAAACCAUAAAAACUUUCAUGAAAGAAAAAGCUGAAAAAUUAAGCCAAAGGAGGCCGGGAAAAACGACUGCCGAUAUGGGUGGCAAUAGCUGAGGACUGGCGGCCGAAAAAGGUUGAACUGCGGAGGUUGGACAGCGACCGAGAAAAGGUUGAAUUGCGGCGGUCAGACGGCGGCCGGGAAGCAAACGGUCGAUGGCGGAGCCGAGAAGGCUGAUAGGUUUUUUUGGAAAAUUUAGGACAAGGAAAAUUUAAGGUGAUGGUGGCCAGCUCAAGAGCUGCUGAUAACGUGUUUAAGUAUUGUAAAGAAUGAAAGAUAGUAAGAGAAUCAUCAUUAUUAUUCAUUGAUAGGAGCCGUUUAUAUAUAAGGAAUUACAAAAUACCAAUAUGGUAAUGAUACUGAAUACAUAGUCCUAUUCUAACUACAUAUAUAUCCUGAUAGCAUAAGACUAUCCUAGAACAAUGCGAAAUAUCCUAGAACAGAUACAAAUUUAUUUUAUUUUCAGGAAAAUAAAAUAAAGAAUUGAAGUCAUGGUUUUAUUUUGAUCUGAAUGGUCUUUAAAGUCACGAUUUUUUAUCCAAAUGCUCUUUCCGUCAAUUUUUUUUGUUAGAAUACUAUCAUGGUCGUUAAAGACAUUGUAAUUUUUAACAGUCACAUACGGUAGCAAUUUAACGGAGAAAAUUGACGGAAUGACGUACUUGAAUGAAAAAUCGUGACUUUAAGAACCAUUCAGAUUUUCCUCUAAAAAAGAACCAUUCAGAUUAAAAUAAAACCAUAAAAACUGAACAAAUAUUGACUUCAAAUUAGAAGGAUUAUAUAAUAUUUUACCCUAAAAUAAAUUACGUAUCUAUCUAGGGUUAGUUCUCUAUAAAAGAGAGCUCUCCUCUUCACACAAAUCACAACUACUACGUCGUCUAUUAUGACUGCCAUAGAAAACCCUAGACUGCCUCAGUUACCUAAUGAUAUCAUUCACCAAAUCCUCCGUCGCCUUCCCACCAAAUUAGCCGUUCGUAUGCGCUGUGCUUCCAAGAAGUUCAAAGAUCUGUGGUCAAUAGAUCUCGACGAGGGCCAUCCACCUGAUACGGAUCAUGACAAUCCUCCUCAUCAGCACACAGAGUUCAUCAACUUUGUGGAGACCUGUUUGGAUUCCCGCAAAAACGACCAGCACGUUGAUAAAUUCCGGCUUCGCAUGAUGAGGUAUUCAUCUAACGACAAUGCUUUCAUAUCUAGAUAUCUGGCUUUUGCUUUCCAGAGAAACGUCAUGGUCUUAGAUGUCAGCGUUAGAUCUAAACCUGGGUUAACAUACUACAAUUUACCCUCUGCCUUUCUCGAACAAAAUUAUUUAACUUCCUUGAGUUUGGAGUACGUGAGAAUGAAUCUAGGCAAUCGUCGUAUAAAACUUCCGUUGUUGAGAACUUUGUCCUUCAAAAAUGUUGUAUUGGAAAAGCAGAAUGCUCUCUCACAGUUGGUUUCAGCGUGCCCUAUAAUUGAGAAUUUGUCAGUGAAUUUCAAGGACACUGAUGACAAAAAGUAUCGCUUCUCGUUAGAGUCUCUUCUGGGUUUGAAGUGUAUGACUACAUUACAUGUGGAGAAUAUGCAUCUAGUGAGUGAUCAUGAUAAUAUUAGCGUACACAAUCUGCCUGUGGGUAAUCUGCCUUUGAAAACCAUGAGCCUCAAAACUGUCCACUUGAACUCAUCGAUUUUUUCUUGCUUAAUUUCCCGUUGCCCUUCUAUUGAGUAUAUGUCACUCAGUUCAUGUUCUUCUCCUUGUGGGUCUUCGAUUCAAUUUACAACUUCUAGUCUCAAAACCUUUGAAGUUACCGAUUUCAAUGCUCAGCAGUUAAAUGUAUACGAAGCUACGAAUCUGGAAUCUUUCACAUUGGUUUCAGAACUUCCGGUACUUGGUUCAGAGAUUUCAGAACUUCCGUUACUUGGUUCAGAAAUUGGACAACUUACUCGAGCUUCGUUGUACGAGUGCAAAAACUUGAAACAUGUGAACAUUCGCUCUGAGCACCUGCAAGAAAUCAUAUUAGGCGGCUGCAAAGAUUGUGUUGAGGCCAGAAUUGAUACUCCAAAUCUAAUGUAUUUCAACUUUGUUGGCAAUUUGAAGUCCACAAUUUCUAUGGAAGCUCCAAAUUUAUGGGACACAAAUAUUACACUUCUGUGUGGUGAUUCGACUCCUCCAUGGAGACAUUUCCCAACUGUGGUAGACUUUCUUAGAACUUUUGGUCACAGCAAAAGAAUCCUUCUAAAUUUUGAUGAUGCUGAAGUGGAUUUCUUCUUUCCAGAAAGUUUCAGAAGAAGUGUCUCCUGUCCACCAUUGCCUAGUCUCAAGAAUCUUGUAGUCUGGCGUAAAGAAAAGCUCAAGGGAAGAGAUUCAGAUUUGCAGAAUUCCAUGCUUUGGAUGGCACCUUGUGCAGAACUUAGAAUAAAAAAUAAAUGAGUUUGGCUUUAAAGUUAAAGUUUUGUUUGCAAGUUCCUCCAAACUUAUCCUGCUAUCAGUAUUGAUCAAUGAAUAAAUUAUCAGAUGAUGAAUUGCUUUUGGUUAUCUACUAAAACAUGGUUCUUUCUCGUUGAGAUUUAUUAAAUCAUGAACGGUUUUAUGGUUACCUUUGUACAUCAUACUUCACUACUUAGAAAAUUUGGUUAUCCCCAACUGAUGCUUCAUGGUUCGAAAUUUGAUUAUCAUAAACCCUAGACCGGCCCUGACCUUGGCGAUAGAGGGUUAUUUUGUUGAGCUGCUUCUUCUUUUUGUUCAUUGCAUUUACAGAAAUAAAUCAAAUAAUAAGUCAACAGUUUGGAUCUUAUUUUGGUUCUCAAUGAUUGUCCCUUCCUAACAGUUUGGAUCUUAUUUUGGAUCUUAUCUUAAUUAUAAUAUUACAACGAAAGCAGGUUCUUCAAGGACAAGGCUGUUCUUUUCUUUCUUUCUUUUUUUUUCUUUUUUUUCUUUUUUUUGCGAAUAAAGGAGGACAAGGCUAGCAACUCUACAUCCAUUAUAAUUAGGAACGCCUAUUAACUCUUCCAUUAGCAUUCAUAGUUGAGAAAAAGAAUACAAGACCGACGAAUAUUUGGAUAUCCAAGUAUCUGGCUUUGCUAAUCCUCGUGUGAUUUGCGAAAUAACAACAUUCACCUGGCCGCUACAUCUAUCAAGCUAUCAUAUGGCUACCAAGACAACAAUACACAGCCAAACUUAUGGUUUGUCCCUAGUCAAGACAGCACCACCUCACUUACCUGAAGACAUUGUCCGGCAAGUUAUCUCACUCCUCCCCACUAAUUCCGCCUUUCGCAUGAGCUUUCUUUCAAAGCAAUUUGAAGAUGUGUCGUCUUUUCUCCCUGUGCUGGAUCUUGACGAGGGUGACGAUGAAGCAAACCUCAACGAGCCAAUUCAAGAUGUGAAAUUCACCAACAUCUUAGAGAGGUAUCUGAAAUUUCGUGAGAAAAACUGUAAACCCUUGAAUAAAUUUAGGCUUCGCAUGGCGAUGGACACUGUCAGAAAAGACAUUGUACAAAAGUUAUUACGGAGUUUUGCAGCUGCAAAUAGCAUCAACGAUGAGUUGGAUCUCAGCCUGAGAAGUGAACCUAGAGGCUACUGCAUAAACUUGGCCCUUCUUAAUCUCAACUCUUUAACUACUUUAAGUUUGGAGUAUGUCAGAAUAAAGGGUCUUCAUACUUGUUCUCUUCCCUCUUUGAAGACUAUGUCCCUCAAAUCUAUACACUGGUCUGCACCAUCAAUGUUUUCGGCACUACUCUCUAAGUGCCCUUCUAUUCAGUAUUUGUCACUGACUUCAUGUGGUCUUUGGGGAUCCAUCAACGUUUCAAGUUCUAGUGUCAAGACCUUGGAAAUUAGAGACUGCGAUUUUCAGCGUAUCGACGUGCAUGGAUCUAAUCUCAAGUAUUUUACAUUAGUUUCGGAAUAUCCAGAACUUACGGUUGUUGGUUUACAUGAGUGUGAAAAUUUGAAAUAUAUGAACAUUGAUGCAAAGCACCUGCCAGACUUUGGGUUAUACGGAUGCACAGAUUUUGUGAUGGCCAUAAUGGAUGCUCCAAAUCUUGAUCGUUGUAAUGGUCAAGAACUUGGUGGUAUGAAUGGAAGGUUUAUAUUGAGUGAUUUCCAAUGGUCUAGAGGUAUGCUGAUAGGGAAGAAGCAAUGUUUCGACCGAAUUAGAAUGAGCCUGAACAGUUUGUGAACAAAUGAUUGCAUCAUUCAAAGGAUACAUUUCAUCAAAAAAUUACUGCACUUUCGGUUUAUGUCCUACUGGUACAAUGUAGGUCAGUUGGGACUUGGGAGAUACUCACAUUUUAAGUCCGAGGGUUAUUAUUAUUAUGAUUAUGCAUGCUUCUUGUUCUUAUAAAUUCCUCUCCUUGUACUUGUAGUAGAAAUAAUGGAUUGGACGGAAAUACUUGCUAGCUUAGGUUAACCAAUUUGUUUCACCUCUAUAUAUAUAUAUAUAUAUUUGAUCACAAGCAAAUCAUCAAAUUCUUAAUAUUGCACUGAUCCUCCAUAGUAAGAAAAUUUUGUUCCAUUUUUAUUUUUUAUUGUAAUUAAUUUCGAAAAAUAGGCCACUAUGGAAAUUCUUGUAUGCACAACGUGUAUUUACAUAACACAAUUUUAACCAUUCAUAACAAUUCAUAUGUUUGACCACCAUGUUUCUAUAUUAUUUCCUCUAAUCCUGACUAUCCAUGUAUGUAUGUAUGUGAAAAUACACGCUGUGCACUGAAGAUACUCUCAUUAUAAUAACCUAUUGAUCCCUUCCUUUUACAAGUAGGAUUUCAAUGGACUCUAUCCAACCAAUACGCUAUCUUCACCUUCUACAAGGAGGAUUAUACCAUUAUAUAAAGGAUCAGAAUCGACUUCUAUCUUCUCUCUGCAUCUAUCUCUUAAUUAUCAUAUAUGGCUACCAAACGAAACACACACACACCACCAUGACCGGAACUCCAAGACUAUGGCACGACAUGAGUUGCCUGACGAUAUUAUCCGCCAAAUCAUUCCAUUUCUUCCCACUAAAUCUGCUUUUGACAUGAUUUUUCCUCUUCAAGCAAUUUGAAGGCGUAUGGUCUACACACCCAGUAAUAGAUCUCGACGAGGGCAACCUCUCUAACAAGGCACUUGAUCAAGAUAUGAAGCUCACCAACAUCUUGGAAACCUACUUGAAGUUCAGGAUUCAGGAAGAAUGACCCUCCUCGCCCCUUGGACAAGCUUAGGCUUCGUAUGGAGAUGAACCCUGUUAGAGAAGCUAUCGUGAGUUUUGCAGCUGAGAGAAGCAUCAAAGAGUUAGAUCUCAGCCUUAAAACUGCACCUUUGAAAGGCUCCAACUACAGCUUAUCGUUGAAACGUUUUAAUGUCUAUAGUUAGUUUAAGUCUCGAGUACGUGAAUAUCAAAGAGUAUUCUAUUAGUGAUGGAGUGUACGUCUUCCUUCUUUGAAAACUAUGUCCCUGAAAAACGCAUGUCAGUUGGUACGAUCUGUCCGAACUAAUUAAGGGCUGCAGUUCUAUUGAGUAUUUAUCUAUAACUUUGUGUUCGAGUCGCUUUAGGGCAUUCCUUUGUAGUUUCAAGUUCUACUGUCAAGUCUUUGGAAAUCAGGGAUUGCGUUAUUGGAUAUGCUGAGGUACGACGAUCCAAGAAUCUUGAAUCCUUUACCUGGGUUUCAAGCUCCCCAGAGCUUCGACAUGCGGCUUUGUUGAAAGGCCAAAGCUUGAAAUAUAUUAACAUCCAUGCAGAAUACCUGAAAGGCAUAAUGCAAAGAUCGUGUGGAGGCCACAAUGUAUACUCCAAAUCUAAAAUAUUUCAAUUUCAAUGGUUUGAUACCCAACAAUGGGGGGAGAAAGACUGUAGUGAUGUUUCAUCCUUCUGGUGUGUUGCAACUUGCAAGGAGUUCCGAUUAGAACCUGCAAAGGUUGAUUUUUCCAACGGAUAAUAGAGCGCACUAUAUUUCAUGUCUCUUUGGAUUAUUAAGGGUAGGCUCGCUGGACACUCUUUUUUCCUUCACCUAUUUCUCACAUGCCAGCACAAAAUUCAAUUUCAAAUAUCAACAUUCUUAAAACUCCAUCAUCAUAUUCAAUUGUACAAAGCGUAAACACCCCUAUGUCGCAAACAAAGCCCGACAGAAAAAAAAAAAAAAAAAAAAAAGGUACAACGAGAAGCUUACAACUACGAAGCAGGAACAAACCUAAUGAUCCAUGAAAAAAGCAGCAGAGAAUUAGGACUACAGCAAUUCAGUAUGCACAACACUAAUGAAGAAAAUGUUAACUCAUAUACAAAGAGAUCAUCUUUUGCCAGAGAGGCUGAUCGAGCUGACUUUCAUUGGGGUUGCCACCACCAGGGGAGCUUCUGGGGAGUCGCUGACAGCAUACUUAUCAUGCAUGAAACGGCUCUCCACAAUGGACUCGUCCUUCAAAAGAAUCUUGUAGCAGUAACAACUCUUGAGGCCUUGCUGAUUCCUGUAACAUUCAUGGGCACUGUUUUUCACCUGCUGGAAAUCCCAUAUGACACUGAACUUUCCCACUGUUGCAACGAGGUGACGCUCUUGUUUACCACUUUCAGUGACCUGUAAACACACAUUAACAAAAAAAAAAAAUUCAGAACUUGAUCAAAAGGGAAACAAAUCUCAUACUCAGCACAUGUGAACACAAGAGUUUCUAAAAUUAUACUAUGAUGAUGCACAAUGUAGUGCAAAUCUUCUGCAUCCCAAAUCCAAAAUCAGGUACGAAAUGAACAACUAAGAACUAAAUAUGUCAGAUUUUCUGUUAUCCAAACACUUUGAAAAAAGACUCGGUGAACAAAGCAUAAUGAUUUUAACCUGUUUAUUUCUAUGGAGUACACAAACUUUCUAAAGCCAACAAAGCACGCAACAAACCUUAGCAUUUUAAUCCAACUGCUAACCAGAAAAAGUUGUACUUAAAAGUCUUAACAAACUACUACUGAGGAAUGAGCUGCAGGGGUGCAAAACCUAUAAAGCCAAAACAAUUGUUCUCUUGGUAUGAUGCACCACAAGAUAAGCUGUUGCCCAUAUCAUAGCAUACAGGGCAGUGAAUAUUGACAAACUGAAACACACGAUAUACAACUAAGAAACACACACAAUUGAACUAGGCAAUAGAGGGAUAAAAAUACAUAGAUAACAUCAAAGUUUCUAAAACUUCCAAAAUGACUGCUUAAUAUGAAAUUUCCAGCAAGAUCAGUCCAUGUCCUUUCCAGCACCAGUUUCAAGUCACUCCCUAUGAAACUUUUGAUCAAAGAAAUUUAUCAACUCCUCACACAUGAUACUCUUUGGAUAAGGACCUAACAACUAUAGCCACAACUAAACCACGAAAGCACCUAUCGGUCAAUGAUAUCAUUAAGUCACAGAGAAAAUAUUAACCAAAUAAAGAACAUAAAACCUAAAGGUUGCAGAUGAAAGAUAAAGCUGUACGGAAAUUCAGCUAAUAUAAAGGCGCAAGACUUUUGAAACCCAUUGCUAUAGAUGGACAAUUGGACACUAAUCUAACCAAGACAUAUUAUGAAACUGAAGUGUAACACUUAAAGAAAAUGAAAACUCCUUCAAGACUCAUUAAUAUAGAUGGACAGUUGAAACCACAAAGUAUGAACUUUAAAUUACCAACUACAGCAAACAAUAUCAUAGACUCCUUAUAUCUCGUUAAAGCAUGCAUAUCAAACAAUUCAAUAACUGUAGCAAUUUAAUGGAAGUAUUCUUACCCAAGAGAAAUGGCCUCCAUGGAACUUGUUGUCUGCGCCAGCCAAAUGCGAGUCAAGAGGGAUCAGCUUCAACAACCUGGGAGCUGGUAUCUUGUUUCCCAUUCUACCACUAAACCCAGUCUUUGUCUUUCCAUCUUUGUCAGUGAACAAAGUGCAUAUAAGGACCAAAUAAGUGUCGGUCGUACCCAACACCCACUUCCCAUCAUAAGUCACAUCAACAUGAGUAAUGGGGGAACCCAGCCCUGGAAACGCAGUCUUUGCCUGCCUCAUUGAGGUCUUUGAAUACAACCGUAUCUUCCCAUCCAGAGACCCAACAACAAUAGACCCAUCUCCAGUAGUAGCAAAGCACUGAAAAUUCGUCCCUCUCGAAAACUGAUGCCCCUGAGACCACUCCAGGACAGGCGAAUUAGCAAUGUUCUGAACCAUUCCUCUACGCUCACGCAUAUCCCACUGGCAAAGCCUGUUAUCAUCCAGACCCAGAAACGUCGACUCAGAAGGAUCCAACUGCGACCCUUUUGUGUCAUUAGUAAUAUCCCUCAUUGUCAUCUCAGUCCCAUCCUUCUCAAACUUCCACUCAGUCACAAUCUUCCCAGUCUCAAUGUCCAGCUGCUGCAGCCCAUUCGCUUGAGGCUUCCCCUCCUUUAAUGGACUCAUAAGCAUCAUAUUAGUCUCACCCCUCAUCAGCAGAGCCUUCUUGGGCGUCAUUUUCAAACCACCCCCACUGUCGAAUUUCGCAACCACGCCCUUCCCAUGAAUCCCAUGGCUGAAAUUCUUAUAAACCUGCACACCAGAAUCAUUCACCAAGAAACUAUUAUCCAAUGCGCCAAGUGUCAAGCUCUGAACACCUCCAUUCGCAGCCUCCUCGAACUCCUCCAUCAACUGCUGGUUGGACCGGACCGGCGUCACCGAAUUGGGGCUCCUCGCCAUGUCAUAAUCAUCAGCAUACUCCCACGCCGAGUCGUCCGCCGCCUCCGGCUUCACCCAGCCCAAAAACUCCUUGCCGUAAAUCUUGACCUUGUUCUCCUCCGUCGCCUUAAGCCCGUACACAUUCUCAAACAAGCAGUCCUGAAACUCCGUCACGAAUCUCCGGUACUGCUCGUCGGUGUAGAAUUUCAAAGCCCAGACUCCUUUGGACACAAAAUCCACACGUCGCUGAUCGCCGAACAUCUUCAACUGCAUGUCGGCGGAAACCCUAGCCCUUACUUUUCCCGCAACCUUGAGAAUCCACUGUCCCUUGCCGUCGGCGGAGCCCUCGUAGUCGUCGUCGUCGCUGUCGCCGUCGACGUUGGUGGUCUUGACGAAGGAGAACGAUGUGAGCUUGCUGGAGACGAUCCACUUGGCGUUGGGAGUGUUGCCGCCGAUGUGGAGGUAGAGCUUGACGGCGUUAUGCGAGACGACGGAGGCGGAGGCGGAGGAAGAAGAAGAAGGUGGAGGAGUACCGUACUUGAGCUUCAAGGCUUUGAGCUUGGCGUCGAUGUCGCCGAUCGGGGUGGGCUGGGUCUCCGGAGCGUCCUGAUAGUCUUCGUCGUCGGAUUGGCGUUGUCGUUCGUCUUCUUCUUCGGAGUAGUCGUCGGAGUCGGAGAUGUGGUCCUCGCGGCUCUGAGAGGUUCCCAUGGUUUCAAAUCGGAGCUUGGGAUAUACAGGGAUUUCGAAAUUUGGGGAUUUUGGAGGAUUUGGGGAUUUUGAAAAUGAGGGAGAUUUUGGAGGAGCGGAAUUAUAGAGAGUGUGAUUUGCUGGAGAGGAGUUUAAAGUUGGAUUGAGGACCCGGUGGGAUCGUUUUUAUAGAUGCUCUCUGGUGUAGACGCGUGGCGAGUUCGAAAGCGAGUAGCGUCGAUUUGACGUCGGUGGCCAACAACAAAAGGGGAAAGCGUUGUGUUACUUUUUUUUUUUGUUUUUUCUUUAAGGGAAGCGUUGUGUUUCUUAUUUUAUCGUUGAUGGAAAGCGUGAUUCUAACGACGGCAUUACUUCUUGGCGAAGAAAAUGAAAAUUGUUGUUUUAGGUCUCCUCUCCCUAAAUUGAUUUCUUGCUCAGCUCCGGCAUCACCGGUGCCAUGGAAUCCGUCACCGGUCCGACGAAUUUUGGGGCAUUGACUCUGCCACGAGGGCAGCCUCUCCUUAGCUUGUAAUCCUGAGUUUCCAGUUGCUAUUCCUGGCCAAGGUUUUCCAAAGUAAGCUGCAAAGGCAUCAUUUGCCAAACUGUUCCUCUUCUUGAGCUCUCCUCAUUCCAGUCAUUUUAUAACAUUUGUAUGAUUCUCUAUUUUAUAACAUCUCUCUAAUAAAAAUGAAAUUUGUACUGUUUGUGGUCAAUGCAGCCCUCUUUUGUCCCUUACGAUGGUUUGGAUAGUGUUAAGUGACACAAAAAAUUAGUUUCUCUUCUUCAAAUCAAAGAAAACAAAAGAAAACAAUAUCGAUUACUGAAUAAUGCAAGUCUCCAACAAUAUUGCUAACAGAUAUCAGAGACUUAAGCCUCACAAUAUAAGGUACUAUUGCAUAGCUUCAUUACAGGGUCUAUAGGCUUUAGCCUCACAAUUUAAAAUUCCAGCUUUUGCCGAAAAAUUACUCUACAUACCAGCAGACAGUUCAAUUUGCUAAUAAAAACAGAAGUGCCUUGGCCACCUAAUUGUAUCCUUAAUCCCCAGAACAUCAAACAAGUUGCUAGUUUUGCAUCUCACAAGGCGUCACGCGCAGCAAUCCGGCAUGUAAUAGCAUCAGCAAGUGAGGACAUCCCUAACUCCUGGCUAGUUACCUUAUAAUGCUGAAAAUACAAAUGUUGAUUAUCAUUAACUGGAAAAACCAGCAACAAAGGAAAACAGGUACCAGACUAGCAGCCGAGUUGAACAAGAUGCACACAUACCUUCUGUAUCUGGGCUUGGUCUGCUCUCCCUCCCAGCUCCUCCAAAUUAAUCUCUUUUCCAUUGACAAGUUUCUCUACUGCUUUCUGUUCUAUCUACUAUAACAAGGAAAUUAUCAAAACAGGAAGGGCCAACAUUGUUCUGCCAUAGUGAAGCAAUACAAGGCUUGAACUGCUACAUCUUACAUGACAAAGGGAUCUUACCUCAUCAGAAGUAGCAUUGAAACGAGCGGCAAGCACAUAAGUUGAACUUUCGGAGAUACCACAUCUUUUCAAGGAUUCUGUGAUCUAGUCAAGAUCAAAGUUAAACUUUUCAGUAACAGGAAAAUAUGGAAUAAAUCAUAGACCAUAAUAGUUAAUUAAGAACUGAUUACAUGCUUGGAUCCUGAGUAGUUGUAAACAAGCUCAGAAUGAAGAGUGCGUGUUGUCAGUGAGUCUCGGGACUUGGAUAUGAGUGUCUUAUGUGCAGCUGCAAGCAAAGGGAAAACAUCUGGGAUCUGUUUCCAUGGUAAAUGAAGUUAGCAUUAGUGAAACUCAGCAAAAAGAGAUUACAAAGUUGAGACAAAAAAGAAAAGAAAAUACAAGUAGAUCAAAGCAUGUAGGACUAUACAAGUGAAGCAUUCAGAAAUGCCACUUCUGGAUCUAGUGUCGCAGCUUGCAUCGAGUCAAGCAGUUCCCUGCAAGAUAGAUGGGUUUGCUAAGGACUUCAGUUCUCCACAUAACAUAGAUAAUAACAAAGAUGGUAAACUUGAUGCAAUUAAUGUUUCAGGGAAGAAGAAAUAAAUUGAUCCUCUCAUUUAGAAUCUUUUUCGUAAACCCUGAUUUAGAAUUUCUCAUGGAGCAUACGUAGCAGGGGGUUUUAUUCAAAUGUAACUCAAAUAGAUUUUCUCAUUCUUUUACUUCUAUUUUGAUGUGACUUGUACUUGUACUUGAGAAAAAUAACCCAUUUUCAGUGCAGAUAAACAUUCAAAAAUUUCUACCAUGAGGGAUGUCUCCUACAUUCACAGGCAUUGAUAAUCUGGUUAUAAUUAGAACUAUGUUGACUAAAGAGAUAAAUGAUGAUAAACAAACUUUCUUUCUGAAAUUUUAAAAUGAACAAGUUCAUAUCUACGAUUUGCUAAUAUCUAAGAGCACAAAACUCCCCAAUAUGAUGUAAUCCCAGAAAUUUACAUGAGAAAGAAACACCCAAAUUAAGCAAGGUUUCAAGUGAGGCAGUAAGAGUACUUGGAAUUGGUGACUUCAAUGAAGAGAGCAAGAGAGAGUGUGUUUCCAUUGACCUCAAACAGCUUCAUCGUCACUCCUUCAAAGUUGUGAGCUCUGUACUCUGCAAGAAACAACGGAAUUGAAGCUCACAAAUUGCUAAUUUGAAUACAGAAUCAAACUAUAAACUCGUAACAAUCCAAGAUAAACUAUAUAUAUGAAAUUAGUUAUCCAAUGGUGUCACGCCCCAAACCCAAAUAUGAAAGAACUGUGACAAUAAUAUAGAAAAGAAAAACAGUAGGAAGACAAAGAGGUCAAGAACUUCCUAAUUCUUUUUGAAAUAAACAUUACUCCUCAAGGUAGGAUUACAUUUCUGAACUUCCUAAUUAUACAAGGUUCAGUUUUGAAAAGAGGUAUAAUUACAAAAGCUUGCAGCAACAGGUCUGACAAAGGUAUACAAGAUAUUAACACAGAAACAAUAUGAACCGAAGAGUGGUAAAACAAAAAUCUAUGCACUCAUCCCAUUUCCUAAGGAUCUGUAAAAGAUAACAACGAGAACAUGAGCAACUAAAGCUCAAUGAGUAGUAUACUGAACUGUCACUAAACAUAAAACGAAUAAUAAUGGGAUGCCACAGCGACCUGUUAGCUAAUACUAAUAUUAGGAAUGCCACAGCGAUUCCUGUUAACUAAAAUGGCUACCACAACCAAUGAUCAUGCCAAACAAGCGGUCACAUCAAGCAUAAGCACAUUGCCAACACCACUCUCUUGUUGGCUAGAGGAUAUAUAUAUAUAUAUAUAUAUAUAUAUAUAUGUGCUGAUCAGGUGCGGACGUCCGCACCAAAGUUUUUGGUGCGGAUUUCCAUUUUUGCACCAUUUCCCGAUCGAAUUUACUCAAACUUCCUUCNNNNNNNNNNNNNNNNNNNNNNNNNNNNNNNNNNNNNNNNNNNNNNNNNNNNNNNNNNNNNNNNNNNNNNNNNNNNNNNNNNNNNNNNNNNNNNNNNNNNNNNNNNNNNNNNNNNNNNNNNNNNNNNNNNNNNNNNNNNNNNNNNNNNNNNNNNNNNNNNNNNNNNNNNNNNNNNNNNNNNNNNNNNNNNNNNNNNNNNNNNNNNNNNNNNNNNNNNNNNNNNNNNNNNNNNNNNNNNNNNNNNNNNNNNNNNNNNNNNNNNNNNNNNNNNNNNNNNNNNNNNNNNNNNNNNNNNNNNNNNNNNNNNNNNNNNNNNNNNNNNNNNNNNNNNNNNNNNNNNNNNNNNNNNNNNNNNNNNNNNNNNNNNNNNNNNNNNNNNNNNNNNNNNNNNNNNNNNNNNNNNNNNNNNNNNNNNNNNNNNNNNNNNNNNNNNNNNNNNNNNNNNNNNNNNNNNNNNNNNNNNNNNNNNNNNNNNNNNNNNNNNNNNNNNNNNNNNNNNNNNNNNNNNNNNNNNNNNNNNNNNNNNNNNNNNNNNNNNNNNNNNNNNNNNNNNNNNNNNNNNNNNNNNNNNNNNNNNNNNNNNNNNNNNNNNNNNNNNNNNNNNNNNNNNNNNNNNNNNNNNNNNNNNNNNNNNNNNNNNNNNNNNNNNNNNNNNNNNNNNNNNNNNNNNNNNNNNNNNNNNNNNNNNNNNNNNNNNNNNNNNNNNNNNNNNNNNNNNNNNNNNNNNNNNNNNNNNNNNNNNNNNNNNNNNNNNNNNNNNNNNNNNNNNNNNNNNNNNNNNNNNNNNNNNNNNNNNNNNNNNNNNNNNNNNNNNNNNNNNNNNNNNNNNNNNNNNNNNNNNNNNNNNNNNNNNNNNNNNNNNNNNNNNNNNNNNNNNNNNNNNNNNNNNNNNNNNNNNNNNNNNNNNNNNNNNNNNNNNNNNNNNNNAGAAAAACGACAGUUUUGAGUGCCUUAAUGAUAACCAAAUUGGCUGAAAUUUUGCAGAGAUGAUCUAUACAUUAGUAUCUAAAUACUAGACGGUGGAGAUGUGAAAAUUCAAUUGAAAAGUGAGUGUAAAAUGGAAAUCCGCACAGUAAGAAUAAAUGCGGACGUCCGCAGCUGAGAAGCGAUGCGUGUGUGUGUGUAUAUAUAUAUAUAUAUAUUUAUGCUUCCACAGCAUAAAUAACUAUCUCACCAAGUUCAGAACUUUCAAUUCCACUUUCACAUUCAACAGUCACCGUAUUAUGAUUAUUCCACAAAACACAUUCAACAUGUAACAAGAAUCCAAUGUAUACUGAGUAACCAAAAUGUACUCACCUCUGUACAAGGAAGAUAGUUGAAACGGUACACAAAUAAAAACGAGCUCAAGUAGCUCCCUCAACACCUAUCAGAAAUACACCCUGAAUUAGACUCUGCAAUUCAAGUUAUGUUUGAGGGAUAAUGAAAAGAAACAUAGACAUUAGCAAAACUUUGUAUCUACUGGAUUGGAGAAGAUGAUGUUGACCAACAGAAUAAAUGAAAUAAAUAUUUGCAGAGAGGAAGAACAUGAUGAUGAUCAACGGUUAUUAGUUUUCGGAUUUAUCAGUUUGACCUCUUCCCGGCCCCGACUCUUAUCCCGUGAAAAAGGAAGAAGCAACAGCAUGCAUGCAAAUCCUAAUGCUUGUCGAUCUUAGAAGAACAUGGGAUUUGAUUAACAAAAUUUUGAGAAGAGCUACUAGAAUGUGGGAUUUGAUUAAACGCAUUCUAGAUCAGGGGAUAAGAAACCAACUUGACAGAGACAAUAAACCAUACAAUUGGUGUGCAAUAAUGUUGAGAGCAGAAUAGGAUAGAAAUUGAGAAACCCAGUUCUCAAUCAUCUCCAGGUUAUGUGGAAAGCUAACAAAGGGAUAGAAACUUGGAAGCUAAAUCUAAUUGAACCCAUAAACAAAACUAUAGCUUUUGAAGUUUACCAGAGAAAACAGGGGAACUAACAAAGUAUAAACUUCAUCAAAUUAAAGGAAAACAGAGGACUAAGUAUUACCGAUGAAUUUGCAGGGUUUUGCAGAGCAGUCAAGACUGAAGCUUGUGCGAGCCCAAACUAAAUUAGGGUUUGGAGUAGUCCAAUUUUUUAGGAGGGAACGACGUCGUUACGGUGGCCAAAAUUUUGGCCAAAAAUUUCAUAAUCGCGCCAGGUAGGGGUCGAACCUACGACUUUCUGCUUAGGAAACAGACGCUCUAUCCACUGAGCUACAGGCGCUUGUUUGCUCAUGUAUUUGCUCUAUAAUAUAUGGCACAAUUAUUAUUGUUGAAAAUUUUAAAAUAUUUACUUGGUCAAUUAUGUUCUGGGGUAUAGUCUGUGACUGUCUGUCUAUCUUCAAGCAGAGCCCUUGACGUGUCAAAAUGAACCAGAUCACAUCUUUGGCGCGUAUUCCUGAAUUUCUGAAGAAAACUGAAUGACCCUAUGGUUUUGCAUCUUUUGGGCUUUUUUUUUUCUGGGCAUAGCUUUUGUGCCUUCCCAGGACAAACAUGUCCCUCUGCCUCCUACUCCUAUGGAUGCUCACCAUUCCUCUCCAAGCCAACUCUCAACCUAACCCUAGAGGUCUGUAUACAUAUUUAUUCAAACCCACAUUUUGUUCUUUUUGCUUUUGGGGUAUUUUUAUUAUUGGGUAAUCAUUGUUUGUGCAUUUUCACCCUAAAAAUCUGGUAAGGUGAUUGUUAAACCUAUUUUGUUGAUUUCGUCUGUUGGGGUUCCUUGAUGGGUUUUUCUUGUUUUGUUUGAUGAGAAUAUUUAGACAUGAUUGGGGUGUGUUCCAGAUUAGGCUUUGGGUUUUUCAAUUUCAUACCAGCAAGUUUCGUAUGACAAACCAAAUUUUCAGGUUUUGUCCCAAAUUCUAGAAAUUGCUUUUCUAAGGGCUAAAGUCCUGUUCUUUUUUCCUUGUUCUAUUUCUCAUUUUGGCUUUAGCUGUAGUAGAAUAUAUAUAAUCCUUGCAAAUUGAAGAGUUUCAAAUGCAUAUAUAAUCCUAUGGUUUUUUUUUUUUCGUUAAAUUGGUAGGGGAUAAAAUAUUCAUUUUCCCAUUAUCUUGGCAAAUUGAGCUUACCAAGAGAAUAACACACCAACAAUUUAGCUCAAUGUCAUAUGAAAAGUUAUGUGUUCUCUAAUGCAUGACCAAAACUGCAGGUUACCUCCUAAACUGUGGCGCCGGGGCCUCAUCCAAUAAUGACGUGAUUGUAGGUAACCUGAAGUAUGUCACCGAUGAAGGUUAUAUAUCAGUUGGAAAAACAAGCAACAUCAAGAACAAUGACUUGGUUCCCAUACUCACUACAUUGCGCUAUUUUCCAGACAAGUCUGCCCGAAAAUAUUGCUAUGAAAUUCCGGUGAUCAAAGGGGGAAAGUACCUGGUCAGGACGACUUACUAUUAUGGUGGUUUUGAUGAUGGUAAGGAGCCACCGAUUUUUGACCAGAUUGUGGAGGGGACUAAGUGGAGUGUGGUUAAUACAACAGAGGACUAUACCAAUGGACUUAGCUCGUAUUAUGAGACAGUGGUGCUGGCAAAAGGGAGGACACUAAGUGUGUGCCUUGCUAGGAACAACAUGACCGGGACUGAUUCUAGUCCCUUCAUCUCAGCUCUUGAGCUGGAGUACUUGGAUGACUCAGUGUACAACUCCACCGAUUUUAACAAGUAUGCACUUAGUACUGUAGCAAGGGGAAACUUUGGAAUUACUGAUGAUGGUGACGUAGUUGGGUACGAACUUUGCUCCUCCUUUAUUACUUAUUACUCGCUGCAUUUACAUAAUUUCAGUAUUAUAGUACUUGCUGAUAUUUUAGAGUACAUUUUAUACCAGUAGUAUCAUCUGUAUAAAUCACAAAUGAGGCAGGACUAACCUAUAGAAUUGAGUUCUUUCUCUAUUAGAGAGAUGCUCUACAAUAUGAUCCACAUGAUUUUAUUGUUAAUUAUUAUCUUGGUACCAGCUGUUACUUUGAUAUAUGUUUGUUUACCCAUUCUUGGUUUUGAGGUCAUAGGAAUUAUAUGAUCUGGUAAUAGAUAUAGUCUGUGAGGUUCAAACUUCUGUAUUCUGUUAAUAUGAGUGAUGGUCUUGGUCUGCACAUCCAUAUUCUCAUUAUUUGUUUGCAACUCCAUGCUAAGGUAUAAUGGCUUUAUAAUGGCUUAAGAUUUUGGGUGCAUUGGUUUUAUAACAGAAGUACUACUGCAUUUAUCACAUCUGUUCGUCCAUCUCUGUAAGAACUGUGGUGCAAUGUCGUCCAUAAAAAGUUUCUCUUUUUAGAUUUUAUACUAGCAAAUAUUAACCUUAAGGUAAGUGAGACCGUCAUUUGAGAGUCAUUAAUCUUGAUGUAAACUUGUAAUACUACAUCACUUGUAUUAGGUGAUCCACCUUUGUAAGAAAUGUCGUAGCAAAGUUGGCAGCAAAAAGUUUCUCUUUUGUACACUAGUAAAAAUGAAUCUUGAAUUUUUAUGCUGGAGAUGAAAUAUUUUUACAGAUUAACCAAAAGGAAAUAUAAGUUUCAUCUCUGGAUUUGGGCAUGUGUUUUGUGCUAAAGCAAUGUCAUCUAGUGUAGAAAGCCAUUAGGAAUCAGCUGACAAUUAUAUAUCCUGAAGAACUAUGAUCUGAUGGUGAAUGUGUAAAUUUGAACAUAGCUUUCCAGAUGACAAAUUCAACCGGUUAUGGCAACCGUUCAAGGACAACAACCCCGUGUCCACUAACAAGGCCAAUGUCACUCCCUCAGAUUUUUGGAAUGUCCCACCAGCAAAACUAUUCGAGACUUCUGUUACAACAAGCCGAGGGAAGGAACUUCAGAUCCAGUGGCCAUCUGUGUUACUCCCCAGUGCCGCUUACUACAUUGCAUUGUACUUCCAGGACAACAGGAACCCAAGCCCUUUUAGUUGGAGAGUUUUCAAUGUUUCAGUGAAUGGCAAGCCCUUCUCUAGCAAUGUCAAUGUCACCACCAAGGGUUUAACAGUUUAUGCAGCAAAGUGGCCUCUGUCUGGAAACACUGAGAUUGUCCUGACUCCUGGUGCAGGCAUGCCUGUUGGGCCGGUCAUCAGUGCUGCUGAGAUCAUGCAGAUUUUUCCUCUUGGAUUAGAGACUCUCAACAGAGAUGGUACACAGUUUAAUCAAUCUCAUGGUUAUUGUUCACCAAAGACAUCAUCUUCUCUUUCUAGUUUUAAACAAGAUUGUAAUCUCUUGUUUGAUUUUACUCUAGUCACCGCAAUGCAUGAGGUGAAAAGAAGUUUUGACAACCCACCUCCCGACUGGAGUGGAGAUCCUUGUCUGCCUGAAGGCAAUGGUUGGACUGGUGUUACAUGUUCUCAUGACAAAUUUGCUCGAGUAAUAUGUCUGUAAGUUCACAAAGAUCUUUUACAGAACUAAAUUGUUUUACUGAUGUAUAUAUAUUUGUAUGUCAUACUUACAAGAUGGGUAGUAUUACACUAGAGGAUAUAAUAUUGAUCUGCAGUCAAUUUGUUUGUCCUGUCAUUUGAAGGAAUUUAACUAAUGUCGGGCUAUCUGGGUCAAUAGCACCAAGCAUAGCAAACUUAACUGCCCUACACAAUAUGUAAGUAAUCACGCAAACGUUAUCAGCAUUGAUGGGAUUCUCUCAUCAUUUUAAAUGGUGCCUUUGAUGGCGUUGUUUCCUUGCAGUUGGCUUGGCAAUAACAAACUUGCAGGCGAGAUCCCAGAGAUGGGCGCAUUGAAGGAGUUGGAAACUUUGUAUGUUAUAUAUAUCGUCCUAUCAGUAUUCAUGUUUUAUUACUUCCCCGUACUAUCAAUCCAUGCAUAUGUCUUCUGCAAUGCUUUGAUUCUCUUCUGUUAUCCUGGUUAAGGCAUCUAGAGAACAACCAGCUUGAAGGUAAAAUCCCUGAAUCAUUAGGCCAACUUCCGAAACUACGUGAGAUGUGAGUAUUUGACAAAUGAUUAUUAGACCAGUCACAUGUUUGUUAUAAUGUUAUCUGCUAACCUGCUUUUGGUUUAUAGAUAUCUGCAGAAUAACAAACUCAAGGGCGAUGUGCCUAAUACACUACAAGAUAAGAAAAUAAAGAUUCAGUGAGAAACACGGUCUUAAUUUCUAGUUUGCAUUUCAUUUGUGACUUCGUGGACACACAUUAAGGUAACACUUAUAAACAACAUUGCAGGAUGAAAUACCAGGAAGAGAUCAGAUCACAAUCUCCAGCUGAGAUGUAAAUAGGACGCUGUAGUAGAUGGAAUGGAACUAAAUGAGUUGAGGGACAGGAAUGGAUCCAUCGUACCAUAGAGUGGAGAGAUGGCAGAUGGGGAUUUAUGAGCCCUAGACUAGUUUGUUUUGUGAAGGCUUCGUGUCAAUGUAUCUCAUUUCUCAAACUAUCACCUCCCAUAGUUUUAAACUCAACAAACUAAUCUAUAACAUCUGGGAUAUAGACCGCUAACUUGUUAUACAGAAUCCAAAAAACUACUUAUACAGAAACUGAUUACUUGAUUGCUAAUGAGAAUGUUAUGAAAGGCAAAGCGCAGAGGUUUUCUGAUAUUGCCUUAUUGUUUUGCUUGCACCCUGUGAUUAAAUGGAUUGCAUAUAGCUCAAGCAAAUAACAAUGAAAAUGAGAGAGUUUGUUCGAACAGAUUUUUAUCAAUAGCAAUGUGGUAAUACCCGCCUAACUAUUGCAUUAGGAAUGAAUGCAGUCCUCCUCUGCUGUAGCAUAUCGGCAUAUCCUAACUGAGUAGUCAAAAAAUGAUAUAGCUGUUCCGCCAUGGAAAAUUAUUCUAUGUAACUUCAAGCUCAAUUAUAGUCUGUGUUUGUUUAACAAAUGCGUUGUAUGCAUACAAUAAUAUGUAAUAGGUCUAAUGUAACCACUAUUUAUAUUUGUUCCGAGCCGAUAAUAUAGAUUUUUCAGUCCUUGAUAAAGAUAAAGAUAGUAGAAUAAUAGCAGAGUCUCGCAGCUAGGCGCGUGCAUGCUAUCUAGUGCUAACUAACCACACAUAACAUGCCCUACCCUUACGAUAUCACAAACAGUAUCCAACUACCCAACGCUCAAGUUAGACAUCUUAACAGAUAAUCUCUUUUGCAGAUAAAUCUCAAUUCGCAUGGACCUCUGUGCGAAUUCCUUUUUAACCCUUAGCCAGAUUUUUAACCUCAAGAUAGUAGAAUAAUAGCACAGUCUCGCAGCUAGGCAUGUGCAUGCUAUCUAGUGCUAAUUAAACACACAUAACAUGCCCUACCCUUACGAUACCACAAACAGUAUCCAACUACCCACGCUAACAUGUUUGGCUACUCACAGUUAAUUUCUCCCAAUAUCUGAUUUCCUUUAACAAAAAUAUGGAUCUAAGAAUGAGUGGAGAACACUACUCACCAAUUCACAAACAAUACUAGAUGAGGAAUUAAAACAAAGAACUCAGUAGUCUUUCUUUUGAAAUUGCUGAAAUCAAAUUUGUUAUGAGUUAUGAUUGCGUACUAACUGUAUGGCCGCAAUUAUUCACGCAGAGCAUAUGCCAGCCUUAUACUGAUCUGAUACACACAAAACUGGCAUGAUGAUAUGCAUGCCUCAAAUUUCUGUGUUCAAUAUCUAUUGCAUGCUGGGGUGUAUAACAGUAUAGGUGUGCAUUUGAAUAAGAAAAAACAUGGCACUGUGAUUAACUUGAAGGUGUUCUAGGAUAUUCUAUAUCUUUCUAGAUAUUUUUUAUGUGUGCAUUGGCCUUAUGCCAAUAGGAUAUGUAGUUAGACUAGAUUUAUGUAUUCAUAUCCUUACCAUAUUGGUAUUGUGUAAUUCCCUAUAUAAAGGGCUCAUAUCAAUGAAUAAGAUGAUGAUUCUCUUGCUAUCUCUUUCUCUACACUUUAUACUUUAUCACGUUAUCAUGCACUUUGUUCUAAACCUAGAGCCAAUAGCCCACCAUUUGUUUUCCAAACCCUAAAAUCGGGCAGCCUUGUUUUUCCCGAUUUUCGACCAAAAUUCCAACUGCCCUCCGCCGGAAUUUUAUAUCCCCAGAAAGCUCUCUCCGCCCCGGAUCCAACACCGCCGGCCUCACCCUGAGAACCUGCCGGAAAGUCUCCGAACCGGCCGCCGGAAGAUUCCAAACCGCCGCCGCUACCGACCACCGGUUCACCACCUUCCCUUGCUCCGAUCAACCUGAAUUUUGGAUAGCAGCUUCCCCAUCCAGAGAUGCUCCUCCUGUCAAAUUUUCAGCCACAAAUUCGAAGUAUAAGUAGGCGAAACAUUAUUUCUCCUCUCGGCAGCCUCUAGAAAGGUACCAAAAAUCCCGGAAUUUUAUUCGCGGGUCAAGAGUGUGUUUGAUCACUCUUGUUUCCUUGUCUGGGUUGUGUAUGAUCAACCCCGACCUAUCACCGGAUUGUGUUUGAUCAAUCCGAGGCCUUUUUCCGAAUUGUGUUUGAUCAAUUCGCGGCUUUUCCGGAUUGUGUGUGAUCAAUCCGAAGGACAAACCAUUAAAAGCAUUGUUUGUGACCUCUAUCGAGUCUCAUAACAGCUUGGUUUUGUAUGCAAGAGCAAUGUAACAUUCUGCUCAUUUGAGUUUUGACGCACUCGAUGCCUAAGGCGAAUCUUUGCUUGGUAUCUGUGGAACCUUUCAUUGCAAAGGAUUAAACCACAUGUUUUGAUCCCCAGGCUAACAAGCCUAGAUGCCGAGAUUUCAUAUCUCAUGCGCUCAAAGUCUUUGACGCGUCACAUCGACAAAAGCCUUCAAUGGCAAUCUGUGCAAAAAGUAAUGACCACAAAGUACUGUGGAAUGCACUCAUGGAGCGUUUCUUGAAACGUUCAUAUUACUCUACUUGUUGAGUUAUUAGUCAAGUGGAUUGAUUACCACCUUAAUUGACUACAUAUUGUCGAUGAUCUUUUGUGGCAUCAUGAUCCAUAAUCUUUAGCGGAUUCAAUCAUCAUCAAGUUCUCUAGGUCCUCUAAGUUGGUUUGGAACUACCAACGAGACUUGAUUUUGAUCAUACAAACUGGAAUUGUAUAUACGCUAAUGUAAUAAACUUAUUUGGGAUUAUCCCCUAAUGUGGAGACAACAAUAUGGGUCAUGGCAAUGGCAGAAAACGUCGUGCCGAUGUCUAGAAAAGAGGGAGAGGUGUCGCCGGCUCUAAUAGCGACACUCCCGGUCUAGACACCAUUUUAUCAAAACUACUCACGUCAGCUCAUGACAAUGCAACCGUUGUGGAUCUUCGGAUCACUGGUUUAAGAUUGUCAAGCUCCUUCAAAUUGUGAAUGCAUACAAAAAGGUAUAGAAAAUCAAUAUAAGGACAAGAACGUCAUCCUCAUAAUCGCGAAUUUCAAAGAUUCGGAUCCUGCUCUAGCUACCUAUGACUUUGAUGUCAUCGACUAGACAUUGAUUUUCGUUCCAAGCUAUAUGUACUAAGGCGUUGUAUUGAUGCCCUUCGUCUAUUUGAGACCUCGAUGUACUCACAUUAGCAAUAACGAAUGCCUUGAGAAUUUUUUCGAAGUUAUGAAACUAUUCUCCUCUUAUGGUUCGUAUUGAUUUACAAACAAGAUGUACAUUUUUACUAUCGUCCUUAGAAGCAUGACAUAUUUACAAUCUACAUGGUUAGAUUGUGCUGUUUUGGUCUCUUCCAAGUGAAGAUGACGCAUGGCCUUGCAUCCUUAAGUAGGAUCGCUAACGUGUUUCCGGUUAAGUCUUUUACUCUAUAACGGAUUUUCCAUCAUCAAUUGUUCAACUAGGCUCAUCCAAGCUCAGUGUGAUGUCUUAGAAUUGUCCGAAAUUAAGGAGAUAGUGGUUUCAAGUGUGCCUCGCACUACCGACCCUCCACGGACAUGCCUGGUCAUACUGACUUGGAGUUACCGAAAGCUUUUGAUUUUGGAUCCCCCUACGCUAUUAAACCAAUUGCCGUGUUACAAAAGACGUUGAAGACUUAUCAAAACCGGCAAAUUAUCAUCAUGGUCGAAUCCUCUAGGUCCUCUGAGUUAGUUUAUGUUUAUGUUCAUGUCAAGAAGCUUUUGCUAACUAGUCAUGGAGUUUACGACCUUAGAACGACUGAAAGGACUUGGUUUUGAUCAUACACACGUCAUUUUUGGCUAAGACAAAAGCCUACACGCCACCUGCAAGCUUCAUAGCUUAGCACAUGCCAAUUCUGCGAAAAACAGCAAUCUAUCCCUUCUGAAUAGUCAACUUUGUUUGAGCUUUGUGAACAGCUCCGGAUGAACCAUACAGUGAGCUUUAUAUCAUUGGAAAGCUCUACGAGUCUAGUUUUCAGAAAAUUUCGCGGUUCGUCCAUAUCUAUUUUAAUGAAGAAGUUAUGGCUGUUUUAGUGCGCAAAGGUCAUUCUGCGCGGAAAUUUUUAUGCACUCUCGGGAUUGCAGCUUUUCGUAGCUUUUUUUAUCCUUCUAAAUGGUUCAAGUGGAACUAUUAACUCGCCUAUCUACUCCUUCCUGUAGAUAUGUCUCAUCGAGAUAUGGAGUGCUUCGUAGAUAGUUGAACUAUCCACAACAUUCUAAGGAACCGGCAACUAUUUUUGGAUUUUGUGCCUUUGUAAAUCUUCUGUGACUACAAUGAUUGAAUCAUACCGGUCAUUCAAGGAUGCGGUUUAGCUUAAAUCUUGAUGCCUCAUGACACCAUGAUCAAUGUCACAGAUACCCUCUAUGCAUUGAGAGGCAAUCGAACCAUAUUGAGCUUUAAAGACAUUCCUGCUAAUAGUUUUCAUUUGAAAACACAUUGUGAGAAUGAACAAGAAUUCUUUUGUGUAUACCUUCUCAUGAAUGCGGACUGAAGCGCAUCUUGGAGAAAUUCAUGAGUCAAUCUAGUGGAUUGUAUGUCACUACGAUUCGAAUAUCGAAUCCCAUGUUGUCGCCAAACAUGAUAUUUGGGACACCGACUCAUAUAGGCUUUGAUUUGACCAAAUCGGUCAUCCUGGAAGAGACAUAAUGGUCCAAAUUUUUGAGAAAUUCUCAUGGAUAUCCAUUCUUCCGCUCAAAACGAAGACAUUCGGGAUCUAGCAUCACCAUGAAGCAUGGUGGUGACCCAGGGGACAUUGACGUCACCCGAACACGGCUCCAACUUCCCGGAGGCCGUCCGGUCAAUUCCUCAAGCAAUUGAGGUACACCGGUCUUCCCUCGAUGUCGCAUUGGCCCCUUGCAAUGCUCAUUACUCGUUUUGAAAGCCUAUUCUUUAGCUAAAUUAGGAGUGAGACCCUCCUACGCUAAAUAACACAAAAGUGAACAUUCUAUUCUUACAUAAAUUAUGUAGAUAGAUACAACCAACUUGCGGACACCUUUUAUGUUUUAUGGUGUUGGUUGAAGUGUUAGCACACUGGUCACUUGUUACACUAUUAUCUACUGCUUAUGCUGCUUAUACUUCUACGGGCUCACUACCUAUUUUUUAAAGAAGUUUAUCAGGAUGUAAGUUGAAGUGUCCUGUACCACAUGUUCACAUGCAAUACGGUCUCACCGAGGCUACGACUAAUCAACUUUAGCUUGUCGCUCGAACAUUAUUGAUGCGCACCAAUCUUUCUAUUGCGUCUUGGGGCUAUGCAAUAUUUGCAUGCAGCUUUACUAUUCAUCUACGACCCACCAUCAUUAAAUAUUGUUGUACUACAGCUCGUGACUGUGUACCAGGAUUGACACGAAAUUAUAAUCCUUGAGCUCGACAGGAUUGAAACGGAUUUCCAAUCCUUGAGCUUAGCUAGAUAUUUAUUCUAGGUGCCAAAUCGCACUGCCACUGCGCACAAUGAUGGGUCAUUUGAGAUGAAUAAGUAUUUAGGUUGGAUGUGAACCUCCACCUAUAAUCCGCAUAUGUAGAAAUCUUGUCAGGCGAUCUCUUUCACCGCUAUAUUGCGGAUUGUCACUUUGAUGAGACAAUAUUCCCGCCGUUAGGGGGAGAUAAGAACACAAAUGUUCAAGUGGAACGACGUGAAUUGUCGUGGUUUGUCCCCACUAAGUCUCAUCUUGAUCCCAAAUGCUUAAAGUGUUAAAGUGACGAGAUCACAUGCUGCAAAUAUGUCUGCAAGGAUUGAUGUCCCAUCAAGAGAACAUGGCAUGACCAAAAUGUGUUGGUCUUGACGCCAUCACCAUGGAUGGUGAUAUAGUGACACCAUAUAAUGGCAAAAUUGGUGUCACAAAGCCGUGUGGCUCCCCAAAAGAAGGGAUGCCCUUAGGUUCGAUAUUUUCUCGCACUAGGAAGAAAGCGAGCUUGACACAACCUGAUCUAUUGAUCAAUGAUACUCAAAUCCGUCUCAUGAAGUCUGAAUUGUGAUUAUCGUUGGGGGACGCCUCAAUGUCAAAUCCAAUCCAUAUAGAGAUCUCUACAAGUAUUACACUAGUGUACAUGAGGACAUGGGAUAAUGAGUCUACUAUCGAACCACCCUUUGUUGAUGGAUAUCAACUUAGUUGAUUGGCCUAAUGGAAAGAUGCGAUCCAGCAUUAACAAAGAGAUAGGUCCUUGGGCAGGUGAUGCCGACACCGCAAGCUAAACCCUAUCAACUAUACAUUUGUUAGAUAGCGUAGUGAGAACAAGAGUUUAGACUCACUUUAUGGCGCAAGGUCUCUCCCUAACACGCACUGAGAUCGACUACGAUGAGAUAUGCUCUCGUAAUGGAUGUCAUUGAACUCCACUACUUUGUCAGUUUAGUAGUUUCCGAAUAACUGAACAUGCAGCCUAUGAAUGUGGUCAUAAUAACAUCUCUAUGGGAUCAGAGAUAUACAUGAAGCUCUUAAACGGACUUCAUUCAUCCGAAUCAAAUGGCUCCAAACUACAGGAGCAUGCGUUUGCUAAAUGUAUUGAAAUGCACAUGGACUCUACUUGAUUUGGAAGAGAUAUGGUGAAUUAUGCCUUUGCGUGUUCAUUCCGGAUUUACAUGGACUCUUGAUGGAUCAAGAGAUGCCAAUAUGUAUCAACAUCCGAAGAAAAAGAUCUUGGGAAGACACGGUCUCGAUAAGACACUCGAUGACUGUAUUGAUGAUGAUUUUUCAUCAAUCGGCUUAGGCGCUCUAACGAAAGUGAGGCCUAUAUAUACUCCCAUGAUUAGUCAAAGUCUUUACUCUAAAGAGAGAUCCGUUGUUUUGUCUAAAGCAUGAUGACAAAUAUGUGUUAAGAGAUGGAGUUCCCAUCUAAGUACAAUUAGACGCAUCAAUGUACUCAACACAAUAUGAAAGACUUGACAUCUCAUUUGCUAUGAAAAGUUGUAAAGCUAAGUAUAGCUAUGCGCCCACGCAACGCCAAUGUAAUGGCAGUAACUCUUUUUUCAAUACUUAAUAGUAUGAAAUGUUAAGGCUAAUUCUAUCCAUACAUAAGAAAGACACAUCAAAAGCGAAAUCAAAAUCUGCCAAGUUUUGUAGGUCAACUUCACGGGACCUACAAGAAAUCUCACUCACUGGAAAAUGGUGAAAUUGGUAUCAUUGGAAAGGUCUAUGUGUCUACUUUCCAGGGAAAUCAACCAUUUGAUCAUACCUAUCAUAUUGAGUGAGUUAUGGCUGUUUUCGUAAAGUAGGACGAAUCUGUCUGAGAAUCUGAUUUUGGAAAAACAGUCAACUUCGACGGGACUUUGUGAAUAGCUCCUGAUGAACCAGAACGUGUGUAAUAUACGGUUGGAAAGCUCUAUGAGUCUAGUUUCCAAAAACGUUACGGUUCGUUCAUAUGUAUUUCCUAGAGGAAGUUACGGUUGUUCUAGUAACUGAAAGUCAUGCCACGCGGAAAUCUAAUUUCCUGCACGAACUUAUAUUUUGAGUUCACAAGCAGCCUUCUCCUCAAGAUCUAAGUGUAAAAGAUCAUUUGAGGACAAUAUGGCAUGAUUUAGUUAAUCAUUGCCCAAUGCCACAUUUGAAGACAUGUUAAAAAGCAUUGACAUGCUAAGUUGUUGAAAUUUCCGUGAUUAGUAAGAAUCAAGAAGAGCCCUAUGAUUGAUGUAAAAAUCAGGGGGAGGUGCAAACUUCAGGGGGAGUCUAGCACAUACAUACAUGUCACUAUCAAAUGUGAAGGGUGCGUUGUACUCUUUUUCUCCUACGAUCAAGGUUCAAUUUUUCUCCCACAGGGUUUUUAUGACUUGACGAGGUUUUUGACGAGGCAACAGAUCAGCACCAUUGCAUAUCAGCGUGCGGCACAAGGGGGAGUGUUCUAGGAUAUUCUGUAUCUUUCUAGACAUUCUUUAUGUGUGCAUUGGCCUUAUGCCAAUAGGAUAUGUAGUUAGACUAGAUAUAUGUAUUCAUAUCCUUACCAUAUUGGUAUUGUGUAAUUCCCUAUAUGAAGGGCUCAUAUCAAUGAAUAAGAUGAUGAUUCUCUUACUAUCUCUUUCUCUACACUUUAUACUUCAUCAGAAGACGUACAUUCAACUAAUGUAGUAUUGUUGUCCAAAUACGCAUAUAAGACUUGAGAAUUUGGGGUUCAAAUUUAUCUUUUUAACCAAUGGCCGGAUUCAAUAAGCAAUAAGCUCAAUAGAAAGUUUCUUAUACUAUGUGUACAUUUAAGUCAGUUGUAUUAUACAUAUGUGUACUGUGAAUUGUGAUAAAGCAUAACCAAAAAGGAAUGGAAAGUCCUAUAAGAUCUGGUUAAAAACAAACAGCCGAGACAAAGUUAAACAAUACAAAUAUUUCAUAAUUAAAAAGGAAUAUGGUCCCACAAUCAUGUAUGACAUGCGUAUCUCUAAAUUUCUCCAUUUCCAUUAGCUUUCGUUAUGAAACAUAACUUGAGCGUCGGAUUAAGCGCGCCAUUUUUAUUGAAUAUUGAAUUUAACUAGUAAUAGUACAACUCAUGUAAUUAAUUCAUUACAUGAGUUGUACUAUUACUGGUUAAAUUCAAUAAGAUCAAAAUUAAACAGCAAUGCAAAAAUUAACCGCUGGCCGAGUUAGAUUGACAAAGAAAAAAAAGAGAUUAGGUUAUUUUGUUAAACUCACAAAAAUACAUAAAUAUCCCACGAUUCAUCAAGCCACAAAAAAACAUAAACAUGAGUCGAACUCGUAACCUCUCGUGAUUCAUCGAGCCUUAAAAUCAGAUUAGUCCGUGUUUGGUCGGCUGUGGGGCGAGCUUUGGAGUUCUACGUUCAAACCAAGCUACACGCUUCCACUUUCACAAAACAAACCACACCAGCCACACCACGUCUCUACUCUUACCAUUACCGCGCGCUCACCUCCACCCCCAAAACUCUCAUAUAAAAAUCCCGCCUUUCAUCUCUCUCUCUCUCAGAGUGACUCACCUAAAUUGAUUCUCUCUCUCAUUCUUGGAAUGUGGGCUACCAACCCUAGCCUCUUCUUCCCCUCCAAACCCUUCUCCCUCCGCUGCCGCGCCGCUGCCGGCGACCCUCCUCGGACCGCCGCAUUCCCUCGCCUGAUCCAGUUCCCCUUCGCCGCCUCCGACGUCGCCUCCGUCAGCGGCCGAAUCGGCUUCGACACCGAACUCGACGGCGGCGCGGCGAGACCUCGCGGCGGAAGCUCCGGCGGUGGUACUAAGGUGACGGCGAAGGAGCCCAAGUGGUCGCGGGAUAGAGAGAGUUACUUGGUGGACGAUGGAGACGCGCUGCCUCUCCCCAUGACUUAUCCAGAUACGGCUCCGGUGACGCCGGAGGUCGUUGACCAGAGGCUCCGGUGCGACCCUGUAGUUGAGGUUAGAAUUGUGAAUUUAACUUCAUUUGAUUAGGGGAUGAAGUUGUGAAAUUGGAUGUGGAUUAUAAUUUGAUUGAGAAAUUUGGGUGCUUUGUAGGAUUGCAAGAUAGUAGUGUAUGAAUGGACAGGAAAGUGCAGGAGUUGCCAAGGCUCAGGAUAUGCUAGUUAUUAUAACAAAAGAGGGAAGCAAAAUGUAUGCAAAUGCAUACCUUGCCAAGGAAUCGGUAAGAUGCUUGUUGAUUUUCUGAGCUUGUAUAUGUGCUUUUUAAGUUCAUGGAUGAAAUUAAGUAUGUGUUUUUAACUAAAUUACUUGUUGAAGUAUCAUGCUUGUUCGGUUAUUCACUUGUACUUUAUGACUGUAAUGUGGCAUUUGUCUGGUUUUGGUUCAUUACAUGUGUGUGUUCGAGUGUGUGUUCUUACAUGGAGGUUAAGUAAAUACUCUUCGCUCUUACUGGAGGAAUUAUGAUUACAUUAGUACUCAGUUGAAGGCUUAUAAAUUCUGUUCAAUAGGUGUGAUCAAGUUUAGAUAAUAAUAGUGGUGAAGAAAUACCCGUCUGCUUGUGAGUUAGAUAUACUUGAGUAGUUUACAUAUUUUAGUUACAUAAGCUUCUCUUUUUACUUGGUAGUAGUAAACUUAUAUAUCCAACUGGUAAUCUUGACAGCCUAACUCAACUUUUUGGCCUUAGAAUAUAGCCGUAUCCAAGUCCUUGGUUCAAAUCCUCUAAUGCACACAAGCCAAGUAAACGAAGUCCUGAGAUUUUUUAUUGGGGUAUCUGCUCUCAUUGGUUUCCCAGCAUCUAGGAAAUCUAAUGUGGUACAUUUUGCAUUUGGUUUUUCAGAAUUCUUAGUGCAAGGAUUAUGGAGAGAUUUUAGCGUAGUCUGCGGCUAAGUUGGACAGUAAUUCAUUAUUGGAUACUAUUUAGCAUUUUCUUACUUCAUUAUUGAAUAUUCAUAUUAAUCCUAAGUACAUUGGACCUGCUGAAUACUGCGGACAAUACAUGCUUGGGGUGUCAAUUCAUGUAUUGUUGACUUUAAAUGAUGCCCUCCUUUUUAUUUAAACUCGAUGCUUUUCAAUAAAAAUGUUCUCUUUUCUGAAUAUCAUGUAAUGGGACUUUUAGAUACAAUUACAUUAAACCUCUUGAAGUUUCUUAUAGUUGCAUCGGGACUUAGUUAUCAUGAUUCUUGUUUUGAAUUGACUAUGCAGUUUUAAUAGGUAUUUUAAUAAAUCAUAUGGCUGUAUCUCACUCAAUAUGAAUUUAGUCAUUCAUAUUUUAUCUUAUGGGUGAGAUGCAAGUUUCCAAGCUGUCCUCAACUUAGGUACCUAGGUUCUGGUUAUAAAGUUACCAUAUUGGAAAAUGACUGUCUUUAUAAGAUGUUUAGAAUUGAAUGAACUCACAUCAGCAUUUCUCUUUGGAUUGGAAAACCCACAUAAGCAUGCAAUGGAUCCUGAGGGAAAAGUGUUGCUAAAUUUAUGCCAUCCGCAAUUUCAUAUAUGAUUACGGGUCGAACCAAAACAAAAUACUUUUUCCUGGUGGGUGUGAUCCAUUGGACAUAAAUCAAAUUUUUCCGCUUUUUUGGUUCCUUAGAAUUUAUUCCUGGUAUCAAGAUGCCAUUGUGUCGGAAUAUCUUAUCCAUCUCUCCGGGAAAAUGGAUAUCUCCAUAAAAGAUUUUAAGUUCUAUUCCUUUUUUUUUUUUUCUUUUCGGACCAAGCCACCCUACAUUGGAUCUCUUUUGGUCCAUUAUCAAAUUAAUAGCAAGCUUUGCCUUCACUCAAGCACCUCCUAGGUCCACCAAUUUGGUUUUCUUUCAGACUUUAACUGUUGGUGUAAUGCUAAACUUAGGACCACACAAGCAUUCUUUCUUUUUGGGUAAGAAUGCAUCCACCUUCUUUGUUUCUUGCAUAUCAUUAAUUGAUGGCAUAUCUCAUGCCUUAAGUUUGCCACUUCUUAGUUCAUCAGUUUGUGGUUUGAUGGUAAAGCCAGGACCACGGAUAAUGUAUAGCAAGCAGUUCAGGAGUCUCCUUUAUAUGUACACUUGGAGGGAUAUAUGGGAAUAUUUGAUGGUAUGGAGGUUCAUGAAUCAUGACCCUCCUUUAUCACACGGAGAGAUAGAUGCGAAUAUCUGAUGAUGUGGAGGUUCUGUUGCAAAAACUAUACUGGUUCCUUUAGUUUACUUUUGUCGUUAGAAUUGGUACGUCUUGCAAGUUGUUUGCUUUUUCUUUUACCUGCUGUAUUUAAUAUAGACACGAAUGUUUCUAAACCCCAUUUUUCUGUUGAUGUAUAUCCCUAGAGUUCUCACAAAAGAUGUUCAUGAUGGCAGGAUAUGUACAAAAGAUAACAACUCGAACCAACAUUGAUGUUAUGGAGGAUUUGGAUAACGGAAAACCACCAUGAGCUGAACAAAAGUAUAAUUUUUGCAAUUUUUCGAAUAUCGGGAGUAUUUACACUUACUUUGAUGAGUUCCGGUUCUCCUGCUUUGAAGUAAGAAAGAGAUUUAUCAUUGUCUAUUAUUUUACUAGGUUGGGGAGCUGUGGAGUAGAUAUAGGAUGAGGCUUCUGACUUGUAAAAUAAGUUGACAGUGUUGUACUAUUGGCUUUUUUGGGGGGAUAUUAGUGUCAGGAAUGAGUUGAUUGGUUGUAAUUCGAUUUAAUGCCAUAACAUUUUGUAUCUAAUUACAAAGAAUCUUCAAUAAAAUAUCAACUUCUCACAAGGAAAGUUUCGUGGUCUGGAAAGGAGAAUUGUAGUCGCCUUAGUUUUUGCAAAGAAUAUGUUCUUUUCUUAUCUAUUCUUUGCUUUUUUUCACUUCCACUUUGGAAUAUUUUGUUCUUGAGGUUGCUACCGGUUUGGAAUCUUUACCUUUUACCUCUCCUUUACGGCAUACACAUCAUAUAAAGGCUGCACGGGAACACCCAAUUUCCACCAUCUCAUACUGAAGGCUUUUGGAGAGUUCCAUCAAAUAUUUGAUUCAGAUAUGUCGAACAUGAGCUUCCUUGAUUUCCAGUACAACCUAUCAAAACGGAAGUUUCUGCGCACACCAACUCGAUUGUUUUCCUCCCGGGACAGACAAAACUCUGGCUUAACACCUGGUUUCGAGCCAAAUCUCAACGAGAUGAAGCGAGUCUUUGAGAAGUUUGACACCAACAAGGAUGGGAAGAUAUCUCAGCAGGACUACAGGGCCAUAUUGAGAGCACUUGGAAAGGGAAGCAUGGUUGGAGAAGUGCCAAAGAUUUUCAAGCUUGUUGAUUUGGACGGGGAUGGGUUUAUUAACUUCAAGGAGUUCAUGGAAGUGCACAAGAAGUCAGGUGGGGUGAAAACAAUAGACAUCCAGAAUGCUUUCCAAACAUUUGACCUGAAUGGGGAUGGAAAAAUAAGUGCAGAAGAAGUUAUGGAAGUGUUGAAGAGGCUGGGAGAGAGGUGCAGCCUCGAAGAAUGCCAGCGAAUGGUAAGAGCGGUAGACACCGAUGGGGAUGGUAUGGUCGACUUAGACGAGUUCAUGACCAUGAUGACUCGAUCCAUGAGACGAGUUUAGAAAUGUCCGAUGUGUGUCUGCAGUAGUGUUUAUGCUCCUGUAUGUAUAGCAGUCUGCUGUAUAAUGUGCUAUCUGUAGCUAAUGCUGAUGACAUAAUACGGCCUGAUGGCCUUUAUCUUUGUUUGUUUGAAAUAAUGCUUCUAAUCUCCUUUUUAUGCACCAUUUUGCUCCCAUUCUGGCAUUUCUGACUUUGCGCUUGCUUUUGUAUUUUAACUAUCUUUCAAAUGAUUUGGAGUAACAGCUCUCCUUGGCUUACCAGACAUGGCUGAAAUGUCAUUUGAAUGCAAUUGUAUUUUAUGGCACAGUUAAGAGUAAAAGGUCAGCUACUGCAAUGGUUCAAAACCACAUUAGGUGGUAAGCAGAAUGUCAUAUAAGCUGAACGACCCUUGAUUCCAGCUUUCUCAACAUGCCAGAUAAACUAACAAUAUGUCAUUCCCAAAAGAAGAAAGGGCAGAAAAAUUACAAAAAAAAAGAAAAGAAAAAGAUAGAAGAAGAAGAAGAAACAAAGUUCAACGACACAAUCUCACUUUUAAUUUAUUUUCAAGCUACCAUCCUCAUGUCCUAAUGAUACAUAAAAGAUUAUAUCGACUGAAGCUAUGGGUCAAUCGAAAGAGCGAUCAGAGAGCACAAGGGGGAAAUAGCAAACGAAUCAGCUUGGGAACAAACAGGGCUGAUUAGUUGGCUAUUAUUUACGUUGUGUUUUUGCUGUUAGCUCUCCAGGGAUUACUGACUGAUUGACUCAUCUGGCAAACAAACAUGAAGAGGCAACAAUAAAACAUUUCACCAUGAAGAUUGAAGAGGCAUGCUUCACUAAGAAGUGAACACUCCUCCAGAGCACAAACCAACCACUAGUCACGACAUGUCAUUAGAAACUAGCACAAAAAAUCCAUGCUCUCACAUGGCUAUUGGCUAGUGUGGUGAGGAACUAAAGCCACAACCAACUCUACAGGUGUACUGAUAGAUUUUAGGACUACAAAAGGAAGCUAUGGUCACAAAGAAAUGUUCCCGUCACAAAUUGUCAUGCACAAGAGCCGGCAGACACUGUUAAUCAUGCGGAUGACUGUUGACUUGCUGCCCAGUGACCACUCAUAGAGCAAAGGCCUCAACCGACAAAUGCACUUAACCAACAAAUUAGACCAAUAUCCCACACCUCAGCAAAUAUGGUAAUGAGAUUCAAGAACAGAGUGGCAUAGAACACAAACAGAAGCCGAGUUGCAGAGAAAACCCAAUACAGUAUAACAUUAGGUUCAUAUGAUGAUUGAGCAGAUUAACAAAAUAAAUGCUAUCCCAAAAUAGUACCAAAAAAUUGGGUAGAUUAACACAUGAUGUUUCUAUAAGUACCCUUCGAACUUUAAGACACCAUUAACCAAAGAUGUUAUAAUUGCAUCAUAAGACAAAUCCGUAAGCUGAAAAAGGAUGUGAUAAAAUGAUUUGGCAUUUUGACAAAUAAUAGAUCCAAUGUCAAAACAAGCUGACAUUACAUAUAUAGCUCAAUUAUAUAUGCCAAAACAAGAAAUGGAAAGUUUAUCUCCUACCAACUAGGAACAACAAUGCUCAUCUAUCUUCAGAGUAUCCCAUAUAUUGCUCGGCAUUGUUCAUACUUUUUACACACCACUCUGCAACUGGGACAAGAACCUCUUUAGACAAGUCUUCAAGUGACAUUUGACUCACCAAUAAUCCCCACAAGAGCAUUUGCCAUCCUUGAAAUGAUGAAAACGUUUAUUGUCCCUAACAAUUAAUUCCCUUCCAACAAUCUUUGACAUGAUCUUAAUGGCAUUGUGACAGUCACCACAAACACGAAGGUUUUUUAUGAUCCUAAGUGGUGUCCUUGCUGGUGUACUAAUCAGACCAUAUGCGAUGGCCAAACGCUCACUGUGAUAGAGCAAGGCUUGCUCCUUUGCCUCCUGGUCAAUGUCAUGAAGAACAUAUCUUGUGUCUGGUACAUAACCUCCUCCUCUCAUCGAAUUGAGAGCCUUUAACUUUUCGUCAUCCUUGUAUAAUGUGGGGUUUUUGAACUCAGUGAUUCUGUUUUUACCGUCAAGCAUGCUAAUAGCAGUACGCUUUUUUGGUGGUGGAGUUGGGAUCUUAUCAGUAAUAGCCUUUGACGGAUCAAGAGCUACCAUUAACUCCUCAGCAUGAUCUUCAAGAUCAAUAUCUCCAUGGAUCCGAGCAUAAUUCCACAAUGCCUCCCAAACUUCCACAGUAGGUUCAAAUGGGAGUUUCUCAAUAUAAUCAACUGCUUCAUGUAGAUGACCACAUUUUCCAAGCACAUCUACAAUCCCCAAAUAGUGCUCCUUCUCUGGAUCAAAGCCGUACUCUUCUUUCAUCGAAUAAAAAUGUAUAAAUGCUUCUUCCACAGCAUCUGCACUAGCACAAGCCGAAAAAACUGCAAGAAAAGUGUCAGAAUUGGGCUUCAACCCUUGCUCCCUCAUCAGCUCAAACAUCUGCAACCCAUCAUCUCCUAAUCCAUUCUCCGCAUACCAGUUGAUCAUCAAAUGCCAAGAAUCAAUAUUCUUCUCCACCAGGUGAUCAAACACUCUCCGCGCAUCAGUCAUGCUCCCACACUUCCCAUACAUCUCAAUUACUUCAUGGCUCAAGUCCCGACUACUCCUAGAUGUAGACUGCAAAAAGAAGUCAUGAACCUUCUUCGCAUUCUCAAAAGACUUCGAAUCCCCACACAGCUUAAACAGAUAACGAAAGCAAUCAGCAUCAGCCUUAACCCCGUCUUCACCCAUCAACUUCAGAGCAUCUUUAACCUUCCCCUCUUCACACAACCGCCUCAAAUCAUCCACUGAAGGCGGCACAACCACAGCUGCUUCAUUCUCCGCCCGAACCUUAUUGUUGUUGUUCCACUGGUUAGGGCUCUGAGCCUGAGGAGUCCACUGAUUAGAGUUUCCAGAUUGGGGGUACCCCCGAUUCUGAUUCUGAUUGUUCCACUGAUUUGGGUUUCUGGGCUGCUGAAAAUUGGGGCUUGGAGGGUUCACCUGAUUAGGGUUUCCAUAUUGGGGGUACCCUCGAUUCUGAUUUUCAUUCCAAUGAUUUGGGCUUCUGGGUGGUUGCUGAAAAUUGGGGUUUGGAGAGUUCACCGGGUUAGGGUUUUGGCUCCAUUGAUUAGGGUUCCCACGCGGUGGAUAGCCCUGAUUCUGAUUCGGAAAUGGAUUAGGGUUUUGCUGUUGAGGAUAGCCCUGACUCUGAGCCUGAGGAUUCCACUGAUUCUGACCCUGAUAAUUGCUAUAACCAGGUCUCUGGGUCUGUGGAUUAGGGUUUCCGUAGCCCUGGCUCCACUGAUUAGGGUUGAAAUUACUAGGAUCGGAGGGUGGGUUUUGCUGUGGAGGAGCUCCUGGGUAGUAAUUUGGGGCGGCGGAGGUGCUCAGGGUUUUGGAAAUGGUUAGGGUUUGGAGGGCGGUGGUGCAGUGAAAUGAGUGAGAAGGGUGGAGAGGGCGUACCUUGUUGAAGAUGGAGGAGAUUAGUGCUGGGCUUCGAGCGCGUCGAGUCGCCAUUAGAGAGGCCAUUUCUGAAAGGGAGAGAGAUAAAAGCUAAAACCCUGAGAAGUGAAAGCGAGCUCCUUUUGUAGUCUUGUAAACCCUGAUUCGACCCGGUUUGGGUGGGGCGGGCCAAAAACUCGGAUCAAGUAGUUUCUCAAUUGGUUAUUUCUCGGGGUCGUGUCGUGUCAGGUUCGUGUCAGGUCAAGGAAUUUCACGUGUCACAAGAUACAAACUCAAACCCAACCUAUUUAAUAAUCGUGUCAAAAAUCUAAAUUCAAACUCAACCUGUUUUUUAAACGGGCAACAUGUUUCUUAAACCCAACAUGUUUCUCAAAUAGUUUCUCAAUUGGUUGCUUCUUGGCUAUCAAUGGGUCGUGUCGUGUCGGGUCAAAGAAUUUCACGUGUCACAAGAUACAAACUCAAACCCAAUCCAUUUAAUAAUUGUGUCAAAAAUCUAAACCCAAACCCAACUUGUUUCUUACCCGUUUUCAACCCGUUUAACCCAUUUAAUAAAUAGUAAAUGACAUCCAAUUACCCCAAACAGUUGCAAAAAACAGAAAACCUACAUUUCAAAAUAUAGUAAAUUACUAUAAAGUUACUGAUCAAAUUUCAGUUUACAAAUACAUCCUUUACACAAUAUCUUACACAUUUAAGGACAAAAUUUAACAAAUUAGGACAAAUUGAUGUCCACAUGCCAUCUGUCACUACACAUUUUACGAAACUACCCUUAAUCACAUAUUAUAUUGCUGCUACUGUCAACUAGGAUGCCUGUCGCUGCUACUGCCUACUGGAUGCCAACUUUGAAAUCUGCUACUACCUAAUAAUAGGACGCUGGUAUUGCUGCUACUAGAUUCGAAAUCUACACUUCCAAUAGAUCUAAACAGUAGCAGCGAAUUAACCCUCCCAACAAAUCUUGCAGUAGCAGCAAAUUCCCUCCAACAUAUCUAAACAGUAGCAUCAAAUUUACUUUACCCACAGAUCUCGCAGUAGCAGCAAAUUUACUACCUAAUAAUNNNNNNNNNNNNNNNNNNNNNNNNNNNNNNNNNNNNNNNNNNNNNNNNNNNNNNNNNNNNNNNNNNNNNNNNNNNNNNNNNNNNNNNNNNNNNNNNNNNNNNNNNNNNNNNNNNNNNNNNNNNNNNNNNNNNNNNNNNNNNNNNNNNNNNNNNNNNNNNNNNNNNNNNNNNNNNNNNNNNNNNNNNNNNNNNNNNNNNNNNNNNNNNNNNNNNNNNNNNNNNNNNNNNNNNNNNNNNNNNNNNNNNNNNNNNNNNNNNNNNNNNNNNNNNNNNNNNNNNNNNNNNNNNNNNNNNNNNNNNNNNNNNNNNNNNNNNNNNNNNNNNNNNNNNNNNNNNNNNNNNNNNNNNNNNNNNNNNNNNNNNNNNNNNNNNNNNNNNNNNNNNNNNNNNNNNNNNNNNNNNNNNNNNNNNNNNNNNNNNNNNNNNNNNNNNNNNNNNNNNNNNNNNNNNNNNNNNNNNNNNNNNNNNNNNNNNNNNNNNNNNNNNNNNNNNNNNNNNNNNNNNNNNNNNNNNNNNNNNNNNNNNNNNNNNNNNNNNNNNNNNNNNNNNNNNNNNNNNNNNNNNNNNNNNNNNNNNNNNNNNNNNNNNNNNNNNNNNNNNNNNNNNNNNNNNNNNNNNNNNNNNNNNNNNNNNNNNNNNNNNNNNNNNNNNNNNNNNNNNNNNNNNNNNNNNNNNNNNNNNNNNNNNNNNNNNNNNNNNNNNNNNNNNNNNNNNNGUACACCACUCUCUCUCUCUCUCUCUCUCUCUCUCUCUCUCUAUACCAAGGCUUCUUCCAUAAUCGAAUCUGCGUCUCUGAAUGCUUCCAAGCAGCCCACCGACGCCCACGACCUAGCUUUGAUUCCUGAUCUGAAAUACCUCGCCUCGUUGCCAAGAUCUCUCAAGCAACACAUCGAUCACCCACACACUGAAAUCCUCAAGAAUUGCGAUUUUGCUCAUUCUCGACUCCACAAGAGCUUCAAGGUCUCUCUAUCUCUCUCUUCAUUUUCACGUUCUUAGAGAAUCAGAGAAGCAAUAUCCCAAGGCAGUAGCAUCAGAGCUAGUUGGAUCCUCAACGACCUCGACUCCGUCGACCAAGUCCUCCUCUCUUCCUCUUAUUCGAAAGAGCUAUGGAGGUUUGCUGGCUAAAUUGGCAAUUUUAAUAGUUGUGUUACAUUGAAGGAGUGGGAUCCCUUGAAGGAGUAUUGUUUUGAAUUGGAAUUUUACCAAGUUGGAAUCUUUCUGAUCUUCUUAUUAUCGGUUUCACUUUGUGUGUUGUAGCUCAGGCUUAGUGUUUCUAGUUGUAUUUGGUGUUGAGAAGUGUUUAAUUAUGUGCUCCAUUUGAUUUUUGGUAGAAUUUGUGGUUUAGGUUUGGGAUGUUUCAUUUGGGAAAAAGGAAGGGUUGAUUGGUGACGCUAGAAUUCUUCUUUUCAAUAACAAAAAGCAAUUGAAAACAGUAACAACGAAUGUAGUAGAAUCAUCGACAAAAGUAGUAUCAUUGGCAAUAGCAGUGGGUUGAAUAGUAGCAGUCGACAGUAGCAACAACAUUCCAACCGGUAAUAGCAGCAAGAUUCUAAGCGACAACAACAGCAACACUCCAAUCGACAAUAGCAGCAACAUUCUAAUCCAUAGUAGCAACAACAUUCAAGCAAGUGUAAUAGCAGUAACAUUCCAGCAAGUGUAGUAGCAGUAAAAUUCAUUGAUAUAUUCUAGCAAGUGUAGUAGCAGUAACAUUCCAACAAGUGUAGUAGCAGUAGCAGUAGCAGUAGCAGUAGCAGAGUUAACCUUCAUUGUCCAACCUAAUAAAAUAUUACUGACCCCCAGUAAACUUCUUAUCCACCCCAUAACAUAUUACUGACCCCUAGUAAACUUCUUAUCCACCCCAAUAACAUAUUACUGACCCCUAGUAAACUUUAUUACCUCUUAAAAACUUGUUUGUGUUAGGUUCCCACGACAAAACCUGACCAAAAUCUCUAGUAGAUGGUCAUUGGCAUCGAUGAUGGACGUCACCAAUGAGAGAGAGAGAGAGAGAGAGAGAGAGGAUCGUCUAAAGGCGGAGGCGAGGUGUUGGUGCGUGACGGAGAUCGGAGGCGGCCGUGGUGCUUGGUGGAAGAUCAGAGGCGGCCGUGAUGCGUGGCGGAAGAUCGGAGGCGUCCGUAGUGCGUGGCGGAGAUCAGCAAGGUGUUGGCUAGCUUUGGAGAUCAGAGAUCAGAGGCGUUAGCGUUGGAUAAGAUCGACGUGUGUGGAGGAGAUCGGAGGCAGCCGUGGUGCGUGACGGAGCUCGGCUCACCGAUGUAAUCGACUUCAGAUCUACGGUGUAGGGUUUAGGAUUUGCAUCGUCGACUUUAGAUCUGCCAAUGAGGAGGAGGCCGUGGCAGUAGGCGGAGGUAAGGAUGAGGUCGUCGGAGUUGGUGGAGGCGAGGUGAGGUCGUCGGCGAUGGAUUUGUGAGUGAGAGUUAGAGAGAGAGAGAGAGAGAGAAGAGAGAGAGAGAGAGAGAAAGCAUAUUGUGAGUGAAUAAGAGGUGGAGGGAGAUGUGUGAGAUAGUUAGGUUAAGGUUAAAGAAGUAAUUUUGGUAAGAUUAAUUGUAAUAGGCAAUGAAUAAAGUUUUUUAUUGGAAUGAGCAACAAUGCCUAAUAAUUAGUGCUAAAUGGGUAUUAUUCCGAUGUUAAUCCUUGCUACUAUUUCUAUUGGAAUGUUAACCUCUGCUUCUACUUCUACUGGAAUGUUAACCCCUGCUUCUACUUCUACUGGAAUUAAUUGCUACUACACUAAGUUAUUGAAAAUCUGCUACUGUAUUCUAUUUACUGAAAAAUCUGAAAAGGAAAGACUUUUCUCUUCUAAAAACAUAAUUAAUUAGUGUAGGGUUAAUUUGGUAAAUUAAACCAUGACACAUGACAUGUAGAGAAAAGAUUGUCCUUAAUUGUUAAAAUGCUGGUGCUAUUAACAUAUCUUAUUUUGCUAUUCACACAUCUCCUGCAUGAAGUGAACCAAUCAUAGAGCAACUUUAAGUGGCAACUGUAUAAAUACAAUA